Molecule: long non-coding RNA, 339203 nt
Filed under: Gossypium barbadense (sea-island cotton)
Lineage: Eukaryota; Viridiplantae; Streptophyta; Magnoliopsida; Malvales; Malvaceae
Description: long non-coding RNA (GBAR_LNC016634)
Rfam family: Antisense RNA which regulates isiA expression (bases 120325-120450)
Source: RNAcentral
UGACAAUACCAAUUGUUGGUAAACCAUACCUAAAAGCUUGCAAUAAAGUCAUUUUGGAAUUUUCGUGGAUGUCGUUUUUGCAAGGUGGGACUAGCAAUCUAGGUGGACCACAAAGUGCAUAAUUAUUCAUGAAUGAUGUGCUAGAAAAGUUUGAAAAACAUCCUUCGAUGGGAAUUUCCCCUUCAAGUCUAUUGAAAGACACAUUAAAAUACUUUAGAUAUAAAAGCUUUUCCAAAGACUUGGGAAUGACACCAGAGAGAUUGUUAUUGCAUAUAUCCAAGAAUUCCAAACUAAUCAAACCACCAAACGAUUCAGGGAUAUGACCAUGUAGUAUAUUAUUUGAUAAAUCCAAUGAAACCAAAGUUUUAAGACCCCCAAAUGUAGAUAAGAUAUCGCCCGUGAGAAUAUUCCUUGAUAAAUUUAGUUUCAGCAGACUUCUCAAAUCACCGACAUCAAGAGCAUGUGAAUUGUUAAGGUAAUUUGAUGAUAAAUCUACUUCUAAUAUAUCUUUAAGAUUCCACAGAGUCGAGGGUAUUGCAGAACUCAAUUUGUUGGAUUCUAUGUAAAGAUAUCUCAAAGAAGUAAUAUUACCCAAACAAGAGGGUAUGGAUCCAUACAACUUGUUCAACCCUAAAAACAAGUUGUAUAGUCUUUCCAAAUCACAAAGGCUUUUUGAGAUAGGCCCUUCUAAUUUAUUAGAGAAAAGACCCAGACCUUGGAGAUUUCUCAGUCCUCCUAUUGAUGUUGGAAUAAAUCCACUUAAUUUAUUAUAGCCAAGUUCAAAAACCAACAUGUUGCUUAAGUUACCUACUUCCAUUGGAAUAUUACCUUCAAGCUCACAAUGGUCAGCAUAAAAGCGUUGCAAGGAUGUCGAAAGGUUCCCAAUAUAAGUAGGAAGAACGCCACUCAGUGGAUUUCCUGAAACAACUAUUUUUCUCAAAUGCUUGCAAUUUGCCAAAGAAGAAAGAAAGGUCCACUCAUGAUCAGCAGGUCCUGUGAUCAAAUUAUUGUUCAUGAUUUGGAGCCGUUCAAGGUGUCUUAAGUUGCCAAGCGUUUUAGGGAUUGGGCCAGAGAAUAAGUUAUCUACCAAGUCUAGAAACUUAAGCAUGGAAACAUUGGAGAUUGAGUUGGGAAUGUUUCCGCUAAGUUUAUUUCCCCUCAAUAUAAGAUACUCAAGCUUUAGAGCAUUGGUCAUGGAUGGUAAAUUACCUGUAAAAUUACGUCUUUUAGUAUACAUAUUCAUUGAAUACCAAAUUCACAAAAUAUAUAAUACACUAAAAUACAUCUUUAAAAUAAAAAACUGUAAAACUUUAUAUCAAAUAAAAAUAAAAUUUUGGCAUGGAAAAAUGUGAUCAAAUCAAUUUUAACAAUGGCAUAUAAUAAGAAUUUUUGAGUAGUAAUUAGUCCAUUGUGAUUUGUAUAAAAAAAAAAUUAAACCAUUCCAUGCUUGUAAGUUGUAAAAAUUGCAUGUUAUAAUUUAUAAAUUCUGUACUCCAAACUAAAAAUGAACUCCUCACUAUUCUUAGCCCAAGUCUUGCAUUGAAAUCAUCAUUAUCAAAUUUACAAAAUAUAUAAUACACUAAUAAUUUUUUUAAAAUAUUGUAAAACUUUAAAUCAAAUAAAAAUAAAACUUUGGCAUGAGAAUGUGACAUCUAAUCAAUCUUGACACAGAAUAAGAAAUUAUGAAUAAUAAUUAAUUAUGAUUUGGAAAAUAAAAAUUUUAAAUCAUUCUGUAUGAGUAUUCGGUUUAAUGGUAAACUUGCAUCAAUACAAGUCUAAGAAAUCAAAAUAAUAUAACAUCAAUAAAAUUAUUUCAAAUAUAAUAUUGUUCUAAAGGUUAGAUGUUGGUUUAGCCCUUAAAGUUGUAUUUGAUUAUUAUUUUGGUACUUAAAAAUUUAUUUGUACCAAUUUGAUACUUAAAGUUGGAAUCAUUAAUCACGUGGUACAAAAAUUUUAUUAUGCAAAAUUAAAAAAAUUAAAAAUUUAGAAAGUUUUUCUAAUAAUGUAGGAAAUGUUUUUAAAAAUUAUAAAAUAAGAAAGAAAAUCGUACAUGAACAAAAAAAUGGACAUAGAAAAUACAAAAAUAUUGAAAAUUAUAAUAAUAUAAUUUUAAAAAUGAUUUUUAAAAAAAAAGAGAAAAUAGGACAAAAAAAUCAGAAAAACUUAAAAAGAAUCAACAAACCCUGGAGAAGGUGAGCUAUGGAAUUGAUAAGAUCAAUUAGAAAAUGGUUUCGAGCUUUCUGCUUAGUUAAAUCAAGUAAAUUAAAAUGCCAAAAAAGAGAAAGGAAAACCCCAAAGGUGGAAAUACGAUAUGAAGAUUAAAAGCGAAGGAAGUUUAAAGUCCAAGCUAUAUUCUAUAAGUUCCAAUUAAAAAUUUUGGUUUUAAAAUAUUUGUGUUAAUGUUACAUUUUGAAAAAUAAAAUAACCUUAAUAUCAAUGUAACCAAAAAAAAUUAUAACGGACCUAAAUUUAGUAAAUAAUUUUAACCGUGCUGACAACUCAUUAAAAUUCACAUUGUUAUUUUUUUAGAAUAAAUCAUUAAAUUAAUAAAAUACAUGUUAAGGGUUAAGAUGUUUGUUUCAAAUACAAUAUUGAUAUAAGGGUUAAAUGUAACAAAAAACAAUUAUAAUGAAUCUGAAUUCAAUGAAAAGAUUUAACGGUGCUAACAAUUCUUUAAAAUUCAUAUAUUCAUUUUGUUUUAAAUAAAAUAUUUUAGCGAAAUUAAACUUUUUUAUAAAAAAAUUUAAUACCUUCCAGAUUAUUUAACGCCAAAUAUAAUUCUUCGAGUUGUGUCAAAUUCCCGAUACUUCUUGGAAUGAUCCCCGUAAAUUUAUUAAUGGACAAUGACAAAAUUCUGAGGUUGUUGCAUUUGCCUAUACUUGAUGGAAUGUUACCAGAUAAUUCAUUCGAAUUCAUGGAAAGCCAUUCAAGCUGGGGAAGAUGUUGACACAUAUCAUUAGGCAAACUAUCUGAUAGGCUAGUGCUGGAGAGAUGAAUAGCUUGCAGAGAAGAAAUGUUGAAGAUAGAAGAUGGAAUCGGACCUGUAAGACCUUUAAUUGCUUGAACAUUAAGCAUUUCCAAACUAAGAAGAUUACCAAUUUCCUCCGGAAUUUGACCUGCAAAUUAACGUAGUUGAAAAAUCAAGGUGUUAAAGCUAACUAUUUUGUAAGUGUAAAUCAAAGAGGCUUUUUUUUUUGGUUAUGAAAUAAUAUGGAUUUGUUAGAUUCUAAUCAUAUUUAAGUAUAUUAGUUCAGCUAAUUAAGUAUUUUUCCUUGAAAGAAAUGUUUUUUUUUUUGUAUUUAUAUUACAAAUCUUUUUUUUUUAAUUUAAAAACAAAAGGGGCAAAAUGUGUUUAAGUUAAAUGCAUCAAGGAAAAUGCAUACCUUCUAGGUUAUUCACCCCCAAAUAUAAUUCUUUGAGUCGUGUCAGAUUUCCAAUACUUUUUGGAAUGAUACCCAUAAAUUGAUUACUGGACAACGCCAAAAUUUGAAGGUUGUUGCAUUUGCCUAUACUUGAUGGAAUGUUUCCAGAUAAUUCAUUCCGACUCAAGUAAAGCUCUUCAAGCUUGGGAAAAUGUUGACACAUAUCAUUAGGCAAACUACCUGAUAGACUAUUGCUGAAGAGAUUAAUUAUCUUUAGGGAAGAAAUCUUGAAGAUGGAAGAUGGAACUUGGCCAGAUAAUUGAUUGAAUCGCAAGUUCAAGAUCUCUAGAUUGAACAUGUUGACAAGUGUUUGAGGGAUUCUGCCUGUAAAAGUAUUAUUUGUCAUUUGCAACCUUUGAACUCUGUGUAAGUUCCCAAGCCAUGAUGGAAUUUCCCCAUUAAGACUGUUAAAGCUUAAUUGUAAGAUCUUCAAACGAUGCAAUUGACCCAAUUCUUUAGGUAGCAGGCCAUAGAAAUUGUUGCGACUCAAGUCGAGAGAGAGUAGAAAUGAAAGAUUUCCAAGGUAUGGAGGGAUCGUACCCCUAAGAUUCAUGCUUGUUAGAUUCAAAGCUAUAACUCUUUCAUGGAUGAUGCCACAAGAAACACCAAUCCACCUGCAAACAGAGGUAGAGGCCGUCCAAUUGUUUGCCAAGACAUUUUGAGGAUCGGCAAGGAGAUCCUUAAACUCGAGAAGUGCAAACUGAUCAGAGUUGAGAUUCCUGGCUGUCAUAGCCAAGCAAAGUACGGAACAUGAUAUGAAUAAAGCUAAACGAAGAUGAAAGCAAGUGUUGUAGUUCAUGAUUGGAAGACGAAAUAAGGCAAGAAAAUAAAAAAGUAGGAAAAGGGAAGUUGAAAUGAUAAAAUAGCCCAGAGAGCAUGCUUUAAUAUGUUUCAACCCUCGCAUACUUCUCCCACAUUAAAUUCACUCGGCGGGGGCCCGCGGGGGGCGGGGGGGGGGGUUACAACAUUAAUCCAGAUUUUACUUUUUGAUUGGUAUCAUAAGUCUGCUUCACAUACAAAGAAAAUAUAAUUUCUCCUAAAUUUUCUUCACAUUACUCCACAUAAUCCAUAAAAAGAACUUAAUAAAAUAUAAUUUUUUAAUUACUAUAUAUUCUUUUAUUUUUUUUCACAAUAAUAAACUGGUUAAAAUAUGCUAUUCAUCCCUGUACUUUUCAUAAUUUGAGAUUUAGUCCAUGUACUUUAAAAGUUUAAAAAUCCAAUCCUCCUAAUUUUUCAAUUUAAAAAUUUUAGUCCAAUCAUUAUCAUUGUCGGUAAUUCCGUUAAAAUUUGUUAACUUAACAUGUUUAUUUUCUAUCAUAUGCAACGUCAUAUGAAGACAGCCUAAUCAACAUAUAUACCAAGUUGACAGAUUUUGACAGAAAAUACUAAUAGUGUUAAUGGUAGGACCGAAUUAUUUAAAUAAGAAAAGUAAGAGGAGUUAUUUUUUAACCUUUUAAGUAUAAUGACUAAAUUUUAAAUGUUGUCCAAGUACAAGCAUUAACAGCAUAUUUUGACCUAAAAUUUUUUAAAACUUUUAAAAUAGAAUAAUGUUAAAAUAUGCUAAUACUGCUUAUACUUUCAUAAAAUUUGAGAUUUGGUCAUUGUACUUAAAAAGUUAAAAAUUAAGCCCUACCAUCUUUGUUUAAAAAGCUUAGUCCUAUCAUUAACAUUGUUACUAUUAUUUUGUCAAAAUUUGUCAACUUGACAUAUUAAUUAGGUUUCCCUUAUAUGACGUGGUAUAUGAUUGACAAGUAAUAAACAUGUUACGUUAACAAAUUUUGACAAAAAAAAACUACCAAUAAUAAUAAUGAUGGAACUAAAAUUUUAAAAUUGAAAAUUGUAAGGUAUUGAAUUUAUAACUUUUAAAGUAUAUUGACUAAAUCUUAAAUUUUAUAGAAAUACAGGGACUAACAACAUAUUUUAGACACAUAAUAAUAUAUAUAAUUUUCAAUUAAAACUGCAUUGGACUUAAUUGGGUAAGGGUUAAUAUAUUAAUCGGUAUAUGAGUUUCACACUUUUUUUUUAUAAUGUUGUAUUUUUUUUUUUGUUUUUGUUCAAUGUAAUUCAUGUAUUUGGUAAAAAAAAUUACAUAUUUUGGUACUUAAAGAUAACAAUGUUAACUUAUUAGUGUUUGAUCUAAAUUUUAGAGUUGAUUUAAUGAACAUUAAUAUCUAAUAUUAUUAGUUAACUAUGAAUUUUCGUCAAAUCAAAUUAAAACCUAACUCGUAUAUCGUAUAUCAUAUAUAUAUAUAAUAUAACAAGGUACAUAUAAUAAAUUUACAACAAGUGACUCUCUCUUUUUUUUUUUUUAUAUUUAUUAGUUUUUGAUUAUCCAUUAAAUUUUUUUUGUUCUAAUAAAAUUAAAUUAUAGAAUACCAUUAAAAUUCUAAAUAAAAAUAAUUUAUCCGUUAAAAAAUUCCCUAAAAUUUAAAACUAUUGUUAUAAAUAUAUAAUUAAAUUAUACAGAAUUUUAUUUUUUAAAAAUAUUGCUAAAAAGUUAAAAGGGAAAGAGAAAAUUUUAAAAAAAUAAAUAUUCUUUAAUUAGUUAAUUAAAAAAAUCAAUAGUACUUAGAAAAUAUCAAAUUGAAAUAUUAGAUUUUAUAAAAUUUCAUAAUUCAAAAAAAUUAUAUGACAAUGUUUAAAAAUUUUAUUAAAAAGUUUUAAAUUUUAUAUAAUUUUUUAUUAAAAACCUUUAAUAUUUAUAUUUAAUUUUAAAAAUAAACAAAUACUACAAAAAACUUUUUAAACACUAAAUUAAAUAUUAGUUAAUUAGUCAUUUGAUUUUUUUAAUAUUUAUAUGUAUCUUAAAUUUUUUAUAUUUACUAUUAAAAAUUUUAAAAACAAAAUUUAAUACUAUUAAAAACAUUAUUAAAAAAUUAAAAAUAUAUAUGAAAUUUAAAAUUGUCUAAAACAUUUUUUUAAAAAAUUAAAUACUAUAUAAAAUAUUUAAAAUUGUUUAAAAUUUUCUAACCCUAAAAAAUCAAUAAAAUAUUUUUCUCUAAAAAAUCAAUAAAAAAAUGUUUUUUAAGUGCAGUUCGAUUUCAGAAGAAAUAUUUCAUUUAUUAAAGCAUAAAGCUUUAAAAAUGUUAACUCCAUUAAACAACAAAUGAUAUUUUUUAAAACCAUAAAUAUUGACUUUAUUUCAAAUUGACCUUAUGUGAUUUUUUAAUAGUUUUUUUUUACUAAGCUUUACAUCAAUAUACUUGAUUUAUUUGUUGUUAUUAUUAUUUGUUUUUCCAUGACUAUGAUAUUAUAAUUUAAAAAAACUGAAAAGAGAUAAAUAUUAUAAACCCAUUAUUAGACUAUAAUCAUAAAUAUGUCUAUUAUCAUUCGAUAAAAAAAAUUAACAAGUGUUUAGUGCAGUGACAAUGCACAUAGCACUCUUAAUGAAAGAAUGAGAUUCGAACUUUUGAGAUGACAUUAUUGAAAGGAAUAAUCACAAAUUCCAGACAUGAACCGUAAAAUAGACAUGAAGUACCAUAAUAAAAACAUAUGUAUAGUAUCAAACUAGUAAUCCAUGCCAAACCUUAAAUUAACAAAAUUUACCAUGCACCCGUGUACACUAUUUAUAUAUAUAUAUAUACACACUAGAUUUAUUCUUGAUACACAUGUUUAUUAUAUUUAAAAUUUAAAAUAUAUGGCUGCCUGAGUUUUAGUUGAGUUAGGAUUGAAAUUAUUGUCAAUGCAAAAGGACAUAGGUCCAAUUGUGCUCAAAUGUAUUUUAUUUUCCAAUUUAAGGGUUAGGGAGGGGUUAUCGAUAGUAAAUUAUAUUAAUUUUUUAAAUAAUUAAAAAGGAUUUUGUAACACCCUGACCCGACCUAGGAGUUUCGGCUAAGUCGAAGGCAUUACAUUCGAUCACCGACGUGAUCCUAUAAAGUCAUUCUUUUUACUUGAGUUGAUUUGCAAGGAAAUCGCUCUUGUUUUUAGAAAACAUUACUCAUUAAUUUAAACUGACUUUACCUGGUAAUUUAGAGUUUUUAUCAAAACAUUUUAAGUGUUUAUAAAGUAGCGAAAAACUUUCAAGGUAAUGGUUUUCUAAAUCGAAAGGUAUACAAAUAUCAUAGUAAAAACCAAAAUGUCAUGCUUAAAAUAAAUAAGCUAUACAAUCCCAAAAAUGAAAUGAUUAAGGAAAUAUUUAAUGCAACUUUUAAAGAAAAGCAGAAAAAAGCUACUAAUCCAAGGUUCCUCCGAUGCCUUUUCGAGUACUAGAUCUUUACACUACAUGAGAGGUAAGGAAAAAGGGGAAUGAGCUUACAACAGUUCAUUAUGAGACUAACUGUAAACCAUUAUAUAUAAUUAUUCAAAGAGUGAAGUAUUUAAUUCAUAGAAUAAUAGCAUGGUAAACAUAAUGUAAAGAACAUUCAAUAUAUCAAUACAUGUAUAGUUUAUAUUCAUGAUGCAAUGCCAUUAAUGUUUUAAUUUCUCACACGUCCAUCUUAACUGCCCUCGAGUAUUGCUCGACACUCCAAAAACCCACUUCAAUAACUGAUCAUCUUGGGGUUGAUUUUUGAUGACAAUGGUUGUUCACUUGACAUUCAUGACGAUGUCUUUUACUACAAUAACUUACCAUCCCGGUUUGGUUCGGUUUUGAUGGUGUUUUAAACUAUUAUCCCGUCUUAUCCGAUUUAGAUGGCUUUUUACUACAAUAAUAUAUCAUCUCGAUUGUCUCGGUUUGGUAUAUUUUAGCCUACCAUCCCAACUUAUCUGCUUUUGAUGACAUUACCGCCUACGUCGUGCAGUAUUGACUUUUAGUGUAGACUUAAUUUGGCACUGUCUCCUACGGAACUCCUUCGUCCUCCAUACCCAAUUUCAUGUAAUUAUGCACAUAUUCGUAGAAUGUUUAUGUUCUUUUUUUAUCAUCAAUCGAGGUUAUACUUAUCAUGCAUAUUCAAUAUCUCAUACAAACAUUUAAUGGCAUGUACUCAUGCAUUCAUAUCAAUUUUGUAAUAGCCCAAUUUUGACCCUAAUCAGAACAGUGGUUUUGGGACCACAAAUCUGAGUCUGAAAAAUAUUUUAAUAUUAUUUUCUGUGUUAAUUAUGUGUGAAUUUAUAUGUGUGAAAGUUUUGUGAAUUUAUUUCAUUGUUUGUGUGCUUAAUUUGAGAAAAUGGCUUAAUCGCAUAAAAUGAAAAUUUAAUGGUUAAAUAUGAAAGUGCCUAUUUGUUGUUGUCUUUAUAAUUUAGAGGUUUUAUGAUGCAAUUAGCCCACUAUGUAAGUUAGUGGGUGGCAAAAGACUAAUGUAACCUUAAUACAUAUAUGUGUUUUGUUUAUUAAUAUAAAGGGUAAUUUAGGAACCUAAUAAUAAUGAUAAUAUAUGUUAAAAUAAAACAAAAAAAAUGGAAGCCAUUAUCAUCUAUUCUCACUUGCCGAAAGUAAAGAAAUAAAAAGGGAGAAACCUAGCUGAAUUCAGCCAUUGUUGAAAGCUUGAUUAAGGUUUGUUCUUUGUUCGGUUUUUGAUAAUUUUUACGUUUUUGUAAUCGUUGCUUCGUGUUCUUUAAAACCCAUGCUUCAAUUUUGUGAAUUGGUGAUGAUUUUCAAAUAUGCCAUUGAUAAAUUCAUGAGUUUUGUGAUAGUUGAAGGUGAAAUAUGAAAUAUGAAAUAUAUGUGUUAGAUUAACAUAGUUUGUUUUUGACUUUUUGAUGAAUUUGAGUAAAUUGGACUAAAUUGUGAAAAUAAAAUUGUGGGGGACUAAAAUGUGAAAUAAAUAAACUAUAUGGAUUUGUAUGGACUAGGGUGAUAUUCGGCCUAAGCAUAGUUUGUGUAAAUUUUGUGUAUUUUGUGUUUUAUACAAUAGGGACUAAAUUGCAUAAAGUUGAAAAUGUUAGGGGCAAAAUGGUAAUUUGCCCAUUUUUGUGUUUUUGGAUUAAAUUGAAUGAAUGUGUGAUUAAAUUAGUUAAAUUUGAACUUAUUUAGAUCAAGAACCAAAGAAAAUGGAAUUAGAUCGGGGGAAGUCGAAAGUAGUCAAUUAGUCGAUUUCGUCCGUCAAUAUCCAAGGUAAGUCGAUAAGCAUUUAAAUGUUGUUAAAUUCGAGAAUAUACAAAUGAUAUGUGAUAAACUGAAUUAUUUGAAUUGAUAUAUGCUUUGGCCGAAUGUUAACAUUGAGAUAGGGAUUAUGUUUCAAGUUCGAUUCGAUUGAUAAUCAAUAUUUGAAAGCCCCGUACGAACCCUAGGAAUAGAUAGGAUACAUAUGUCAUGACAUAGGAUCUCCGAUAUGUGUUUUUUUGUGUAAGACCACGUUUGGGACGUUGGCAUCGAUUUAUGUUUUCGUGUAAGACCACGUCUGGGACGUUGGCAUCGAUUUUUGUUUUCGUGUAAGACCCUAUUUGGGAUAGUGGCAUCGAUCUGUGAUUACAUGUAAGACCACAUCUAGGGCACUGGCAUUGUACGAGCCUUCUGACUAUCUGUGUAUCCUUUUUAAUUUCGAGCAGUUCAAUAGACAAUGUUAAGUGAAAACCGGAUGUGAAAUUGAAUUACAUGUUCAGGUAUGUGUUAGUUAAAUGUAUAUAUGGAAACAAGGUAAGUUGUUUCCUUGGAAUUAUUUAAGGUAUAUGAAUAUAAAUUUUGAAUUAACAUGUUUGGACAUAUAUAUAUAUGAUUUGGGCUAUGGUGUUAAUUAUGAUGUCAAAGGUGAAAGAUUAAUAUGUAUUUAUGAAAGGUUACAUUCGGCUAUAUAACUUGUAUAUGUGAUCAAAGUAUGACCUUGUAGUAAAUGAUAUCUUUAUAUUGUCAAUUAUGUGAAUUUAACCUUAAUAGUUAAAUGUUACUGGCCAUGAUUAAUAUGCAUGCUUAUGCUUAUGACUUACUAAGCUUUAAAUAGCUUACUGUGUGUGUGUAUUUGUUUACCUCUAUUUUAUGGAUUUUGAAGCCGUUACGAGCUCGGGGAUCAUCAGCAAAGCCUAUCACACUAUCGAUAGUUUCUUUUGGUAUUUUAGUAAGUAAACUUUGAGUAUAUGGCAUGUAUAGCAUAGCUAGAAUGUUGAUUUUGGAACAAUUAUAUGUAUAUGUAAUUAAUAGCCAUGCAAAAAAUGGCUUAUCUUCUUUUGAUGGAGUUUAUGCUUAUGCAUAUUUGAUUACGGUAUAAGCUUGUGAUAGGUAAAUAAAUGUGAUGCAUAUGGAUUUGGACUUGUUGAUUUGGCUAUGAGAAUAGUUAUUUGUUCGAAUGUGCAUGGAUUAGAUGUUAUUAAAUUGAAUGUGUAUAGGUUUGCUUAUGUUUUUGAUUAGUUUUGAAUCAUGUACAUAUAAAUAGCCAUAUGAAUAUGGCCUAACCCCCAUACUUGUGUUCGGUUUGUUUAGCAAUGGUUUAUUCAUUUUAGUUAAGUUUGGUCUUUAUGCUUUUGAUAAAUUUUGUUGAAAUGAUGUUUAGGAUUAUGCAUAUUCGGCUAUAAUAUGAGUUCAGGUUAGGCAUCAUGUUUCAUAGUUUAAGUGCAUAAUUUGCUUGUUAUAUAUGUAUAUUUAUGAUAUGUUUAGUAUGUUCAUCUAUGGUGAUUUGAUAUGAUAUAACUUAAGUAAAUUAGGUUUGAGUAAUGAAUGUAUUAAUUUGGUGUGUAUUCGGCUUUGUACUUAACUCAUUUUGGAUGGUAGGAUACAUGGUUUAAGAUGUAACAAAAUUUAUGAAUUUGUAUGCCCUGGGCUGAAAUUUAUGUGUUAAGUGAUACCUUGUAUAUUCAUAAGUAUAUGCUAUCAAAUUUAGUAUGUUUAGUCUCAUAAUUUGUUAUUCAAGUUAUAUAUAUGUUUUGGUGAAUUUCAUGAAGAUAUAAAUAGACUAUGGUUUGAGAGUUAUACAAUGACCGAAUAUGCUUUAAUUAGUUUUGUAGUGAUAAUGAAACAUGGAUAUUCGGAAAUGGUUAAUGGUAUAUAUAUAAAUAUAUGUGCAAGUUGGUAAAUGGAUAAAAUGCAUGUUUUUGGUUCUUUGAAAUGUUCAAUAUUGUAUAUGUUAUCUUUGAUCUUAGCCUUUAAGUUUUAAGUUAUGAUUUCUUUAAAAUGAUAAGAGUAAGUAUAUUCUUAAGUAUCAAGGUAUUUAUUAAAUUAUCAUUAUAUGUUUGAAUAAGCAUAGUGUACCUUCAUUUAGUUGUAAUGGCAAAAUGUGCAUUUUUAUUAUGCUUGAAUGGUUAGUAUAUGUACUUUGGAUUGAUUUUUAAGCAUGCAAAUUUGGUAUACUUGAUUUGUUUCAUUUAGUAUAUGUUUUUAAAAAUAAUAAUAAUACUAAUAAUAAAAUUAUAUAUAUAGUGCAUUAUUCGGUUUUGUAUUAUUAUAAAGGUUUCAUAUGUUAUGUUAAACUUGAAAUAUGUGUUAUGUUCGGUAAUGUCUCGUAACCCCAAUCUGACGACGGACACGGGUUAAAGGUGUUACGAAUUUCACAUAUACAAUCUUUUCAUGCAACAAGAACUUGUAACAAUAUAUUUAUAUUAGAUUCCUUAACAUGCUUACUCGGCUAGCACAUACAUAACUGGUUCAUACAUACACAUAUAAUUUGUGCGAGUUAAAAAAAAUAAAGUGUCACAUGUACAAGAUUUUUAUGUGAUUUAAUAGGCCUAGUUAUCUAGCACAUGUACCGGUUUGCAUAUAGGCUCGCAUGUACCUGAGGUUCACACAACAUGUAGGCUCACAUGUCCCUAGGGUUCGCAUAUUAAUUAUCUAGGGUUCGUAUAAUUAGCAUAAGAGGUUGCAUGUAUACAAUGUUAGCGUAAUAUUCCCUUAAGUGUUCAUGUAAUAAACAUAUAGGGUUUGCAUAUAUAACAUCCAGGGUUCGCAUGUAAACACAUAUAGGGUUUUUACAGUACAAAAUAUAGUGUUCGCAUAGUACAACAAUUCAUAGGGUUUGGCUAACAUGGUUCAAAUAUGAUGCAUACAGGGUUCACAUAUCAUGUCUCACUUAUGACGCAUACAAGGUUCACAUAUUACAAUCCAUAGGCUCCGCAUAACAUAAUCCUAAGGUUUGCAUGUAACAAGUUCAUAUGUCAUAACCUAAGGUUCACAUGUAAUAAACUAUAGUGUUCGCACAUAGGCUCGCACAUAUAGGGGGUUUGCACAUAUAGGUUCACACACAAGAGUUCCAACACCUAGUUGUCGUACAUAGGGGUUUCCACGUAUAGGUUCGCACAUAGGGGUUCACAUGGGGGUUCACAGACAUGUACCAAUGAUUCACUAUGUCACACUAUAAAAAUAGGGGUUCUCGAACUCUGUCAUACUAUAUAAUGUGAGGGCUCACAUACUACGUCCUUUUAUAUAACAUGGGUGUUCGCAUACUAUGUCAUACUAAAACAUAUAGGGUUCGCAUCUUUGCACUAAGGGAUGGCACAUAUAUUCCUCGUAAGGGUUCGCUUAAGGGUUCCAUGCAAGGCUCACAUAUAUGGGUUCACAUGAAAGAAAUUACUUGCUUUUAAUUUAACAAUUAAUGCAACACCUCAUACCCGGUCUAGAAGUUAUGACCCGAAUGUGAAGGUGACAUUGAUAAUUUUAAAACUUUAACUCUUUGCUAUUGUAACACAUCUUAUUUUGAAAAAUGAAUAUUCGGAAAAUGAAUAGUCAAAAAAUAAUAAUUUUUAGUUAAACCUUUCGUGCAAUCCUUAGAAGAUCUCACGCUCUAAAACACUUAAUUUAUAGUAAAAUCACAUAAUCAUUUUCUUAGUUUAGCAGUGGAAAAAUUUUCAAAGUUUUAGUUUGAAAACCGAAUUUUAAUUUGUUAACUAGUAUGAUUUUUUAGUUUUAAGUUAAAAAUACCAAAAAAAACCAAAAGAAAAACCAAAAACGAAGUCUAAAAAUAGAUUAAUAGCCCAAAAAUCUAGAAAAAGUUAAUAACAGAAAGCACCAUAAUAAAUUAAACAAGAAAAAUAAUCUAAGCUCCCGCACGUCGUCCGAUCCUAAAUUAGCUAAUUACCUGAAAAGGGUAAAUACAGAAGGGUGAGCUAUAAAUCUCAGUGUGUAACUAAACUCAAAUAGAGAACAAAAAUAACACAAUAAUCAGAUCAUAGAAUUGCAAAGAACUUAAUAACAAUCAAUUGAGCAAAACUCAAAACGCAUGCUUAUGCCAAUGCGAUAUUUUUCAGAAAAACAUAAUGCAAUUUUUUAGAAAACUUCCUACCCAACUUCGCUACACACCAAAAUAGAGUUCCCCAAAACUUAUCCAUCCAAAAACAAACCAACAGAUAAUUGUAGACAAUGCCACCAGAGUUGUAGUUAAAACUGCCAGAUUGGAUAUAUGUGGUCAAGCCACUGUAAUGUAACCAAGCUGCCAGAAUAGAUAUAUGUGGUCGAGCCACUAUAAUUAUAGACAAGUUGCCAGUCAGAAAUGUGAUUAAACCACUGGAUAGUGCAAAUCAUUAAACUGUCAAAACUUCCUCCUUACCAUAAUAUCCCAAACCCCAUGCAAUGUGUGUAACUCCCCGAAAAUAUGAACUCUCGAUUUGUUAAUUUAUGUCAUAAUUAAGUGUUUAUCUCAAUGGUUAAGGGCUUGAGGAUGUGUUUGAGGUCUUGGGUUCGAGUCUCUCUAGGAGCUUUGAGAGUUAUUUAUUUAUUUAUUCUAAAUGAUCUUUUGGGCUGUUCAAUUAGUAGAAUUUGGGUAAAAGUGGAAGACUGGGAACUUAGUUGGAUAAGAAUUGGGUUUGUUAGGAUGUUGGGGAUAUUGUUUUUCUUUUUCCCUUUAUUUUAUUUUACUAUAUUUUUUAACCCAUUUUUCUUUUAAGUUUUGAAUUUAAAAAGAAAAUACAAAAUAAAAAUCCCAAUUAUUACUCCACUAUUCACGUUCCACUUUUAUUCCCAAUUUCUGUAAUACCCAAAAAAAUUACUACAGUAAAAAGUAAGUUAAUAUCCUUGAUAUAGUAAAAUAAAGAAAUAAAGUGAUAAAAAGGGUAAUUUUGAGUUAUUUCAACAUUGGGAAGUAUAUUAUGACAUAUUAAUUCAAGAAAGGAUUAAAUCGCAAAAGUAAAAAAAGUUUUGUUGCCCAAGAGUAAAUACUCAAAAUUUAAGGGGUUAAAGUGUAAAUAUAAAAAAGUUGAACGACCAAUAGUGCACAUAUUUUAAGGGUGGAAUGAUCUAGAAACUAAGGAAAAUAAGAGAAAGUAAUGGGAAAUAUUAUAAAGAAAAUGAAUAAGGGAGUUAUAAACUUAGUAAUCAACAUCUUGCAUUAAAAUAGUUUUGGACAGCAGCAGUAGUCUAACUUUGAAAAUUCACAAAAAAUUGUAGGAAUCGAAUUAGAGAAUUAAUAGAAUAUAAAAUUAAAGAUUAUUGAGUCUAGUUUCUUAUAGAAGAAACUGUGUAAGUAAUAGAAUUUUAAAUCAUGAGAUAUGAUAAAUGUUGUGAGACAAUGUCAGAAUGAUUUCGGGUUCACCUGUUCUGACUUUGGAAAAUCAUCAAAAAUUAGAGAAAAAUAAUUAGGGGCUUAAAUUUAUCCUUAAUGAGUCUAUUUUGAAUAGAAACAAAUGGUAACAUCAUAUGAAUCCUGUACGAGGAGAUAAUUAAUUUUUAGUGAAGAAGGGUCAAAACUGUCAAACAGCAGAAUAAGGAUGACUUUAAAGAAUAAACUGUACUUGUUAGCUAAACCAAAAAUUCUUAAAAUUUUAUGGUAAGAAUAUAUGUGAGUCUAGUUUCGGAUAAAAUUAACGGAUCUCAAUUCGGAGUUCUGUAGCUUAAGAUAUAAUUAGUUUAGUGACCAUGACUCAAGUGAAUAGCUUGUUAUGAGUAAACAAGUAAAUAGUGGUAUUAUGUAUAUAUCAAGGAUAUGGAAUGGAGUGGAGGAGGAGGAAAAAAAUAUGUGUGAAUAUUUAGCUAAUAUGAGAUUAUUUUAAAAAAGCAAAUUUCCAUGUUUUAGGCUCAGGUACUAAAUUGAAUAAAAGUAAAACUUUAGGGAUAAUUUUGUAAAAAUGUCAAAAAUGAUCAAAUUGAAGUAAAUGAAUUGUUUUACUUUCUAUAUUAAUGUAUGGAAAUAAAUUAUAAAUAUCAAGUGGGUUUAGAACGUUAAUUUUAUUGUAUGAUGAAUUUAUAAAUAAUUUCAGUUUUGAACAAUAAUUGAUAUAAAUUAAUUGAAAUUGUUCUGAAAAAUUCGGUAAUACUCUAUAACCCUGUUUCGACGAUGGGCAUGGGUUAGGGGUGUUACAAUUUCCUUUCAAACAUGGUUUUCAUAUUGUACAGGAAGAUUUUGCUAAAAAAAAGUAUUCUUUUGUUUUUUCUUUUUUCCUCUCUAAACUUCUUGGCUUUCUUGAUCUUGGUCUCUUGGGUUACCAAAUUUCUAUAGUGCAUGCCUAAUUGAAUCAUUUGCAACUCAAAUCUGGUGUAAGUGCUAUCAAUUUCAUUCAUUCUAUGAUUGAAUUUUUAUGUCGUUAUCUUUGUCUAAGUUGGGAUUUUACUAGUUCUAUUUGCUUCGAUUUUCGUUGUUAAUCGUGUGGGAUUCUCUAGGUGAAGGUUGCAAACCAGGUUAUCCACUAAUGAAUUGAGGCUUGUUAGGGUACUAUCGUCACAUUAGGGUAAGUGAUUAAUGUUGUUUUUGGGUUGUAAGUUGCCGAAAUAGUUGGUUAGUGUCGAAUUCUUCAAUUGAUCGAUUUGGGUUGAUUAGAUUUUAGCUAAUAAUUCGUGUAAUUUAUCGAUUUAAGUAUUGUAUUGCGUGAUUAUUGAUUCUACGUCGGUUUUUCACUAGGUGUAUAACAAAACACACGAAAAAUAGCUAACCGUGAAAGUUAAAAAAUUGCUCAGUCGACGCCACACGGCUGUGUGCCAAGCCAUAUGGUAGGUCGUGUGUGACACAUAGCCAUGUGACAGAUCGUGUGCUAGACUAUAUGGGACACACGGUCUAGGCUAUUUGGGUCGUACAGGGCUAUGUGGGCCACAUGGGCUAGCCAGUUGGGCCAUGUGGGCCCAAAAUUUAGGAUUUUUCCCUAGGGCUAAAUACAUCACCUUGAUUGACUGUGGGCCUUCCGUAGGGUCGGUAUGUGAUUAAAUGUAUUGUAACAUAUGAAAUAUGGUCAUCUAGUAGUGUAAAUUAUGUUGUCUGUAAGUAUUUUUGAGAUGUCAUGUGAUAAGUAAACUCGAAAAUUGUUAUGUAUGUGAUUUGUAUCUUAUAUGUCAUGCAUAUAAAACUGUAGCAAGUAAGGAUUCUACUCUGAUUAUGUCUUUUUUCGGGAUGGGCUAUACUAUGUGUAGGAAGUGUUUCUGUGAAUGGUGAUACUCACCCAUUAUACUGGCAACAAGGUUGCAAAUAUUCUAUUAGUGUCUUAAUGACACUAAGUGAUGUGUAGGGUUGGAUCGGUGUUUCAUACCCCAUAUGGUGUGUUGGGAUGGUCAGAGAUGGUGUGUAGCGGAUGAGGGUAGGAAAUCUAUCUGUAUCUGUCUAAUAUUAAUUAUCUGUUUAAGAUAUUUGUUGCACACUGAGUUUCAAAAACUCAUUUUCUAUUUGAUUGUUAUUUUCAGGUAACCCUUAGACUUAGGCGGAUCGGUGCAUUCAGGAACUCGGUUAAUCAUUAUUUUUUAAAAUUUGACUUAUUUAAAUUUGGGUUUUAGAGUUAUGUAAAUUUUGGACUUUCUAGACAUUUUGGACUGUUUGGGUUUAGAACUUUACUUUCAUAUUUUACUUAAUAACGUUUAAAUGUUUAAUCGACAAUGUUCACUUUUCUGCAAAAUUAAUGGUUUUCAAACAACAAACAGUGUUUUCCAAAAUAUCACUUUUUAAGGAGUCUCCGCUACAAAAUUAUAAGUUUUUAGAAAAUGUAAUCAAACAAAAUUUUCAAUAAUAAAAUUUGGAUAAGAUAUAUUUUCGAAUAAUCUGAGUUUUUAAGAGUUUAUGACUAUUAUCAAGAUUUAAGAAAACUAAAAUUUUCAAUCAAAUUACGUAACACAUUAUGAUCUUGUUAUAACGUCUAAGCCAGGUUUGGAGUGUUAAAAUGUGACAUGGCAUGCAUAUAUAGAAUCAGAAUGAAAAGCAUGUAGGACAUGCAGUCGUACAAUAAUAAAGAUCAGAAGGCAUGGCAUUUGCGGAAUAGAUGUAUCACAAAUUCAACAUAAGCAAAUCAGAUUUGCCAUAACGUCACAUGCAUGGUCAUAUAGUAAAUUCAGAGAUAUACAAUACAUCAUAUAGAUACACAACAUAGCAAAAUGGAAACAUGUCAUCAAAAUUGAUAGAAAACAGAUCAUACAUAUAUAAUUCUUAUACCUUAAGCACAUCACAUCAAAAGCAUAUUAACAAAUAACUUAUUUUUUAGUCUUAUUAAGCAGUAUGGACCCUACAAAGAGUCUAAUUACAAACCAAAGAUCAAAAUGGCCCUAGGUGACAAUUUUCCAAAAAAUGGGGCCACACACCUAUUUGGCCCACACGACCCAAAUAGCUCUGACCGUUUGAUCCAUACAGCCAUGUGACAUCGACAAUGAGUUUUUCAGCAUUGCGUCAUUUUCUAUUUUUCAGGUUUUUCAUUACACACCUGAUCAUUUUUCGAUGUAAAUCCAACCACUAGAAUUCCAGAACCUAAAACAAGCAUUUAAGUGAUCAAUUUCAAUAAUGAAACACUAAUUCCAAAAACCAACUUGGCCACAACCGCUAACAUUAAACCUUAAUAAAAUGGAAACUAGCCUUCCGAUGUUCAAUCACUUACCCAAAACAGAAAUAGUAGCCUAAAAUAGUGCCUAAGUUGUCAAAAAGAUGUGGUACGCACCACUCUCUUCUCUUAUCAGAAACCAAAAUAAUUAAUAAUCGGAUAAUACAAACUACUAUAUCCCUAAUCAACAAGUGGAAAGAACUAGUUAAUCUUACCUUUAAGGAACACCCUUGCAAGACUUACUCGUCAGAAAAUAAAUGAUAGAGAAAUGACAAUAGAUUAGCAAAUACUGAUAUCAACAUUUUGGGUAGCCAACAAAGGAGAAAAGAGAGAACAACCAAAUUAGAAAAUGGGAAAAAAAUGGAAAAGAGAGACGAUAGAAAGUGUGAGGGAUUUUAGGAGAAUUUUUGGGAAAUUUAAAAUAAUAAAAAUAAACUACCCACUUCCCUCACUCAAAGAAAAAAAAUUCAAACCUAAAACCUCUCACACACAAGCACAACACUUAACCAUUGAACCAAAUUAAAUCACUUAACAUAAUUUUCACAACCUCAAUUCAAAAGCCGAACAUAACCCCUCUUGGUUUCACUGACUUGGUUUUCAGAUUAUGACAAUUAAUUGCAUAUAAUGACUUAAGUUUAGACCCCACACCUGAUUUGAAAACACCAAACCUUAGUUUUUGAGAGGAGAUUGACGAUCUACUUGAAGAGGGAUUGAUUUUGAAAACUUUGACUCAUUUUGCUUUGAGAGUUGAUUUGAAGAGAAAAGAGCUUGAGGGUGCUUUUCUUAAAAGUUUGCUAGAUAAAAUUCUAGGGUUUGCAUAAAAUUGAUUAUUUAUAAAACAUAUUUUUCCUUAAUUGAAAUAGGUUUUCCUAAUUCAUGUAAAAUUAGAAAAAAAAUUUAAAAUAAGGACUAAAUUGAAAAAAAUUGGGCUGGGCUAAUUUGAAAAUUUGACACUUUUGUGGGAUAAAAACAAAAAAUAUAUAUUGGUUGAAUACACACAAGGAAUUAUGAACUUGUCACCUAUAGGUAGACUAAGGCCUUACCACUAAACCAACAGACUCAUUCUUACUAUCUUUUAACACAAAUAAAAUUUAAGGCAUACUAAAGGCUUGUUUAGCAUUACUGUGAAGAAGCACUUUUGGCUUAAAAAGCACUUUUGAGAGAAAAGUUAUUCUAAACAAGUAAUUUUUGGCUAAGAUUUUUGACUUUUCAAAAGCACUUUUGGCCAAGUGGAGAAGUUAAAAUUUUUAGCUUUUCUUCCCCCAAGAGCACUUUUGAGUGCUUAAUUACUAUUCCAUCCCUCCAAGAACACAUUUUAAAAUAAAAUAAUAUAAAUGUGUUAAUAUUUAAUUACAAAUAUUUAAUGGUUUUAUUUAAAUAUUUAAAAUAUAGUUUAUUCUAAUUAAAUUUUAUAAAUAAUUAAUAUUUAUUACUUAAAAACAUUUAAAAUUUAUAUUUCAUAUAUUAAAAUAUUAAAAAAAUUGUAAUAAAUUAUUUUUUAUAUUCUUACUAAAAUAUCAUAAUAUUAAUUAAUUUUAAUAUUAUUUAAAUGCAUAUUUAUUACUUUAUAAUAUCAUGUCUAAAAUUGACAUUUUAUUUCUCAAAAGUACUUUUUGACAUUAAUACUAAACACUUAAAUCUUAAACUAAACUUCUCAAAGAUACUUUUCCACCACACUUUUUAAAAGCACUUUCCAAAAUCAAUGCUCAACUAUCUCAAACUCUCUUACCUUAUACUUUAAAAGAGAAAAAAAGAUUUUAAAUUUUAUCCCUAUUUCUUUUAACCCAAUUUUUAGGAUGUCAAACAUUUAUAAAUAAAAUAAGAAAAAGGAAAAAAAAGCAUCUACAUAUUGAUGGGUUUUUUUCAUUAGGAGACUUUAUUUUUAUCGCAGGUAAAAGUUUUUAUGGAGAGGAUCAUGUAAAAUUAUGAUUUUCUGUGUUUUCUUCUUUGCUGACUUUUUUAAUGUCAUUUUCUAUCAUGAAAGAAACUUAAAGAUUCACUAUGUAUUUCUCAACCACUAUGAAAUUACUUGACUAUGGGGGUAGAAUUUUCUCACCAAUUUUCUAACAUGAGAUUUUUUGAAUGAGACAAAUAUUCAAUUUUAACACAAACAUAUAUUUAGGGUUAUAGUUUAGUUAUUGAGAGCGUUUCCCAUAAUUAGUCACCCCUAUUUGUGAGUGAUUAGGGGAUAAAAGCUUAAACAUUUCUAGAUCACAUUGCAUUUAAGACGUGUGUUUGGAGUUAUAUGAUAUUUUAACAUAGACUGGCUUUUCUAUAAAGAGUCCUUGCUUUACUUUGGGGGGAUUCUUCCAUUUAGCGUGGUCGUUGUUAUUACUCACCAACAAUUAUUGUACUGUCAUCCUUAUUCCUACCCCACCUACAGAGAAGUUUCAUUCGAAGAUGUCCUUUUUUCUUUUAAUAUUUUUUAUAUUUUCAUGGAUAUGAGGAGAUACUCAAUAUUAUUAUAUUAUGAAAUUUUAAUUCACUCAAAAAGUAAGUGUUUUAUUUCAAGGGAUUAAUAUUAGCUCUCUCUUUUUUAAAUUUUGAAUUUUUUUUACAACUGCUUAAUUAACAAUGUAUGGUGUUAUAGGGGUGUUUUAACCUUUCCUAUGUAUAAUCGACUCCUGAACCUUUUUUCCUUUAGAAUUCAAUGCAUACCUCAAAUUUGUCUUUUUAAAAGAUUUUUAAAAUCUCUUUAUAAAAGAUGAUCACACUUAACAAAAAUGAUCCUGACCACUUUUCUUUAAUAAAAUAUUAUGUUUUUGCAAAGACCAAAAUUUUCAUAUUUUUCAAGAAUUCCUCAAUCUAAUUUUCUUUUUGAAUUUUUAUUUUCAAGAGGAAAAUGAUCCCUACAAUUAAUAUUUAUUUUCUUCAUUUUUAAAUUUUUUUUAAGGGAGAUGAAUAAUGGAAUGAUAAUUUUUAGUUAAGGUAAAGUAAAUUUAAUUAUGUACAACCUUCAACUAUUAAUUUUUUCAAUUUAAUUACAUAAUUUUUUAAAACUAACACUCUUUUAUUAGUUGUCACUAGUUGAGGGACGAAAAGUUGAUUUAGAUUUUUUUAUUGACCUAAUAACAAAUUUAAAUAUUCAAAGUUUACUUAUUCUAUCAAUUUAAUGCUAAAUUUAAAAAAUUCAACAAAUCCUAUCAAAAAACAAUUGGACCCUCUCUCACUCUUAGCAAUACACACUAUCAUACAUGACACAUCACCAUCUUCAACUCACCCGACCAUUGACACCGCUAACAAUCUCCACUCUACUUUUUUUUAAUGAAAAUUAAUGAAAAUAUAUAAAUAAUCACUCAACUAUAAGUGUAUUUAUAGUUUAGUCAUUUAAAUUUAAAAUUUUAAUUACAGUAUAAAAAUAAUUAUCUAACCAUUCGAUUUAUUCUAUUUUAAUCUAACUUUUCCACAAUUGUACAUCUCUGGGUGGGCACAAAAACUUGUACAUUUCUUGAUGACAUUUAAUUCAAUUGCAUUUAGGAUCACAUAAUUUUCUUUCAUCCUUUUCAUUAAUAAACUGUUUCAAAAACAAUACCACGUCGACAAUAAAUUUGCUAUUACACAUUCAAUUUUUGGACGUGUCGUUGAAAUAUUAAUUUCACUUAAGCUAUUGACAGACUUUUCAGUUUUUAGUCUCUUUCCGUAGAAAAAUUCAUAACAAUCAGUCAAAUAGAAUUGAGUAUACAUGAUUAUACCAAUGCGGUAUUUUUCAAAAAAUUUUAAUGCAGAUUUUUCAGAAAACGUCCUACCCAAAUCCUCUACACGCUUGAAUAGAGUUCUCCAGAACUUAUCCAUAAAAAAAAAACACACCAAUUGAGUCAUCUCAGGUUGCCCAAGAAUUGAUGACUCGCCACCAUGGGAUGCCCGACAACGAUGGCUUAUCACUAUGCAAUUAAACUGUUAGAUCAGAUAAUUGUGGUCAAGCCAUUGAAUUGCAUCUCAACUGCCAAAACAAAAAUAUGUGGUGAAGCCACUAUAUUCCAUCCAAGCUGCCAAAUAAAAAUAUGUGGAUAAACCAUUAGAUAGUGCAGACCAUUAAACUGCCAAAACUUCCUCCCUUCCAUAUUAUCCCAACCCCAUGCAAUGUGACAUAGCAUGCAUUUACAGAAUCAAAGCGGCAAGCAUAUAAGACAUGUAGUCGUACCGUAAUAGAAUUUAGAAAGCAUGGCAUUCCACUCUUUUACAGAACAGAUGUAUCACAAAUUCAACAUAAGCAAAUUGGUAUGCUAUAAAGUCACAUGCAUGAUCACAUAGCAAAAUCAGAAACAUAAAAAUAACGUAACCAAACCUUAUAUAAUCAUAUACAAACAUAACAAUGCAAAUCAUGCUACUAGAUUCAUUAGAAAAUAGUUCAUGCACACGAAUUUCACAUACCUUAUUCAUAUCACCUACAAUAUCAAAUUAUCAGAUAUUACAUUUUCAAAGUCAGUUUUACACUGUACGAACCUACAAAGUGGCUAAACAUGAUUCAUGAAUCAAAACGAGCCUAAACGAAAUUUUUUAGAAAAUGGGCCAACAUGGCCCAAUUAGCCUAGGCCGUAUGGCGUCGACUGUCCAAGUUUCGACUUUCAGCAGUUCAUUAUUUUUUGAGUUUUUCGAUAUACACCUUACUAUUUUCCGAAGCAAAAUCAUGGCAAGAAUUCCAAAACCUAAAAUCCAUAUUCAACCCACUCAAAUUAUCAAUGAAACCCAAUACUAAAUCGUUAAACAACCAAAAUUGCUACCAAUAAACCUUAUCAAACCAAGAAUCAACCUUUUGGCAUCUGACUACUUACCCAGAAUAGUAGCAGCAGUACUAAAAAUCUCUCAAUUCAUCGGAAGACUAUUUGUUACAGAAACAUCACCUAAACCAAAGAUUUCAGAGUAAUCAAAAUCGCGUCACACAAAGAAGGAAACAAAUUAACCCCAAAAUUGUGAAACUCAACAAAGUACGAAUCUUUUCACAUAUUCCUUACCACCAACCGUCAAGAUUGCUCAAAAACCACUAAUGACACUGACCUUCGCAAGGUUAAAUUGAAACCAAAAGGCAACUAAAGAUGGAACAAAGGUUGUUAUAAAAAAAAUAUUAACAAAGACUUAUUGGAGCAAAAAUGGUGAAAAAUCAAGAAUAGGGAGAUUGGAAAAAAAAUAAUGAAACGACAAAGAGAAGGAGCGGGAAAGUGACGGCAGUUUGCGGAGAGAUUUUGGGUAAAUAAAAAGUAACUCACCACUCAACCCAUUAAAUCUGAUUACCCUCUAAACAGAUUCCCUUAGCAUUUAAAUUCAACCCAAAUACCACUACUUGGGCAGCAUAGUGUAAGGAAAUAAAAAUAUUUCUACUUUGCACACAUGAGGUCUUGAACACGAAACCUUAGGGUAAUUUGAAGCCUUACCACUAAAUUAGUAGGCUCAUCCUUGAAAUUAAUUGAACGAAAAUAUUACUUAUGUCAGAUGAUCAGGGAUAGAGGUUAAGACCAAAGAUGACAAAAAUUCAAAGGAAAGAUUUAAACCUAGAACCUCACACACACAAGCAUAACACCUAUCCACUGAACCAUAUUUACUCCAUUGACAUAAUUUUCACAAUAUUAACUAAAAAUUCAGAAUAUGGUUACUCUUGGUUUCACUUACCCAGUUUCUUCUAACCCAAUUUUUGUGAUGUGACAACUCUCCCCUCCUUAAAAGAAUUUCAUCCUCGAAAUUCUUGCCGUGACACCAUACACUUAACUACAAAAUCUAAAAUUCCCUAGUCCAAACCUACCACCAGGCUAUCAUUGUACAACUCUAAUCUCCAUUCAAGUCCGAUCCAAACAAUAUUUCAGAGGAAUUUCCUAUUCACUACCUCGGAUUACCUUAAUAAGCUUUCCACAGAAACAUCACUAAUGAUCCUGUAAUAGGCCCAAUUUGUCCGGGCCCGCAUGCAUAAACCAAAUAAAAGAAUAAAUAAAGGCCAACAAUUCCAAAGUCCAUUUACAUUUGUCCAAAAGACCCAAAUUACAUCAGCCCAAAUACUAGAACCUAGCCCAAAUACAAUUUGACCCAAAACAAGCCUUCAGAAACCCUAGUAGCAGCACACGACCCCUAGCGCCGCAGCGGCCAGAAUUUCCUCCGCGCGAGUUGCGCCUUCACACGCGUGUGCACCUCCGUCCAUUGAUCCAGGCUGGCCUCCAAAUCUGCAAACAAACAAAAACAACAGAAAAGGCAACAAAAAUACGAGAAAAAGGGGAUAACAGAUUGGAUUUUGGAGGCAUUUUAUUUUGAGUUUUUCUGUAAUUCUGGCUAUAAAAAGCCAAUACGAAUACUGUAAGAGGGACGGAAGGAAAUAAAAGAAAUACUAAAAAUACAGAGGAAUUAGAAGGUGAAUCGCGUCUUUUUUUUUAUCUAUUCUCUGUUUCUUUACUUUUGAUUGUGUUUUACAAACAAAAUUAGAAAAGGAGGAAGGGGUUUUACCUUUGAAUCUUCGCCGUUGAAGCCCACACUCGCUUCGCUCCAAUCGGGAGCCUGGCGAAGGGCUAAGACCCGAAGCGCCUUUGAACGGUAGGCAAGUGGCGAUUUAGGGCGAAUGAUGAAACCCUAGCAGAGGGUGUUCUGCUUUCUUUUUAUUUAUUUUUCCUGUUGCAAGAAUGGUUUUUAGGAAAAAAAUUGUUUUAAAUAACAGUGGUGAAACGGCGCCGUUUAGGUGGUCAUGACCCGCGCAGUGACCCGACCUAGAGGGGAGGAUCCGCACGUUCUGGCUGAAGGUGAAAUUUGCGCAAUUGGUCCCUCCCUUUUGUAACGCGCUUCAAUCAAAUCUGUUUUGUUUUUUUUAAAUUGGACCACAUAUUUAAUUUUUUGUUUCAAUUUGGCCCAUCGCUGCGCAGCAUUUUGGAAGGCGGGGAUAAUUUCCUUUUUGGUCUUCCACUGUUGUGCUCGCAUUCAAUUUAGUCCUGUCUUCAAAUUUAUUUCAAAUCCACCCCACUUUUUUUCUUUUUAAUUCAAGCUAGUCCAUUUUUAGUUAUUUUUAUUAUUAUUUUUUAUGAUAUUAUCAUUAUACCAUUAUUAUUAUUACAUUAUUUACUAUCAUUAUUACUAUUGUACUUUCUAUACAUAUACAUACGCAUAUUUUAUAUAUAAUAUAUUCAUAUUUUUAACAUAGAUAUAUUUUUUUGAGCUUUUAUAAAUAUGCAUAUAUUUGAUAUAUACAUUUUUUUUAUUUUCCUAAUUUUUAUAUACUUUAUAUUUUAUCUAAUACAUAUACGUUUUAUAAUACACUUUCCGCAUUUUAUAAUUUAAAAUACACAUACGUUUUUUAAUAUUUUUAUGUACAUGUUUUUUAAAAAUCAUUAUAAAUAUUUUUAUUAUUUACAUAUUCUAUUAUUUUAUAUACAUAUUGUACAUAUAUACGUAUUUAAAUAUAUACGAAUGCGAAUUUUCAUGAUUUACCAAUACACUUAUACAUUUUUAUUUUUUAAAUAUAUAUAUACAUAUAUAUACUUUUUAUUUUAUUUUCACGAUUUUCAAAUACAUACCUGCAUUUUUUAUUAGUUUUUGAUUGAUACGUUCUAUUCCAUCUUUAUAUGCAUCAUUGUAUAUGUGUGUUAAAUAUAUGUGUACACAUGUUUGCAAAUUUACUUAUUGUACUUGUAUAUAUAUAUUCUAUAAAUAUUUAUUCAUAUAUGUUUUAAAUUGAGGUAUUUGUUUCAUAUUGUACAUUAACUUUUUAACAUACCUUUUAGGAAAUUUAUAUUUUGGUUUCAUCGAAACAUCAAAAUCAUUUUCUCUUGAUUUAAAGGUUUUUUUUUGAAAUAAAAGCAAUAUUCAAAGUUUGGGAUUUUCGAGGAAAUUGAGCCCUAACGUAUUGGGUUCCGAUUUUCUUUGUUAAUCUUAAAUAGCUGAGAGUAUUCUUUAUUCAAAAUGCAUGAGUAUAAAACUUGUCAUCGAGAAUUCAAUAUGUUGUGUCCUAACGUAUUGGAUGUGACACGUUGAUUUCUCGAGAUAAAGAUUUCUUUUUUAAAAAAAUAAAAUGAUAAAGGAAAUAUUGAAUGUUUGGGAUUUUAGGAAAUUGUGCCCUAACGUAUUGGGCUGCGAUUUCUUCAUAAAUUUUAAACAAUUAAAUAUUUUCUUAAGUUUUAUUACAUGAGUUUUUUUGGACCAACUCGUCUUGAAAAGAAUAAAAUAUUGCGCCCUAACGCAUUGGGUGUGAUAUUUACCUUUUUCAAAAUGAGAAAGUCUUAAUAAAUAAUUUAAUUUAACUAAGGAUCAUAUUUAUUAACUCUCGACAUUAAGACACUAAUUAAUCAAUUUGGUACCAAAUUUUGGGCAUUACGAGGGUGCUAAUCCUUCCUCGUACGUAACUGACCCCCGAACCUGUUUUUCUAAAACUCAUAGACCAAAAUCAUUUUAGGUUAUCCAAUCACACCUCAAUAAAAGAUUGGUGGCGACUCCCAAUUUUUGUUUUUUUUUUAAGUGGAGAACUAAAUUUUUGUUUUUUUUCUAAAAAUAAAAAAAUGGUUUCGACAGCUUGGCGACUCCACUGAGGACCUUUUUAAAAAAAAGAGUCGAGCCACAAAGUUGAUUAAUUCUUCUCUUAUGGUCAAAAAUUUCAUUUUUUUAAAUUCAUGGUAUCCUGUUGCAUUCAUUAUUUCUUGCUUAAUGGAUUUAAGUAUUGUUCGCAUUACACAUUACAUGAGUGGAAUAAUUUUACCCUUUUAAGUGGGAGCGAGAAACUAGUCCUUCGUGAGGUUUUCACCUCCGUGCAGGGUAGUGGACCUCUUCCGGAAUACAUCCGUACCGUACCAAUGUCUUCGUGAGAUUUUCAUCUCCGUGCAGCCAUAGGGAAAUGUAUUCCCCUGAACUGAACUUGGUCCAUAUGAGCCUAUAAUGGGUGACGAUUGAGGAAUCUGCUAGUUCGGGUACCUUUACUUUAGAACCAAAUCGCAUAUAAUGAACCUUAGGAACUUGCCCUAGGUAGAACUAUGCCAAACCCCUAGAGGUAACCCGAGUAGAUACUUUAUUUAUUUGCUUUUACUUUGUACUAACUUGUUUUUUAUGUUGUUUUUAUUAUGAUUGCAUUGCAUUUGCAUCUUAAAAAAGAGGUGUUGAUUCACGUUCAGUUGCUAAAUAGAGAGCUUGUCAUAAGAAAAUGGGUUUCUUGAUAAAGUGGGUGACAAUAUGGUUGUUCAAAUAGGGUCCAAGAACACGUGAUAAAAGAAGGAUGAUAAUUUAAUAGAGGACUACACGACUAUGGCUCCGUUGCCCAAGGAUUUAAGAUGACAAAGAUUAUUUGAGAGCUGCUGAACCUUCUUAAAGAGAAGCCAACGAGUAUCACGAGGAUGAGCGAGAAAUAAGUUACGGCCUGAAUCGAGCAAAAAGGAGAUAGAAGAGACGCUUUUUGAAGAGUUAGUGAGAUUUAUCUUAACGUUCGAAUGAAGAAGAGGAUUGAAUAUCUCCGCCUAUGAGGGCAAAGCCGUAUAAAUAUCCAUUUAUGUAAAGAGAUUUAUUUUCUAGUAAAGUUUUCUAAAUGGAAUUGAAUCAGAAUCAACAUCUUUUUAUGCAUUCAUUACAUGCAUUCACAUUGCAUGACAUCAUAAACAUUAAAGUCUACUAAAAGAGCCUAAUCGAUUAAAAUCAUUCCUCAGUUAAUCUGGAAGCCAACCAGCCUACUAAACACCACUACGAUACUCGAUCAAAAACUAAGGACAUGGAUCAAAUGAUGGAAAGGCUAGAACAGGUCUAAAAGGAAAUGCAGGAGAAGCUUCAACAGCAAAUGAAUGAGCAGCAAAAAAUGAUAGACAAAAUGAUGAAAUCUCAAGGGAGUAUGAUGGCUCAGUUAACUCAAUGGUUGAACAAGGGAGCUGAUAAAGGAAAAGGCUCUGUGCUCAAUGUUGAAGAAGGUGACAAUGAGGGACCAGGCUUGACCCCUCAGCAUGGGCAGACCCAAGUAGAGGUAUAUCCACACAAAUCCUCUGUCACUAUCAAGCCUCAGCAGUUUCAAGUCAGUGCUAUAACACCAAUGAAUUUUCAAGCUAGAUCAGACCCUAACCCCAGAGAUGACCUUGUUAAUCCUGAUAUCCCUGACUUUGACGAAACAGCUGAAAAAGAGAAAAUGAAUGGUGAAUUGCCAAAACAGCUCAAAGAAAAGUAUAAAUGGCUGGAGGAAAAACUUAGAGCGAUGGGAAGUACUGAGGGCUACCAUGGAAUUGACGCUAAAGAAUUGAGCUUGGUUCCGGAUUUAGUACUCCCUUAUAAAUUCAAAAUGCCUGAGUUUGAGAAGUACAAUGGAACUAGUAGCCCCGAAGCUCAUAUUACCAUGUUUUGUAGGCGGAUGACUGGGUAUGUUAAUAAUGACCAACUGCUGAUACAUUGUUUCCAGGAUAGCCUCGCAGGGGCAGCAUCCAAGUGGUACAACCAACUGAGCCGUACCAAGAUUAAUUCAUGGAGAGAUUUAGCACAGGCAUAUAUAAAGCAGUACAAUCAUGUAACUGACAUGGUACCUGAUAGAAUCACUCUACAGAACAUGGAAAAGAAGCCUAGUGAAAGUUUUAGGCAGUACGCACAGAGUUGGAGAGAGGUUGCUGUCCAAGUCUAGCCAUCUCUUCUAGAAAGAGAAAUGACAAUGCUAUUCAUAAAUAUAUUGAAAGCUCCGUUCAUCACACAUAUGUUAGGGAGUGCAACAAAAAGCUUUUCUGACAUAAUCAUGAAUGGUGAAAUGAUUGAAAGCACCAUAAAGAGCGGAAAGAUUGAUGCUGGAGGAAAUAACAGAAGGAAAGCCUCAAAAGAAAAGGAAAAUGAGGUGAACAGCGUGAAUACGUACGGAAAAUCGAUUGCUAAUCAACAGGAUUCAUCAAGGCAAGAAUUAGGUGUGAAGCCAGGUACUGAAAAGCUCCAGUUCACGCCUAUUCCAAUGUCGUACAAGGAGCUGUAUCAAAGCUUAUUCAAUGCGCAUGUUGUUUCUCCUUUACAUGUGAAGCCUCCAUAGCCCCCGUAUCCCAAAUGGUAUGAUGCAAGUGCACAAUGUGAUUAUCAUGUAGGAAUUACGGGGCAUUCUAUAGAAAAUUGCAUUACCUUUGAAAAAGUGGUUGAAAGGCUUAUCAGUAUGGGCGUUGUCAAAUUUGGCGAUUCAUCUAGUGUAGAAAAUCUGCUACCCAAUCACAUUUGAUAAUGGGGGUGAAUGAGAUGUAUGAAGAAAUGUUGAGAGGCGUUCACAUUAAUGCCAUUUUUGAAGACACAAUUUACAAGGGUCCUUGGAGAUAUUCGCCCUUAUCAACUUAGAGGUGUCCUAAGUAAUUGAACUGCGGAAGAAAUCUCUGUAGUUUUUAGAGCUUAUUUAGAGUAAUGUUCAGAACAAUUUUGUUGUUUUUAGCCUAAAAAUGAUAAAAAUUCCUUUGCGAAAUAGGCUCAUGUCUAAACGUCAUUAUUCUAAUAAAAUACAUCUUUGCAUUCAUUUUUGAGCCAAUAUUUUUUCAUUCUUUUUGAAAUAAUUAUUCUUUCAUUCUUUUGGAUUUUCUUCCACAUCAUUCUUUCAUUCAUAAUUAUAUUGUACAAAUAAUUAUUCGUAAAUUCACACAUUCUUUUUAUAUAUUCUUUUGCGCUUACUAUGGGUCCCCAAAUAUCAAUAACAUGAGUGACGCUGCUACUGACUCAGAAUCUUCUUCUGAGCGAGACAUGUGUUUAGAGGGAUCUCAUGACUUUGAAGAUGACAUAGAUCGUAGCCUAUUUCUGUACCUGUUAAGGAUGGUAGAACAAGUCGAGAAACGGAUCUUACCCUACAAAGAAUCACUGGGAUACAUAACUUCUCUUUAUGUGGGGCAUGAAGGUUAUUUGGUCAAUCUAGCCAAAAGAGUCUGACGAUCAUCGAUUCAUCUUUGUGGUCAUCAAUUACUUUACUAAAUGGGUGGAAGCUGCUUCAUAUGUCAAUGUCACAAAGUCGACAGUUAGCAAAUUCGUGAAGAAUCAGUAUGGAACGCCAAAAGGAUCACAUCUGACAAUGUACUAAAUUUGAACAACAGCACAAUAUCAAAAGUUUGCAAUCUGUUCAUGAUUAAUGCCAUAUCGCCAAAAAAAAAUCUAUACCGGGGCAAAGUUUUUCUCUUGGGUCCAUCGCGGUUUUGUCUAUUAAAGAUAAGAUUCUUUCUCUCUGAGUUUUUGGAUCCAAUUCCGAUUGAAGAUGAAUGUUCAAAGUUAUCCAUCAUAAUCAAAUGCGCCAAAAGCAAAUGAUGCGAGCUCACAAAAAGGUCCGCUUUAGAGAAUUCCUCGAGAGGGACCUGGUAUUGAAGAAGACCCUUCCCAUGCAAAAAGAACUUUAUCCCAAGCUGGGAAGGACCUUAUGUAGAAGGCCUUAUUUAGAAAAGUGUCAAUUUUGAUCAGAAGGGAUAACAAGGGCAUGCCUAAUCCUAUGAGUUCAGAUUAAAUCAAAAAAUAUUUCAAAAUAAUAGCAAAGAAAAAGAAAAAAACAAAGAAAAAGAAAAAAGGAGAGGACAAGGUGAAAAUCUGCAAAAGACGCCUUGAGACCAAAGGUGGAUUUGAGUUAAAAACCCGAAAAGGGCGGCUCAAAUAUUGAUCAGAAUGGGGCAUGAAGUGAUGAGAGCAACUUAAAUUUUGAUCAGAUUGGGGCAUAUGAUGAUAUUGCUAUACUUGAACCAAUAGGAAAGGGUAGGCGACAUCUUGGGGCAUCGACAAAGCGCUGUAGAUCUCCUAAACUCAUGUCAAACUCAGAAUGGUCUUCAAAAAAUUUGUACAGAGAAGCUCAAGCUACGAUAUCUGGGGCACCCAAUUUUCAAACUAUUUAUGUUGAAUUUGUUGUUAUGGGAAUACUUCAUUCUUUUCCAAGAUACACAUUCCCAAUCAAUUUCUUUGUUAUCCUUCUUUACUAUUUUUGAUAAUUUAUUCCUUUUGAGCUAUGCUCAGAACUAACUUUAUUCUUAUCCAUUGUUAUGACAUUUUUGCAAGCAUGUUGCAUUGGAAUAAUGAUUAAUGGACUAAUAAAACUUCCACAAGGGAGGUUUUGCAUAUUACUCUAGAAGUUUCUAAAUAAUACAGGAACCUGAAACAGGACUAUUGUUUAGAAAGCACCAAGUUUAAAGGUUGGAAAUCUGAGAAGGAAGAGUCUAAAUUAAGACUUUCUCUUGGGAUUUUAUUGUCAAAAACAUUGAUUGAACAACAUGACAAGAUGUUAGUUUGGUGACAAAGCUUAAAUGAAGAAGCAAGUAAUGAUCACCAGACAAUAGGAAGAGGUUACCUCAGAGAAGAGAGUCUUUAUUUGAGCAUGAGUCUUUGGUACAACGCCUUGGGAAUGGUGUAAAGGACCAGAAAGAUUUAGAUCCUGUAUCCUUGAAUUGUUAUAGGAAAUGAUUAAGGAAAAGCCACAUAUUUUUACCAUUGGAUUACAGUGGGAGAAUGAUGGUACAAAUUUUGCACCCCAAUGGAUUAAACUUGGAGGUUCACAGUGAGGGGCAACCUAGCUAAAUGUUUCUUCAGAAAAGCCAGCCAAGUAAGAAGGUGUUGUAGCACGUCAGUCACAAAGCCUUAAUAAACUUCGAGUAAUGACAACCUAAGCGGGAUCAUUCUCGAAAAAAAUAAAAUUUUGCAUUCAUGCAAACACCAUUCACACAUGUCUAGUUAGGAGUAUUUGAUGCUUUUUAUCAUGCCAUCCUAAUCAUUAGGCAUAAUUAGGUUCAUUAUACAGGUCAUGUUCCCCAAAGAACAAAUCAGUGAAAAUAGCAGAUCUUACCUUCCUGCAUCGACAGCAAAGUAGAUCAAAAACAAAGCUUUGCCUUCCUCAGUUGUAGUGGAGCAGGUUAAAGAUAGCAGAUCUUGCCUUCCUGCAUUGACAGUGGAGUAGAUCGAAGAUGGAGGAUUUUACCUCCCUGUGGUUAUAGUGGAGUACAUUGAAGCCAGUAAUUCUACUUCCCUGGGAAACAGUAGAAUAGAUUGAAGAUUUCAGAUCUUAUCUCCCUAAGCAGUAGUGGAGCAGAUCGAAGAUGGUGGAUUUUACCUCCCUAUGGUUACAGCGGAGUACAUUGAAGCCAGUAAUUCUAUUUCCCUGGGCAACAGUGGAAUAGAUUGAAGAUUUCAGAUCUUAUCUCCCUAAGCAGUAGUGGAGCAGAUCGAAGAUGGUGGAUUUUAGCUCCCUGUGGUUACAGUGGAGUACAUUAAAGCCAGUAAUUCUACUUCCCUGGGCAACAGUGUAAUAGAUUGAAGAUUUCAGAUCUUAUCUCCCUAAGUAGUAGUGGAGCAGAUCGAAGAUGGCAGAUUUUACCUCCCUGUGGUUACAGUGGAGUACAUUGAAGCCAGUAAUUCUACUUCCCUGGGCAAGAGUGGAAUAGAUUGAAGAUUUCAGAUCUUAUCUCCCUAAACAGUAGCAGAGCAGAUCGAAGAUGGCAGAUUUUACCUCCCUGUGGUUACAGUGGAGUACAUUGAAGCCAGUAAUUCUACUUCCCUGGGCAACAGUGGAAUAGAUUGAAGAUUUCAGAUCUUAUCUCCCUAAGCAGUAGCGGAGCAGAUCGAAGAUGGCAGAUUUUACCUCCCUGUGGUUACACUGGAGUACAUUGAAGCCAGUAAUUCUACUUCCUUGGGCAACAGUGGAAUAGAUUGAAGAUUUCAGAUCUUAUCUCCCUAAGCAGUAGCGGAGUAGAUCAAAGAUGGUAGAUUUUACCUCCCUGUGGUUAUAGUGGAGUACAUUAAAGCCAGUAAUUCUACUUCCCUGGACAAUAGUGGAAUAGAUUGAAGAUUUCAGAUCUUAUCUCCCAAGAAAUAGCGGAGCAGAUCAAAGAUGGUAGAUUUUACCUCCCUGUGGUUACAGCGGAGUACAUAGAAGCCAGUAAUUCUACUUCACUGGGCAAUAGUGGAAUAGAUUGAAGAUUGUGAAUCCUAUCUCCCUUGUCAAUAGUGGAAUAGGUUGAAGAUUGAGAAUCCUAUCUCCCUGGUCAGCAGUGGAAUAGGUUGAAAGUAAACAAAUCCUAUCUCCCUAAAGUUAUAGUGGAGCGGAUUAAAAUGAUGGAUCUUAUCUCUUUGAAAUUACAGUAGAGCAGAUCGCAUCAAAUCCAUCUUUAUGCUGCAGUAGAUCAAGUUGAAGCUAUAAGUCUUAUCUCCCUGAAUUUGCAGUGGAGCAGAUUAAAAAUAGCAAAUUUUGAGAAACUACAAUGUACAAAUCCUAUCUCCUUGACAUUGCAGUGGAGUAGAAGAUGCAAUAGGAGAGAAUGAGGCUACUUGAAGAAGAAGAGUACCAAGAUCCAGCACAACCGGGCAAAAUUGAGCAUUUUUAAGUCUUUGCUCUGUUCCCACUAUGCGACAACGAGCAAAGAGGGGCAGCUGUAAUAGGCCCAAAUUGCCCGGGCCCGCAUGUAUAAACCAAAUAAAAUAAUAAAUAAAGGCCAACAAUUCCAAAGUCCAUUUACAUUUGUCCAAAAGACCCAAAUUACAUCAGCCCAAAUACAAUGUAACCCAAAACAAGCCUUCAGAAACCCUAGUAGCAGCACACGACCCCUAGCGCCGCAGCGGCCAGAAUUUCCUCUGCGGGAGUUGGCCUUCACGCGCGUGUGCACCUCCGUCCGUUGCUCCAGGCUGGCCUCCAAAUCUGCAAACAAACAGAAACAGCAGAAAAAGGCAACAAAAAUACGAGAAAAGGGGGAUAACAGAUUGGAUUUUGGAGGCAUUUUAUUUUGAUUUUUUCUGUAAUUCUGGCUAUAAAAAGCCAAUACGAAUAUUGUAAGAGGGACCGAAGGAAAUAAAAGAAAUACUGAAAAUACAGAGGAAUUGGAAGGUGAAUCGCGUCUUUUUUUGAUCUAAUCUCUGUUUCUUUACUUUUGAUUAUGUUUUACAAACAAAAUUAGAAAAUGAGGAAGGGGUUUUACCUUUGAAGCUUCGCCGUUGAAGCCCACACUCGCUUCGCUCCAAUUAGGAGCCUGGUGAAGGGCUGAGACCCGAAGAGCCUUUGAACGGCAGGCAAGUGGCGAUUUAGGGCGAAUAAUGAAACCCUAGCAGAGGGUGUUCUGCUUUCUUUUUAUUUUUAUUUCCUGCUGCAAAAAUGGUUCUUAGGAAGAAAAUCGUUUUAAAUAACAGUGGUGAAACGGCGCCGUUUAGGUGGUCAUGACCCGCGCGGUGACCUGACCCGGAGGGGAGGAUCCGCGCGUUCUGGCUGAAGGGGAAAUUUGCGCAAUUGGUCCCUCCCUUUUGUAACGCGCUUCAAUCAAACCUGUUUUGUUUUUUUUAAAUUGGACCGCAUAUUUAAUUUUUUGUUUCAAUUUGGCCCAUCGCUGCACAGCAUUUUGGAAGGCGGGGAUAAUUUCCUUUUGGUCCUCCACUGUUGUGCUCGCAUUCAAUUUAGUCCUGUCUUCAAAUUUAUUUCAAAUCCGCCCCACUUUUUUCGUUUUAAUUCAAUUUAGUCCAUUUUUAGUUAUUUUUAUUAUUAUUUUUUUAUGAUAUUGUCAUUAUACCAUUAUUAUUAUUACAUUAUUUACUAUCAUUAUUACUAUUGUACUUUCUAUACAUAUACAUACGCAUAUUUUAUAUAUAAUAUAUUCAUAUUUUUAACAUAGAUAUAUUUUUUUGAGCUUUUAUAAAUAUGCAUAUAUUUUAUAUAUACAUAUUUUUUUUAUUUUCCUAAUUUUUAUAUACUUUAUAUUUUAUCUAAUACAUAUACGUUUUAUAAUACACUUUCCGCAUUUUAUAAUUUAAAAUACACAUACGUUUUUUAAUAUUUUUAUGUACAUGUUUUUUAAAAAUCAUUAUAAAUAUUUUUAUUAUUUACAUAUUCUAUUAUUUUAUAUACAUAUUGUACAUAUAUACGUAUUUAAAUAUAUACGAAUGCAAAUUUUCAUGAUUUACCAAUACACUUAUACAUUUUUAUUUUUUAAAUAUAUAUAUACAUAUAUAUACUUUUUAUUUUAUUUUCACGAUUUUCAAAUACAUACCUGCAUUUUUUAUUAGUUUUUGAUUGAUAUGUUCCAUUCCAUCUUUAUAUGCAUCAUUGUAUAUGUGUGUUAAAUAUAUGUGUACACAUGUAUGCAAAUUUACUUACUGUACUUGUAUAUGUAUAUUCUGUAAAUAUUUAUUCAUAUAUGUUUUAAAUUGAGGUAUUUGUUUCAUAUUGUACAUUAACUUUUUAACAUACCUUUUAGGAAAUUUAUAUUUUGGUUUCAUCGAAACAUCAAAAUCAUUUAUCUUGAUUUAAAGGUUUUUUUUGAAAUAAAAGCAAUAUUCAAAGUUUGGGAUUUUCGAGGAAAUUGAGCCCUAACGUAUUGGGUUCCGAUUUUCUUUGUUAAUCUUAAAUAGCUGAGAGUAUUCUUUAUUCAAAAUGCAUGAGUAUAAAACUUGUCAUCGGGAAUUCAAUAUGUUGUGUCCUAACGUAUUGGAUGUGACACGUUGAUUUCUCGAGAUAAAGAUUUCUUUUUAAAAAAAAUAAAAUGAUAAAGGAAAUAUUGAAUGUUUGGGAUUUUAGGAAAUUGUGCCCUAACGUAUUGGGCCGCGAUUUCUUCAUAAAUUUUAAAAAAUUAAAUAUUUUCUUAAGUUUUAUUACACAAGUUUUUUUGGACCAACUCGUCUUGAAAAUAAUAAAAUAUUGUGCCCUAACGCAUUGGGUGUGAUAUUUUCCUUUUUCAAAAUGAGAAAGUCUUAAUAAAUAAUUUAAUUUAACUAAGGAUCAUAUUUAUUAACUCUCGACAUUAAGACACUAAUUAAUCAAUUUGGUAUCAAAUUUUGGGCAUUACGAGGGUGCUAAUCCUUCCUCGUACGUAACUGACUCCCAAACCUAUUUUUCUAAAACUCGUAGUCCAAAAUCAAUUUAGGUGAUCCAAUCACACCUCAAUAAAAGAUUGGUGGCGACUCCCAAUUUUUGUUUUUUUAAGUCGACAACUAAAUUUUUAUUUUUUUCCAAAAAAAAAAAUUGUUUAAACAAAUCCUUUACCCCAGACUCUAAAAAACAUCACUUACCAGAAAAUACUGGUACAAACAAUUCUUAUCAAUGCACAGUACAUUUGGAACAUAUCAUAAAAGUACCUGUAUCAUUGUCAGAUGCAUCACGGCUCGCUUGAUACCUAGUUGCAUAUCCCCAUCUCGGAUUUUGUUUCUAUGCCGAAGCUUGUACCUAACUAAAAUAGUGUCGUGAGUAAUCCCAAACUCGAUACUCAACAGACCCACAUAUGAAACACGCUCCCAUUUUCCUCCAACAAUCGUCCGAAUGGUGCCUAUCACAGUAAGUACAAAUCAGAACCUCAACCGCAUUCACAAUUGCCUCACCCCGUUGAAGCCUGUCUAUUUUAGCCCGUUUCCUUGGUCAUGGAUUCAAGUAAAUAGAACCAUCACUCAUCUUAUUUCGCACUUUAUUCAUUACUUAUUCUCUCCCUCUGAGCAAUUACUCUCUACCGCUAACUUGACUUGAUACGCUUGAGGUCACUCAAUCACAGACUCUUGUCCCAUAUAUCCAAAUUGAGUUCCAUCGACCCUUUGCAAAUCUCUAAACACCUCUUGGAACACUGAAACAUCCCCUACUUCUAAACUGCCCUCAGAUUUGGGCGUCAUAGUAAACUUAUUUAUUUUCAAAUUGGGCUUACUGCCCUGAGAAGAGAACUUGGAUAGAGUCACCCGGCUAUGUCCACCACGCCCUCGCACAUCAUGACCUCGAGUACUUAUUAUACUAAUCUAGAGUUUGAGAAAUUUUAUGAAUUAGUUUAGGUUUAUUAAAAAUCAUAAGUCUAGAGUUUUAUCAAAGUUUCUUACAUAAUUACCAUAGUCUUUAGCUAGAGUAGAGUAAUCCUAGCACUAAAGUUUUGCUAGUUUGUCUAGUAUAGCUAAAGUAAAGAUACUUACAGGAUUGACGAUGUAGUUUUGGAUUCUCUUUUUAUAGAAUCAAAUAUAAAAAUAAUCAAAAUCUAGAUACCCAUUUUAGAAACCCAAAGUAUCAAAAUUAAUCAGAAAUUCAAUUUAUUUAAAGCAUAUUUAAUGGAGAUUUUUGAACCCAAAAAUCACAGCUCGAGUUUUGUUACCUUGCUCUGAUACCAGUAAAUGUAACAUCCCAAACUUGGCCUAGACGUUAUGGCCAAAUCUGGAAGGUUACAUCUGUACGAAAAAAAUUAUUUUUCCAAAGUGUGUUUUGUUACGAAAUUGAAAACCAAAGUUUAUGUAAGUUCGUCAUGAUUCCCCGAUAGGAAAAUUUGUAAAUUGUCAAAACGUAAAUGUGAACAUAUUAAUUAUUAACUUAAAAAAAACCUAGCCUUAUACAAUCAAAAUGCUAAAAUCAUUUGCUUUGUAAAACUUGUAAUUUUGACUAAAAUUUUUGCAACGACAAUUCCAAACUAAUAUUCAUAAAUUGUAAUUUCGUCAAGUAAAAAAGUUUUAUUUAGCUGAUUGGGCAUAUUUUAAAUUUACGUUAUUAAAUUUUGUAAAAUCUCAAUUCAUAUUUUUGUGGCAAAAAAAUCUUGGCUCGUAUAAUUUUGAAAACUCAACAUUGAUUGUUGAGUAACACAAAACAUACUGAACAAAAAACUUUAACUAAGCCAAAGAAACCCAAAGCAAAAUUAAAUUUGAGAAAUUAAACCAAAACCAAAAGUCCAGUAAAUCCAUUUAUUAACCAGAGUAAACCAUUUAAUUAGAGAAUCAAUUCGAGCUUCCGCACACUGCCCGAUUCUAACUUAUCGAUUAUCUAAAACAUCAGAAAUAAAACAAAUGGGUGAGCUAUAAAGCUUAGUGCAUAACUAAAACUCAAGCCGAGAUCACACACAAUACAAUAUACAAAUCAUAAAAUCAUAGGAAAUUUCAUAACAAUCAGUCAAACAGAAUUGAGCAUACAUGAUUAUGCCAAUGCGGUAGUUUUCAAAAAAUCAUAAUGCAAAUUUUUUCAGAAAACAUCCUACCCAACACCACUACACACCCGAAUAUAGUUCCCCAGAACUCGUCCAUCUAAAAACACACCAAUUAAGUCAUCUCAGGUUGCCCGAAAACGAUGACCUACCACCUCGAGUUAGUCGGCAAUGAUGACUUAUCAAUAUGCAGUUAAACUACCAUAUCAUAUAUUUGUGGUCAAGUGAUUGUAUUGCGGCUUAGCUGCCAGAUCAAAGGUUCCUAGUGUAGUCCCUAACAUUAUCAGGUGUUCUCGGCUCAGUCCUUUGGACGUUAAACAAAUAGAUUUGGAUAUCCAAUUAAUCAUAAAUUGCCAGGUGGUAUAUGCUGAAGUCACGAUAACAUCAUCAUCAAGAAAAAGCCAAAAAAAGCUUUAAAAAAUAUCAUAAAAUUCAAAUAAACUUAUAUAAAAUUAACUACAUUAUAAAUAUAUAAUUGUUCAAAAAAAUAAAAAUUCUUAUUUUUUUUUAAAUUUGUAAAAAAUAAUAAAAUUAUUAGAAAUUGUUAAAUAUUGUAAAACCAUUAUAAAAAUUAUUAGAAUCAUAAAAGACGGUAAAAAAUAAAAAGUUAAAAUACUAGUAAAAAUUGUCUAACUUGAAAUAAAGUAUACAUUUGGUAAUCAAAUUUAAAAUAUGGAAAAUUUGAUAUUAAAAAUGUAUAUAGUAAUACAAUCAAUUUUUAUAAAAAAAUAUUUUAAAAUAUUUUAAUAAAAAUCGAAUAAAUUUUAUAUCAAUUUUUUAAUAUUUUAAAAUACAUCAAUUUUUAGUACUUUACCAACGUUACUGGCAGCAAGUUUUUUUGACUCGAGUCCUUAUUUUUUGUCUUAAGUAGCUUCCUGCAUCUACCAUUUUGCACAUGGUUUUUCUAUUUUAUACCAAAGCUCUUUAGAAUAGUUAAACAUUCGACAAUAGUUCUUAAGAUAUUAGUUUAGAGACAAAUAAUUAUCUUGAGAUAGUAAAAAAAAUGAAAUAAUUAAAUAUAUUAUUUACUAGAAAUAAUAUUAUUUUUCAUUAUUUAAAUUAUUUGAGAAAAAAUUUAUUCAAGUUUAUCACGUAAAAGAUCUACCAAUUAUAAAUUCUGAUUAGUUGAACCAUAAGACAAUUGUUCUAGGUAGUAUCCUUCCAAGAGACAAUUAUCACAUGUUUAAACUCUAGUCAAUGUGAUUUAUAAAAUUUUAAAAAUAUUAAAAUAUCUAAUAUAUUUUUGAAAUUUAUGUAAUUUUUUAUAUUUUACAUAGUUUUUUUUGUAUUUUUUAAUUUUAGAUUUUUUCUAUUUUUAAAUAAUUUUGAUAAUUUUGUAAUUUUUCUUUUAUAAUUUUUGUCAUUUUUGAAGAUUUUUAAGGGUUUUUGUUGAUAAUGUCAUUAUGAUAUCAUCGUACGACAUGUGGUAGUAUAUGAUUGGUUGAAUAUCCCAAUGAAUUUUUUAUUGUCCAAUGAACUAAACUGAAAAUGUUUAAUAACAUUAGGGGCUGAAGUGGAUAAAAAUAUUUUAAAGACUAAAGUUAAAAAAGUGAUAUACUUGAGGGACACAGGAUCAACAUUUUCUAAAAGAUGGAAGUGUUUUUCAAUUUUUAAGGGAAUAGAAUUUUUUUGAGUGAAUAUAGAUUUGUGAGGGAGUAGUAAUAUUAUUAUUAGAGACAAGGCAUUUGAUUUUUAUAUAACUUUUUUAAUUAAGUCAAUAUCACUCAUUGAGUAAAACCCAACAUAUUAAGCACAUUAUUAUACUAAUUUAGAUUAAUAGGAAUGAUCAAAUUUACAAUUAAGGAUUAUAAAUUUAUUUAAUUCCAAUCUUCUACCUUUUUUUUAAGUUAUAAGAAUGGUUUUGCCUUAUAUUUUCUCCAAAUUGAGAUUUAAUUUAUAAUUUUAAUUUUGAUAUAAUUUAGUUUCUCAAUUUUUAUAAUACAAUUAAUUAGUUUAAAUACUUUAUUUUAAUCAAAAUGAUUAUAUUAAUUUUAAAGCAUUGUUAUCACUAUUAAAAUUCUUUACUAACAAUUAUUUAAAAUUAAGGUCUAUUGCUUUUGUUUUAGCUUACAUAUAGAUGUUUACAAUAUAAAAUUCUUUGUAAUUUUCAAUACAUAUUGCUUAAAUAAAUAGAAAAAGGAGUUUUAAUAAUGCACAACCAAAUAAUUUUUAUUGAUGUUAUAUUAUUUUGAUUUCUUAGACCUGUAUAUAGGGAAAAUAAAGUACUAUUGCCAUUUAAUCACUUUAAAACAAUUUUAAUGGGCUCUAGUCAUGCAAGAUUACCAUUAAAUUGAAUACUCAUAUAGAAGGAUUUAAUAUUUUUGUUUCUCAAAUCACAACUAAUAGUUAUUCAUAAUUUCUUAUUCAGUGUCAUUUUUAAGAUUGAUUAGAUGACAAAUUUUCAUGCCAAAGUUUUAUUUUUAUUUGAUUUAAAGUUUUACAAUAUUUAAAAAAUUAUAUAUUUUGUAAAUUUGAUAUUCAAUCAAUUUUAGAUGAUUUCAACCCAAGGCCUGAGCUAAGAAUAGUUUUAGUUUGGAGUACAAUAUAUAUACUAAAAGAUGCAAUUUUUACAAAUAACUUACAAAUCUAUGAUUAAAUCAAAUACUGGUAUGAAAUGGUUUAAUUAUUUGAUCAUAUUUUUCCAUGCUAAAAUUUUAUUUUUAUUUGAUUUAAAAUUUUACAAACUUUAUAUUGUGAAUUUGGUGUGCAAUGAAUAUGUGUACUAAAAGAUGUAAUUUUACAGGUAAUUUAUCACCCAUCACCAGUGCUGCAAAGCUUGAGAUUCUUUUAUUGUGGGGAAAUAAACUUAGCGGAAACAUUCCCAACUCUAUCUCCAAUGCUUCCAUGCUUAAGAAACUAGACUUGGCAGAUAAUUUAUUCUGUGGCCACAUCCCUAAAACGCUUGACAACUUAAGACACCUUGAAUGGUUCCAAAUUUCAAAUAAUAAUUUGAUCAGAGGACCUGCUACUGAUCAUGAGUGGACCUUUCUUUCUUCUUUGGCAAAUUGCAAGCAUUUGAGAAUAAUAGAUGUUUCAAGAAAUCCAUUGAGUGACGUUCUUCCAACUUAUAUCGGGAACUUUUCAAAAUCCCUUCAAUACUUUUAUGCCUCAAUUGUGAGAUUACAGACAAUAUUCCUAUGUAAAUAGGUAGCUUAAGCAACCUAUUGCUUUUACAACUUGGCUAUAAUAAAUUAAGCGGAUUUAUUCCAACACCAGUAGGAGGACUGCGAAUUUGCAAGGCUUACAACUUUCCUCUAAUAAAUUAGAGGGGCCUAUAUCAGAAAGCCUUUGUGGUUUGGAGAGAUUAUACUACUUGUAUUUAGGGCUGAUGGAUCCAUACCGUCUUGUUUGGGUAAUAUUUCUUCUUUGAGAUAUCUUUACUUAGAUUCCAACACACUGAGUUCUACAAUACCCUCAACUUUGUGGAAUCUUAAAGAUAUCUUAGAAAUAGAUUUAUCAUCAAACCAUCUUUACAAUUCACAUGCCAUUGAUGUUGGAGAUUUCAAAAGUCUACUAAAACUAAAUUUAUCAAGAAAUUUUAUCACUGGCGAUAUCUUAUCCACAUAUAGGGGUCUUCAAACUUUGAUUUCAAUAGAUUUAUUAAAUAAAAUACUACAUGGUCAUAUCCCUAGAUCAUUAGGUGGUUUGAUUAGUUUGGAAUUCUUGAAUUUAUGCAAUAACAAUCUCUCUGGAGCCAUUCCCAAAUCUUUGGAAAAGCUUUUAGAUCUAAAGUAUUUUAUUGUGUCUUUCAAUAGACUUGAAAGGGAAAUUCCCACCGAAGGAUGUUUUUCAAACUUUUCUAGCACAUCAUUCAUGAAGAAUUUUGCACUUUGUGGUCCACCUAGAUUGCUAGUCCCACCUUGAAAAAAUGACAUCCAAGAAAACUCCCAAAUGAAUAUAUUGCAUGCUUUAAGGUAUGGUUUACCAACAAUUGGUAUUGUCGCAGUGCUAAUACUCUUAACUAUUAUGUAUAGAAGAUGCCAAAGUAGGAGUACAACUCUACCAAUUCAGGAUGAUUUGUUGUCUUUGAAAACGUUGAGAAGAAUUUCACAUGCUGAACUUUCACAAGCAACUAAUGGAUUUGAGGAAAACAAUAUGCUUGGUUCAAGGAGUUUUGGAUAUGUAUAUAAAGAGAGAUUUUCAGAUGGAAUGGAAGUUGCAAUAAAAGUUUUCAAUUUGCAAACAGAAGAAGCAUUUAGGAGUUUUUACAUUGAUUGUGAUGCUAUGCGUAAUAUAGAUCAUCGUAAUAUUGUGAAGGUCACUACUUGCUGCUCAAGUGUUGACUUCAAAGCCUUGGUGCUUGAUUACAUGUCUAAUGGAAAUAUUGAGAAAUGGUUAUAUUAUUAAAACUAUUUCCUUGAUAUCAUACAAAGGGUUGACAUAAUGAUAGACGUUGCGGCAGCUAUAGAACAUCUCCACAACGGGCAUCCAACACCUAUAAUUCAUUGUGACUUAAAACCAAGCAAUAUUUUACUAGAUGAAGACAUAGUUGCACAUGUGGGAGAUUUUGGCGUUGCCAAAUUGUUGGGAGAAUGUGAUGUAAUGAAGCAGACCAUGACUCUUGCAACAAUCGGGUAUAUGGCACUAGGUGAAUUCUUUUAUUUUUGUAUGAUUAUUUUUCUAAUAUGCAUUUUAUAUUUUGUUUCAUGUGUAUGUGGAUAUAUAUUUGAAUAAUCAUUUUAGAAAUAACUAAAGAUUAAUGAUGCACUAAUUUUACUUGAAAUGCAAAAUUUGGAUCAACGGGAAUUGUUUCUAUAAAAUGUGACGUCUAUAGUUAUGAGAUUGUCCUUAUACAAACUUUCACAAAGAAAAAGUCAACUGAUAAUCUUUUUGCUGAAGAAGUGACUAUAAAGCAUUGGAUGGAAAGUUCAUUGCCAAAGGAGCAUGAAAAUCCCCAAAACCUAAAUUCUUUCCUUCUAGCAAUGAAGAGAUGGUGAGGGGAAGGGGACAAAAUCACGUCAAACGAAAAGAAAAAGAAAAGAAAAAGAACAAAAUUAAAUUUGACGUGAAAAUUGUUUUAAUACUUUUAAUUUGAGUUGGAAAAGGUUAAUGACGUGGCAUAAAAUAAUUGGAUAGGACCAUAUUUGAGGUAGUGGGAAAGGUCCAUGAAACAAAUUUUCUAUGUUAUCAAAUAUAUGAAUGAUAGUUAUUGGGAUCAAACUAAUGAUUUUGAGGAUGAUAAUGGUUAAUUUGGUGCUGAGGGUGGAAAAGAAACAAAUAAUUCAUUAUAUGUAAUAUAAUUAUGCAAUUCAAGUAAUAUAUAGUAAGUUUCAUACAAGGUUCAAAGGCAAUUAAAUGACUUGUAAGUUUGUUGAAUUUCUUUAAAACGCCCAAAGGCAAUUGAACAUUUACAAAAUAGUCUCUAAAUACUAUAGACACAAAUCAAAUCCAUGGGAGCAUUACAGUUGGUUAAAUUGAUUAAAUUGAGUAUUGGCAGAAAUUCCAUCAUAGGAAAUAUUGGCAAAAUCGUGUAUUGAAUUAGAAAAACAACAUAAUCCAUGAAACAUAGAUAGCCCAAUACAAAUGUCAUCGAGACAAAAAGUCUUUUUGUUUUAUAGCACAUGAUAGUAAAGCAUGCGAAGUUUCAUUUUCUUAUUGGCCUUCUUUAGUUUUCCUUGAUCAUCAACCACUAGCCAAAAACACAAUUAGAUUAGAUUAUAAAUGAAAUAUUCAAUUAUGAUAAAAUUAAAUAGAAAACGCCCUAAAUAACUCUAAAUAAAUGAAAAGUAGCAAAUUACCUGGUGAGACAAACUAGCUCAAUUAAAACCAUUGUGUUAGACUUGUCUAUGCAUUAAACAAUCUAAAAGGAAAUGAAGAAAAAGACUCAGAAAACACUUGAAAAUUGACAAAAUUUAUAUUCCAUUGACUGGUUAAACUAUGAUCACCCAUAACAGACCUUGUAUUUGAGUUUUUGUUGAGGGAGAUCAAGUCCUUCAAAAUAUGUCUUCUGAGUGCUGUUUGCUAGGUAAUCGCUGCUACCCUUAACAACUAAAGAUAUUAAUGUCCCCAUGUCAAGAUUUUAUCUCAGCCUUUACGGAAUAAUCAUGGAGAUUACAAGUGCAAGGAUUCAAACCACCAACCAAUGCAUAUGUAGCAUUUACCUUGGAUCCAUCUCCAUGAACCCACAAGGUUCUUCGUGGAAUCAAGAGACAAAACCCCAACACAAGAAUAAUACCAUCUAUUGAGGGUCCGUUAACACAACAAAUGAAAUUCAUACAUUUUUUUAAUCAAAGUAAAUAUCAUAUAUAAUUGGGGGAAAGCAACAAUAAAAUCCUUAGCAAAAGAUUAAAACACAGUUAUAUCGUAAAUGACAUAAGAAACCAAGAAAAUCCAAUCUAACAAAGAAAAUAACUUGAUACUCCAAAGCUACCAUAUACCGUAAUUCAUGGGAAGGUCUGAUGCUUAGUUUAUUGGUUUCCAUCUUGAUUUUGCAAAAGAUGUUUGAAUUCUGAAGAGAGCAAAUGAUUGAGCGAAAGAAAAAAAAAUAAGAAAAAAAAAUGAUUGAGCAAAUGAUUUUGCAGUCUCCUCGGUAGUGGUAUAAAAAUUUUGACUCCUUCAUGUUGAGUACUAUUUUUUCUCGAAUUAAGUAUGACAGUUAUGUUUACCUAUAAUGUCUUGAUGGUGGUUCUUUUAUAUAUUUGUUUCUUUAUGUUGAUGAUAUGUUAAUUGCAACUAAAAAUCCAUUUGAAAUUGAUCGUUUUAGAUCAUGCUUAGCUCUAAGUUCGAUAUAAAGGAUUUACGUGCAGCAAAGAAAAUUUUGGGGAUGGAAAAUUUGAGAGAUAGACAUUUUGGGAAAUUAUUUUUAUCGCAAUAAAAGUACAUCAUGAAGAUACCCAAGUGAUUCGAGAUGCAAGAUUAAAAACUGGUAAGUAAACCUUUAACUGCACACUUUAAACUCUCAAUUUCAGAUUCCCCACAGCAUGAAGAAGAUGAAAGGUACAUGUCAAAAGUACCUUAUUCAAGCACAGUUAGGAGUUUGAUGUAUGCAAUGGUAUGCACUCGUUCCAAUAUUUCAUAUUUUGUUAGUGUUGUUAGUCGAUACAUGGCCAAUCUCAGUACACUGACAUGUAGUUAACUAGAUUUUUAAAUAUUUGUGGGGUACUUCUAACAUGUGCUUAGAUUUCGAAAGAAAUCAAAAGGGUUUAGUCGGAUAUAUUGAUUCAGAUCAUGCAAGAGACUUAGAUCGAAAAAGGUCUCUCAUAAGUUACCUAUUUACUUUUGGGAAUUGUGUUGUUAGUUGGAAAGCUACACUACAAUCUAUAGUGGCUUUGUUAACCAUCGAAGUAGAAUACAUGGAAAUUAUUGAAUCAGUAAAAGAAGCAAUUUGGUUAAAUGACCUAUUUAAUGAACUAGUAAGUUAAAAAGGGGCAACUGUCGUAUAUGAUGAUAGUCAAAGUGUUAUUCAUCUCACCAAAGAUCAAAUGAUCAUGAAAGAAUGAAGCAAAUAGACAUUCGUUAUCACUUUGUUCAAUAGGCGAUAAUUUAAGGAAUGCUCAGAUUUUUAAAAUUGACACAAAAAAUAAUCCGACCGACAUAUUAACAAAAAGUCUUCCAAUUUCAAAGUCCAAGCAUUACUUGGACUUGGUAAGUAUUUGACGAAGAUUCAAGUAGGCCCGUAACAAGGCUUGGAAAAAGAGUUAAGUCAAAUACGAGUUAAGGUGGAGAUUUGUGGAGUUAUGCCUCACAUUUUUGGAUCAAACAGUGUGUGAUGUCGCAACGAGGAAGUGUUCUUCGUCUCAACAAACAGUUGACGUCACGACGAGAAGAGAGCUUUUGUCUUGAUGACACGAUGACCCUUCGUCUUGACAACACAAUGCCACAUCACGACGUGGCGACAUGUACCUCAAGUUUUUCGGCUUUCUUCUCCUAGUUAAACUCUAUUUUUAGUUUUCCAUUUAAACUUUGAUUAACCUAGGGUUGUUGUACUCAUAUAUACUACGAAUUUCAGCUUAUAAAUAGGCAUUAGUUACUCUAUGUUUUAUAUAACAAAAAUAUUUAAAUUGAAAGAAUUAUGUUCUUUGUUUUGUAAGGUUUAUUCUUGCGGGGCCUUUGGGUUUUCCUUUAACUCUCUCUAUCUUUUAUACUCUCCUUUAUUAUAGUGAAAUCUCCUUUUGCCUAUGGUUUUUUAUCCUCUUUUGAGGAGCUUUUCCACGUAAAAUUUGUGUGUUUGAUCUUUUAGAUAUUAUUUUUUUCACUUGUUCGUUGCAUACACGGGUUAAUUUUGAACAAAAUAUUUCACAUAUUAGUUAGUUUGUCUUUAAAUCUACUUCUUGGCAACUUAUUUUGGAUCAAUUUUUGCAUGUCCGUGAAAUAACCAAGAAUUUAGUGUUUGUUAGUAAAUUUGCUAGAGAUAAUUUGGUGUUUUUCGUGUUUUAUCCCACUCAUUUCUUUAUUAAGGAUGAGACUAUCGGUGAGGUUCUUCUUUGAGGUCUUGAAAAAGAUGGAUUGUGUACAAUUCUUACUGAUGAGUGCUAUCAUGAAGUUGUUUCUGAUUGCAGGUCUCUGUUACCUUUGGCAUCCACUCAACAAGUUUAUUAUACUCACACUAGCGAUCUUGAAGAUCAAUCUCGUGUUUCAAAAUACUAGUUGUGACAUUAAUGUCUCGACCAUCCAGCUAAACGUGUCUAGAGCGUGGUCUUAUCCUCUUGUAAUAAAAUUAUUCAUGAGAAUCAUGAAUGUUCUUUUUUGUACUGCUACCAUGUUGGCAAAAUUCAUAAAUUAUUUUUUCUUCAUCAAACGUUGAGUAUCAGAAACUCAGUUUACAGAAACAAGGUUUCGAGACCACUUUUUUUGAUAACUACUGAAAAUCGGGUCGUUACAAAAAAUACAAAAGAAGAAAAAACAUGUUUAGACAAGCCAAGAGCCUUUGGCUUUGCUCCAACAAUAGGAGACAUAAGAGUUGUGUUAUCAAAUAGAUGAAUGCCAAUCAUUGCGAUCAAACCAGUGAUUUUGAUGAUGUUAAUGGUUAUUUUGGUGGAGAGGUAGGAAAUUAAUCAUUAUAUAUAAUAUAAUUAUGCAAUUCAAGCCCUAUAUUGUAUGUUCACACAUAAAAAUUUCAUGGGAGGUCCAAAGUCAAUUAAAUGACUUGUAUGCUUGCUAAAAAUUUUUGAAAGGACCAAAGGCAAUUGAACAUUCAUAAAAUAGUCUCCAAAUACUAUAAAGACAAAUAAAAUCCACAUGAGCAUUAGAGUUGAUUAAGCUGCGCAUUAGCAGAACUUCCAUCAUAGGAAAUAUUACUUGGCACUUGGUAGUAUAUAUGUAGACUUUGACUUUGCAUUCAAUAUUGGCAAAAUCACCUCUUGAGUUAGAAAAACAACAUAAUCCAUGAAACAUUGAUAGCCCAAUACAAAUUUCAUGUAGAAAAAAGUCUUUGUUUUGUAGCGCAUAAUAGUAAAGCAUGCGAAGUUUUAUUCUUCUUAUUGGCCUCCUUUAGUUUUCCUUGAUCAACAACCACUAGCCAAAAACACAAUUAGAUUAGAUUAUAAAUGAUACCUUCAAUUAUGAUAAUAUUAAAUAGAACACACCCUAAAUAAAUCUAAAUAAAUGGAAAGUAGCAAAUUACCUGGCAAGGCAAGGUAGCUCAGUUAAGACCAAUGUGUUAGAAUUGUCCCUGCAUUGAACAAUUUAGAAGAAAAUGAAAAGAAACACUCAGAAAACUCUUGAAAACAGAUUAAACUUAUAUGUCAUUGCUUGGAUAAACUAUGAUUACCCAUAACAGACCUUGUAUUUGACUUUUUGUUAAGGGAGAUCAACUCUUCAAGAGAAGUCUUCUAAGUGUUAUCUGCCAGGUAGUUAACGUUGCCCUCAACAACAAAAGGUAUUGUCCCCAUGUCGAGAUUUUAUUCCUAGCCUCUAUAGAAAAAUCAUGAAGAAUAUGUGCUAAGGGAUUCACACCACCAACUAAUGUAUAUGUAACAUUUUCCUUGCAAUCAUCUCCGUAAACCCAUAGAAAUCUUUGUGGAAUCAAGAGACAAAACCCUAACACAAGAAUAAUACCAUUUGUUGAAGAGUCUGUCAAAAUAAUAAAUGAAAUUUAAAUACAUAGUUUUUUUAAUGAAAGAAAAUAACUUAUUUAAUUAGAGAAAAACAACAAAAGAUCCAACAAUAAAGUCCUUAGCAAAAGAUUAAAACAAAAUUAUACCGUAAUGAAAUAAGAAACUAAGAAAACCAAAUCUAACAAAGAAAAUAACUUGAUGUCCCAAAGCUACCAUAAACCGUAAUUCAUGGGAAGGCCUGCUACUCAUUUUAUUGGUUUCCAUCUUGAUUUUGCAAAUAAGUUUGAAUUCCGAAGAGAGCAAAUGAUUGAGCAAAAGAAAGAAAAUUAGUUUAUUAUUUUUCACUAUUUAUAAGACAAUCUUCAAGGAGACUGAUACCGACAUAUUUGAUAUCUAUAAUUAAACUGCUAGAAUAGAUUAAAAAUGUUGAUAAAAUUAAGUGUGAAUUAAUAACCACAAGUGUACUCAUUACUCACCAUCUUUGUUAAACAUGUUUGAUGUUGUUUAGCAACCUCUGUUUGAUCUUCUUUAGCUCAACCACAACAUCUUUCAUAUCUUUUCUUUCUUCUGGUAAUUCAGUUGAACAAUUCAAAGCCAACUCCAUGAUGGAUGAAAUACAAUUUGCUUUAACAAUAAAGAACUCAUCCUCUCUUUUUAAUAAAUCAACAUCUGCAAUUUCUACCGCUCCUUUAGGCAAUGAACUUUCCAUCCAAUGCCUUAUAGUCCUUUCUUCAGCAAAAAAAUUAUCAGUUGGCUUCUUCUUUGUGAAAGUUUCUAUAAGGACAAUCCCAUAACUAUAGACGUCACAUUUUACAGAAACAAUUCCUGCAGAUCCAAAUUCUGCAUUUCAAGUAGAAUUAGAGCAUCGUCAAUCCUUAAUUAUUUCUAAAGUGAUUAUUCAAAUAUAUAUCCACCUACGCAUGAAACAAAAAUAUAAAAUGCAAAUUAGAAAAAUAAUAAUACAAAAAUAAAAAAUUCACCUGGUGCCAUAUACCCAAUAGUUGCAAGAGUCAUGGUAUGCUUCAUUAAGUCACCUUCUCUCAACAAUUUGGCAAUGCCAAAAUCUCCCACAUGUGCAACCAUGUCUUCAUCUAGUAAAAUAUUGUUUGGUUUUAAGUCACAAUGAAUUAUAGGUGUUGGAUGUCCAUUGUGGAGAUGUUCUAUAGCUGAUGCAACAUCAAUCAUUAUGUCAACCCUUUGUAUGAUAUCGAGGAAAUGGUUUUUAGAAUGUAACCAAUUCUCAAGAUUUCCGUUAGACAUGUAAUCAAGCACCAAGGCUUUGAAGUCAACACUUGAGCAGCAGGUAAUGACCUUCACAAUAUUACGAUGAACUAUAUUACGCAUAGCAUCACAUUCAAUGUCAAAACUCCUAAAUGCUCCCUCUGUUUUCAAAUUGAAAACUUUUAUUGCAACUUCCAUUCCAUCUGGAAGCCUCCCUUUAUAUACAUAUCCAAAACUCCCUGAACCAAGCAUAUUUCUUUCCUCAAAUCCAUUAGUUGCUCGUGAAAGUUCAGCAUGUGAAAUUCUUCUCGGUGUUUUCAAAGACAACAAAUCAUCUUUAAUUGGUAGAGUUGUACUCCUUCUUUGGCAUCUUCUAUACAUAAUAGUUAACACUAUUAGUAGUACGACAACACCAAUUGUUGGUAAACCAUACCUUAAAGCAUGCAAUAUAAUCAUUUCAGAGUUUCCGUGGAUGUCGUUUUUGCAAGGUGGGACUAGCAAUCUAGGUGGACCACAAAGUGCAUAAUUCUUCAUGAAUGAUGUGCUAGAAAAGUUUGAAAAACUUCCUUCAGUAGGAAUUUCCCCUUCAAAUCUAUUGAAAGACACAUUAAAAUACUUUAGAUGUAAAAGCUUUUCCAACGAUUUGGAAAUGACUCCAGAGAGGUUGUUCUUACAUAAAUCCAGGGAUUCCAAAUUAAUCAAACCACCAAAUGAUUCAGGGAUAUGACCAUGUAGUUUAUUAUUUGAUAAAUCUAAUGUAACCAAAGUUUGAAGACUCCCAAAUGUGGAUAAAAUAUCGCCCAUGAGAAGAUUCCUUGAUAAAUUUAGUUUCCCUAGACUCCUCAAAUUUCCAACAUCAAUAGCAUGAGAAUUGUGAAGAUGGUUUGAUGAUAAAUCUAUUUCUAAGAUAUCUUUAAGAUUCCACAAAGUUGAGGGUAUUGCCGAACUCAAUUUGUUGGAAUUUAAGUAAAGAUAUCCCAAAGAAGUAAUAUUACCCAGACAAGAGGUUAUAGAUCCGUACAGCUUAUUCAACCCUAAAAACAAUUUGUAUAGACUCUCCAAAUCACAAAGGCUCUCUGAGAUAGGCCCUUCUAAUUUAUUAGAGGAAAGAUCUAGACCUUGGAGUUUUCGCAGUCCUCUUAUUGAUGUUGGAAUAAAUCCACUUAACUUAUUAUAGUCAAGUUCUAAACGCAACAUGUUGCUUAAGUUACCUAUUUCCAAUGGAAUAUUGCCCAUAAUCUCACAAUCAGAGGCCACAAAGUCUCGAAGGGAGUUUGAAAGGUUCCCGAUAUAAGUAGGAAGAACACCACUCAAUGGAUUUCCUGACACAAUUAUUCUUUUCAGAUGCUUGCAAUUCGCCAAAGAAUAAAGAAAGGUCCAGUCAUGAUCAAUAGCAGAUCCUGCAAUCAAAUUAUUGUUUUGGAUAUGAAGGCAUUCAAGGUAUCUUAAGUUGCCAAGCAUUUUAGGGAUUGGGCCAGAAAAUAAGUUAUUUCCCAAGUCUAGUUGCUUAAGCAUGGAAACAUUGGAGAUAGAGUUGGGAAUGUUUCCGCUAAGUUUAUUUCCCCACAAUAAAAGAUUCUCAAGCUUUGGAGCAUUGGUAAUGGGUGGUAAAUUACCUGUAAAAUAGCAUCAUACAUUAAAAAUGAACUCCUAAGUAUUGUUAGCCCAAGCCUUGUGUUGAAAUCAUCUUUACUUUCUAGAUUUAAAAUUGAUUGAAUAUCAAAUUUAAAAAUAUAUAAUACAUUAAUAAUUUUUUUAAAAUAUUGUAAAUCUUUAAAUCAAAGAAAAAUAAAAGUUUAAGAUGAAAAUGUGGCAUCUAAUCAAUAUUCCUUUAUUUUCCUUAUAUAAAACUUUUCUCUAUUUUUUAAUUAAUAUGUAUUGAAAAUAAAAAAAAAGAAUUUUAUAUUGCGCAGCUCAUUAAAAAAUUAAAAAAAUCAGAUUUUUUUUAUAAAAAUGUAAGAAAUGUUUUAAAAAAUUUAAAAAUAAGAAAAAAUACAUAAACCGUAAAAUAAAUAUAAAGAAUACUAAAAAAAUGUAAAAAAAAAUUCUCAGCUCUAUAAUAGUGCAGUUUUUAGAAAAUAAAAUGCAAAAAGAAAACCCGAAAAAAUAGGGAAAAUCAGAAAAACUUAAAAAGAAUCAACAAACUGCGAAGAAGGUGAGUUGUGGACUGAAAAGAUCAAUUUGAAAAAGGUUUCGGGCUUUCGGCUUAAUUAAAUAAAGUAAAUUAAAAUGCCAAAAAGCAGAGAAAGAAAAAUACUAUUCAUUGUUAAAGUCCAAGUUGGUAUAAUUAAUAUCUAAGUUUCGUGUUGGAUUAAUUAUUUAUUUUUUAAUUAAAUUAUAUUGUAAAUUUUAAAAGCUAGAAUUUACUUAAAAUUUUUGAACUCUUCAUGUGUUAGAAAUUUAAUUUCUGUACUUCUAUCUUUUAGAAUUUAGUCCCUUUAUUCUUUGAAUUUAAUUAAAAUUUUAAGUUCAUUUGUUAAUAAUGUUAAAUAGUUUUUGUAUUGGUAUGACAUUUUGAAAAGCUAAAAUGAAAAUGGAAAAAAUAAUAUAAAAUAUUUACAAAAUUAUUAAAAUUUUUAAAAAUAGAAAAAAUCUAAAAUUAUAAAAAUUAAAAGAAUAUACUAAAAAAUUAAAAAUAUAUUAGAUAUUUUAACAUUUUUGAAAUUUUUUAAAUGGCAAGAGUUUGAACAUGUGAUCAUUGUGUCUUGGAAGGAUACCACCUAUAACAAUUGUUUUUUUAAUUCAAUUAAUCAAAAUUUAUAAUUGGUACAUCUUAUUAGGUGAUAAAUUUGGAUUAGUCUUUUAUUUUCAAUUUAUUUAAAUAAUAAAAAUAAUAUUAUGUAAAAUAAAUAAUAUUUUAAAUUAUUCCAAAUAUUUUUUACUAGUUGAAGAUAGAUUGUUUGUCUCUAAACCAAUAUCUUAAGAACUAUUGUUGAAUGUUUGACUAUUCUAAAGAAUUUUGGUACAAAACAGAAAAAGCAUGUGCACGAAGGUGGAUGAAGAAAGCUUGCUCUAGAUAUUAAAUAGGGAGUCAAAUCAAAUAAACACGUUACUAGUAACACUAGUAAAACGCUAAAACUUGAUGUAGUUUAAAAUAUUAAAAUGUUGAUAUAAGAAUUUAUUAAAUAUUUUUUUAUAAAAAUUGGUUGUAUUAUAAAAAAACAGUUAUAAUAUCAAAUUUUUAAUAUUUUAAAUGUGAUUAACGAAUGUAUACUUUAUUUCAAGAUACACAAUUUUUACUAGUUUUUAAAAUUUUUUAUUUUUUAUAAUUUUUAACAAUUUCUAAUAAUUUUUAUAGUUUUUAAUAAUUUUAUUUUUUUACAAUUUUUUAAAAAAAUUAAAAAAUUUGUAAUUUUUAAAAAUUUAUAGAUUUAUAAUUUAGUUACUUUUUUAUAAUUUUAUUUGAAUAUAUAUAUAUAUAUAUAUAUAUUUAAAAUUUUUGGUUUCUUUUUUCUAAAUGAUGAUGCCAUCGUGACGUCGGGACGUGUAUCACAUGGCAAUUUAUGAUUGGUUGGAUAUCCCAACCAAAUUUUUUAAGGACCAAAGGAUUGUGUCGGAAACACCUGGUUAUGUUGGGGACUAUAUUAGAAAUGUUUGAUAAUGUUAGGGACUAAAAUGAGUCAAAAGACUUUAAGGACCAAAGUGAGAAAAGCAGCAUACUUUAGAGACUAAAGUGUGCAUUAAGCCUUUAAAAAUAUAUCUAUAAUAUAUAUAAAUUUAUGAGUUUUGAGAAGCUUUUGAUAUGAUAAUUAUAUAGUCUUUGUUGUUUAUUAUAUUACUGAUAUUUUAAACAUUUUUUAUUAUUUAUCAAAUUUAUAAAUAAGAAUUUUGGUUUUACUAAAAUAUUUGAUUAAAUAUAUUUAUGAAAAAUUUAGCAUCCUUAUAAAUAAAAAUUUCCAUUCUAUUAAAAAAAUUAUUAAAAAAUUUAUAUAAUAAAAAUUUAAAAUUCAUAUUGAAUUACUUUAUAUGUAAAUUAUUACUAGAAAUUCUAUCAUAAGUAUAUGCGUGUAAGAACAACGUGUUUCGAAAACAUAUUUGUGUUUUAAAAUAAUAUACAAUAAGUAAUCAAAUCACUGAUUAAUACUAAUAAUAAAUGACAUAUGUAAGAUAUUAAAAUAAAAAAUUGAUUAAAUUGCAAGUAAAACGAAAUUUAAACAUAUGAAUACGUCAUAUUAAUAAUACUAAUUGAAUACAAUUAUUUAUUAUGGUGUUGUUGUCAAUACUAAGUUGGGGUCUAGUUAAAUUGUGACAACUUUUAAUCAACAACAUUAAUGUAUAUAAUUCAUGGAGGUAAUAAAGUGUGCAUAAUAAUAAUAAAAUGUAUAAAAAAUUUAAAAUAAAAUUUUGGUUUUACGUAUUGAUGUGGGUUUAAAUCUCACCAUAAACAUUUUUAUUUUGUUUUUUUAAAUAAAAACUGAAGUACCCUCAAACAAUAUAACUUAUUUUAAAUAAGAAAUGAUAUUUUUGCAAUUUUUCUAACCGAGUUGAUACUCUAUUGACUUAUGACACCAACUCAACCAAAAGCUUAAAUAAUAUUAUAGUUGUUCAUUACUUUAAUUUUAAAGAGCAAAUUUUAAUUAUUUAUAUAACAAAUAACUUUAUAAUUCAUAUAUAAAUUUUAUAAGUAAUAUAUUUAUAUAUUUAUAUAUUUUAAUCAAAUUUAUUAUAUUUUUAUUAAGUAUAUAUCAUCUACAAAUUUUUAAGAUCAAUUUAUUGCCUAUCAAGAAAAGAAAAAAUUGAAAUUACAAAUAUAUCGAUUUUUAUAUUUUGUACGGAUGCUUUCAUGAUGAUAAAAAAAAUUUAUUAGCACUGUUUUUGAAUUAACAAAAAUAAAUUAUAUUUUUUAACUAUAUUUUGAACUAUAUUACUAUUUUUUAAUUACAUAAACUAAAAUUAUAUUAGAUAUUAAAUAUGGUGCAUAUGCUUUAAUUAUGACUUGAAAUUUUAUUAUUAUAUUUGAAAUAUUAAAUAAAUUAAUAUUUUAAUUAGAUUCAACCAUUUGAAUAAUAAAUUAAAAAUAAUAAUCAUAAUAAUUUAAACUUAAUUAAAAAUUAAAUGGUUAAAAUCAAGUGUCAAUCUAUAUAAAUGGGAAUUAAAAAUUUUAAGAUAAAUCAAUUCAUAUAAAACUUAUUGUUUAUUAUGAAAUUAAAAUGAUAAAGUAAUGACGAAAAAAGAAGAAACAAAUUAAACAGAAUGCAUUUUGGACUUUGGAAAAAAACAAAGUGAAACACAUACCUUCUAAACUGUUGUCAUUUAGAUAUAUUCCUUGGAGCAUAGUUGAAUUAAAAAUACUUUUUGGAAUCAGCCCACUGAAUUGAUUUGCUGCUAAAUCCAAAAUCUGAAGCUUGUAACAUUCACCCAUACGUGAUGGAAUAUUACCAGAUAAUUCAUUAUGUUCCAAGACAAGCCAUUCAAGCAUGGGACAAUGGUGACACAAACCAUUAGGUAAACUACUUGAUAGACUAUUGUUGGAGAGAAAAAUAGUCUUUAGAGAAGAAAUGUUGAAGAUUGGAGUCGGAAUCUGACCUGCAGACAUAAUCGAAAAAUCAAGGUGUUAAAACUGCCUAUUUUGUUAGCAUAAAUUACAGAGGUUUUCUUUUUCUGUUCUACAGUAAUUUGGAGAUGUUAGAUUUUAAUAUAAUUAAGCAUAUUUUUUUUAUCAAAUUAACUAUUUUGCUUUGAAUGAAAUAAAAAAAUCUCACUUCUGUAAUCCAUUACAAAUCAAACUCUUUUAUAAAAAAAAAUACUUUAAACUAAAGAAACCAAAGAAAUUCAGUACCUUCUAGGUUAUUCAUCUCCAAAUGUAAUUCUUCGAGUCGUGUCAGAUUUCCAAUACCUCUUGGAAUGAUCCCCGUAAAUUUAUUAUAGGACAAUGCCAAAAUUUGAAGGUUGUUGCAUUUGCCAAUACGUGAUGGAACGUUUCCAGAUAAUUCAUUCCGACUCAAGUAAAGCACUUCAAGCUUGGGUAAACGUUGACACAUAUCAUUAGGCAAACUACCUGAUAGGCUAUUGCUGAAGAGAGUAAUAAUCUUCAGGGAAGAAAUCCUGAAGAUUGAAUAUGGAACCUGGCCAGAUAAUUGAUUGAAUUGCAAGUUCAAGACCUCUAGAUUGGACAUGUUAACAAGUGUUUGAGGGAUUGUGCCUGUAAAGUUAUUGUUUUCCAUUUCCAGCCUUUGAACUCUUUGUAAGUUCCCAAGCCAUGCUGGGAUUUCCCCAUUAAGACUGUUGUAGCUUAACUGAAUGAUCCUCAAACGAUGCAAUUGGCCCAAUUCUUUAGGCAGAUAGCCAGAUAAAUUGUUGCUACUCAAGUCGAGAGAAAGUAGAAAUGAAAGAUUUCCAAGGUGUGGAGGGAUAGUACCCCUAAGAUUCAUGCUUGUAAGAUUCAAAGCUAUAACUCUUUUAUGGAUGAUGCCACAGGAAACACCAAUCCAAUUGCAAACAGAGGUAGAGGCCGUCCAAUUGUUUGCCAAGACAUUUUGAGGAUCGGCAAUGCGAUCCUUAAACUCGAGAAGCACAAACUGAUCGGAGUUGAGAUUCCUGGUUGUCAUAGCCAAGCAAACUACGGAACAUGGUAUGAAUAAACCUAAAAGAAGAUGGAAGCAAGUGUUGUAAUUCAUUAUUGCAAGACGAAAUGAGCCAAGAAAAUAAAAAAGUAGGGAAAGGGAACUUGAAUUGAUAAAGGGAAAAGUUGGAUGAUGAAGAAAAGCACUAAGGGCAUGCUUUAAUAUGCUUUAAUAUGAUGGAGACAACUACAAGCACUAAUAACAUAUUUUCACCUAAUAAAUUAUAAAAAAAUUAAAACAAAAUAAGGUUAAAAUUUUAACAUAUCUGUUAGAUAAAAUUUAAGAUUUAAUUAUUAAACUUGACAACUUAAAAAUUAAAUCUUAUUGUUUGAAUUUAAAAAUUUUAGUCCUACCAUAAAUAUUGUGAGCGUUUUUUUUUUAAUCAAAUUUUGUCAAGUUGACUUAUUAAUUAGGUUUCCCUCAUAUGAUGUGGUAUAUGAUUGAUAAAAAUAAACAUGUUAAGUUGAUAUAUUUUGACAAAAAACUACCAACGAUGAUAAUGAUUGGAUUAAAAUUUUUAAAUUAAAAAUUGUAGGGAUUAAAUUUAUAACUUUUAAAGUAUAAAGACUGAAUCUCAAAUUUUAUAGAAAUAUAGGGGCUAACAACAUUUUUUAGCCACCAAAUAAUAUCUACAAUUUUCACUUAAAACUACAUUGGACUUAAUUGGCUAAGGGUUAACAUAUCAAUUGAUUUAUGAGUUUCACACUUUUUUUUAUAAUGUUGUACUCUUGGUUUUUGUGCAAUGUGAUACACGUAUUUGGUAAAAAGUUAUAUAUUUUAAUACUUAAAAGAAAUUUUAGAGUUGAUUUAAUGGACAUUAAUUGUUAAUAUUAUUUUGAUAUUUAUAUGUAUUUUCAUUUUUAUAAAUACUAUUAAAAAUAUAUAUUUUUUAAAAUGAAUGCUAUUUAAAAACAUUAUUAAAAAAUAAUAUAUUAUAUGAAAGUUAAAAUGAUCUAAAAACAUAUUUUAAAAAUUUAAAUACUUUAUACAAUAUUUAAAACUGUUUAAAAAUUUCUAAACCCUAAAAAUCAAUAAAAUAUAAUUUUUCUAAAAAUUUAAAAAGAUAUAUAUUUAAAAUUUUAUAUGAAAUUUAAAUGAUUUUAACAGUAAUAUAUUUUAAAAAUGGUAGUAAUGUUAUAAACUUGAAAGAUUUUGUAAUUUAAUUACAUACAUUUUUAUAAAAAAAAUUUCUAACAUAUCAUUAUUUGCAUCUUGUUACAUUAAAGAAUUGAAGAUAUAUUUGAGUAGUUAGCCUUUUUUAGAGAACUAUACUUAGACAAUGCAGAUUAUUGAACUGUAUUAUAUCACUUGUUCAAGUAUUUAUUUAUAAAAUAAAAUAAUUAUAGCCUCUUAUAUUAACUGCAUGUAUCUAUUUUGCAUCUUUUAUUAUAAUAUGAUUUAAUAAUUAUAAUAUUUUUAUAGAAUAAUAUGCUUUAAAAUUUUUUUUACUCUUUAUAAAAUUUAUAAUAAACUUACAAAAUUAUUUAAUGAUAUUUAAUUAUCAACGGAAAAAUUAUAUCAUAUAUGUAAUAGGUCAAUUUAGCUCGGGCUCACAAAAAAAAUAAACCCAAAAUAAUAAAAUAAAGUCCAAGUCCAGUCCAAAAUUAUAUCAUUUGGCCCAAUCAGGAUGGCCCAUUACUUGAAAAGGUUGAAGGUCUAUCUACAAACUUGAUGCAUAUGGAAACAUAAUCUUCAAGGAUAUGCAAUCUUAGAUAUGAUAUGCAAUCUUAGAAGAUAUGAUUUUGUAAUCUUAGAGAAUUAAUUUGUAGAUACCCUUUAAUCUUAGCCGUUGAUGUAAUUGAUCUAUACCGUUGAAUUUGGGGAGGCUCAACUAUAUAUGAGGCCUUUCCCUUCAUUGUAAAACACUUCAUUGUAAAACACUUGAGUUUGGAGCAAUAAUAAUUCUUAAGAUCAUUCACUCAAAUUUCUACCUCUCUUGCGUCCUUAUUUUCUGUGGCUUGUUCUUAUUUUGUUCUUUGUUCAUCUUCUUUUCUUUUUAAGUUGCUUUCAUUUGAGUUGGAUUUUGGUGGAGGAAUUUCGUUGAGUCUUCAUGUUGUGAGAGUUAGCCUGACUUAAGCGUUUUUUAACCUUUUUUUAUUUAUCCAUUUAAUUUUUUAAUCAUUAAUUAUUCUUUUACUUUUAUUCAUUUAUUUAUCCAUCAACUUUCUUAUUUACAUAUUGUUCAUUCAUUUAACCAUUCUUAUCAUUCUUUUAUUUUCUUCCAUUAAUUAUAUAUUUUAUUUGUUUUUCAAAUUGCCCUUUUUUUAUCAAAGUUUUUAUGCAUCGUUUUAAUAUUGCGUCAAUUUUCCCCAAUUUUAAAAAAGAAAACUUUUAAAAAUAAGGCAAUAUUCGGUCUUUGGAGCUUUGAGAAAAUCGUGCCCUAACUUACUGGGUUUCAAUUUUUUUUCCACAUAACCGAAUAUCCUUUUUAAACUUUAAUGCAUGAGACAAGCUUAGUUUUGAGGGUUAAAAUGUCGUAUCCUAACUUACUGGAUGUGACAUCUUAUUACUUCGAGACAAAGAGGUCUUAACAUCAAUUCGAUUUAUUCAGGUUUUUAAAGAGGAUUGUAUUUUAAAAUCUUUUCAAAUUUUCGAUAUUAGGAAGUUAAUUAAUCAAUUAGGUACCAAUUUUUGGGCGUUACGAGGGUGCUAAUCCUUCGUCGUGCGUAACUGACUCCUGAGCUCGUUUUCUCGAAUUUUGUAGACCAAAAUUAUUAUUUUAAUAAAUCAAAAUGUUUUAUUAAAAUGAUUAAUCUCAAGGUGACCCGAUCACACCUCGAAAAAAGAUUGGUGGCGACUACAUUUUCGUUUUAAAAGUCGACCCCGUUUUUUAAAAUAAAAAAAUGGUUUCGACAGCUUGGUGACUCCUCUGAGGAUUGGUUUUGAGAGAGUAUCCACAAAUUGAUUAAUUUUUGUCUUUUUGUCGAAAAAUUAAAUUUUGUUUUAAAUUCACGAUUUAUCCUUUUGCAUUUUAUCUAUUAUUUUCAUGGUUUUAACCAUAGUGUCGUCCAAAUCUGUCAAUGUGUAUCUACAUUUUGCAUUGCAUUGGUUGGUCAAUUUUACCCCUCUAAGUGUGAGUGAGAAACUAGUUCUUCGUGAGGUUUUCACCUCCGUGCAGGAUAGUGGAUCACUUUCAGAAUACAUUUGUACCUAUGUCUUCGUGAGAUUUUCAUCUCCGUGCGGCCAUAGGGAAAUGUAUCCCCCUGAACUGAACUCGGUCUAUAUGAACCUAUAAUGGGUGAGGAUCAAGGAAUCUACUGGUUUGGAUACCUUUACCUUAGAAGCCAAACCUCAUAUAAUGAACUCUAGGAACUCACCUUAGGUAGAAUUACGUUGACCCUUAGUAGCUACCCGAGUAGGUGCUUGAUCAUUUCCUGUUUGUUUUUUAAUACCUGAUACUAACUUGUUGUGUUUCAUUUUGAUUGCAUGACAUUUUGACUGCACAACAUUUUGACUGCAUGACAUGCUCAUCAUAUGCAUAAAAAAGGUGUCGAUUCACAUUCAAUUACUAAAUAGAGAGCUUGCCAUGGAAAAUGAAUUUCUUGAUAAAAUGGAGGAUAAUACGACUCUCCUAAUAUGUUCUGAGAAAGCACAACGUGAGAAAGAUGAUAGACUGACAAAAGAGCAUACGACUUUGCUUUGUUGCGUGAGGAUACAAGUUGGUAAAAGUCAUCAAUAUCCCGACCCUUUUCUUAAAAGAAGCUAACAAGUAUCACGAUGAUGAGUGAGUAAUGAGUCGUGGCCCAGUUCGAGCAAAAAGAGCCAGUGAAGCAUCCGUUGGAAAAUUCGAAAGAUUUAUUUUAACAUUCGGAUGAAGAAAAAGGAUCGAUGUCCUCGCUUGGAGCAUGAGGGCAAAGCCGUAUAUAUAUCUGUUUUAUGUAAAGAAUUUUGUUUUCUAGUAAAGUUUUCUAAAUGGAAUUGAAUCAGAAUUGACACCUUUUUGCAUUCAUUUCAUGCAUUUGCAUUACAUGCAUUAAAGUCCACUAAAAGAGCCUAACUGAUCAAAAUUAUCUCAGUUAACCUGAAAACCAACCAACCAACCAAACACUGUUACGGUACUCGAGCAAGAACUAAAGACAUGGACCAGAGAUUGGAAAAACUUUAACAGUUCCAAAAGGAAAUGCAAGACUGACUUCAGCUACAAGUGCAAGAGCGGUUAGAUAAAAUUCAGCAAGAUAUGAUGGAAAAGAUGCUGGAGUCCCAAAGAAACGUGAUGACUUAAUUGACUCAAUUGUUGGCUGGGGAAACGAUAAGGGAAAGGGUCCUAUGGCUAAUACUGAAGAAGGAGAUGAUGAUGAACCUCUCUAUCCUCCAAGCUUCACUCCUCCACAUGUGCAGACCCAAGCUGAGAUGUACCCACACAAAUCCUCUGUCACAAUCAGGCCUCAGCAGUUUCAGGCUGGUGCAUCAAUGCUAAUGAACUUCCAAGUCAGAUCAGGCUCUAACCCUAGAGAGAACGCUAAUAAUCCUUCUAUCCCUGAUUUCGAUGAAGUGGCUGAAAAAUAAAAAAUAAAAGAGGAAUUACCAAAAUAGUUAGAGGAAAUGUGUAAAUGGCUUGAGGAAAAAUUUAGGGCAAUGGAAAGCACUGAGAACUACCAUGGGAUUAAUGCUAAAGACCUGAGCUUAGUCCUGGAUUUGGUACUCCCCUACAAGUUCAAAAUGCCAGAAUUUGAAAAAUACAAUGGGACCAAUUGCCCUGAAGUUCAUAUUACCAUGUUUUGUAGGCGGAUGGAUGGAUAUGUUAACAACGACCAACUGCUAAUACAUUGCUUCGAAGAUAGCCUCGCAGGGGCAGCAUCUAAGUGGUACAAUCAAUUGAGCCGUACCAGGAUUAGUUCAUGAAGGGAUUUAGCACAAGCAUUCAUAAAGCAGUACAGUCAUGUAACAGAUAUGGGUCCUAAUAGAAUCACCCUACAAAACAUGGGAAAGGAGCCAAACAAAAGUUUUAGGCAAUAUGCACAAAGGUGGAGGGAGGUUGCCGUCCAAGUUCAGCCACUACUCCUGGAAAAAGAAACUACGAUGCUCUUUAUUAACACACUAAAAGUCUUGUUCAUCACGCACAUGUUAGGAAGUGCCACAAAAAGUUUCUCAAAUAUAAUCAUGAAUGGCGAAAUGAUUGAAAAUGCCAUUAGAGGUGGAAGAAUAAACGAAGGAGAGAGUAACAAGAAGUCAGCCUCAGGGAGAAAAGAAAAUGAGGUGAAUAACACAGGUUACUCAAGAUCAGUUACUGUAAGCCAGCCAAGAAAGAUGGUUGCUAGUCAGCAAGCUCCAUCAAGGCAAGAUCUCGACACAAAGACUGAGAAGUUCCAGUUUACACCAUCUCAAUAUCGUAUAGGGAACUGUAUCAGAGUUUGUUUGAUGCACACGUUGUUUCUCCUUUUCACGUGAAACCUCUACAACCCCCAUACCCCAAAUGGUAUGAUGCAAGCGCCCAGUGUGAAUACCAUGCAGGAAUUACAGGGCACUCGAUAGAAAAUUGCACUGGCUUCAAAAAGCUAGUUGAAAGAUUCAUCAAUAUGGGCAUCGUCAAGUUCGAUGACUCAUCUAAUGCAAAAAAUUUGCUACCCAAUCAUAUGGAUAAUGGGGUGAAUGUGAUGUAUGAAGAAGUGUUGGGAAACAUUCACAUCAAUGCCAUAUAUGAAGACACAUUUGAAAAGGGGCCUUGUUAGAUAUCCACCCUUAUAAACUUGGGAGUGUUCUAAACAAUUGGACUGCAGAAGAAAUCCCUGUAGUAUUUAGAGCUUACUUAGAGUAAUAUUCAAAACACACUUGUUGCUUUAAAGCCUAGAGGCAAUAAGAACCCUGUUAUGAAAUAGGCUUGUGUUUAAAAUCUUUAUUUCAAUAAAAUGCAUCUUUUUGAGCAAACAUUCAUUCAUUCUUUUCAUUUAUAUAUUCUUUUUUUCCUUGGACUCUUUUAAAUAUUAUUUUAUUCUUCAUUCAUACAAAUAAUUGUCCUUAGACUUAUUUAUUCUAUAGAAUCAACCUUUGUACCUACAAUAAGUCUUCAAAUAUCAACAACAUGAGUGAUAUUGCUAUUGACUUAAAAUCUCCUUUCGAGUAAGAUAUGUGUCAGGGGAAUCUUAGGACUUUGAAUAUGACUGAGAUUGUAACCUAUCUCAUGAUUUGUUAAGAAUGGUAGAAAAAGAUGAAAAAUAGAUCCUACCUUACAAAAGUCAGUGGAUAGUGAGCGUAGGAGAAGAGAAAGAGAUUAGAGUUUGUCCAUCGAAAUAAAGCGAAACAUCACUAAAUUACUCCAAGAAUUCAAAAAUCUUUUCGCACGAUCAUACCAAGAUAUGUCUAGCUUACUAAGAAGUAUGGAUGCUGUUAAGGCUAAAAGGUCUAUAAAUGUGUCAGAAGAACACCUACUAAUGGUUUUACGAUAGCCACGUUAAUCACGAGGUUUCAGUACUGCUGGUCCACCAUAGAAGGGGAUCACAUCAGUUAUACCAUAAAUACCAAUUUGAGGAAGAUAAAACCUAUGUGCCUCUUCCAUUUCUUCACAAAUUUUCCAUAUGUAGGGCAUGGAUGUGAUUGGGCUAAUCUCGUCAAAAGUUUUUAGUCAAGAUCGAUUCAUCUUUGUGGUCUUCGAUUAUUUCGCUAAGAGGGUCGAAAUAGCUUUAUAUCCCAAUGUUACAAGGUCAAAGUCAUUAAAUUCUAAUUUCAAAAAAAAAGAAAAAGAUCCGACGCCGAUAAAGAAUGCCAAAAAGGACAAUGUCAAAAGUUUGUAGUCUAUUCAAAGAUUAGAUGCCAUAGGCAACCAAAAAAUAAAAAUAAAACAAGGAUUGUGGGAAAGAUGACCGAGACUUGUAAAGAUUGGUAUAAAGAAGUUACCAUCUACGCUCACCAAAUUCGACCAGGACCUUUCCUUGGGCAACACCUGGCCCAUUGGUUUGUGUAAUGUUGAACCCAAUCAAAGAAAAAAGGGUUAAAAGCUAUCCAUUACAGUCAGAUGAUGCGAGCUUACAACAAAGAGGUUCAUCUUAGAGAAUUCCAUGAGGGGGACCUAAUGUUAAAAAAGAUCCUUCUUAUAGAAAAGGAUUUUAAAGGAAAGUGGGUUCCAAAUUGGGAAGGGCCUUGUGUUGUAAAGAAGGCCUAUUUUGGAGGAGUAUUUUUAUUGACCGAGAUGGAUGCCAAAGACUUGCCCAAUUUAGUGAAUUCAAAUUCAGUCAGGAAGUAUUUUACCUGAAAGGGGAGAAGCCAAGGUGAAAACCUACAAAGGGCGCCUUGAGAAAAAAAUAAAAAAUCAAAAAAAAAGAGAAGAAAGAAAAAGAGGAGAGGCCAAGGCGAAAACCCGCAAAGGGCGCUUUGAGACCAAAGGGGUUUUGAGUUGAAACCUGAAAAGGGCAGCUUAAAUUUUGAACGAAAAUGGGGCAUGUGGUAGUCUUGCUAUGCCUGAAUUAACAAUAAGGAAGUAUGCUACAUCUUAGGGCAUUGACAAAGUACUCCAGAUCCCCUAAACACAUAUUAAGCUCAAAAUGGUCCUCAAAAAGUUCAUACAGAGAAGUUUAGGCUACAAUAUCUACGGCACCUAGUUUUCCAUCUUACCCAUUUUUGAAUUUGCUAUCUUUGAUUACCUUAUUCUUUUCAAGAUACGCCCCAAUCAAUUUCUUUUUAUUGCCUUGGUUAUCUUUGAUUAAUUUAAUUAUUUUGAGCUAUGCUCCUAAUUAAUUUUCUUCUUGUCCAUUAUUAUAAUAUUUUUUAAGCAUUUUAUAUUGAAAUAAUGAUUAAUGGACUAAUAAUACUUUCAUAAAAAGAGUUUUGCAUAUUACUCUGGAAGCUUCUAAAUAAUACGAGAAUUUGAAAUAGGACUAUUGUUUAGAACUCACUAAGCUUAAGGGUUGGAAAUAUUGAAAGAUGAUUAUCUCUUUGAAUAUUUUUGUUGAACAAAAAGACAAGACAUUUCGUCGGUGAUAUCAUCUCGACAAAUAACGAGCAAUGUCAACUCAAAUGUAAAAGGGGAUCAUUUUCGGGAAAAGAAAAAUGAUACUCUACAUUCAUGAAAAUUUCAAGCAUAUACAUUUGGUCAUUACACCCAGGGAAUGGUGUAACAGAUCAAUUUGACUGAAAAUGAUACAAAUUCUAUACCUCUGGGUGGCAGCAGGAUGGAUGGAAGAAACCAAAUAUUAUUCUUUUGAAGUUGCAGUGGGAGAUAAAAACUUUAUGUCCCAGACGGUACAGUGGAAGAGACUCUGAAAUUACAACAGGGCAAGCUUGUUGAGCAGAAUGUGAUUGUUUCUUCGAGUUUUCUAUUGAAAAAUACCAGUUGAAUAAGAUAGGAGUGUAAUAUGUCAGUGAUAAGACUCCUAAUGAAAAACAAAUGAUGACACCCUAAGCAUUAAAAAAGAGAUCAUUCUCAUUUUGCAUUCAUAGAUCAUUCAUAGCAUAUCUAAUUAAGAGCAUUUGACUUAUUUCAAUCAUGGCAUCCUAAUCAUUCAGCAUUAGCACAGACCCAUUCUAUAGGUUAUGUCCUCUAGAGGAUGAUGUAGUAAGGUAGAUUGAAGCUAUCAGUCUUGCCUCACUGAGUUUGCAGCAAAGCAUAUUGAAAGCAGCAGAUCUUGUCUUACUGUACUGGCAGUGAAGUAGAUCGAAAACAUCAGCCUUGCCUUUCUGAGUUUGCAGUGGAGUAGGUUGAAGAUUGUAGAUCCUGUCUCCCUAAGCAGUAGUGGAGUAGAUCAAAGACGGCGAAUCUUAUCUAUCCAAGGUAGUAGGGAAGCAAAUCUAAGCCACCAGUCCUAUCUCCCUGAGUAAUAGUGGAGUAGGUUGAAGAUUGUAAAUCCUGUCUCCCUAAGCAAUAGUAGAGCAAAUAAAAGAUGGCGAAUCUUAUUUUCCCAAGGUAGUAAGGAAGCAGAUUUAAGCCAUCAAUCCUAUCUCCCUGAGUAGCAGUGGAGUAGGUUAAAGAUAUAGAUCCUGUCUCCCUAAGCAGUAGUAGAGCAGAUUGAAGACGGUAAAUCUUAUCUUCUCGAGAUAGUAGGAAGCAGAUUUAAGCCACUAGUCUUAUCUCCCUAAGCAGUAGUGGAGUAGGUUGAAGAUUGUAUAUUCUAUCUCCCUAAGCAGUAGUAGAGCAGAUCAAAGACGGCAAGUCUUAUCUUUCCGAGGUAGUGAGGAAGCAGAUUUAAGCCACCAGCCUUAUCUCCCUGAAGUUGCAACGGAGCAGAAUGAAGAUAACAAAUCUUAUUUCCCUGAAGUUGCAGUGGAACAGAUUAAAGCUAUAAUCACAGAUUUAAUCUCUUUGAGGUUGCAGUAGAGUAGAUUAUGGCGAAUCUUAUCCUCCUAAAGUUGCAGUGGAGUAGAUUAAAGCCAAUAAUCCUAUCUCCCUAAAGUUAUAGUAGAGCGGAUUGAAACCACUAAUCCUAUCUCCCUGAAGUUGCAGUGGAGUGGAUUAAAGACACAAGUCUUAUCUCCUUGGCAUUAUAGUGGAAUAGAUUAAAGCUAAAGGUAGCAAAUCUUGUUCCCCUGGUGUUGUAGCAAUGCAGAUUAAAGUUGAAGGUAGCGAAUCUUAUCUCCUUGGCGUUAAGACUGAAGGAAGCAAAUCUUAUUUCCCUGGCAUUGCAGUGGAACAGAUUAAAGCUAAAGGUAGCGAAUCUUGUUUCCCUUGCAUUGUAGUGGAAUAGAUUAAAGCUGAAAUGGAGCAGAUUAAAGCUGAAGGUAGCAAAUCCUAUCUUUUUGGAGUUACAGUGGAACAGAUUAAAACUAAAGGUAGUGAAUCUUGUUUCCUUGGCGUUACAGUGGAGUAGAUUCAAGCUGAAGGUAGCCAAUCUUAUCUUUCUAGCGUUAAAGUUGUAGAAAGCAAGUCUUAUCCCCCUAAAGUUGCAGUGAGGCAGACUGAAGAUGACAAAUCUUAUCUCCCUAAAUUUGCAGUGGAGCAGAUUAAAGCCAAUAAUCCUAUCUCCCUAAAGUUGCAGUGGAGUGGAUUAAAAUUAGGUCUUAUCUCCCUGAAGUUGCAGUGGAGCAAACUGAAUAAACCAAUCUUAUCUCCCUGAAGUUGCAGUGGAGCAGAUUGAAGAAACCAAUUCUAUCUCCCUAAAGUUGCAAUGGAGCGGAUUAAAAUGAUGGAUCUUAUCUCUCUAAAGUUGCAGUAGAGCAGAUCACGUCAGGUCUUAUCUCCCUGAAGUUGCAGUGGAGCAUAUUGAAUAAACCAAUCUUAUCUCCCUGAAGUUGUAGUGGAGCAGAUUGAAGUUAUAAAUCCUGUCUCCUUGAAGUUGCAGCAGGACGGAUUAAAAUGAUAGAUCUUAUCUCUCUGAAGUUGCGGUAGAGUAGAUCGUAUCAAACCUUAUUUCCUAGAUAUUACAAUGAAACAAGUUGAAGCUACAAGUUUUAUCUCCCUGAAGUUAUAGUGGAGCAAACUGAAGAUAACAAAUGUUCCCUCAAAGAGCUACAAAUCCUAUCUCCUUGAUGUUAUAAUGGAGUGGAUUGAAGCACUAAUUCCUAUGCCCCUGAAGAUGCAGUGGGAUGGAAUGAGACUACUUGAAGAAGACGAGCACUCAAAGAAGUCAGAACUCGGCAAGACCGAGAAAAAUUGGCCCUUUUGUAGUCUUUGCUCCAUUCUCGUUACACGACAACGAGCAAAGAGGGACACUGUAAUAGGCCAAUUUAGCCCGGGCUCACAAAAAAAACCAAAAUAAUAAAACAAAGUCCAAGUCCAGUCCAAAAUUAUAUCAUUUGGCCCAAUCGAGAUGGCCCAUUACUUGAAAAGGUUGAAGGUCUAUCUACAAGCUUGACGCAUAUGGAAACAUAAUCUUUAAGGAUAUGUAAUCUUAGAUAUGAUAUGCAAUCUUAGAAGAUAUGAUUUUGUUUUAAUUUGUAGAUACCCUUUAAUCUUAGCCGUUGAUGUAAUUGAUUUGUACCGUUGAAUUUGGGGAGGCUCAACUAUAAAUAGAGGCCUCUCCCUUCAUUGUAAAACACUUGAGUUUGGAGCAAUAAUAAUUCUUAAGAGCAUUCACUCAAAUUUCUCCCUCUCUUGCGUUCUUAUUUUUUGAGGCUAGUUCUUAUUUUGUUCUUUGUUCAUCUUCUUUUCUUUUUAAGUUGCUUUCAUUUUUAGUUGGACUUUGGUGGAGGAAUUUCGUUGAGUCUUCAUAUUGUGAGAGUUAGGCUGACUUAAGUGUUUUUUUUAACUUUAUUUAUUUAUUCAUUUAAUUUUUUAAUCAUUAAUUAUUCUUUUACUUUAAUUCAUUUAUUUAUCCAUGAACUUUCUUAUUUACAUAUUGUUCAUUCAUUUAACCAUUCUUAUCAUUCUUUUAUUUUCUUCCAUUAAUUAUAUACUUUAUUUGUUUUUCAUAUUGCCCUUUUUUUUAAUCAAAGUUUUUAUGCAUCGUUUUAAUAUUGCGUCAAUUUUCCCCAAUUUUAAAAAAGAAAACUUUUAAAAAUAAGGCAAUAUUCUGUACUUUGGAGCUUUGAGAAAAUCGUGCCCUAACUUAUUGGCUUUCAAUUUUUUUUCCACAUAACCUGAAUAUCCUUUUUAAACUUUAAUGCAUGAGACAAGCUUAGUUUCGAGGGUUAAAAUGUUGUAUCCUAACUUACUGGAUGUGACAUCUUAUUACUUCGAGACAAGGAGGUCUUAACAUCAAAUUCAAUUUAUUCAGGUUUUUAAAGAGGAUCGUAUUUUAAAAUCUUUUCAAAUUUUUGACAUUAGGACGUUAAUUAAUCAAUUAGGUACCAAUUUUUGGGCGUUACGAGGGUGCUAAUACUUCGUCGUGCGUAACCGACUCCCGAGCCCGUUUUCUCGAAUUUUGUAGACCAAAAUUAUUAUUUUAAGAAAUCAAAAUGUUUUAUUAAAAUGAUUAAUCUCAAAGUGACCCAAUCACACCUCGAAAAAAGAUUGGUGACGACUCCAUUUUCGUUUUAAAAGUCGAUCCCAUUUUUCAAAAUAAAAAAAAUGGUUUCGACAAUAUAUAUUUUGUAUAUAUUAAGAUUUUGAAUCCUUAAUUAUAUAUCUAUAUAUUAUAAUAAUUUUAUAAUAUUAUAAAUAUAUUAUAUCAUAAAUAUUCUUUCAAAUAUUUUUUAAUGUUUAAUAAUAAGUUAAUUUAUAAAAUAUUCUUUCAAUAAAUUAACGUGAUGAGAUCGUUAGGUGCUUGGAUUUGGUGAUGGGGGAUGAAGAGAAAAGGGAUGGAAGUGAAGACAUAUGUUCAGAAAUGGAAACGGUUAGCAAGGGAAGCCGCCAUGAAAGGUGGCUCUAUGGAUAUGAACCUUCAAGCUUUUGUGGAUGAUGUUACUCAAAGGUUGUUGCAAGUAAAUUCAAAAAUGUUUUUUUUAAUUAAUUUUUUGUUAAAAAAUAUUUUUUAUUUUUCAUGUGGCAUGCCACAUUAUUAUACUAUCAUGUGAUUUCUGUCCGUAAGAUUAGUCAAAUCAACGGAUAAAUUGUUCAACUCACAAUUUUUGUUAAAUGAAGAGGUCAAUUAAUUUUUUUGGAAUCAUUGAGAACUCAAUUGGUGCAGUUUUUUCAUAAAGGCUAAAUUAAUUAUUUAAUUUGUUACUGUUGAGGGCUAUAGCAAUAAAAAAAUUUGAGGUAAAAUGAAAAAAAUUGUUAAAACUAAACUUGUGAUUAUGCCUAAUUUUAUCACAUUCUCCUUCGUUGGUAUUUAUGAUUUAGAAAAUUUUACAAAUAUAUUAUUUUUUAAGAAAUUAUAAGAAGAUUACAAAAAUUCCAAAAAUAUAUAAAAAAAGCUAAGAAAAACCUAGAAAUAAAAAAAAAAUCAUGUUUUUACAAAUUGGGAAAUACCUAAAUUUGUUUUCACCAAUUAAGAAAUUAAAAAAAUUGUUGAGAAAUAUCUUUUUCGAAAUAUCAUAAUUGCAUUUAAGACCUCAUGAUUAUCUUUUAUAAUUUCAGGCUUAUCAACUAUUUUGAAAACAACAAAACGUCUUACACCAAAACACAAAAAAAAAACGUCGACAUAUCACUUUAGCAUUGACUUACUUUUCUACUGUUAGUCUUCUCCAACAAGUUAAAUACUUCAAUUUUAACAACAUUGACAGGUCUUUGGGGUAGGGUCGAGCAAAACUCAAUAGAAACAGAUGAUAUAGGUUGAGUUGGCUCGGUCAAGCCCAUGUCCCUAGCUAUACGCCCCUCGUAAAAUCAAUUUUAAAAUUAAUUAUAAUAGUUUAAGCGAAUUGAUUAUUGAGUAAUGAAAUACUUAAUUCAACCAAUUGAUGUAAUCAAAUUAUAAUAAAUAUAUAUUUACUUUUAUGGUAUCCUUCAUCUCCUUUUUAGAGUUUGUGGGAAUAUUUUUUUUAAGCUUCGAAUUUAUUUUCUUAUUUAUGAGUACAAUGUGUCUUACAAUUACAUCUGCAGUUUAUAUUUUUUAUUUGAAAACAAAUAUUAUAAUAUAUGAAAACCCCAUAUAUAUAUAUAUAUAUAACCAAAUUUUGUCACACCCAUUUUAUGUUAAAAAUAUUUUCUUUUAAAUCGAGUAUAGGUUGGGUGGUAAAGUACUUAUAUUUUAAUACUAGUAAAUACAUGUUCAAUCUUUAGAUUUAUAAUUUAUAAUUCUUUUAACUGAAGAUGAUAUACAAGUAUGAAAAGACAAAAGUGACAUAGUAAUAAUAUUAAUUAUAAAUUUUAUAAUUUCAUGAUUGAGUUGAUGACGUAGUUGAAGGUAGCACUAACUCUAAAACACUUAAAUAUAGUAAUAGCUUAAAAAUGAGGGGCUUCUGGUAAAUACAUUACUGAGUUGGUAACCUGAUUGAGAGUAACACCAACUCAAUAAAACUCUUAAAUAUUGACUGCAAAUCCUAUCACACACUCAUGUGUAUGAAAACCACAAAUUUAGAAUGCAAAAAUGUGUUUAAAAAUAACAUACAAUAAAGAAUGAAAUUUAUGAUUUGAAACUAAUUAAUAAUAACACAUGAAAUAUGUACGAUAUCAAAAUGAAAAAAUAAAAGAUUAAAUUGUGCAUAAAACAAAAUUUUAUCCUAUUACAUCAAUAAAGUUAUAUUUAUUACCCUCGCCAAUUGUUUGUCAUUAAGAACAUUAAAGUAUCCUUGAAUGAUAUAACUUAUUCUAAUUAGAGUUGAUUGGUUGGCUUGGAUACCAACUCAGUCAGGGGCUUAAAAUUAUUAAAAUAUUAAUAUUUUAAAGAGAAAUUAAUAUUAUUAUAUGUGUAUUUUCACCUUUUCAUACUUUUAUAUAAUCUUCAAGUAAAACGAUUGAAAAAUAUUAUUUGAGAAUCAAACAAAAGACUAAAAAAUUCAUAUAGAAAAUGCUUGCAACUCCACUAAUAAUCAUUUGCCGAUGUAUUUUUGGUAAAAGACCUCUCCAAUCCCUCUUAAUUUCACAAUUGCACAAAUUACUCCCUCUCAAAAAAUUGGAGCAAUUUAAUCCCUAUCAAUUUUGAAAGUGAGUAAAUAAGGACAAUUAAUUAUGGUAUUAAAUUCUUCCAUCAAUCGUAGAUAAUUUUGAUUGGUAUAGUUAUAAAUUUAGCCUUCAAUGUUUAUAUAUUUUGUCAUUUUUGCCUUAAUUUUUAAAAAAUAUUCAAGAAAUUCAACCUCAACAUUUACAUAUUUACACAAACAUUGCAGGAAAUUUUUGUUAAACUAAGACCAAAUUGCAAAGUGUGCAAAUUUUGAAGGCUAAAUUUAUUAAUAUACCAACAAAAACCAUGUACAUUUUAUGGAAAAUUAACGUCCUGAUUAAUUAUUCUUAGUUGCUCACUUUCAAAAUUAAUAGGGACUAAAUUGCUCUGAAUUUUUUUAGGGUGACCAAUUUCCUCAAUUUGGAAAUUGAGAGAGACUAUUGAGAUCUUUCACAUAUUUUUUUUAUAAAUAUAUUUUUUAAUAUAAAAUAUACUUGUUCACCCACAUCAUGUGUAUGGUAAAAUAUUUUUAUUGUUGAUUGAGUUGGUGUCAAAAAUUAACUUGACACCAACUCAAGAUUAAUAAUAACAAUAUGAUAAAUAAUUUCUUUAUUUAAUAUUCUUAAUUUAACAUAUUGAUGUAAAUUUUAAGACAUGUAUGUCUUGUAGAAUUGUGCUUAUACUUUUUGAGUAUUGAGUCAGUUUUCCACAUUUGUGGGUCUCUAUUUGAGCAACACAAUUUCAACAUUUCUUCAUCUCGCUUAAUCCAAAUGCAUUUAGGAUUUUUUUAUAUCAUUGUUUCAAAAACGAUAAAAAAAUACGUCGACAUUGAAUUUGCUAUUUCACAUUCAAUUUCUGGAGAAGUAGAAUUUUCUAACUUAUUUUCCAUCAACUUCACUUCAAUUUUCAAUCACAAUCAAUUGCUUUCAAGAGCACCACAUCUUUUUGGAUGAAACAAACCUCUCAAUAUUAAGAUAAACGGGUCUUUAGGGCUAUUAAUUGAGGGCCUUUUCCACAAUUGCCAUCGUUAUUUGCGGGUGAUUCGGGGAUAAUAACAUCAACAUUUCUGUAUCACAUUUAAUUCAAUUCCACAUUGAACUUUUAAUUUUUAAAUAGAUGAUUGGGUUACAACAAUGGUUUGAAGUGAAGAUAUUUCAAAAGAAGGCAAAUAUAUCACUUUUUUGAGGGGUCUUUGGAGUUAUAUGUGACUUUAGCAUUGACUGACUUUUUUACAAUUAAUCUUUUAUAAUAAGGUAAAUAUAUCAAUUUUAAUAACAUCGACAUGUUUUUUAGUAGGGUCGAGCAAAAUCCAAUUAAAACCUUUCAUCACUGCAAAAAUGAAAUAAUAGAAAUGAAAGACUAGCCAUUGUAUGAGAUCUAUAAUUGAACUGUCAACGAAAUUGGGAGAAAUUUUAAAAUUUUAUGAAAUUUUAAAAUUAAACUGUCAAUAAUAUAAAAUUGCCUGAGUGACUUGGGAUAAGAGGUUGAACAUUGCUGGAUCACAUUACAUUUAAGAUGGGUCUUUAAGGUUAUACUUUAGUUAUUGAGAACAUUUUCCACAAUUUGCCAUCGUUAUUUGUGGGGUAUGUGGUUGAACACUUCUGGAACACAUUGCAUUUAGGACGGGUAUCAUUCAUAGACUGACUUUUCUAUAAUUAGUCCUUGCUUUACUUUAGGUGGAUUCUUCCAACUAGUCCAAGAAUUAUUGUACAGUUACAAUUAAUCUUUUUAAAUGAGACAAACAUUUCAAAUUUGUCGUUACUAUUUGUGAGUGAUUUUGGGGUAAGAAGUUUAACACUUCUGGAUGUCUUAUAGAAUUGUGAUUAUACUUUUUGAGUAUUGACUCAGUUUUCCACAAUUGUGGGUAUCUACUUGAGCAAAACAAUUUCAACAUUUCUUCAUCUCGUUUGAUCCAAAUGCAUUUAUGCAUUUCUUAUAUCAUUGAAUUUGCUGUUUCACAUUCAAAUUUUGGACAAGUAGAAUUUUCUAACCUAUUUUCCGUCAACUUCACUUGAAUUUUCAAUCACAAUCAAUUGCAUUCAAGAGCACCACAUCCUUUUGGAUAAAACAAAACUUUCAAUUUUAAGGUAAACGGGUCUUUAGGGUUAUACGAGGGCCUUUCCACAAUUGCCAUCAUUAUUUGCGGGUGAUUUGGGGAUAAUAACUUGAACAUUUCUGGAUCACAUUUAAUUCAAUUUUUAAAUUUUAGAGAGAUGUUUGGGUUACAACAAUUUCCAUCAUUAUGUUUAAUAUAACAUUUGGGAGGAAAAGGAGCAAAAAAAAUGAGUGAAAAUCAGAAAAUGGGGGCAAAGUAUAGGACCCACAUGAGCUGACCUAUUCCACUUGACUAUGGGACGACAUCAAUUUCGUAGAUUUGCACUUUGACCUGCUAAAAAAUACGAAUUUUAGGCUUUUCUGGCAUUCUAAGAUAUAUAUAUAUGACAAAAAUAAGAAGAUAUAAGAGAACCUUCCUAGAAUAUUCAAGAAAACAACUCCAAAGACACUACUAAAGCCGACUCUGAACCAGAUUUUCAUUAAGAUGGAAGAUUCCUAAUUGAUUUCUUAAGAGAUUAUCAUGAGUUUCUUUAUUCCUUUCAGUUAUACUACCCUUUGGAUGUUUUUAUUUUUAAUCAUGAACUAAUUUUCUAAAUACCUAAGAGAGAUGAACCCUAUGAUAGAUUGUGACACCCCAAAGCCGACCGAGACAGACCGACCCGAAUUCGAAACAUUACAUUAGCCACCUAAGUGACUUUCUAGCUAACAACCAGCCAAGACACACCCUAACCUUAUUGUACAAGCCUAAUUUUGACCAAGACUAAACCAAAUAAAUUAACAGUCCAUAAGAGUCCAAAUUACAACUAUCCUGAUACGACCCAAAUUAAAAACAACAACCCAAGCCCAAACCUAACCCUAGUAGCCCAAAGCCCACAAGCUAAAAAAUCUUAGCAGAAAAAACAAAGUUGCUAACCCUAGGCGCUGCGCCUGGGUCCUCUACCAUUGACCGUAUGCCUCUAUCAUCGCGUCUCACAGCCUCUGCCACGCCUCUGCUACCUGCAAGAAACCAACAAAGCACAAAACGACAACAGCAAUAGGGGCCAAAUCAAAAAAUAAUAAAAAAAUAGAUCAUGAAUCGCUUAGAUCGGCUAUAAAGGCCAAAAUAUUAACCUUGUAAUGCUUCUUCUUUUUUUUGACGAACAUUAGAAAAAUAAAAAAUAGAAAACAAGUAUCAAAGGUAGAUUUUUUUCAUUUUCAAAUUCACAUUUCUUUUCCCUGUGUAUUUUCUUUUCUUCUAUUUUUUUUACAUACAACUAGUAAGAACAAAGAAAGAGAAAGAAAAACCUCACCUAGAAUAGCCCCUCAAGUCCGGUCGUCGGAGGCCCUUUUCCCGUUGUCGGAAUUAGACCUAAAAGGGGGGCUAGGGGUGCCCUCUCCUGGUUUUUUAGGCCAAAGAAGGUUGGAUCUUUGAGCGCACUGGAAAUCGGGGUUGAAACGCCUCUUUUGCGCAACGUCGGCCAUCGGUCACGGUGGCGCUACGGCGGCACUUACGGCCGAAACCCUAGGCCGAGCGGGGUGGGGGUUUGAGAGAGGGAGAGAGCUCAAAAGCUCUCUGAAUUUUUUUAAAAAAAAUGGGAUGAAACUGAUUUUCUUUGGGUUUUUUAUUUUAUUUUAUCCUAAGUAUGAAACGCCUCCGUUUUGGACUUAAGUAGCCAUGGCCAAAACGACGCCGUUUUACAUCGUUUCCCCCAUACCCGCGCGCGCGACCCGACCCGCCAGGGGAUCCGCACGUUUUGACUCUAAGGGGAUAUUUGCGCAAUCUGCCCCUACGCUUUUUCGACGUAUUCAAUUCUGGUUUAUUAUUAUUUUUAUUUUAGCCAUGUAUUUUUGCUUCCGAUUCAAGUUGGUCCUUAGACCAUGUGUUGUUCCACGGUUAAAACGCCGCGCUUUAGGACUGGGGAAUAUUUCCCUGAAAGUCCCUCGCUCUUUGAGCGCGUUUCAUUUUGGUCCCGAGCCACCCCUUUUAUUUAUUUGCAAUUUAGACCGCGAGUUCUAAUCCGAUUUCAAUUUAAUCCUUAUUCCAUAUAAUUAUUUUAUUUUCUUUUUCUUUAAAAAUUAAUUUUUUUUAUUUUUAAAAAGGAGCUCUUCUAUUAUUAUUAUUUAUUUUAAGUUAUACAUAUAUUAUUUAUUCUAAAUGUUUUGCCUAAUAUUUACUUAAUUUUUUUAUUCUAUUAUUUGUUUAACAACUAUAUGUAUAUAUUGUCUCUUAGAAUUUAUAUAUAUAUAUAUAUUUAUAUAUAUAUAUUAUUUUAAUAAAAAUAAAGAAUACUGUUUUUAAUUAUUUUAAACUAUCUUAGUAUUUUUUUUUUCAUUUUAAAGCUUUAUAUUGCUUGUUUGAGACAUUUUGCCAUACAUUUCGAGUUAAUCUCAUAAGUUAUUCGUCUUAUACUAUUACCUACGUAAAAUUGUUCUUUAUUAUUUCGUUUCGUUUGCUUGGACUAUUAAUAUUGAUAUGUUAAAAUGUUGCACAUGGUGUGAUUAUUAUCAUUACGUACGUUGUAAUUAGUUUAUUUGUUUUCGCAUUAUUGCCAUUAUGUGUAUUAUUUCGUUUACUCGUAUUUCCAUGCUAUGGCAAUUCAUUCGUAUAUCAUGUUGUUCAAAAAUUAUUUCACCAUAUUAUAAAUUGUCACCCCAUCGACGCAACCUUUUUGUUCACGCAUUAUUUCAAACAUUACAUUUUUUACCCAAACAUGCAAAAAUGAAAAUUUCAAAUAAGGCAAUAUUUUGUGUAUUGGCGAUUCGAGAAAUUGUAUCCUAACUUAUGGGGUUUUGGCCUUUCUCGUUAAAACUAAUAGCAAAAUACCCUUUUUAAAAUAUCAAAAAAUGACGAAAGGAAUCUAAAUAAGGCAAUAUUUCGUGUUUAGAAAUUCAAGAAAACGUACCCUAAUGUGCUGGGUUUCGAUUCUUUCGUUUGACCAAAUAGCCAAAUAUUCUCUUAAAAUUUCAAAGUAUGGGUUUUGGAACCAUAAGGUGAUCUUGGGUUCGAGGGUUUAAAGUAUUGUAUCCUAACGUGCUGGAUGUGAUUUUUUUCUAAACAAGAGAAUCCUAAAUUCCAACCCAUGUUAUUCGAGUUUUUUUUUAUGAUAGUAUUUUUAAAAACUCUUCAAAGUUUUCAAUCUUCGACAUUAAGACACUAAUUAAUCAACUAGGUACCAAUUUUUUGGCGUUUCGAGGGUGCUAAUCCUUCCUCGUACGUAAUCGACUCCCGAACCUAUUUUUCUGAAUUUCGUAGACCAAAAGCAUUGUUUUAAUAAAUCCAAAUCAUUUAUUAAACACAAUCGUUUUACGAGGUGACCCGAUCACACCUCAUCAAAAAAGAUUGGUGGAGACUCCCGUGUUCGUUUUCGUUUUUCAAAAUUAAAGUCGACCCUCGUUUUACAAAAAAUGGUGUCAACACUUAUAACACCUCAAUCUUAUUUAAUUAUUAUUUAUUUAUUAAUGGCAAAGUAAAUUAUGAGCCAAUUUUGAACUUUUCCUAGGUAAUUUAACCUAAGGGCAUUUAUGUCAUUUUACUAAAAUAAUUUCUGUAAUUUUUAUUAUUCGGCUAUAUAAAGCCAUUGGUGAUACUAUAAAAAAGAAUUACGGAGAUACUAUAAAAAAGGAUUACGGAUUCGAAAGAAAAGAAAAAAAAUCAAAUAGCAUUAUAUUUUUAAGGUGGUUUCCGAUUUCUACUUCUUUUUUCUUUUUCCUUUGAUUUGUUUUUAUUUGCUGAUUAAAAGAUAAAAAAGGGGGAAGUUCUUACUUACAUAUUGCGCCGCCGGAGCCUUCAUCCCUUUUGUUUCAAGUUGGAAUGGGGUGGGCAAUGGUCGAAUCGAAAACAGCACAUAGAGGGUAGAUUUUAAGGUUUCUUUGGUUAGAUUUUUUUUUUAAAAAAUGGAGUGUCUACUAAUAUUUAGGGUUUAUGUUGACUUAUAUAUGGCGUAUGAAACGACGUCAUUUCAUGCCAUUUCAGUGGUUUCAAAACGGCGUCAUAUAGGACCGAGAUCUGUGCGGUGACCUGACCCGAGGGAAGGAUCCGCACGUUUUGUCGCGAUGGUCUAUUUUUACAUUAGGUCCCUUCGUUUUUUAUUAUUAUAAUGCAGUUUUUUUAUAUAUUUUUAAUUUGUACUCCUUGAUUUGUUUUAAUUUCAAUUAGGUCCAUAAUCGAACGACGUCGUUUUGGAGGGCAGGGAUUAAUUUCCCUUUUGGUCUCUCUUUGUUAUUCGCGCGUUCGAUAUGGUCCUUUUCUUUUUAUUUAUUUUAAAUUUGCCCCUAAAUUUCUGUUUUAAUUCCAAAUUAGUAACCUAUUUUGUUAUUUUUGCUAUUAAAUUAAUUACUUUAAUAUUAAUUUAUCAUUAUUACUAUUAUUACUAUCAUUAUUGUUAUUAUUAUUAGUAGUAGUAGUAGUAUUUAUAUAUAUAUAUAUAUAUCUAACUUUUUUUAUAUACAUAAUUUUAUUCUAUUAUAUACUAUUAUUUAGUUUUUUUUAUACUAUUAUCAUAUAUUAUUAUUUAAGUUUGUAAUGUAUUUUUUUUAUAUUAAUCCAAUAUAAUAUAUAUAUUUUCCAUUUUUUAUUUUAUAAUAUAUUUUUUAAAUUCACCUAUAUAUAUUUCUAUGCUUUAAAAGAUUUAUACGAUAAUGUCCUUAUAUAAUACUAUUUUAUAUAUAUGUAUACACAAUUUAUAUUAAAUUAUUUUCAUUAUAUGUACAUAUAUGACAUAUGAUAGAUUUCAUUUUUUUUCACUUAUUUUCAUAAAUAAUUUAUUUCUUUUAAAAAGCCUACUCUAUUAUGUUUUAUUUAUUUCUGCUUUUUACAUGUAUUAUUAUAUAUGUAUACUAUUAUUUAUAUCAAGUUUUUCACUCCAUGUGUAUUACAUAUUCUAAAUUAAUAUAUAUUAUUUUAUAUAUUUUAAUUUUCUUCUUAUAUAAUAUUUGCUUCAAAAUUCAUCUAAAUACUAUUAUUUUAUGUAGUGUUUAUUUUUUACUCUAUCUUGAUUACAUUUCAUACUUAUAUAUAUGUAUAUUGUUCAUUUUUAAACUUUUUGUACGUAUAGUUUAUUGAUUAUAAUUUCUUCUCUCUUUUUUUUAGUGUAUCUUUAAAAAUUGAUUAGUAAUUCACUUAAAUUUUGAAUGUUGAAUGAUUGAGAUUGUUGCCUUGCUUGUUAGUAUUUGUCUAUUGGUUAUUUGUUAUUCAUUAGUGUAUGUUAUUUACAAAUUAUCCUUUACGUUGUACGUUGUCAUUUAUUCGCAUUACAUUCGUUUAAAAGGUUGCAUUUGAUUAAAAUAAUAAAAUUGUUUACCCAUAAAAUUUUCAAGAUACUUGGUAUCCAAGAUUCUUGAGAAGAUUGUGCCCUAACUUACUCGGCUUCAAUUUUCCUCAUUGGAUUGAGGUAACCGGGUAUCUCUUUUUCGAUUAAAACAUAAAAAUUCAAAUCAAAACUUAUCUCGAGGAUUCAAAACGUUGUGUCCUAACUCAUUGGAUAUGACAUUUUGUUAUCUUGAGAUGAGGUUUUUUUUAAUAAAGGCAAACUCACAUGUUGUCGUCGGAACUUCAAAGAAUCGUACCCUAACUUACGGGGUUUUGAUUUCCUUAUUGAAGCAAGAUGACCAAAUUUUUUAGUUUUUGAAAUAAUAAAUUUCAAUAAAGAUUUUUUAAAAGGAGAAUCACUUUUUUAAUCUUUUUUUGACAUUCGACCUUAAGACAUUAAAUAAUCAAUUAGGUACCAAUUUUGGGCGUUACGAGGGUGCUAACCCUUCCUCGUACGCAAUCGACUCUCGAACUCAUUUUUUCUGAAACUCAUAGACCAAAAUCGUUUUCAAGGUGAUUCGAUCACACCUCAAUAAAAGAUCGGUGACAACUCCAAUUUUCAUUUUUAAGUCGACAACUAACUUUUGUUUUCAAAAAGUGGUUUCGACAGCUUGUCAACUCCACUGGGGAUUGAUUUUAAGAGUCGAGCCAUAAAUUGAUUAAUUUUUGUCUUAUGGUCGAAAAAUCAAAUUUUGUUUUUAAAUUCACGAUUCUCCUUUGCAUUUAUUGUUUUCAUCAUGGUAUUGUUGCUUGGUUGGUCUAAGUCUGUUAAUGUAUUUGCAUCGUGCAUUACACGAGUUGGACGAUUUUACCCUUCUAAGUGGGAGUGAGAAACUAUUCCUUUGUGAGGUUUUCACCUCCGCAUAGGAUAGUGGAUCUCUUUCGGGAUACAUCCGUACCUAUGUCUUCGUAAUAUUUUCAUCUCCAUGUAGCCAUAGGGAAAUGUAUUCCCUUAAACCGAACUCAGUUCGCAUGAGCCUAUAAUUGGUGAGGAUCGAGGAAUCUACUGGUUUGGGUACCUUUGCACUAGAAGCCAAACCGUACAUUGUGAACCUUAGGAACUUGCCCUAGGUAGAACUAUGUCAAACCCUAGUAGAUACCCAAAUAGGUGCUUUAUUAUUUCUUGUUUGAAUUGAAUUUUAUUUUUAUACAUGAUACUAACUUGUGUUUUGUUUUGAUUGCAUGGCAUUUUGACUACAUGGCAUUUCAUUAUAAAAGGCGUUGAUUCAUAUUCGGUUACUAGAUAGAAAGCUUAUCAUGGAAAAAGGGUUUCUUGAUAAGGUGAAGGAUAAUGCGGCUGUCCGAACUUGGUCUGAAACAACAUAGCGAGAAACAUUUCAUGGAAAAAGGGUUUCUUGAUAAGGUGGGUUUCUUGAACAUUUCUGGAUCACAUUUAAUUCAAUAUUUAAAUUUUAGAGAGAUGUUUGGGUUACAACAAUUGCAUCAUUAUGUUUAAUAGAACAUUUGAUAGGAAAAGGAGCAAAAAAAUGAGUGAAAACCGAAAAAUGAGGGCAAACUAUAGGACCCACACGGGCUGACCUAUUCCACUUGACUGUGUGACCCACACGGUCGUGUGGCAAACCACGUCAAUUUCAUUGAUUUGCACUUUUAACUGAGAAAAAUACGAAUUUUAGGUUUUUCGGGCAUUCUAAGAUGUAUAUAUGACAAAAUUAAGAAGAUAGGACCUUCCUAGAAUAUUCAAGAAAGCAACUCCAAAGACACCACUAAAGCCGACUCUGAAGCAGAUUUUCAUUAAGAUGGAAGAUUUCUAUUCGAUUUCUUAGGAGAUUAUCAUGAGUUUCUUUAUUUCUUUCAAUUAUAAUGCCCUUUUGAUGUUUUUAUUUUUAAUCAAGAUUAAUGAUAACAAUAUCAUAAAUAAUUUAUUUAUUUAAUAUUCUUAAUCUAACAUAUUGAUGUAAAUUUUAAAUUGACAUUAUUUGAUUCUUUUUAAUAUAUAUUGCUAAGCUUUACAUUAAUAUUUGUUGGUUAUUAUUAUUAUUAUUAUUAUUUAAACAUUAAUCAUGUUUAAAUGCGUUUCAUCCUCCAAUUUAAGAGUUGGAGAGAAUUUUCAAUAGUUAAAUUAUAUCAGUUUUUAUCUAUUUAAAAAUUAUUUAUAAAUAAUAUAAGUAGAAAUUAAAUUUAAAAAAAAUACAUAUUCAUAUUCUAUCGGCUUUUUCAUUAUUAGAGUUUUUCCUCACAGGUAAAAGUAUUUAUGGACAGGAUGGCGUAAUAUUAUGACUUGAAAAGUUUUAAACCCUUCAACACUGCAAAAAUGAAAUAAUAGAAAUGAAAGACUAGCCAUUGUAUGAAAUUUAUAAUUGAACUGUAAACAAAAUUAAACUGUCAAUAAUAGAAAAUUGCCUGAGUGACUUGGGAUAAGAGGUUGAACAUUUAUGGAUCACAUUGCAUUUAAGAGGGGUCUUUGGAGUUAUAUGAUACUUUAACAUAGACAUAGACUUUUCUAUAAUUAGUCACUGCUUUACUAUGGGUGAAUUCUUCCAACUAGCAUGAUAGUUGAUGUUACUCUCCAAGAAUUAUUGUAGCCUCCUCUUCCAACUAGCGUAGAGUUAUCUUUAUUCCUACCCCACGCUGGCAACAAACCACUGCUCAAAUUAAUUUGAAGAUAUCUCUUUUCGAAUCCAUGAGUUUUGUUUUCCUUUUUGUAAAAUAGAUAUCAAGAGAUACCAAAAAUUAUUUUACUAACAAAUUUUAAUUCACUCAAAAAGUAAGUGUUUUAUUUCAAGGGAUCACAAUUAAACAUUAGAUUUCUCAUUUUUUAAUUUUAAUUCAUUUAAGAAAGCUGAUGUAACACAUUAGUGACAUCAUUCCAAACAAAGUUUUAGGUCAAAAUUUUCAUCUAGUCCUUGUAAUUGUUUUUAGGUGAAUUUCAUUAUUAUUCUUUUAUUUUCUUUGGCUUAAAUACACAUUUACCCCUAAUUUUAUCACACUCUCCUUAAUUGGUAUUUAUGGUAUAGAAAAUUUUACAAAUAUAUAUAUAUAUUAAGCAAUUAUAAGAAGAUUACAAAAAUUCCAAAAUAAUAUAAAAAAGCUAAGAAAAACCUUGAAAUUCAAAAAAAAAAUCAUGUUUUUACAAAUUGGGAAGUACCUAAAUUUGUUUUCAUCAAUUAAGAAAUUAAAAAAAUUGUUGAGAAAUAUCUUUUUAGAAAUAUCAUAAUUGCAUUCAAGACCUCAUGAUUAUCUUUUAUAAUUUCAGGCUUAUCAACUAUUUUGAAAACAAAGAAAUGUCAUACACCAGAAAAAUAAACAAAAACAAAAACGUCGACAUAUCACUUUAGCAUUGACUUACGUUUCUACUGUUAGUCUUCUCCAACAAGUUAAAUAUUUCAAUUUUAACAACAUUGACAGGUCUUUGGGGUAGGGUCUAGCAAAACUCAAUAGAAACGGAUGAUACAGUUUGAGUUGGCUCGGUCAAGCCCAUGUCCCUAGCAAUACGGCCCUGGUAAAAUCAAUUUUAAAGUUAAUUAUAAUAGUUUAAGCGAACUGAUUAUUGAGUAAUGAAAUACUUAAUUCAAACAAUUGAUGUAAUCAAAUUAUAAUAAAUAUAUAUUUACUUUUAUGGGUUCCUUCAUCUCCUUUUUAGAGUUUGUGGCAAUAUUUUUUUUAAGCUUCAAAUUUAUAUUUUUUUUAUUUAUAAGUACAAUCUGUCUUACAAUUACAUCUGUAGUUUAUAUUUUUUAUUUGAAAACAUAUAUUAUAAUAUAUAUAUAUAAAACCAAAUUUGGUCACACCCAUUUUAUGUUAAAAAUAUUUUCUUUUAAAUUGAGUAUAGGUUGGGUGGUAAAGUACUUAUAUUUUAAUACUAGUAAAUACGUGUUCAAUCUUUAGAUUUAUAAUUUAUAAUUCUUUUAAUUAAAGAUGAUAUGCAAGUAUGAAAAGACAAAAGUGACACAGUAAUAAUAUUAAUUAUAAAUUUUAUAAUUUCAUAAUUAAGUUGAUGACGUGGUUGAAGGUGGCACUAACUCUAAAACACUUAAAUAUAAUAAUACCUUAAAAAUGAGGGGCAUUUGGUAAAUACAUUUCUGAGUUGGUGACCUGAUUGAGGGUCACACCAACUCAAUAAAACUCUUAAAUAUUGACUACAAAUCCUAUCACACACUUAUGUGUAUGAAAACCACAAAUUUAGAAUGCAAAGAUGUGUUUAAAAAUAACAUUUAAUAAAGAAUAAAAUUUAUGGUUUGAAACUAAUUAAUAAUAACACAUGAAAUAUAUACGAUAUCAAAAUGAAAAAAUAAAAGAUUAAAUUGUCCAUAAAACAAAUUUUUUUCCUAUUACAUCAAUAAAGUUAUAUUUAUUACCCUCGCCAAUUGUUUGUCAUUAAGAACAUUAAAGUAUCAUUGAAUGAUAUAACUUAUUCUAAAUAGAGUUGAUGUAUGCUUGGCUUGGGAUACCAACUCAGUCAGGGGCUUAAGAUUAUUAAAAUAUUCUUAUUUUAAAGGGAAAUUAAUAUUAUUAUAAGUGUAUUUUCACCUUUUCAUACUUUGAUAUAAUCUUCAAGUAAAACGAUUGAAAAAUAUUAUUUGAAAACAUAAGACUAAAAAAAUUCAUAUAGAAAACGCUUACCACUCCACUAAUAAUCAUUUGUCAAUGUAUUUUUGGUACCUCUCCAAUCCCUCUUAAUUUCACAAUUGCGCAAAUUAGUCCCUCUCAAAAAAAUUGGAGCAAUUUAAUCUCUAUCAAUUUUGAAAGUGAGUAACUAAGGAUAAUUAAUUAUGGUGUUAAAUUCUUCCAUCAAUUGUACAUAAUUUUGAUUGGUAUAGUAAUAAAUUUAGCCUUCAAUGUUUAUAUAUUUUUGUCAUUUUGGCCUUAAUUUUUAAAAAAAAUUCAAGAAAUUCAACCUCAACAUUUACAUAUUUACACAAACGUUGCGGGAAAAUUUUGUUAAAGUAAGACCAGCUAAAUUUAUUAUUAUAUCUGUAGGGCCCAAUUUUUGCCCGGCCCGUUAAACAAAUAAAACCCAAAAAUACAAGCCCAAUAACCCUAAACUUUGCCCAACUAGCAACCUCCAUACCCCAAACCCUAGUGGCAGCUUCCAGCAACUCCAGCCGCCGCACGAUGCGGGCCAGAAUCCUCCCUACGCGCGAUUUGCGCCUCCACGGGCGUGCGCACUCCCCAACAGUGCCUAUACCUGCGAGAAAAAACUGGAAAAUGGCAGAAAAUGCAGCAAUAACAGAAAAUAUUUCUUUGAUUUUGUAUUUUUUUUGUUAUUAUUUAUUUUUUAUUUUCGGUUAUAUAUAAACCGAUUUGUAAAGAGAAUGGGGGGAUUUUUUCAGUUUAAAGGAUACAAAAUAGAGAAAAAGAACAGAUCGAACUUGUUUUUUUUAAAGGUUUUUUUUUCGUUUUAUUUUGCAGUGUCUAUUGUUUUUAUUUCCAUUUUUUUAUUUUAUUUUAUUUUCAUUUUAUUUUAUUUAGAAUAACAAAGAAAAAGAAAAAGAAAACUUACCUAAGUUGAGGUCGAAAUCGGUGCCGGAAUUCGGACCGACUGAAUCGCCUGAGAGGCGGUGCGAGGAUGCUAGGGAUGAAACCCUAGCAGAGCAAAGGGAGCCUUUUUUUUAUUUUUUUCUUUUCAAUCUGAUUACAGUGGUUUUGAAAGGAAAAUUUUAUUUUAAAUAACGUUCAAAACGGCGCCGUUUUCCCAGGCUUGACCCGCACGGUGACCUGACCCGAAGGGGAGGAUCCGCGCGUUUGGCUUCAAAAGGGAAAUUGCGCAUUUAGCCCCUGCCUUUUGCAAUGCGCUUCAAUCAAGCCCCUUUUGUUUUUUUUUAAAUUUAGGCCGCAUAUUUCAUUUUUGUUUCAUUUGGGUCCCUCGCUGCGCAACGCAUUGGAAGGACGGGAUAAUUUCCCUUUUGGUCCUCCACUCUUGCGCGCGAAUUCAAUGUGGUCCUGUUUUAUUUUACUUCAAAUUUACCCCUUUUUUUCCUUUUUAGUUCAAUUUAAUCCUUUUAUUUUAAACUGUUGUAUUUUUUUUAUUUAUGUUAUACUAAUUUAUUAUUUUUAUUUUUAUUAUCAUUAUUAUAUCUACCUAUGUACACGCACAUGCGUUUCUUAUCAUAUCUAUGUAUAUACUGUAUAUAUAUUUAAAUGUUUUAUAUGCAUAUGUUAUAUUCAUUAUUAUUAUUAUUUUAUAACAAACAUGCAUUGUUUUUUUAUGAUACAUAUACAUACGCAUGGCUUUUAUAAUAUAUAUAUAUAUGCAUUCUUUUAUACAGUAUACAUAUACCUCUAUAUAUUUUAUACAUUUUUUUUAUUUUCUAACUUUUACAUAUAUAAAUAAACUUUUAUAUUUUAGUUUUUUAUAAAUACGUAUGUACAUAUGUUUUCUUUUACAUUUUCUUUACGACAUACUUAUACAUUUUCUGUAAAUAUAUAUACAUAUGCAUAUUUUGAUAUUUUUAUCUUCACAAUUUUCACGUAUACAUACACAUGUUUUGCAUGCAUAUUCUUAGAAAUUAUUGUAAGCUUGUUGUAUAUAUUUCUUUACCUUCCUUUUUAUAAGUACACUUGUAUUUACGUGUUAAAUGCAUGCUCAUACAUAUUUUCAAGCUUACUUGUAUAUUGUGCUCAUAUAUAUUUUGUAAAUAUGUAUUCAUAUACAUUCUAAAUUAAAGUUUUUGCUUCAUAUUAUACAUUAACUUUCGAUAUACCCUUUUUGAAAAUAUAUUUUGGUUUUAACCGUACGACAAACUUAUUUUCCUGAUUCGAAGGUGUUUUUUUUUUUUGAAUAAAAGUAUUAUUUAAAGUUUGGGAUUUUCGAGGGAAAUUGAGCCCUAACGUAUUGGGUUCUGGUUUUCUUUGUCAAUCUUAAAUGACCGAGAAUAUUCUUUAUUCAAAAUGCAUGAGCAUAAAAAUCAUUUUUGGGAACUUAACUUGUCGUGCCCUAACGUAUUGGGUGUAGCCUGUUACUUUCUUGAAAUGAAGAUUUUCGCAUAAAAUAAAAGUGAUAUUCAAAGUUUGGGGAUUAUGAGGAAUUGUACCCUAACGUAUUGGGACUCGAUUUCUUUACAUGACUUGAACAAUUGAUUAUCCUUUUUCAAAAUUCAUCAUUUGAGUUGAUUUUAAAAUCUUUUUAACCUUCGACACUAAGACAUUAAAUGAUCAAUUUGGUACCGAAUUUGGGCACUACGAGGGUGCUAACCCUUCCUCGUGCGUAACUGACUCCCGGACUCAUUUUCUCAAAAUUCGUAGACCAAAAUAGGGUGAGCCGAUCACACCUUAAUAAAUGAUCGGUGGCGACUCCAGUUUUAUUUUUAAACUCGACAACUAAAUUUUUGUUUUCAAAAAAUGGUUUCGACAAUAUCAACCAAAAUCAUGUACAUUUUAUGGAAAAUUAACAUCCUGUUGCUCGCUUUCAAAAUUAAUAGGGACUAAAUUGCUCUGAUUUUUUUAGGGUGACCAAUUUCCUCAAUUUGGAAAUUGAGAGAGACUAUUGAGAUCUUUUACUUUUUUUUUUAUAAAUAUAUUUUUUUAAUAUAAAAUAUAUUUGUUCACACACAUUGUGAGUAUGAUAAAAUAUUUUUAUUGUUGAUUGAGUUGGUGUCAAAAAUUGACUUGACACGAACUCAAGAUUAAUGAUAACAAUAUCAUAAAUAAUUUAUUUAUUUAAUAUUCUUAAUUUAAGAUAUUGAUGUAAAUUUUAAGACAUGCAUGUCUUGUAGAAUUGUAAUUAUACUUUUUGAGUAUUGAAUCUUUAGAUUUAUAAUUUAUAAUUCUUUUAAUUAAAGAUGAUAUACAAGUAUGAAAAGACAAAAGUGACUUAGUAAUAAUAUUAAUUAUUAAUUUUAUAAUUUCAUAAUUGAGUUGAUGAUGUAGAUGAAGGUGGCACUAACUCUAAAACACUUAAAUAUAGUAAUAGCUUAAAAAUGAGGGGUUUUUGUAAAUAUAUUACUAAGUUAGUAGCCUGAUUGAGGGUAACACAAACUCAAUAAAACUCUUAAAUAUUGACUACAAAUCCUAUCAUACACUUAUGUCUAUGAAAACCACAAAUUUAGAAUAUAAAGAUGUGUUUAAAAAUAACGUACAAUAAAGAAUGAAAUUUAUGGUUUGAAACUAAUUAAUAAUAACACAUGAAAUAUGUAUGAUAUCAAAAUGAAAAAAAAGAAAGAAUAAACUGUGCAUAAAACAAAAUUUUAUCCUAUUACAUCAAUAAAGAUAUAUUUAUUACCCUCGCCAAUAGUUUGCCAUUAAGAACAUUAAAGUAUCCUUGAAUGAUAUAAAUUAUUUUAAAUAAAGUUGAUUGGUUGGGAUACCAAUUCAGUUAGCGACUUAAAAUUAUUAAAAUAUUCUUAUUUUAAAGGGAAAUUAAUAUUAUUAUAAGUGUAUUUUCACAUUUUCAGACUUUUAUAUAAUCUUCAAGUAAAACAAUUGAAAAAUAUUAUUUGAGAAUCAAACACAAGACUAAAAAAUUCAUAUUGAAAACGCUUAUCACUCCACUAAUUCAUAUUGAAAACCUCUCCAAUCCCUAUUAAUUUCACAAUUGCGCAAAUUAGUCCCUCUCAGUUUUGAAAGUAAGUAACUAAGGAUAAUUAAUUAUGGUGUUAAAUUCUUCCAUCAAUUGUACAUAAUUUUGAUUGGUAUAGUUAUAAAUUUAGCCUUCAAUGUUUAUAUAUUUUGUCAUUUUGGCCUUAAUUUAAAAAAAAUUCAAGAAAUUCAACCUCAACAUUUACAUAUUUACACAAACGUUGCGGGAAAAUUUUGUUAAAUUAAGACCAAAUUGCAAAGUGUGUAAAUUUUGAGGGCUAAAUUUAUAAUAUACCAACCAAAAUCAUGUACAUUUUAUGGAAAGACAUGCAUAACCCAAAGAAAUGGGAUGAAACUGAUUUUCUUUGGGUUAUAAAUUUAUAAUAACAGUAAGUUAUUAACCAUACUAUUAUCAUUAAUUUUGAGUUAGUUAUAAAUUACUGUUAUACGCCCAGUAAGUUAGGGCUCAACUUUCUCGAGAAUCUUAGAUGUCAAGUGUUUUGAAAACUUACGGAUAAAAUGAUUUUAGUAUUUUAAUCAAAUGCACUCUUUCAAACAAAUGUAACGCAAUUGGAUAAUAACAUACAACACAAAAAGAUAAUUCGAAAAUAAAAUAUACAUUAAUGAGCAAUGAAUAAUCAAUAAAUAAAUACAAACAAACAUAACAACAAUAAUCUCAAUUGUACAUUAUGCCAAUAUCAAUAUCAACAUUCAAAAGCUAAUAAAAAAAACGAGCCAAUUAAUGCAAAUGUAAACUAAAUGUACAAGUAUUGGAAUAACUAAAAAAACAAAUGGCAUGAAAGAAAUGGAAGUUGUAAAUCAAUAAAGUAUAUGUACAAAAAUAUAAAAUAAAUAAUAUACAAGAAAUUGAAAUAACCAAAAAUUGAGUUAAAAAUAAAUACUAUGUGAGACAAUAAUAUUUAAACAAAUUUUAAAAUAAAUGUUGCAUAUGAGGAAAAUCAAAAUAAGUACUAUACAAAAUAAUAUACAUAUAUUAAUCUAAUAAGUGAUAUGUAUAAAGUGAAAACUCGAUAUAAAUAAUGAUAUAUGUAAUAAUAUGUAAAAGUUGAAAUAUACAAAAUAUAGAAGAGGGUAUUUUAAAGAAUGAAAUUAUAUACAUAUAAGUAGCUUUAAAAAAUAUAUUAAAAGGGGAACUAAAACAAAUCAUAGUUAUAAUAAUAUAAAAAUAAUAAUAUAUUCAUAGAAUAAAAAAUAUAUAGAUUAUAUAUAUAAAUAUAAUAAUAAUAUUGUAUGAGAAUACUAUCAUAUAAUUCUUUAAAAUGUAAAAAUAUAAAAGAAAAUUUUAAAAAUAAAUACAUUAUAAAAUAAGACUAAUAAAAUAAAAUACAUACCAAUUAUAUUAAGCCUAUAUAAAAAAAUAUACAUAAAAAUAAUAUUCGAUAGAUCUAAGUAAUGAUAUGAUAAGUUUAAAAUUAUAGUACAUGAUAAAUUUUACAUUAUGAUGUAUGAUAAAUUUAAAUAAUAUUAAUGAUAAUUUAAAAUAAUAGUAUAUGAUAUAUUAAAAUAAUACUAAUGAUAAAUUUAAAGCAAAGUUAAGCUUAAAUAUUAAAAUAAUACUAGAUUUAAAAAUAAAUAUAUCAAAAAUAAGAAUUAAUUAGAUUUAAAAUUAAACUAAUAAAAAAUAAAUUAGAAUUGAAACAUAAUUAAAAAGAGAGAAAAUAAAAUAAAAUAAUGGGUCAAAGAUUGAAUUGAAACUAAAACAAAAUUAAAGGGGCAACAAACAUAAUUAAAAAUAAAAGAAGGGCUAAAGUGCAGCGCGCGGAUAACAUGAGGGACCGAAAGGGAAAUAUUCCCAAUACCGAAAACGCAGCGCUUUAAUAUGGAUUAAAAUGAAACAAAAAUAAAUGAGGGAUUAUAUUUAAAAAGAAAUAAAAGGACUGGAUUGAAUUGCACUAGAAAUUCGGAAGGACCAAUUUCGAAAAUAACCCAUCUUCACGAAACACGCGGAUCCCCCGGGUCGGCUCAACAAGCGGAUCGACGGCUACUAAACGGCGUUUUUGGUACUAUCAAACCUCCCAAAACGGCGCCGUAUUAUGUUAUUACUUAAACAAGAUUUUUAACAAAAAAAAAGAACAUUUGCAGCAUAAGUUUUUUUGAAAAAAAGGUUGCAGCUCUUCUUCUCUGCUAGGGUUUCAACCCUAGUCCUAGCCGCCGCCAUUUCCGCCGCAUCAAACCCGAGCCCCAUCUAACUCCGAUUUGGACGGAGUAAACGGAGCCCUGACGGCGCUUUUAUGAAGGUACGAAACUGCCUUCUUCCUUCUCCUUUACCUUUUUCGCAUAUAUAUAUAUAAAAAGAAUAGCAAAUCAAAGAGAAAAGAAAUCAUAAAAAAAACUCAGAAUAUCACCUUUUAAAAAAAACUAAUGUAGUUUUUUAUUGCCCAUUUUUUGUAUUCAGUAUCCAACCCCCUACAUUGAAGCAAUCUGCUCUUUUUAUAGCCAGAUCUAAUGAAAUUACAAAGGUUUUUUAUUUUAUUUUAUUGCUAUUCCUCGUUUUCUUUGCCGUUAUUCCCUUAUGCUUCUAGUGUAUUCCUUUCUGUUUGUUGCUGUUGCAGGUACAGCUGGAGUGCACGUGGAAAACCUAAGAAGAUUACAAAAAUUCCAAAAUAAUAUAAAAAAGCUAAGGAAAACCUAGAAAUUCAAAAAAAACAAACGUCGACAUUCAAUUUGCUGUUUCACAUUCAAUUUUUGGAGAAGUAGAAUUAUUUAACUUAUUUUCCAUCAACUUCACUUCAAUUUUCAAUCACAAUCAAUUGCAUUCAAGAGCACCACAUCUUUUUGGAUGAAACAAAGCUCUCAAUUUUAAGAUAAACGGGUCUUUAGGGUUAUUAAUUGAGGGCCUUUUCCAUAAUUGCCAUCGCUAUUUACGGGUGAUUCGGGGAUAAUAACUUCAACAUUUGUGUAUCACAUUUAAUUCGAUUCCACAUUCAAUUUUUAGUUUUUAGAGAGAUGAUUGGAUUACAACAAUGGUUUGAAGUGAAGAUAUUUCAAAUGAAGAUGAAUAAUUUAAAAUUCAGGUUAUGUUUCAUUUUAACUAAGUUAAAUGUUAAGAUUGAGAUUAAACCUUUUAGAGGUUGCUCACAAAAGGAUAAGCCUUUAUAAAAGUGCUUAAAUGAAGGCCAAAUUUUUUAAAAUAGGCAAAUAAGGUCCUAACCUUUUAAAAGGUGUUUAAAUAAAGGCUUCUCAAAUGUUGUAUAUCAGGUUAUGUAUUUUACUCUAAACACAUCGACAUUUACCUAUUUUUUUCUAUAAACUGAGUUGAAGUGUGUGAAAAAUCCUUAUUUGAACACUUCUGUAAGGGUUAAACUCUUACUGAACCAUUUUGAAAGGUUUAGUCCUUAUGUAAGCAACCUCUAAAAGAAAUACCUAAAUAUGUUUUCAUGAAUCAAGAAAUUAAAAAAGAAAUGUUGAGAAAUAUUUUAGAGAUUCUUAGCUUUGACAAGUUCCCUCCACCAUCUCCCUGCCUCCAGUCCCACUCUUCUCUUAUGCUCCUCCCAGGUUCUUGCUUUUUGUGUGUUGAAAAUUCAAAUGAACUAAAUAUCAACCUACAUCAUAAGGCACGAAAAUAUCAACCUACAUCAUAAGGCACGAAGGCCAGAAAUUACUUGAGAUCUGACAACUUUAUUUCAUUUUCAUUUUCUGUUAUUUUCUAUGUUUCUUGUCAAAUACAAUGAAAGAAGAACAUAGAAAAAUGUUGCCUAUUUAUUUCCCAAUCAUCAUGAAAUUACUUGCCAUAGACUUAGAAUUUUCUCACCAAUUUUCAAGCAAUCUGACAUGAUUUCUCAAUCACAAUUAAUUGAAUUCAAGAUCUUUUUGGAUGACACAAACAUUUCAAUUUUAACACAAACCAAUAUUUAGGUUAUACUUCAGUGCUUGACAAGCACUGUCACAUUUAUGGGAUAAUAACUCUAACAUUUUAGGAUCACAGUUAUAUUUGACUUUAGCAUUGACAUGCUUUUUUAAUAAUUAAUCUUUUAUAACAAGGUAAAUAUAGCAUCGACAUGUUUUUGGUAGGGUCGAGCAAAACCCAAUUAAAACCGAUGAUAUUGUUAAAAUCAAUUUUAAAAUCAGUUAUAAUGGAUUAAGGUAAUUAAUUAUCGAGUAAUGAAAUGCAUAAUCAAAUCAACUGAUUUUGUUAGAAACUAAAAGAAAAAGGGUUCAGCUGAAAAAUUGAUUGCCCUAUAUUAAAAUUAACGAAUCCGAUUUUUACAUAUUAGAUAAUAUCAACAUCGCAUAUAUAAUAAGAAAAAUUACGUACAAUUAUUUAUUAUCAUAAAUGGUUAGUUUAAAUUUAAAGUAAUUUAAUAUGUUUAUUGAACAUCAACGUAUAAGCUAAAUAUGUGAAAAUAUUCUAGAAACCAUUUCUAAUUGAUGAUAGGCUAAUUCAGAAUUAAGAUUAAUAUAUAAAAACUAAAUAGUAGGGUUAUAAUCCUCAAAUUACACCUAAUUUAAUUUUUCCGACAUUCUAUUUUGGAAUAAUAGAAUCGCCUUCUUUAAAAAGAAUAUGUAUUUGUAAUAGGCCAAUUUUGGCCUGACUAAAAAUCAAAUAAAAUUAACAACCCAAUUGACCCAAUGCAACACCCAAUAACCAAGUUAGCCCAAAAUUAAAAAAACAAAAAACCCUAGAACCUUCAACCGCUGCUCUCCCACAUGCGCGCCUCCAGCCCCUUCCAUGUCACCCCACGAACGGCUUCUUCGGUAUGACGGUUUUACCUGCAAAAUAGGACCAUAAACAGCAAGAAAGAAGCACACUAUAGGCACGAUAGAAUAACAGAAAAGAAAUUGAAUAACGAGGGGGCAGAGAAAAAAAAGAUUUUUUUGAUUUGUUUAUUUUUUUUUCUUUUGGGUCGAUUCGGCGAUAUAUAAGGCCGAUCCCGAAUCUGUAAGGGGGAAUCUUGUGUUGAAAAGUAUUGAAGAAAACAGAAAACAGAGAAUAAAAAAAACAAUUUUGAAGGUAUUGAGUGGGUUUCGUUUUUCCUUUCUCUUUACCGUUUUGGUUCCUUUUUUAUUUUCUUCCUAAUUUCUUAAAACAAAUAAACGAAGUAACGAGGGAAAAAGAGAAGUUUCUUACCAGCAGAGGCGCGCCGUCGGCAUUCUUGCUGGUUUUCGGCGUGAGGAGCAAAGGAGAAGAUGAAGCAGCCCUUGCGGCUGCUGUUGCUGAAAAUGAAAUGGGGUUUUGAUUAGGGUCUGAAAUGGGUUUUAUCGGCAGCAAAUGAAAUGGGGUUUUAUUUAUGGGUUAUUUAUGUUUUUAAUCUUUUUUAUUUUUCUAUCAUUUCAAAACCAUUGUUCUUAAAUUUUUAUUUUUUUUCUUUCCUUUAAUGAAAUAUUUUACCUUUUCAUUUUACUCUAGUGCUGUGCAGAAUUUUGAAAGUGGGAUUAUUUUCCCUUUUGACCCUUCAUGCUUAUGAGCAAUUUACAAAUUAGCCCUUCUGUUUUUUUUACACUACUAUUAUUAUUAUUAUUAUUAUUAUUAUUAUUAUUAUUAUUAUUAUUAUUAUUAUUAUAGCCAUAUAUUUAUACGCAUAUACACUAUAUCAUAUAAAUGCAUAUAUAUUUUAUGAUACGUAUUCAUUUUCUAUAUAUUAUAUAUAUACAUACGUAUUUUUACACAUAUAUAUACAUGUUUUUGUAGUUUAUUUAUAUAUUGUACUUAUACAUUUUUAUAUAUUUUGUAAAUAUAUAUAUAUAUGUACAUAUCUUAAAGUACACAUACUUUUAUAUACUCCUAAAUAUCAUAAUUCUUGUAACCGUAUUUAUAAAUAUACUUCCUUACAUAUAUUUUUAUUUCAUAAUUUUAAAAUAUAUAUACAUACAUAUAUUCCUUAUAUUUUAUGUACAUACACAUACAUAUGUAUAUUAAAUUUUUCAUAUAUUUCAUGGUUUUGUUGUUUCACAACAUGUCUAUCUUCUUAUACCCAUUUAAUUACGAAAGUUUUAAUUCAACUCGUUUUUUUACUGUUUUUUUUUUUACAUUAGUUGACUCGUUUUUAUUUUAUGUUGCUUUAUUUUAUUUUAUUUUAUUUUAUCUUCUAUUGGUUUGUGCUCAUGCUUUUCUCUUUAGCAUUUUAAAAUAUGUUUGUAUUUGUUUUUUAAAAAAAUGUUUCAUUUUUUAUUGAAGCAUGAAAAUUAUUUUAUUUCUUAAAUUUUUAAAAUAUUUGGCAUUCACGUUUUUCGAGAAAGAUCGUGUCCUAACUUACUGGGCUUCAAUUCUUUCGAUGGAUUUAGAGAGCCAAGUAUUUAUUUUGCAAUAAAAUCACACAAAUAUCAAAUAAAAGCUUAUUCUCAGGAAUCCAAAAAUGUCGGGUCCUAACUUACUGGUCAUGACAUUUUAUUAUCUCGAAAUAAGAUUUUCUAAGACAAAAGGUCAUAUUCGGUAUUUGGAAUUUUGAGAAAUUGUGUCCUAACUUACUGGGUUUUGAUUUUCUUAAUUUGACCUAAAUAACCGAAUAUUCUUAGAUUUAACUGUAUGAGUUUUAAAAUCAAUAGACAAACUUAAUUUUGAAGAUUUAAAAAUAUGGUGCCCUAACUCACUGGGUGUGAUGUUUUAUUUCUCUGAAAUAAGAAUGUUUUAUUAUUUUAAUCCAUUCACGAGUUAAAAGUUUUCUCUUAAAAUCUUUUCAAAUUUUCGACACCAAGACAUUAAACAAUCAAUUCGGUAAUUUGGGCAUUACGAAGGUGCUAACCCUUCCUUGUGCGUAACUGACUCCCGAACCUGUUUCCUAAAAUUUCGUAGACCAAAUUUAUUUUUUUUAGGCGAGCUGAUCACACCUCAGUAAAGGACCGGUGGCGACUCCAAUUUUCGUUUUAAAAGUCGAUAACUAAUUUUAUUUUUCAAAAAAUGGUUUCGACAACUUGGCGACUCCACUGGGGACAUGUUAGAGAGUCGAGCCAUGAAUUGAUUAUUUUUGUCUUUUUUGUCGAAAAUCAAAAUGUUGUUUUAAAUCGUGAUUCCCCUUUGUAUUCAUUAGUUUUCAUCAUGAUAUGCUUGCUUAAUUGGUCUAAGUCUGUUAGUUUAUUUGCAUUAUGCAUUUCAUGGUCAAUUUUACCCCUCUAAGUGGGAGUGAGAAACUAGUCCUUCGUGAGGUUUUCACCUCCGUGCAGGAUAGUGGAUUGCUUUCGGGAUACAUCCGUACUUAUGUCUUUGUGAGAUUUUUAUCUUCGUGUAGCCAUAGGAAAAUGUAUCCCCCUGAACCGAACUCGAUCUAUAUGAGCCUAUAAUGGGUGAAGAUUGAUGAAUCUGCUGGUUCGGGUACCCUUGCUCUAGAAGCCAAACUUCAUAUAGUGAACCUUAGGAACUCACCCUAGGUAGAAUUACUUUGAACCUUAGUAGAUACCCGACUAGGAGUUUUUAUUAUUUUUUAAUUGUAUUGGAUUUGAUGUUUAUACCUGAUACUAACUUGUUGUGUUUUGUUUUGAAUGCAUGACAUUUUGAAUGCAUGGCAUUUCAUUAUAGAAAAAAGGUGUUGGUUCACGUUCAGUUGCUAAAUAGAGAGCUUGUUAUGGAAAACGAAUUUCUUGAUAAAGUGGAAAACAAUACGGCUACAUGAAUAUAUUCCGAGAAACACAAGAAAGGUGAUGGAGGAAUACAUGUUACUUUGUGGCUCGAGGAUUCAAGCUGAUUAUUUAAGAGUUUUUGACAUUCUAACUUCCUUAAAGAAGAUGAGGAGUAUUACGGGGAUGGGCAGACGAUGGAUCAUAACCAGGAUCAAGCAAAAGAAGAUAGAGGAGGCACCCUUUUGAAGAAUUCGCAAGGUUUAUCUUAGCAUUCGGAUGAAGAAAGAGAAGAUGUCCCUGCUUGGAGUAUGAGGGCAAAGCCGUAUAUAUACCGCUUUAUGUAAAGAAAUUUGUCUUUUAGUAAAGUUUUCUAAAUGCAAUUGAAUCAGAAUCAACGUCUCUUUAUGCAUUCAUUUCAUGCAUUUGCAUUACAUGACAUCAUAUGCAUUAAAAUCUAUUAAAAGGGCUUAAUUGAGUAAAAUUAUUUCAGUUAAUUUAGAAAACCGACACCCUUAUGGCACCCAAGCAAAGACUAGAGAAAUGGACCAAAGGUUGGAAAAAUUAGAGCGAAUGCAAAUAUAGAUGCAGGAGCAACUAACCAAAUUUCAACAGGAAAUGAGAGAUAUGAUGAUAAGAUUACAGAGAGCUAUGACGAAUCAGUUAACUCGGUUGCUAGCUGGAGAGUUAGAAAAAGGGAAAGACUCGAUGGUUUAUUGUGGGGUUGAUAAUGAGGAUCUUGCCUAUUCCCUAGGUAGUACUCCAAUAAGUGUCCAGGUCUAGCCAGAUGGGCGUCCGCAUGGGGCACUCUUUACUAUCAAAUCCUAAUAGUAUCAAACUGGUACAUCGACACCAGUGAGUUGCUUGACAGGCUCAGGAUCCAAUCUAAGGAACAAUUUAGCUAAUCCUGUUGCUCUUGAAAAUCCAGCCGAAAUAAAGCAGGCAAGGGUAGAGUACUCAGAUACUAUAAGAGCCCUAAGGAAGAAGGGGAAUAAUGGGGAUAAUGAAGGCAGAUAUAACAAGGGCCACUCAAAACCAAUCACUAUGGGCUGGACAAAGAUAGAAAUCACCAGCCAUCAGAGCCCUUUAAAGCGAGAAUCUUACACGAAGACAAAUAUAGAAAGGCUUCAGUUCACGCCUAUACCGAUGUCAUAUAGUGAGCUAUAUCAAAUCUUAUUUAAUGCACAUGUGGUGUCCCCCUUCUACUUGAAACCCAUGCAGCCCCCAUUUCCUAAAGGAUACGAUGCAAACAUCCAGUGCGAAUAUCAUGCAGGAAUCACGGGGCAUUCGAUAAAAAACUGCACCGCAUUCAAGAAGCUAGUUGAAAGGUUCAUCAAUAGGGGUAUUGUAAAGUUUGAUGACUCAUCUAAUCUGCUAUCCAAUCACAUUGAUAGUGGGGUAAGAGUGAGAGCAAGAAAGGGAUUAGCUAUUUCUGAAUUAAGAGGAAAUCAUAGAAAGACAAUGAACUAUCGUGAGUUCCAUCACGAGGAGGGAUACGAGACCCAAGAGAGUGUGGAACUCAAGGCCUUGGUUCCGGGCAUGAUAGAUGACAAAGAGAUGGAGUUUUCUAAGGAAAUUAAAGAAGUGAGAAAUAUACACACAAUGUUGGGAAGUGUUCACAUCAAUGCCAUAUAUGAAGACACACUUGAAAAUGGACCUUGUUAGAUAUCUACUCUUAUAAACUUAGGAGUGUUCUAAAUAAUCAGAUUGUAGAAGAAAUUUUUGUAGCAUCUAGAGUUUACUUAGAGUAAUGUUCAGAAAACACUUGUUACUUUUAGCCUAGAGGCAAUAAGAAUUCUUUUAUGAAAUAGGCUCAUGUUUGAACGUCGUUAUUCUAAUAAAAUACAUCUUUGCAUUUAUUUUUGAGCCAAUAUCCUUUCAUUCUUUUUGAAUAAUUUUUCUUUCAUUCUUUUGGAUUUUCUUCCAAAUCAUUCAUUCAUUCAUUCAUAAUCACUGUACAAAUAACUAUUCAUACUUCAUACAUUCUUUGUAUAUUCUUUUAUACUUAUAAUAGGUCCCUAGAUAUCAAUGUCAUGAGUGACACUGCUACAAUUUAGAAUCUCCUUUUGAGCAAGACAUGUGUUUAGAGGGAUCUCAUAACUUUGAAGAUGACAUAGACCGUGGCCUAUCUCCGGACUUGUUGAGGAUGGUAAAGCAGGAAAAGAAACAAAUUUACCUCAUGAGGAGACAAUGGAGAUUGCGACCUUGAGGGAACAUGCAUAACCAAAGAAAUAAAUGAGGACCUUAUUGAGUUACCUCAAGAGUUCAAAGAUAUCUUCACAUGGUCAUACCAGGAUAUGCCCGAGUUAAGCAUUGAUAUUGUAAUCUGAGCAACAGCAUGACGUCAAAAUUUGCAGUAUGUUUAAGAUUAACAUCAUGAACGAUGCAGUUAGAAUUCUUUACCAGGGCAAUGUCUUAUUUUUUAGCUCAUCAUAGUUUUGCCCGUUGAAGUUAAGUUUCCAUUUCUCUGUAUUUUUUGGAUUUCAUCCUAAUUGAAGAGGAAGAUCAAAAGUUUUUUCGUCAUAGUUAAAUUUCGCCCUAAAAGGCUCUAUGAGAGCAACCUGAUACCAAUGAAGAUCUUUCGCAUACAAAAUAAAAGUAGAAGAUUUUAUGUGAAAGACCUUAUCUAGAAUAACAUUGAUUCUGAUCGAAAGGGAUGACUAGGACUUGUCUAAUCUUAUGAGUGCAGUUCUUUCAAAAAAAUAAAAAAAAUAAAAAAAUAAAUAAAAAGAAAGGAAAGGAAAAAAGAAUAAAAAACAAAAACAAAAGAAACAAAAUCUCUAUCAGGGCAAUACUUUUCUCUUUAGCUUAUCGCGAUUUUUCCAUUGAAGUUGAAAUUCUUUCUCACCGGGUAUAGGCUGUGCUGAAGUAGAAUGGAGAUCCAAUCUCGAUGAUCAGUCGAACCUGAUAAAAAGAAAAGGGCUAAAAGCUGUUCAUCACGGUCAGAUGUACUAGAAACGGACGAUGCGAGCCAUUAACAAAAAGGUUCGUCCUAGAAAAUUUUGCGAGGGGGACCUAGUGUUGAAAAGAUUCUUCCUCUACAGAAGGAUUUUAGAGAAAAAUGACUGCCAAAUUGGGAAGGUCCUUAUGUUGUAAAGAAGACCUUUUCUAGAGGAGCACUGAUCUUGAGUGAGAUGGAUAGUACAAAACUUAUCGAAUCCUGCAAACUUAGAUUCAGUCAAGAAAUACUUCACUUAAAGAAGGAGAAAUGACCAAGGUGAAAACCCACAAAGGGCACUUUGAGUCUUAAAAAAAUGAAAAAAUGAAAAUGAAAUGGAGAGGUUAAGGUGAAAACCCGCAAAGGGUGCCUUAGACCAAAGGGGAUUUGAGUUGAAAACCCAAAAAGGGCAGCUCAAAUUUUGAUCAGAAUAAGCCAUGAGGUGAUCAGGGUUACUCGAGUGUUGAUCAAAGUGGGGCAUGCGGUGAUCUUGCUUUGCCUGAAUCAGCAGAAAAGGGUAUGCGACAUCUUGGAGCAUCGGAAAAGUAUUGUAGAUCUCCUAAGUACAUGUCAAACUUGGAAUGGUCUUCAGAAAGUUUGUACAGAGAGUUCAAGCUAUGAUAUCUGAGGCACCUAGCCUUCAUACUAUUUAUAUUGAAUUGUUUAUUCUUGGAAUACUUCAUUCUUUUUCAAGAGACAAGUCAAUUCCUCUUUUACUCGCAAUAUUAUUGAUAAUUUAUUCAUUUCAAGCUAUGCUCUCAAAUCAAUUCUAUUUUUUUCAUUGUUUUGUUCUUUUUUGCAAGUAUGUUGCAUUAGAAUAAUGAUUAAUGGACUAAUAAAACUUUCACAAGGGAAGUUUUACAUAUUACUCUAGCAGUCUAAAUAAUACAAGAUUUUAAAAAAAGGACUAUUGUUUAGAACGCACUAAGUUUAACGGUUGAAAUAUCUAGGAAGGAAUAGUCUAAAUUGAGACUAUCCCUUCAUAUUUUGUUGUCAAAGCAUUGAUUAAACAAAAUGACAAGAUGUCGUGUCGGUGAUAAGGCUUCAAUGAACAAGCAAGCAAUGAUCACCAAGCAAUAGGAUGAGGUUUCCUCGGAGAAGAAAGCCUUUAUUUGUGCAUGGGCAUUUGGUAUGACACCCUGGGAAUGGUGGAAAGGACCAAAGAGCUUCACAUUCUGUAUCCCUGAACUAUGAUAGGAGAGGAUUGAGAAAGGACCAGAUUUUUUUACCCUUGGGUUACAGCGGGAGAAUGAUGGUACAAAUGUUGCAUCCCAGUGGAUUGAAUUUUGAAGUUCACAGUGGGAAGCAAUUUGAUUAAGUGUUUUUUAGAGAUGCCAGCCGAGCAAGAAGGUGUUUUAGCACGUUAGUGAUAAAGCCUUAAUAAACUUCGAGUAAUGACAACCUAAGCGGGAUCAUUCUCAAAAGAAUAAUAUUCUAUAUUCAUGCAAAUGUCAUUCAUACACGUUUAGUUAGGAGCAUUUGAUUCAUUCUGAUCAUGACAUCCUAAUCACUAGGCAUAAUUAGGUUCAUAAUUGAAUUAUACAGGUCAUGCUCCCCAGAGAAUAAACCGAAGAUACCAGCCUUGUCUCCCUGGGCAGUAGUGGAGUAGGUUGAAAAUAGCAGAUAUUGUCUUCCUGUAUUGGCAGCGAAGUAGAUCGAAGAUACCAGCCUUGUCUCCUUGGGCAGUAGUGGAGUAGGCUGAAAAUAGAGAUCUUGUUUUCCUGUAUUGGCAGCGAAGUAGAUCGAAUAUCCCAACCUUGUCUCCCUGGGCAGUAGUGGAGUAGGUUGAAAAUAGCAUAUCUUGUCUUCCUGUAUUGGCAUCGAAGUAGAUCGAAGACUUCAGCCUUGUCUCUAUGGGCAGUAGUGGAGUAGGUUGAAAAUAGCAGAUCUUGUCUUCCUAUAUUAGCAUCGAAGUAGAUCGAAGACUUCAGCCUUGUCUCUAUGGGCAGUAGUGGAGUAGGUUGAAAAUAGCAGAUCUUGUCUUCUUGUAUUAGCAGUGAAGUAGAUUGAAGACCUCAGCCUUGUCUCCCUGAGCAGUAGUGGAGUAGGUUGAAAAUAGUAGAUAUUGUCUUCCUGUAUUAGCAGCGAAGUAGAUCGAAGACCUCAGCCUUGUCUCCCUGAGCAGCAAUGGAGUAGGUUGAAAAUAGCAGAUCUUGGCUUCCUGUAUUGGCAGCGAAGUAGAUCAAAGACCUCAGCCUUGUCUCCCUAAGCAGUAGUGGAGUAGGUUAAAAAUAGCAUAUCUUGUCUUCCUGUAUUGGCAGUGAAGUAGAUCGAAGAUACCAGCCUUAUCUCCCUAAGAAGCAUUGGAGUAGGUUGAAGACGGCAAAUCUUGUCUUCCUGUACUGGCAGAGAAGUAGAUCGAAGGUACCGGCCUUAUCUCCUUGAGAAGCAGUGGAGUAGGUUGAAGAUAGCAGAUUUUGUCUUCCUGUACUGGCAGAGAAGUAGAUCGAAGACGCCAGCCUUAUCUCCCUGAGAAGCAGUAGAGUAGGUUGAAGAUAGCAGAUCUUAUCUUCUUGCACUGGCAGUGAAGCAGAUCGAAGACACCGACUUUGCCUCCCUGGGUUUACAGCAGAGUAGGUUGAAAAUAGCAGAUCUUGCCUUCCUGUACUGGCAGCGAAGCAGAUCGAAGACACCAGUCUUAUCGCCUUGACGUUGCAAUGGAAUAGAUUGAAGCCACGACAACCAACAUUACUUCUCUAGCGUUGCAGCGGAGCAGAUUGAAGCCACGACGGCGAAUCUUAUCUCCCUGGCGUUAAGACUUGGAUUUGUUGAAGUGGAGUGGAUUAAACCUGUGGGCAGCGAAUCCUAUUUCUUUGGCAUUACAGUGGAAUAGAUUGAAGCCACAACGGUGGAUCUUAUUUCUCUGGUGGUGUAAUGGAAUAGGUUGAAGUCGAGACGGCGAAUCUUGUUUCCCCAACAUUGUAGUUAAACAAAUUGAAGUAAAUAAUCCUAUCUCAUUGAAGUUACAGUGGAGUGGAUUAACAUUAGAUCUUAUCUCUCUGAAGUUGUAGAAGAGCAGAUCGCAUCAAAUCUUAUCUCCCUGAAGUUGCAGUGGAACAGAUUGAAGAAAUCAAUCCUAUCUGCCUGAAGUUACAGUGGAGUGGAUUAAAAUCAGGUCUUAUCUCUCUGAAGUUACAGAAGAGCAGAUCGCAUCCAGUCUUAUCCCCCUAAAGUUGCAGUGGAGCAGACAGAAGAAAGUAAUCUUAUUUCCCUGAGGUUGCAGUGGAGUGGAUUAAAAUCACAGAUCUCACCUCUCUAGAGUUGCCGUAGAGUGGAUCGCAUCAGACUUAUCUCUAAAGUUGUAGUAAAACAAGUUGAAGCUAUGAGUCUUAUCUCUCUGAAGUUGUAGUGGAGCAGACUAGAGAUAGCAAAAUUUUCUCUUUUGAGAAACUACAAGGUACAAGUCCUAUCUCCUUGAUGUUGCAGUGGAGUGGAUUAAAGCACCGAUUCCUAUACCUCUGAAGACGCAGUAGGUUGGAAUGAAGCUACUUGAAGAGCACCAAAGUCCAGCACGACUAGGCAAAAUUGGUCAUUUCUAAAGUCUUUGCUCUGUUCUCGUUACACGAUAACGAGCAAAGAGGGGCAGCUGUAAUAGGCCAAUUUUGGCCUGGCUAAAAAUCAAAUAAAAUUAACAACCCAAUUGACCCAAUGCAACACCCAAUAACCAAGUUAGCCCAAAAUUAAAAAAACAAAAAACCCUAGAACCUUCAACAGCUGCUCUCCCACAUGUGUGCCUCCAGCCCCUUCCAUGUCACCCCACGAACGGCUUCUUCAGUAUGACGAUUUUACCUGCAAAAUAAGACCAUAAACAGCAAGAAAAAAGCACACUAUAGGCAUGAUAGAAUAACAUAAAAGAAAUUGAAUAACGAGGGGGCAGAGAAAAAAAGAUUUUUUUAUUUGUUUAUUUUUUUCUUUUGGGUCGAUUCGACGAUAUAUAAGGCCGAUUCCGAAUCUGUAAGGGGGAAUCUUGUGUUGAAAAGUAUUGAAGAAAACAAAAAACUGAGAAUAAAAAAAACAAUUUUGAAGGUAUUGAGUGGGUUCCAUUUUUCCUUUCUCUUUACCGUUUUGGUUCCUUUUUUAUUUUCUUCCUUCUUUUUUAAAACAAAUAAACAAAGUAACGAGGGAAAAAGAGAAGUUUCUUACUAGCAGAGGCGCGCCGUCGGCAUUCUAGCUGGUUUUCGGUGUAAGGAGCAAAGGAGAAGAUGAAGCAACCCUUGUGGCUGCUGUUGCUGAAAAUGAAAUGGGGUUUUGAUUAGGGUCUGAAAUGGGUUUUAUUUGCUGCAAAUGAAAUGGGGUUUUAUUUAUGGGUUAUUUAUGUUUUUAAUCCUUUUUAUUUUUCUAUCAUUUUAAAACCAUUGCUCUUAAAUUUUUAUUUUUUUUCUUUCCUUUAAUGAAAUAUUGAAACCGUUUCUACUCUAGUGCUGUGCACAAUUUUGAAAGUGGGAUUAUUUUCCCUUUUGACCCUUCAUGCUUAUGAGCAUUUUACAAAUUAGUCCUUCUGUUUUUUUUACACUACUAUUAUUAUUAUUUUUAUUAUUUUAAAUUAUUAUUAUUAUUAUUAUUAUUAUUAUUAUGGUAUUAUUAUAGCCAUAUAUUAUACGUAUAUAUUUAUACACUAUAUCAUAUAAAUGCAUAUAUAUUUUAUGAUACGUAUUCAUUUUCUAUAUAUUAUAUAUAUACCUACAUAUUUUUACACAUAUAUACAUGUUUUCGUAGUUUAUUUAUAUAUUAUACUUAUACAUUUUUAUAUAUUUUGUAAAUAUAUAUAUGUACAUAUCUUAAAGUACACAUACUUUUAUAUACUUCUAAAUAUCAUAAUUUUUGUAACCGUAUUUAUAAAUAUACUUCCUUACAUAUAUUUUUGUUUCAUAAUUUUAAAAUAUAUAUACAUACAUAUAUUCCUAAUAUUUUAUGUACAUACACAUACAUAUGUAUAUUAAAUUUUUCAUAUAUUUCAUGGUUUUGUUGUUUCACAAAAUGUCUAUCUUCUUAUACCCAUUUAAUUACAAAAGUUUUAAUUCAACUCGUUUUUUUACUGUAUUUUUUUUACAUUAGUUGACUCGUUUUUAUUUUAUGUUGCUUUAUUUUAUUUUAUUUUAUCUUCUAUUGGUUUGUGCUCAUGCUAUUCUCUUUAGCAUUUUAAAAUAUGUUUGUAUUUGUUUUUUAAAAAAAUGUUUCAUUUUUUAUUGAAGCAUGAAAAUUAUUUUAUUUCUUAAAAUUUUAAAAUAUUUGGUAUUCAUGUUUUUCGAGAAGGAUCGUGUCCUAACUUACUGGGCUUCGAUUCUUUCGAUGGAUUUAGAGAGCCAAGUAUUUAUUUUGCAAAAAAAUCACAAAAAUUUCAAAUAAAAGCUUAUUCUCGGGAAUCCAAAAAUGUCGGGUCCUAACUUACUGGUCAUGACAUUUUAUUAUCUCGAAAUAAGAUUUUCUAAAACAAAAGGUCAUAUUCGGUAUUUGGAAUUUUGAGAAAUUGUGUCCUAACUUACUGGGUUUUGAUUUUCUUCAUUUGACCUAAAUAACUGAAUAUUCUUAGAUUUAUCUGUGUGAGUUUUAAAAUCAAUAGACAAACUUAAUUUUGAAGAUUUAAAAAUAUGGUGCCUAACUCACUGGGUGCGAUGUUUUAUUUCUCUGAAAUAAGAAUGUUUUAUUAUUUUAAUUCAUUCACGAGUUAAAAGUUUUCUCUUAAAAUCUUUUCAAAAUUUCGACACCAAGACAUUAAACAAUCAAUUCGGUACCGAUUUUGGGCGUUACGAGGGUGCUAACCCUUCCUCGCGUGUAACUGACUCCCGAACCUGUUUUUUAAAAUUUCGUAGACCAAAUUUUUUUUUUAGGUGAGCCGAUCACACCUCAGUAAAGGACCGGUGGCGACUCCAAUUUUCGUUUUUAAAGUUGAUAACUAAUUUUUGUUUUUAAAAAAUGGUUUCGACAGUAUUAAUUUAAAAAUUUAAUACUAUCAAUAAAUUUAGAUGCAUUAUUAAGUACCAACUAAACAAUACUUAAAUAUAGAUGUGUUUUAUAGAAAAAAGUUAUCAACUUAAAGAAGUUGCAACAAAAAUUUAAAAAAUUCAUUUAUCAAACGAAUAUUUAAAACAUAUAAUCUAAACUGUGACAUAAUAAAACACAUGAGCAUAACUUGGAUUUACCAAAAAUCUAUGUAUUUUUCUAAAUUUUAAAUUUUAGUCCCUAUAUUUUAAUUUAGAGACAUUGAGUCACUAUACUUUUUUAUUUAAAAAUCUUGGUCCCUUCAUCAAUUUUAUAAUUAUAAUGGUUGAUUUAGUUGUUGUAAAAAAAGGUAGAAUAACUUUUUUAGCCUUAAACAUUUGCAGUUUUUGUUAAUUUGGUCCUUACUCUUUAAAAUUACAUAAAAAUUGAAAAAAUAUUUUAAAAAUUAAUUUAUUUCGUAUUUUUAAAAACAUUUAUAGUUUUUUUUUGUGGUUUGGUAACUUAUCAACUCGACUCUUAAUUGUAACCAACUCUUUUGACCUUUUUCGUACCCUUAACCUAAGCCCCGUUACAACUUUCUAAAGACCUCUUGACUGGUGUAUCAUCUCGAUUUGUUUUUAUAGUGGUGGAAAUUUGGUUUUCAAGCAAGCCUAUAAUAAUCACAUUUUUCGUUCGACUGUUGACCACACAGUACUUGAACCUUAAACACUUUGAGUGUUUUGAGUGAAUCUUAGUUAGGGUAUUGAUUAUUGUUGAGUUUGAAUUUCAGUUAAUUCUUGAGAUAGAGGAGACACCUGUGUUUUUUGUGCUUUACAAAUUUCUGCUUAGAUUGCUUUUAUUCUUUAGUCUCAUUCUAGUUUCAAUUUCUAGUGCAUGAUUAUCUGUAGAUUAUUCCUAAGGCAUUGUCAGUGAAAAUAAUAAAUUGAGGGAGAUUAACUUGAAUAAGGGUUGAGAAUUUUGCUUAAGGACAAAUGAAUGCUUAAAUGUAGGGAUAUUUGAUAAGUGCUAAAAUUAAUAUGUUUUAACAUCAUUCUUAAUGUGGUUUUGGUUGAUUAUUCGAUGUUAAUUUUGAAAUUUAUGCUCCUAGUCCUUUCAAUUCGUGUUUUUAUGUUAAUAGAACAUUUGGGAGGAAAAUGAGCAAAAAUCAGAAAAUGGGGACAAACUAUAGGACCCACACGAGCUGACCUAUUCCACAUGUGGCAGGCCGUGUCGAUUUCGUAGAUUUGCACUCUGAACUGCGAAAAAUGUGAAUUUUAAGUUCUUCGAGCAUUUUAAGACAUAUAUAUGAAAAAAAAUAAGAAGAUAGGAGAGAACCUUCCUAGAAUAUUUAAGAAAACAACUCCAAAGACACCAUUGAAGCCCACUCUGAAGUAAAUUUUCAUCAAGAUUAACGAUUUCCAGUUGAUUUCUUAUGAGAUUAUCAUGAGUUUCUUUAUUUCUUUCGGUUAUAUUGCCCUUUAGAUGUUUUAUUUUUAAGCAUGAACUAAUUUUCUAAAUACCUAAGAGAGAUGAACCCUAUGAUAGAUUGUGACUCCCCAAAUCUGACCGGGAUAGACCGGCCCAAAUUCGAAAUAUUACAUUAGCCACCUAAGUGACUCUCCAGCUAAUGACCACCCAAGACACACCCCGACCUUAUAAAACCUCAAUAUUAUCUAAUUAUUAGUUAUUUAUUAAUGCAAAAGUAAAUUAUGUGUCAAUUUUAAACUUUUCCUAGGUAAUUUAACCUAAGGGCAAUUUCAUCAUUUUACCACCUAAAACUAACCUGAUUUUAGAUCUAAGUGUUUACCAACCUUCUUUUAGUCAAAUCACGCAAGCCUAAAAUUUUCAACUUAAUUUGAUUUCGUUUACUAUGUCUAAUUCAAGUUUUAUUAUUAGGGACUAAAUUGUAACUUAAACAAAUUAGAAUACCAAUUUAAAGAGACAAAAUUUCAAAAUUCCAAAACCCACACGGGUAUGUGGGUAAGUGACAUGGGCGUCUGGAGACUAGAGCAAUCACACACGAGCAUGUGGGAUUGAAAAAAAUGAAAUAAAUUAUUCCACUCAAUUUUCCGACAACCAUGCUAUACUACCAAACCAAAUAAUGCUUCAAGCUUUGAAUAUGGUCGAAUCUAAAAUUUCUUUUAGAGGAAUCAGAAUUAAAUUAUAAAAUUUUGAGAAGUUAAAAUAUAAUUUUAUCAUGUAUUAAUUUAUUAUUUUUUAAAGGGACUUAAUAGAAUUUUUUUUCCCCAUUUUGGUUGGGCCAAUACCCCUGCCUACCUCUUUAAAUUUGCUCCAACCCUAAACCUAAUAUUCGAGUUCGAUUAACAACAAUAUAUAGUUUAGUAUUUGUGGAAGUUUGACGAAGAAAAUUUUUUUUAGAGGUUUAAAUUAUAAAUUUUUGAAACAUUAAAAUAAAUUUGUAUUUUUAAUUACCUUUGGGAUCAUACGGGUGAUUUUGAUGAUGUUAAUGGUUAUUUGGUGGAGAAGGUGAAAAAGAAACAAAUGAUUCAUUAUAUAUAAUAUAAUUAUGAAAUUCAAGCCAUAUAUUGUAUGUUUCAUACAUAAAAAUUUCAUGGGACGUCCAAAGGUAAUUAAAUGACUUGUAGGCUUGCUGAAUUUCUUUGAAAGGCCCAAAGGCUAUUUAACAUUCACAAAAUAAUCUCUAAAUACUGUAAAGACAAAUCAAAUUCACAAUUGCAUUAGAGUCGAUUAAGCUAAGCAUUGGCAAAUAUUACUUUGAUUUUGCAUGCAAUAUUGGCAAAACCCCCUCUUACAUUUGAAAAACAACAUAAUCCAUGAAACAUUGAUAGCCCAAUACAAAUUUCAUCGGGAAAAAGGUCUCUUUGUUUUGUAGAACAUGUUAGUAAAGAUGUGGAGUUUCGUUCUUCUUAUUGGCCUCCUUUAGCUUUCCUUGUUCAACAACCACUAGCCAAAAACACAGUUAGAUUAGAUUAUGAAUGAUACUUUUAACUAUGACAAUAUUAAAUACAAAACACUCUAAAUAACUCUAAAUAAAUGGAAAGCAGCAAAUUACUUGACGAGGCAAGCUAGCUCAAUUAAGACCAUUGUGUUAUUCUUGUCUCUGAAUUGAAAAAUUUAGAAGGAAAUAAAGAGAAAGACUUAGAAAAUACUUGAAAACAGAUAAAACUUAUAUGUCAUUUAAAAUAAAAAAAUUUCUAUUUAAGCCGUUUAAAAUUUUUAAGAUUUUUAAAAUUUUAAAAUGAUAAAGGUAAAAUUAUACUUUGGCAUCCCAAAAAUGAUAAAACUUUGAUUUAAUCCUUUAGAAAUUAUAAAAAUAUAGGCUAUUAAAAUGAUAAAAUUACAUUUUUACUAUAGUAAAAAUUACAAUUUAAUUUCACCCCUAAAAGGAUUUUCUGGGUUCGCCCCUAACAAAGAUUAAAAUAAAAUUAUACCGUAAAUGGAAAAAGAAACUAAGAAAAUCCAAUCUAACAAAGAAAAUAACUUGAUGUCCAAAAGCUACCAUAAACCGUAAUUCAUGGGAAGGCUUGUUGCUUAUUUUAUUGGUUUCCAUUUUGAUUUGCAAAAGAAGUUUGAAUUUUGAAGAGAGCCUACUACGUGAGAGCAAAAGCAAAAAAAAUAGUUUAUAUGAUUAAAAUUCCAGAAUAGAUUAAAAAUGUUGAAUUAAAGAUAAAAUUAAGUGUGAAUUAAUAACCACAAGUUUACUCAUUACUCACCAUCUCUGUUAAAAAUGUUGGAUGCUGUUUAGCAACCUUUGUUUGAUUUUCUUCAGCUCAACCACAACAUCUUUCAUAUCUUUUCUUUCUUCUGGCAACUCAGCUGAACAAUUCAAAGCCAACUCCAUGAUAGAUGAAAUACAAUUUGCUUUAACAGCAAUGUACUCAUCCUCUCUUCUUAAUAAAUCAACAUCUGCAAUUUCUAUGGCUCCUUUAGGCAAUGAACUUUCCAUCCAAUGCCUCAUAGUCUCUUCUUCAACAAAAACAUUAUCAGUGGGCUUUUUCUUUGUGAAAGUUUCUAUAAGGACGAUCCCAUAACUAUAGACGUCAGAUUUUAUAGAAACAAGUCCUGCUGAUCCAAAUUCUGCAUUUCAAGUAUAAUUAGAACAUCAUCAAUCCUCAAUUAUUUCUAAGAUGCUUAUUCAAAUAUAUAUCCACAUACACAAGAAACAAAAAUAUAAAAUGCAAAUUAGGAAAAUAAUCGUACAAAAAUAAAAAAGAAUUCACCUGGUGCCAUAUACCCGAUAGUUGCAAGAGUCAUGGUUUGCUUCAUUACUUCACCUUCUCCCAACAAUUUGGCAACGCCAAAAUCUCCAACAUGUGCAACCAUGUCUUCAUCUAGUAAAAUAUUGCUUGGUUUUAUGUCACAAUGAAUUAUAGGUGUUGGAUGUCCAUUGUGGAGGUGUUCUAUAGCUACCGCAACAUCUAUCAUUAUGUCGACCCUUUGUAUGAUAUCAAGGAAACAAUUUUCAGAAUGUAACCAUUUCUCAAGGUUUCCAUUAGACAUGUAAUCAAGCACCAAGGCUUUGAAGUCAACACUUGAGCAGCAAGUAAUGACCUUCACAAUAUUACGAUGAACUAUAUUAAGCAUAGCAUCACAUUCAAUGUCAAAACUCCUAAAUGCUCCCUCUGUUUGCAAAUUGAAAACUUUUAUUGCAACUUCCAUUCCAUCUGAAAGCCUCCCUUUAUAUACAUAUCUAAAACUCCCUGAACCAAGCAUAUUGCUUUCCCCAAAUCCAUUAGUUGCUCGGGAAAGCUCAGCAUGUGAAAUUCUUCUCCGUGUUUUCAAAGACAACAAAUCAUCUUUAAUUGGUAGAGUUGUACUCCUUUGGCAUCUUGUAUACAUAAUAGUUAAGACUAUUAGUACUACGACAAUACCAAUUGUUGGUAAACCAUACCUAAAAGCAUGCAAUAGAAUCAUUUGGGAGUUUUUGUGGAUGUCGUUUUUGCAAGGUGGGACUAGCAACCUAGGUGGACCACAAAGUGCAUAAUUCUUCAUAAAUGAUGUGCUAGAAAAGCUUGAAAAACAUCCUUUGCUUGGAAUUUCCCCUUCAAGUCUAUUGAAAGACACAUUAAAAUACUUAAGAUAUAAAAGCUUUUCCAAAGAUUUGGGAAUGACUCCAGAGAGAUUGUUAUUGCAUAAAUCCAAGAAUUUCAAACUAAUCAACCCAUCAAAUGAUUCAGGGAUAUGACCAUGUAGUAUAUUAUUUGAUAAAUCUAAUGAAACCAAAGUUUGAAGACCCCCAAAUGUGGAUAAGACAUCGCCCGUGAGAAGAUUCUUUGAUAAAUUUAGUUUCAGUAGACUCCUCAAAUUUCCAACAUCAAUAGCAUGAGAAUUGUGAAGAUGGUUUGAUGAUAAAUCUAUUUCUAAGAUAUCUUUAAGAUUCCACAAAGUUGAGGGUAUUGUGGAACUCAAUUUGUUGGAAUCUAAGUAAAGAUAUCUCAAAGAAGUAAUAUUACCCAAACAAGAGGGUAUGGAUCCAUGCAGCUUAUUCAACCCUAAAAACAAGUUGUAUAAUCUCUCCAAAUCACAAAGGCUUUCUGCGAUGGGCCCUCCUAAUUUAUUAGAGGAAAUACCUAGACCUUGGAGAUUUCGCAGUCCUCCUAUUGAUGUUGGAAUGAAUCCACUUAAUUUAUUAUAGCCAAGUUGUAAAAGCAAUAGGUUGGUUAAGUUACCUAUUUCCAUAGGAAUAAUGCCUUGAAGCUCACACUCAUCGGCAUAAAAGUAUUGAAGGGAUUUUGAAAGGUUCCCAAUAUAAGUAGGAAGAACGCCACUCAAUGGAUUUCCUGAAACAUCUAUUGUGCUCAAAUUCCUACAAUUCGUCAAAGAAGAAAGAAAGCUCCACUCAUGAUAAGUAGCAGAUCCUGUGAUCAAAUUAUUGUCAGAGAUUUGGAGCCAUUCAAGUUGUCUUAAGCUGCCAAGCGUUUUAGGGAUUGGGCCAGAGAAUAAGUUAUGUGCCAAGUCUAGUUCCUUAAGCAUGGAAGCAUUGGAGAUAGAGUAAGGAAUGUUUCCGCUAAGUUUAUUUCCCCACAAUAAAAGAAUCUCAAGCUUUGGAGCAUUGGUGAUGGGUGGUAAAUUACCUGUAAAAUAGCAUCUUUUAGAAUACAUAUUCAUUGAAUACAAAAUUCACAAAAUAUAUAAUACAUUAAAAUAAAUUAAGAAACUAGGAAAAUUCAAUACCUUCUAGGUUAUUCAACCCCAAAUAUAAUUCUUUGAGUUGUGUCAGAUUUCCAAUACUUUUUGGAAUGAUUCCCAUCAAUUGAUUAUAGGACAACGACAAAAUUUUAAGGUUGCUGCAUUUUCCCAUGCCAAAUGUAAUGUUACCAGAUAAUUCAUUCCAACUCAAGUAAAGCCCUUCAAGCUUGGGAAGAUGUUGACACAUAUCAUUAGGCAAACUACCUGGUAGGCUAUUGCUGGAGAGAUUAAUAAUCUUCAGAGAAGAAAUAUUGAAGAUGGAAGAUGGAACCUGACCAGAUAAUUGAUUGAAUCCCAAGUUCAAGAUCUCUAGAUUAGACAUGUUAAAAAGUGUUUCAGGGAUUGUGCCUGUAAAGUUAUUAUUUUUCAUUGCCAGCCUUCGAACUCUCUGUAAGUUCCCAAGCCAUGAUGGAAUUUCCCCAUUAAGACGGUUGUAGCUUAAUCGAAGGAUCCUCAAACGAUGCAAUUGGCCCAAUUCUUUAGGGAGAUGGCCAUAGAAAUGGUUGCUACUCAAGUCGAGAGAGAGUAGAAAUGAAAGAUUUCCAAGGUGUGGAGGGAUAGUACCCCUAAGAUUCAUGCUUGUAAGAUUCAAAGCUAUAACUCUUUUAUGGAGGAUGCCACAAGAAACACCAAUCCAAUUGCAAACAGAGGUUGAGGCCGUCCAAUUAUUUGCCAAGACAUUUUGAGGACCGGCAAUGCGAUCCUUAAACUCGAGAAGUGCAAACUGAUCGGAGUUGAGAUUCUUGACUGUCAUAGCCAAGCAAAGUACGAAACACGGUAUGAAUAAAGCUAAAAGAAGAUGAAAGCAAGUGUUGUAGUUCAUGAUUGCAAGACGGAUUAAGGCAAGAAAAUAAAAAAAGUAGGAAAAGGGAGGUUGAGUUGAUAAAAUAGUUUGGAUGAUGAAGAAAAGCCCGGAUAGCAUGCUUUAAUAUGUUUCAACCCUCGUACACUUGAUAAAUUUAAGACUACCCUAAAAAUUAAAAAGGAAAACAAAGUUUUGAAGAGAUUUCAAAAUAAAGGUCAAGUCUUCUUCUUUAAAAAAUACGUCCAAAGAAGUGAAUUUUCAAAAUUUCUCCUAAAUUUUCUUCACAUUACUCCACAUAAUCAAUUAAGAAAACUUAAAAAAUAUAUUUUAUUAAUUGCUAUAUAUUCUUUUAUUUUUAGAAAGCGAAUUUUCAAAAUUUCUCCUAAAUUUUCUGCACAUUACUCCACAUAAUCCAUUAAAAAAACUUAAAAAUAUAUAUUUUAUAAUUACUAUAUAUUCUUUUAUUUUUAGAAUAAUAGUUUAAAAUAUGCUAUUAGUCCCUAUAAUUCAAAAGUUUUUAAAAAAUCCAAUCCUCCUAUUUUUCCAAUUUAAAAAUUCUAGUCCAAUCAUUUUUAAUUCCAUUAAAAAAUUCAACUUAAUAGGUUUUUUAUUAUCAAUCAUAUAUGCAACAUUAUAUGAAGGCAGUCUACUCAGCAUAUAUCCAAGUUUACAGAUUUUAAUAGAAAAUAUACUUACAAUCCUAAUGGUAGGACUAAGUUUUUUAAACUAGAAAAGUAAGAAGAUUUAAUUUUUAACUUUUUAAGUACAAUGAUUAGCUUUUAAAUAAAAAAUGUUAUGUAAAAAUAUUAAAUCUGUUAAAAAAAAUUACUUUUUUAAAUAGUAAAUGUUAAUUUUAUUAAUACAAAUGGGUCUUUAGGGCUAAACUUCAGUAAUUGACGAGCUCUCCCACAAACUACGGAUGAUUUGGGGAUAAAAACUUCAAUAAUUAUACAGUUAUAGUGUAAAUUUGCCACUAUAUUAUAAGUGUAUUGAAAUUUAUCACUAUAUUUUAUUUGAUAUUUAUCAUUACACUUUGAAAAUAUAAGUAAAUUUACCAUUUAACUCAGAUUUAACUUUGCAAGUAAACUUAAAAUUUUAUUUAAUUUUGUCACUAUAUUUGAUUUGUUCAAUAUAGAUUUUGGUGACUUAAAACAAAAUUAUUUCACUAAAAAAUUUUAAUUCACUCGAAAAGUUAGUGCUUUAUUUCAAGGGGUCAUAAUUAAUCAUUGAUUUCGCAAUUUUAAAUUUUGAAUUUGUUGACAAUUGCGUAAUUAAUAAGUACCAAUUUUGAGUGUUGUAGGGCUAGUACAAUUUUCCUUGCACAUAAGCGACUCAUGAACCUACUCUUUUCUCUAGAAUUCAAUGCAGACCUCAAAUUUAUCUUUUGAAAAGAAUUUUAAAAUCUCUGUAUAAAAGGUGAGUUUUUUUUUUGGUGACCGAUCACACUUAACCAAAUUUAAAAAUUAUUAAAAAAUAAUUUCUUUUUGAAAUUUAAAGUGAUCUAAAAACAUAUUUUUAAGUGCUUUGGACCGUCUAUUGUUGAUUUCCUUAUUAUAUUAAGUGUUUGUAAAUCACUCCUAAUAUAUUGUGUUUGAGUUGUGACAAAGCCGAUCAUCAAUGUGCCAUAAUGAUCUAUUGAUACUGAAACUGAAGUUUUUGUUAUAUUGAUAGAGCUUAUUCUUCAACGCGUACAACGUGUUUGUGAUUUUUCUCCCUUCAAAUUGUAUGAUCUUAUUCAUUAAGUGAAUUAAUAAAUUUUCCCUUUAAAAAGAUAUAUUUUUAAAAAUUAAAUACUUUAUAAAAUAUUUAAAAAUUUGUAAGCUUUAAAACAAUCAACACAAUAUAUUUUUCUCUAAAAAAUCAAUAAAAAUAUGUUUGAAAUUUUAUAUGAAAUUUAAAUUUUUUUAACAAUAAUAUAUUUUAAAAUUAUAGUAAUGCAGUAACUCUACAAAAUAUAUAUAUUUACUAAUUAUAUACACCUUUUUUAUAUUUUUUUUCUUAACAUAUCAUUAUUUUCAACACUAUCGUAAUCCUGUUUUGAUAAUUCCCUUUCCAUACAUCCUUUUUCUACAUAGAAUUUCAAAAGAAAAUGUGAAUUAAUGUAGACCUGAGAAGACUUAAUUACAUUUAUUAGUUUAUCAAUCAAAACUUAAUUAGAAUCCAUCAGUAUUUCAUACAUCAAAAACCCAAGCAUAAAAUUCACUUUUAAAUUAUUUGAAGAUAUAUUUGUAUUAUAAGAAAUGGAUUAAAUUAGUCUUUUUAUUAGUAAAUGUAUUAUUUUAACCUUUGUAUUAGUUAUGAAUGAUAUCUCCUAGAUUGAAGCCAGAGCUAUUCUUAAAAGACUAAAGUUAGGAUUCAAAUGUGUUGAGAUGGAAAGUGACAACACAAUGUUGAUUGAAACUAUUUGUAUCGGGUUGGCCAUAAUAAGUAGUGCUACCGAAGUAAGACAGAUUCACAAUUGGUGUUCCAAAAAUUGGAAAGUCAAAUUUCGACAUAUUAAGCGGAAUGCCAAUAAAGUUGUUGAUUGCAUAUCUAAGCCAAAUGGAGGCGUAAUUGAGCAGUUGGUUAUCUUGGAAGAUCCUCCACAUUAUGUGAGAUGCUAGCUUGAAGAAGAUAUUAGACAGUCACUGGUGACUGAUUAUAAUUUUCAUUUGGACUGAUGAGCGCUUAAUUUUUUAAGCUUAUAUUCAACAAAAAAAUUUAAAUACGUCUCAAUUGUAAUAGAGUUAACAUUUAGUGUUUAAAAAAUAUCUUAAAAAUUAUUUUUUCCAAUUGCAGUUCAAUUCCACAAAUAUCAACGAUGAACCCGGACAUAAAAAUUACAAAAAAAAAAAAACACAUCUAUUAUCAAACCAGCAAUCCAUGUCUAAACUUAAAUUAACAAAAUUUGCCACGCAACCUGGUACACUAUUUUAUAUAUAUACUAGAUUAUUCUAGAUGCACAUGUUUUAUUAUAUUUAAAAAUUAAAAUAUAUGGUUGACUAAGUUUUAGUUGAGUUAGUAUUGGUAUUAUUGUCAGUGUAGGAAAAUGUGAGUUUAAUUGUGCUCAAAUGUGUUUUAUACUCCAAUUCAAGGGUUAGGAAAAGGUUAUUGAUAAUUAAAUUAUUCCAACUUUUAUGAUAUUUGUUAAGUAUGACUCCUAUUUUUAGUCAAAUUUGAGAAAUAAUCUUCAAGUUAAACUCUGUUUAUUUGUUUCAGUCAAACACUGAUUAGUUUAGAUAAUUUUAUUAUUAUUUGACAUAUGAAUUUAGCCUAUAAAUAGGCUCUUUUACAACAAUUAGAAAAUACACCCAUUGGAGAUUAGAACUCAUAACACAUUUAGAGAAUUUUGUGUUUACGUUUUGAGGGUUCUUUGUUUUCGGGUUUUCGGGGUUUAGUUUUUAUCUCCAUCUUUUGUACUCUUCGUUCUUUUGCCAUUAUAGUAAAAUUAUCUUUGCCCGUGGUUUUUUAUCCUCUUUGGAGGGGUUUUUCCACGUUAAAUUUGUGUGUUCAAUUUCUCAAUUUAUUCCGCUAUUUUUGUUACUUGUUGCUUAAAUUGAGUCGAUCCUAACAAGUGGUAUCAAGAGCUAGUUCAAUUCAGAUAUGGCAACAACAAGGUUUGAAAUUGAGAAGUUCAAUGGUGAGACAAAUUUCAAUCUAUGGCAAGUUCGGAUGAUGGCAAUUCUAGUUCAAUCUGGUUUGAAAAAGGUUGUUACGGAGAAAAAGCCUGAUAAUCUAAAUAAAAUAGAAUGGGAAGAGCUUGAUGAAAAUGCCCUCUCUGCAAUCCAGUUAUGCCUCGCGAAUACGGUAUUGCAGGAGGUAUUGAUGGAGAAGACCUCAUCCGCCUUGUGGAAAAGGUUAGAAACUCUUUAUGCGACUAAGUCUCUGGCUAACCGUUUAGUGUUGAAACAACGUCUAUUUACGUUUCGCAUGAACGAAGGUGAGCUUCUUAGGGAUCACAUCAGUCAAUUCAUUACUCUUUUAAAUGAUUUAAAGAACGUUGAGGUUCAUAUUGAUGAUGAAGAUCAAGUUAUGCUAUUAUUGUGCUCUUUACCCCCUUCAUACAAGUCUUUCAAGAAGACCCUGAUUUAUGGUAGAGACAAACUCUUGUUCGAAGAUGUGAAGGGUCAUUUGUUGAGUAGAGACAAACUCGACAAUGAGCUUCAUUUGGAUAGCAAGGCAGAUAGGCAAGCUUCCGUUUUGAUAGCAUCAAAGAAACGAGACAAAAGGUGUCGCUAUUGUAAAAAGUUAGGUCACGUCAAAGUAGAUUGUUAUAAACUACAAAAUAAAAAAGCUGCUGAGAGUAAUGAGGAAGAUGUAGCUGGUGCUAAUUAAGCCGAUGAGAGCGGUGAUGAUUUCUUGUUAAUGUCAACGAGUGAUAACUCCAAGCUCACGUCUGAGUGGAUCUUAGAUUUGGGAUGUUCUUUCCACAUGUGUCCCAAUAAAGAAUGGUUCUCCACAUACAGUUCGGUUGAAGGUGGAGUUGUGCGCAUGGGAAACGAUUCAUCUAGUAAGGUAAUUGGUAUUGCAACUGUUAAAAUUAGGAUACACGAUGGGACGAUUAGGACACUCUCAGAUGUCAGGUAUGUACCUGAUUUACGAAAGAAUCUCAUCUCCUUGAGUAUUUUAGACUUGAAAGGAUGCAGAAUCAACAUUGAGUCAAGCGGCAUUAAAGUAUCCCGUGGAGCUCUCGUUUUGUUAAAAGGUAAAAGAACUGGCAGUCUUUAUAUUCUGGAAGGUUCUACAGUGACCGGUGAAAUCGGACGUCCCUCAUCCGUUACAGAGUCGAAGUCAACUCGUUUGGAGCAGAGGCAACAUGGUUAUAGGAGGGAAAAAUAUAUGACCGUUUCGUUGAAAAGAGGUUCUCUUUUGGAUGCAGAUUUUGAAAAGUUAGGGCACUGUGUUCGUGAAAAUCAGACCCGGGUUAGUUUUGAUUUGGCAGUGUAUAAGUCGAAGGCUAGAAGUCUUCCAGUUUCUAAGCACAGAUUCGACUCAGUUAAUUCCCUGCAUAGCUCAAAAUAGGCUCGUGGCGGGCUUUGGCAAAAAUGGCAUUGUAGAAAUAUGAGUCAAGGUGGAGAUUUGUUAAGUAUGACUCCUAUUUUUAGUCAAAUUUCAGAAAUAAUCUUCUAGUUAAACUCUGUUUAUUUGUUUCAGUCAAACAUUGAUUAGUUUAGUUAAUUUUAUUAUUAUUUGACAUAUGAAUUUAGCCUAUAAAUAGGCUCUUUUACAACAUUAGAAAAUACACCCAUUGGAGAUUAGCACUCAUAACACAUUUAGAGAAUUUUGUGUUUACGUUUUGAGGGUUCUUUGUUUUCGGGUUUUUGGGGUUUAGUUUUUAUCUCCAUCUUUUGUACUCUUCGUUCUUUUGCCAUUAUAGUAAAAUUAUCUUUGCCUGUGGUUUUUUAUCCUCUUUAGAGGGGUUUUUCCACGUUAAAUUUGUGUGUUCAAUUUCUCAAUUUAUUCCGCUAUUUUUGUUACUUGUUGCUUAAAUUGAGUCUAUCCUAACAAUAUUAAAAAAAGGAUUUAUAAAGAAUAUAAGGAAAAGAAAAAAAGAGAGAAACAUAUUCAUAUUGAUGGGCUCUUUCAAUAUUAGACUUUUUUUUUCUAUCACAAGUAAAAAUAUCAAAGGUGAUAAUAAUUAAAUUAUAAAAUUUAAAGUGAGAAAAUAGGGGAUUGAAUUUAUAACUUUUAAAGUAUAAAGAAUGAAUUUAUAACUAACAACAUAUUUUAACCACAUAAUAAAAGUAGUUAUGGAGAGGAUCAUGUAAAAUAAUGACCUGAAUAAUUUUAAACGUUUCAUCCUUGCAAAAAUGAAAUAAUAGAAAAGAAAUAAGUGUUAGGUGUAGUGGCAAUGUACAUUAUACUUCUAAGGGGAGAUCAGGGUUUUAGACAAGGAAAGAAUUUUAAACCUGCUUUUUUCUCUAGAACUCAACGCAAACCUCAAAUUUACCUUUUUAAAAGAAUUUUAAUAUAACUAUAUAAAAGGUGAUUUUUUUUACUGAUCACACUUAACAAAAUUUAAAAAAAAAAAUUAAAUUUAAAGUGAUCUAAAAACAUAUUUUUAAGUGCUUUAGACCAUUCUAUGUUGAUUUCUUUAGUAAUUUGAUUUGUUCAAUAUAGAUUUUGGUGACUUAAAACAAAAUUAAUAAAAAAUUAUUCUUUCAGAUAUCUUUUUAAUGUUAAAUAAUAAGUUAAUUUAUAAAAUAUACUUUCAUUGGACACAGGCCUCCAAGGCGGUGAACCACUGAUCAAAUUAAUUUGGAGAUACCUAAAUUUGUUUUCAUCAAUUAAGAAAUUAAAAGAAAUUGUUGAGAUGAUGGAUCAAGUGUAUCUCGCCAGUGAUCAUUAAGGAGAAAAAAGAGUCAAUUAAGUGAAAAUUAUAUUCCAACAUCUCCCCAGAACCAAAUUUCAGAGUGAUGAAUGUCAUGAUCAAAUUGAACAUCUUAGUGGAAGUAACCAAACCUUUUCCAGCGAAACUCAACAUCCUCUUCACAAAGUUGUUGGAAUCAAAAUUGUUGAAGGACUUUAAAGUGUUUCUUUAGAUCAACUCAAGGAGCUUAUUAAAAAAACCAUCAAAGAUCAAGUCAAAAGUGUUACUUCGCCUUCAUAUACAUACUCAAAGUCAUACAUCUGGAGGAUUUAUCAUUUGAAUAUGCCUGAACAUUAUCCACCUUUAAAAUUGCAAUGGUUUGAUGGUAAAGGAAAUCCAUGUAAACAUGUCACUCACUUCGUGGAAACUUGUGAUCGCGUCGAUGUAACACUCCACUCACGACCCAAUCGCUGGAUUUAAGAAGAGAGAUACGAAAAUCAUGUUGGAAAAAAUCUUCGAUAAGUGUAGCAUGAGUGCUCACACUCUCCAAACACUCCAUACUAUCUUUGGUAUCGGAGUUAAGCUUGACACUCCCUUAUCUCUCCAAUGUUAUCUUCAGGCCAUAAUGCCCUAUCACAUAGUAAAAAAGGUGAGCACUCACAAUCCUAUGGCAUGCCAAUGAUAUCUAAUGGUUUCAAGUGUUCACAAUGCCAACAUAUGAUUUUUAUCACAUUCACUUUACACAAUUUAAAACGGCUUAUAAUACAGCAGAUCUCACAUAUCAUAGUUUUUAAUAACAUAAUUCACAUUUCUGUAGGGCUUGUAUUAUACAUAAGUUAGUAAUAACAUGGAUUCCCAUAAUAGUUAUGGCUUGCAUAUAUUUAAGGCUCGUAUGCAACAUUUGGGAUCCCAUAUAUUUAAACUCGCAUAAUACAGGGGCUCGCACGACAUAUUUUGGCUUGCAUGCAAUAUAGGGCUUGAUCACAUAUAUAGGUUUACAUGAUCUUAGGGCUCACAUCACAUAUAUAAGCACGCAUGAUACAUAGGUCCACUCAACAUGUAUAUAUAAACUCGCACAUCAAAGUAUAGGCUCGCAUGCAUUAAGGUGAUAGAGUUUGCAAACAAUUUAGAGCUCGCACACACCAUAGGCUUGCAUACAUACAUGUUAGCAAGGUCUGCAGGUCACAACUCGAGGCUCACAUAACUACAGAGGCUUGCAUGGAAAUAUAAUAGUGUUCAGAUAUCAUUUUAAUCGGCUUCACACAUUAAAUCAAACGGUUUGCAUGCCUUCCUUGGCUUUCAUUAGCAUGUGAACUCGUGUUUUUGACACAGUGUGCAAGGACACUCAUUAGUUGUUUGUUGAUACUGUCGAACCUAUACCACAUUUUGCUUGAAUUUUUCCUUGCUCAUGGAUGCAUCUUCACAUUAAGAAGCUUUGCAUAAAACAAGAAAAUAUACAGAUUACUACUUUCACAGACAUAAUAACCUUCUUAACAAACAUAGUAGCAAAUCUUCCAAUCUUCCUUAAUAAUUCCUUAAAUGAACCUAAACCAAAAUGUAGUAUAAAUUCAAUAAAUUUAUCAUCAAACCAUCCCGCAAACACCCACUUAUAAGUUCAAACUGAUCAUUGAAAUUAUAACUAUUUUAUGAAUCCAAACUAGUUAGAUUCCUUAAACUGUAUUGAUGUGAAUUGUACGUACAACCGUUCUUCACCUUUACGGGUGAUUUGGGGUGUUUAGGUCAGCACCUAAUUCAAUAAUAUACUAAAAAAUAAGUAGUUAAUCAAUGAUUAAAUUCCUUCAUUUUAAUCAAUGAUUAAAAUCAGUAGUCUGAUGUUAAACGUGUGUUGUCAAAAUUUUCAAAAUAUUUUGUUCAAAUUAAUUUUUAAUCGUGAUCCUUGAAUUUUAUUUUUUAAAAGUCAUGCAUUUGCAUUCAGUUUUUAAAUUAAUAUUUUUCAAACUUGUUUUACUUUUCUUUUUUUUUUGAGCUCUAAGUUUUACCCUUUUUUUAGUUUUUUUUUAGUAAACAAAUAAAAAACAAAAAGGUUUGUGAGUUUCUCCCCACACACUGUGCACUUGCAUUCUUGCAUAACAUGAGCUCUCUACUCGGGCUCUGUCUGUUUAAGUGGAAGUAAACGCUACGCCUUCGUGAGUUAACUCAUUCCUCCGUACAGGCUAGUGAAAUACUUCCGGAUUACAUAUGACUUAUGCUUUCGUGAGUUAACUUGUCCCUCCACAUAAGCAUAAGUAAAUGUAGUCCCUCGAAUUGAGCUCGCGAGCCCAUGACAGGCGAUAACCGAGGCUCCGUACUAACCUUAGUAAGUGACAGUAUGGACAAUUUGAGUACCUUUCUAGAACCAAAACCACAUAUAGCGAACUGUACGAGCCACCCAAUUAGAGUCAUGUCGAACCUCUAUCCGUUGAAUAGUCACCAAAAAAAGUACAUGGGAGGAACACCUCUUACCUUGUAUUUCUUUUACAUUCACAUCUUUUGCAAGGGAAUCGAGUCUGUUUAAUAAAUUGGAUCGGUAGAUUAUUUGAUGAGCAUGUGGGGUAAGUUUAUUUUGUAAAGCAUGAGGGGGUAAGGAAAAAAACGUAGGUCAAUUUGUUAGAUUUUCCAUAGUUUUUCUUUGUUUAUAUUUGUCGUGAUUGCUAAUUAAGUUUAUUUGUCUUAAUUUUAUUUUUCAUCAUGCAUCAUAGGUAUCUCAUUAGGAAGGUGUUGAUUAGAGAUUGGUUGCCAAAAACGGGUUUCUGAUGGAGAAGUCAAUUACACAAGUAACUGAGAAAAAAAUGACAUAGUCAGAGACUGGUCUUUGAGGACCCAGAAAGCAAACGAUACAGUUUAAAGGAAAGAUAUAUCUCUGGUCUUUUCGGGAAGGCGACUUUGAAUGCUCGUCAGAAUAACCCGAAGAUUUGACUAGGAUUUGGAAACAAUGAGACUUAGGCACUAGGGGCAUCUUCAUUGGCAAAAUAUUUUGUAAUGGACUCUUUUCAUAAAUUAAACGCCAAAAUAUGGGGCUAUCUUAAAAUCAACACUAUUUUUUUACAUAUUUACGCGUGACUAGCAUCCAUUGAUCAUUCAUCAUUCAUUCAUUCAUUACAUGUACAUAUCACCCGUACCAUUCACUGAGGCUAAAACAGUAUAAUCCACAGUUGCGGCACAAGUCUAGAAUCACGUCAUCCUUACAGGACACGUCUAAGAACUAGAGCUAUGGAUGUUGAACUUAAUGAAAAAAUCAAAAGGAUGGAAAAGAUCUAAAAAAAGUUACAAGAGCAAUUGGUCAAGUCACAAAAAGAGACCAGAUAUAUGAUGGUGAGAUCUCGAGAGGAAUCACUCGAGCAAAGAGAUCAAAUGACCAAAAUAAUGGAGAUGAUUACAGUUUUGGUUAAAGGAAAAGGACCCGUGCAAAGCCCUGACAUCAUGGAACCUCAAUCAAGAGCUAAUAAUGAUUGAGAUCCGCUCUAUCCCCCAGGAUUCACUCCACCUCACGCUCAUGCAAUGCAACUCAAGGGGAACCUAUAGUCCUAGAAUGUCGUCCUGUACCACCUGCUCAUCUAAGGCAAGGUAUAUUCAUAUUGAAUCCCGGAGCUAAUCCUACCGAUCUAAUUGUUCCAGAUCUGGAUGAUCCGGUGAAAUAUCAAAGUUGAAAACUGAUGAUUAUGGCACUCAAAAUAGGUAUAAGAUCCUAGAAGAAAGGCUUAAAGCAAUAAAAGGUACUGAAGUCUUCUCUGCAUUGAGUGCCAAAGAGCUCAGUUUGGUGCCCGAUUUGGUUCUACCCCCUAAAUUCAAGGCACCAGAGUUUGAAAAGUAUGAUGGGAUGAGAUGUCCAAAGGCACAUCUUAUCAUGUUUUUUCAGAAGAUGAUUGGUUACGUGAAUGAUGAUAAAUUGUUGAUACACUGCUUCCAAGUUAGCUUGGUCGGAUCAGCUCUUCGAUGGUACAAUCAGCUCAGUAAAAAAAAGAUCCGAUCAUAAAAAGACUUAGCAUCAGCAUUUUACGAGCAAUAUAAGCAUGUAUCAGAUAUGGUACCUGAUCGACUAACUCUGCAGAUGAUGGAAAAGAAGCUAACGGAGACUUUCAAAUAAUAUGCAGAAAGAUGGAGGGAUAUCUGAGCUCAAGUAGAACCCUCGUUAACUAAAACGGAGAUAACAGUCCUCUUCAUCAACACUCUGAAAGCGCCACAAAGGACUUUGCCGACAUUGUAAUAUCUGGGGAGCUUAUAGAAAAUGCCAUCAAAAGUGGAAGGAUGGAAGGUCCUGAGAGUUCGAAAAGGUAGUACCUAUAAGGAAAAAAGAGACAGAAACCCAUAUGGUCAGAAAUGAGAGCCACCAUACCUCCAGCCCUUACCCAGCCCAACAACGACCUCGUUAUCGCCCACCUUCAAACUUCUAUUUUCCUCCCCAAGGUCCUUACUGUCAAGCACCUCCUCCUUAUCUCGUCUAUGCCAUGAAUAACCAAAGAACGUUCACCAUGUUUCCACCACACACUAUGCCCAUACAAAUUUAACCCAAAAAUGAACAAAAACUAGCGAAACCCAAUCCUAGAAAACCUUAGUUCACCCGAAUUCCCGUGUCAUAUGGAGAAUUGUACCCGAAACUGUUGGAGAAGCAAUUAAUAUCCCUGUAUUACAUGGUACCCCCGAAGCCCCCAUACCUAAAAUGGUAUGAUCCUAAUGCUAGUUGCAUGUAUCACGUUGGAAAUCAGGGGCAUUCUACAGAAAACUGCCUUGCCUUUAAAAGGAGGGUUCAAGAUUUCAUCGAUGUUGGCAUUCUGUGAUUUGAUGGUAUUAGUAAUCCUCUUCCUACCUAUGCUGAUGGGAAUGUGAAUGCGGUAACAAAUGAUGACGAGGGGUAAAACAAUCCAAGAAGCGCUUUGAUUGAAAAGGGUCUUCAGAACAUCAGCAUAAAUGUUGUUGACAAUGAGAAUGAUGCAAUCGAGAUGAUACGCCCUUGUCCUCCAGGAUAUGUUUUGAACAACUGGACUGCUGUGGACCUCCUUGUAGUUUCUAAGUCCUCUCCAGAGUAAUGCCCAAUGAUAAUUCUCUAUUAUUUUGUGUGUCCCUAAGUAAUGGGAUUCCUUUUGUAAGAGCUUAUGUUUGCUCUUUAUCAUUUCAAUGAACAUCAAUGAAGAUGACCCAGAGCCUAGGUAUCGUAUACGCCCCCAAAAUAAAGAGCCUUGAAUACUAGAAGAAAAGCACCUAUACCUAGCAAAAUUAAGUGAAUACCCAAAAUUGUGGUCAUUUUAUUUCUAUCUUUCCAUACAUAACCGAAAAAUGGAAAAGAUUCUUCAUGAGUUUCAAGUGUCAUGGUAUUUUUUAUUUCCAUUAGCUUCAUAAUUAUCCCUUCUCUUCAUAUCAUUUCCCUACAUGUAUUUCAUAUCAUUCCAUAACAUUGUGUGUGUUGAUUCUUAUAUUUUUUAUGCUCCUCUAUAGAUUUCUUUCCCAUUCACUUUUCAGGUGCUCAGAUAUCCAUGGCAUGAACAAUCUCAUUACAAGUCUUGAAAUCGAUUUCGAGAAGGCUGUUUGUUUAAGAGAAUUUGAAGCUGAGGAGGAUGCUAAAGAUUUUGUCUCGUCUCCUGACUUACUGAGAAUGGUAGAACAAGAAGAGAAACAGAUUCUACCCCAUCAAGAAUCUGUUGAGACAGUAAACUUGGGAAGUGAGGAAAAGAAACAAGAAGUAAAGAUUGGGAUUUCCAUUUCAGAUAACACCAAACAGAAUUUGAUCGCCUUGCUCCGUGAAUACAAAGAUGUAUUUGUCUGGUCUUAUCAGGACAUGCCAGGGUUGAAUGAGGAUGUAGUGGUUCAUAGACUCCCAUUGAAACCAGAAUGUAAACCCAUUCAACAGAAGCUAAGACGGAUGAGACCUGAAAUGCUGUUAAAGAUAAAAGAAGAAGUCAAGAAACAAUAUGAUGAGGUUUCUUACAAGUCUCUAAAUAUCCAGAAUGGGUAGCUAACAUAGUCCCAGUAUCGAAGAAAGAUGGCAAGGUACGAAUAUGUGUGGAUUAUCGUGAUCUGAAUCGAACAAGCCCUAAGGAUAAUUUUCCUUUGCCACACAUCGAUACGUUGGUAGAUAACACAUCAAAACAUUCAUUAUUUUCUUUCAUAGAUGGUUUCUUGGGUUAUAAUCAGAUAAAGAUGGCUAUCAAAGAUAUGGAGAAAACUGCAUUCGUGACAAUGUGGGGAAUGUUCUGCUACAAAGUGAUGCCGUUCGGAUUAAAAAAUACUAGGGUAAUGUAUCAGAGAGCCAUGGUGAUGCUGUUCCAUGACAUGAUGUAUAAAGAAAUAGAAGUCUAUGUCGAUGAUAUGAUUGCUAAAUCCCAGGGAGAAGAAGAGCAUAUUGGGAACCUCAAGAAGCUAUUCGAAAGAUUAAGAAAGUUCCAGUUGAAGCUUAACCCAGCCAAGUGUACAUUUAGGGCUACCUCGGGAAAAUUUCUAGGUUUCAUUGUCAGCGAGAGAGGUAUUGAGGUUGAUCCAGACAAGAUAAAGGCUUCUUCCGUGUACAAAAAAAGAAGUCAGAGGAUUUCUAGGAGGGUUGAAUUACAUUGCUCAAUUCAUUUCUCAACUUACCAACCAGUGUGAUCCAAUUUUUUGACUCAUUCGAAAACAUAAUCCAGGAGAGUAGAAUGAGGCAUUAUGGGACGAAGGAAUUUGUGGAACGCAUGCCAAUGGGUUUACUAUAGCUAGGUAGAUUAUGAGACUUGGUUAUUUUUGGCUGACGAUGGAAAGAGAUUGCAUUAGCUACACACGAAAAUGCCACAAGUGUCAAAUUUACGGCGAUAAAAUUCAUGUAGCUCAUUCGCCCCUUCAUGUCAUAACUUCUCCGUGGCCUAAUCUAUGUGGGCCAUUGAUGUUAUAGGGUCAAUUUCCCUGAAGGCUUCCAAUAGACAUCGAUUCAUCUUUGUGGCUAUAGAUUACUUCACAAAAUGGGUAGAAGUCGCUUCUUUUGCUAAUGUGACAAAGACUGCCGUCUGCAGGUUCCUAAAAAAGGAAAUUAUAUGUCGAUAUGGUUUGCCUGAGAGAAUCAUUUCAGAUAAUGCUUUGAACCUGAACAACAAGAUGAUGAAGGAAGUAUGUGAGAAAUUUCAAAUAAAGCAUCAUAAUUCCUCACCUUAUCGCUCAAAAAUGAACAGAGCUGUUGAAGCAGCCAACAUUGGGAAGAUGACUGAGACAUAUAAAGAUUGGCACGAGAAGCUACCAUUUUCUUUGUACGCAUACUGCACCUCUGUACGGACAUCUACUAGAGCAACUCCUUUCUCUCUGGUGUACGGAAUGGAAGCUGUUUUGCCAAUCAAAGUAGAAAUCUCAUCCCUACGUGAAUUGAUGGAGAUGAAGUUAGAAGAAUCAGAGUAGGUUCGAACUCGAUAUGACCAGCUAAACCUUAUUGAAGGGAAACGCUUGAAGGCAAUUUGUCAUGGACAGAUGUACCAAAAGAGAAUGAUCACAGCCCAUGAUAAAAAGGUGCGGCCAAGAGAAUUUCACGAAGGGGAACUCGUACUAAGAAAGAUCCUCCCGAUACAAAAAGACUUUCGAGGAAAAUGGUCACCAAAUUGGGAAAGGCCAUACGUUGUAAAAAAGGCAUUCUCGGGAGGGGCUCUGAUUCUCACUGAGAUGGAUGGGAAAGAAUUACCUAAUCCAAUGAACUUAGAUGCUGUGAAGAAAUAUUAUACCUUAAAAAACAAAAAAAAAAAACAAAAAAUAUAAAAACAAAAAAAAUGAAAAAUCAAGAUGAAAACCCGAAAAGGGCGUCUUGAUAAAUAAAAAUGAUUAGGAUGAAAACCCGAAAGGGCGUCCUAAUGAAGUAGACUCAGACUUAAUGACCAAGAUGACUUGAACGGGGAGUCGAAUGGCGAGGUUACAAUAUUUGAAGCAUUCUCAGAAGCUUGAAAUCUUCUACACAGGAAGCCAUGCUAAAAAAGAUCUUUGACAAAGAAACGUGGAGAAGUUCAUACGUUGGAUAUCUAGAGCGUUCGUGGCCAUUGAAUUCACUUUCCUUUCUUUAUGAUGCUUUCUUUUUUUGAACUAUUCCUUGUCAAUUUUCUUUGCUUGUUUCUUUUAAAAAAAUAUGAAUGUGAGGUAUUUCUUUCAUGCCUACUUUGCCAUUAUUUUUUUAAUGCAUCUCAUGUUUGAUUCAUUUAAAUGAUAAAUGGUAAGAUGACAUACUCUAAACAAAAGGAAUGUUGAACAUUACCUGGAUGAGAAUUUGACAAGCACAAGGGUCCCAAAGCAAGAACAAAGUUCAACAAGGGGACAGGAAGGUGAUAUACGGAAAUGUGGGUUACUCACCAAAUUUGAGGAUGAGUACAAAACUUGGGAGAAAAGUCAAGAAUUGAGAAAAUGAAUACGGACCCUCACGAAAAUAAAAGAGGGGCACGUGACAAACAGCCCAUGGUGCAUGACACGAUCAUAUAAGCAUUUAGGACAAACACGUGUAUAUCAUGAUAACAUAAUACAUGACAUAUACAGGUAUCCCAGCGGAGCAAGGAAUUUUGGAAGAAAACUGCACAGAAUCAAUGAAAAAGACGGCUUUUAAUUUCACCUGGUGAUUUUUUUUCGAAACCCUGAUUCUUUCAAGAAUUAUUUUUCAAUUUCAUUUUUUUUUUCAAAAAUUAACUCAUAAUGCAAGAGGUGAGUUGAGCCUCAGGUAGCACGCCGAGAUAUUUUCAAUUUUUGUUUUUUCAAAAAAAUCAACUCAUAUUGCUAGAUGUAAGUUGAGCCUUGGGCCGCACGCCGAUGUAUUUUAAUUUUUAUUUUUUCAAAAAAUCAACUCAUAUUGCUAGAGGUGAGUUAAGCCUCGGGCCACACGCCGAGGUAUUUUCAAUUUUUGUUUUUUUUUUUAAAUCAACUCAUAACGCAAGAGGUGAGUUGAGCCUCGAGCCGUACGCCGAGAUAUUUUCAAUUUUCGUUUUUUUAAAAAAUCAACUCAUAUUGCUAGAUGUGAGUUGAACCUCGGGCCACACGUCGAGGUAUUUUCAAUUUUUGUUUUUUCAAAAAAUCAACUCAUAUUGCAAGAGGUGAGUUGAGCCUCGGGCCGCACGCCGAGGUAUUUUUAAUUUUUUUAAAAAAAAUCAGCUUAUAUUGCUAGAGGUGAGUUGAGCCUCGGGCCGCACACCGAGGUAUUUCCAAUUUUUUUUUUCAAAAAAUCAACUCAUAUUGCUAGAGGUGAGUUGAGCCUCGGGCCGCAUGCCUAGGUGUUUUCAAUUUUCUUUUUUUCAAAAAAUCAACUCAUAUUGCGAGAGGUGAGCUGAGCUUCGGGUCACACGCCGAGGUAUUUUUCAAUUUAUGUUUUUCAAAAAAUCAACUCAUAUUGUAGAGGUGAGUUGAGCAUCGGGUCACAUGUCGAGGUACAUUUAAGUUUUGUUUUUUUCCAAAAAUCAACUCAUAAUGCGAGAGGUGAGUUGAGCCUCGGGCUACACGGCGAGGCAUUUUCAAUUUCUAUUUUUUCAAAAAAUCAACACAUAAUACGGGAGGUGAGUUGAGCCUCGGGUCAUAUGCCGAGGUACUUUUAAUUUCUAUUUUUUUUCAAAAAUUAACUCAUAAUGCGAGAGGUGAGUUGAGCCUCAGGCUGCACGCCGAGGUAUUUUCAAUUUCUGUUUUUUCAAAAAAUCAACACAUAAUGUGAGAGGUGAGUUGAGCCUCAGGUCACAAGCCGAGGUACUUUUAAUUUCUAUUUUUUCAAAAAUCAACUCAUAAUGUGAGAAGUGAGUUGAGCCUCGGGUCACAUGCCGAGCGAUUUUUUAUUUCUAUUUUUCAACAAAAAAUAUAGAGAAUAAAAUUGGACAAUCGAACAAAAUUCAGUGCUUUUAAAGUUUUAGCUCUAUCCCUGUUUCACAGCGAUGAGCAAAGAAGGGCAGCUAUAAGCACUAAAUUUGUUCGGGUCAGUGUCGUGUUUAAUUUUAAAAAUUUUGGAAAAAUAAAAAAAUUUAAAAUUACAUUUCAACCCCUAAACCUUUUAAAAUUACAUUUUGACCCCUAAACUUUUCAAAAUUACAUUUUGACCCCUAACUUUCCUAAAAUUAUAUUUUGAUCCCUAAACUUUUCUAAAAUUACAUUUUGACCCCAGAAGUUUUACAUUUUUACAAUUUGAUCCUUCUAUCAGAAAAUCCCCAUUAAUCCAGUAGAUUUCGUCCACUUGCCCCACGAUUUUUGGCCGCUGACCUAAGGCAUGGCUUCCCCACCUGGUACCUGCAAAAAAGAAGAAAAAAAUCAAAUAUUUAUAAAUAAAAUAAGAAAAAAGAAAAAAAAUACAUAUACAUAUUGAUGGGUUUUUUCAUGAUUAGACUUUAUUUUUUCCCAGGUAAAAGUAUUUAUGGAGAGGAUCAUGUAAAAUUAUGACCAGAAUCAUUUUAAACGUUUCAUCAUUGCAAAAAUGAAAUAAUAGAAAAGAAUGACUAUAUGAAUUUGCAUUUGUGUUCUUUUUCUCAAUAUUUGCUUUCAAAAAUGUGGGAAAUUUUUAAAUUUUAUGAAAUUUUAAAAUUGCACUUCAGUAAAAAUAAAUUUUAUGAAUAUGGACAAGCCAUUUUAUUUAUAAUUUUCUGUGUUUUUCUUCUUUGCUGACUUUCUUAAUGUCAUUUUCUAUCAUGAAAGAAAAUUAAAGAUUCACUAUGUAUUUCUCAACCACUAUGAAAUUACUUGACAAUGGGUGUAGAAUUUUCUCACCAAUUUUCUAACAUGAGAUUUUUUGAAUGGGACAAAUAUUUCAAUUUUAACACAAACAUAUCUUUAGUUAUUGAGAGCGUUUCCCAUAAUUAGUCACCCCUAUUUGUGAGUGAUCUGGGGAUAAAAGCUUAAACAUUUCUGGAUCACAUUGCAUUUAAGACGGGUGUUUGGAGUUACAUGAUAUUUUAACAUAGACCGAAUUUUCUAUGAAGAGUCAUUGCUUUACUUUGGGUGGAUUCUUCCAAUUAGCGUGGUCGUUGGUACUACUCUCCAACAAUUGUUGUACUGUCAUCCUUAUUCCUACCCCACCUAGCAGAGAAGUUAAUGAUCAAAUUCAUUCGAAGAUGUCCUUUUUUUUUAAAUAUUUUUUAUAUUUUCAUGGAUGUGAGGAGAUACUGAAAAUUAUUAUACUAUGAAAUUUUAAUUCAUUCGAAAAAUAAGUGUUUUAUUUCAAGGGAUUAAUAUUAGCUCUCUCUUUUUCAAAUUUUGAAAUUCUUUUAACAACUACGUAAAUAAUCACUCAACUAUAAGUAAAUUUAUAUUUUAAUCAUUUAAAUUUAAAAUUUUAAUUACAAUAUACAAAUAAUUAUCUAACCAUUCGAUUUAUUCUAUUUUAAUCUAACUUUUCCACAAUUGUACAUCUCUGGGUGGGCACAAAAACUUGUACAUUUCCUGAUGACAUUUAAUUCAAUUACAUUAAUUAGGAUCACAUAAUUUUCUUUCGUGCUUUUCAUUAAUAAACUGUUUCAAAAACAAUACCACGUGGACAAUAAAUUUGCUAUUACACAUUCAAUUUUUAGACGGGUCGUUGAAAUAUUAAUUUCACUUAAGCUAUUAUUGACAGACUUUUCAGUUUUUAGUCUUUUUCCGUAAAUAAAUGUAUUUAUGAGCCGGGUUAAGUAAGAUUAUGACAUGAACAGAUUUGAAAAUUGUACUCAAAUUUAAUUUAAUUUAAUUCAAAAAUAAUAAAUAAUAAAUAUAUUUAUAUUGAAGUUUCUAUAUAUAUUUAUAAUAAAAUAUAUUAAUUUUGGGGUUACACUUCAGUCCUUCACUGACUUUUUCACAAUUGGUUUAAAAGUGUAUCCCACCAAUGCCAAAUUGGUACUUUAUCUCUUUUCUUAUUCAAUUUCUUUUAUAAUCAUAUUUAUUUUAGUAUAUUAACUAAUAAUAAAUCAAUUCAAUUAGUAUUUAAUCAUUUGUAUUACAUAUUUUUAAUAAAAAAGAAUUUUUUUUAUAUUUCUAUUUUCAAGUUUAAACACAUCAUUGUUAGGCUUCCUAAAUCCUUUGAGGAUGAUUUUAAAGUUUCUAAAGAUGAUUUUAAGUAGUCCCAAAAACCACUGGAUUUUUUAGUGACAUCCAAUUUUUCUUUUCCUGCAGUAUUGUUGAAAGUUAAUUUUCAGAACAAAAGUUUGCCUUACCAAAGAUGAUUUACCCUGACAUGUAGCAUGCAAAUAUGAAACAAUAAGAAAUAACUAAAAAAAAUGAUCCUUCAAAAUUAAAAAAGAAAGAAAGAAAGAAAGAGAGUGAGAUAAAUCUAAAAUUGCUUAAUAAGUCAUUUGAUAUUUGAAUUUGAUAUUUUUUAAAUAUUAUUUUCUUGUUUAGUGAGUUAUUUAUAUUUGAUAAAAGUUAUACAUCUUGGUAUCUAAAGUUAACAAUGUUAACAUUUUAGUGUUUAAUGUAGGUUUUAUGGUAGCGAUUUGAUGAAAAUUUCACUGUAAACUAAUAUUAUUAGCAAUUAACUUUCAACAAAUCUAUAACAAUCCCAAAUCCAGCCUAGACGCUAUGGUCAAACCUGGAAGGUUACAUCAGUACGUAGAAAAUUUUGUUCUUCCAAAUGUGUUUUGUUACUAAAUUAAGUCAUCCCAGGUUGCCCAAAAACGAUGACUCGCCACCAUGAGAUGCCCGACAACGAUGGCUUAUCAAUACGCAAUUAAACUGUUAGAUCAGAUAUUUGUGGUCAUGCCAUUGAAUUGCAACUCAGCUACCGAAACAAAAAUAUGUGGUGAAACCACUAUAUUGUAUCCAAGCUGCCAAAUAAAAAUAUGUGGAUAAACCAACAGAUAGUGCAGACCAUUAAACUGCCAAAAAUUCCUCCCUUUCAUAUUAUCCCAACCCCAUGCAAUGUGACAUGGCAUGCAUUUACAUAAUCAAAACGACAAGCAUGUAAGACAUGUAGUCGUACCAUAACAGAACUUAGAAAGCAUGGCAUUCUCACAAAUUCAACAAAAGCAAGUUGGUAUGCUAUAAAGUCACAUGCAUGAUCACAUAGCAGAAUCAGAAACAUAAAAAUAACGUAACCAAACCUCAUACCCAUAUACAAACAUAACAAUACAAAUCACGCUACCAGAUUCAUUAGAAAACAGUUCAUGCACACGAAUUUCACAUACCUUAUUCAUAUCACCUACAAUGUCAAAUUAUCAGACGUUACAUUUUCAAAGUCAGUUUUACACAGUACGAACCCUACAAAAUGGCUAAACAUGACUCACGAAUCAAAACGGGCCUAAACGAAAAUUUUUAGAAAAUGGGCCAACAUGGCCCAAUUAACCUAGGCCGUAUGGCGUCGACAGUCCAAUUUUCGACUUUCAGCAGUUCAUUAUUUUUUGAGUUUUUCGAUAUACAGCUUACUAUUUUCCGAAGCAAAAUCAUGGCAAGAAUUCCAAAACCUAAAAUCCAUAUUCAACCCACUCAAAUUAGUAAUGAAACCCAAAACUAAAUCGUUAAACAACCAAAACUGCUACCAAUAAACCUUAUCAAACCAGGAAUCAACCUUUUGGCAUCUGACUACUAACCCAGAAUAGUAGCAGCAGUACUAAAAAUCUCUCAAUUCACCGGAAGACUAUUUGUUACAGAAACGUCACCUAAACCAAAGAUUUCAGAGUAAUCAAAAUCGCGUCACACAAAGAAGGAAACAAAUUAACCCCAAAAUCGUGAAACUCAACAAAGUACGAAUCUUUUCACAUAUUCCUUACCACCAACCGUCAAGAUUGCUCAAAAACCACUAAUGACACCGACCUUCGCAAGGUUAAAUUGAAACCAAAAGGCAACUAAAGAUGGAACAAAGGUUGUUAUAAAAAAAAUAUUAACAAAGACUUAUUGGAGCAAAAAUGGCGAAAAAUCAAGAAUAGGGAGAUUGGAAAAAAAAACAAUGAAACGGCAAAGAGAAGGAGUGGGAAAGUGACGACAGUUUGUGGAGGGAUUUUGGGUAAAUAAAAAGUAACUCACCACUCAACCCAUUAAAUCUGAUUACCCUCUAAACAGAUUCCCUUAGAGUUUAAAUUCAACUCAAAUACCACUACAUGGGCGGCAUAGUGUAAGGAAAUAAAAAUACUUCUACUUUGCACACACGGGGUCUUGAACACGAAACCUUAGGGUAAUUUGAAGCCUUACAACUAAAUUAGUAGGCUCAUCUUUGAAAUUAAUUGAAUGAAAAUAUUAUUUAUGUCAGAUGAUCAGGGAUAGAGGUUAAGACCAAAGAUGACAAAAAUUCAAAGGAAAGAUUUAAACCUAGAACCUCACACACACAAGCAUAACACCUAUCCACUGAACCAGAUUUACUCCAUUGACAUAAUUUUCACAAUGUUAGGUACUACACUAUUACAAGAAUAGAUUUUAGAGAGAAAGAAUUUUUUCUGAGAAAUUGCUUAGUAUUAUUAUCUACUUUAAUCAAUACACUAUCAAUGUUUAUAUACUUCAAUAUGAGUAACUUCUCCUAACCAACUAUACCAGACUAAUCAACUGAAUGAUAACAAACUAACAAAUCUUAUGUUAACAAUCUCUAUUCUUCUAACAUUGUCUAUUUAUGCUUUUGAAAUGCUGACUUGUACUACUAUUUCCAACCCUCUUUUCCUUUAUUUUUUUCAAGCCUUAUACUACCCCUAAUCAGCCCUUAAAUUUCCCUCCUUGUGCCGCCCAAAGCAGCCCUCGUGUGUGCCAUUUUAAACACUACAUUGGGGUUACUGUUUUUCUCUCUUUAGCCGUAUCUUUCUAGAAAAAAAAAAUUGUUGUUCCACUCCUCUAAUCAAUAUUUAAUUGUGUCGUUUUCAGGUGUAUUCGAUUCCCUUCGUUCAAUGAUUUCGAAAUAGUUAACGGGUAGUGUAAGUGUGGAAGCUAGUGAGAUUUAGUGUCAUAUUAAUUUCGUUUAAAUAUGCUGAUUUGGCAGAUUAUUCUAAGGAGUUAUUGAUUGUUUUAGCUACUAAUUUUUUAUAUAAAAUUAUCGUAGGGGCUGAUUGUAACAUCCUGAUUCAACAGUAAGCCGAAACUUAUUCGCACUCUCGCUUGGCAUUAUUUCAGUAUCAACGUGAUUAAUUGUCCUUAAUUGCUCAUUUUUUAAAUUAUCAGAGAUAAUUUACUCCAUUUUUUUUAGAGGAACCAAUUUACCUAUAUCAAGAUUGAGAGGCACGUAGAAGUGUUUUUACUAAUAAAAUCGAAAUAUAAAAGUAUACAUUUCGAUAACACAAACACUUGCAUACUUAACCCUAUUUUCAUAAAACAUGGACAAAAAUCAUAUACCCAUAAAUAAUUUAAAGCAUUCAAGGUUGAUCUUUUAGGAAUUAAGACUAAAUUAACAAUAUAUAUAUUAAUUAUCUCUACAUUAUAUAUAUUUUAAAUAAUAUGUUAAAAUUUAUCAAUUUCAGUAAAUUUUAUAAUUUUUUUGAAUGUUUUAUAAUAUUUUUGAAAAUUUGAUAAAUUUUUAUUUAUAUAUUUUAAAAUUUUUAUUUAUUAUUUUUCUUUUAGAAUUAAAGUCAAAUUUACACCAUGUAUAAAUGUUGAAGGUUGAAUUUAAAAAAACAAAUAGAACUAAAUAAACAAAAUGGGUGAAUGUUGAAGACCAAAUUUGUUAUUAUUCCAAUAUUUCAUUUGGUGAUCAAAGGUAUUUUAAUAGUAGGAUGACUAUAAACUGCAAUUGAUCUAAUGGGAGUGACUAAUAUAAUAAUAAUUUUUUUUGUGACCAAUACAAAAAUACCUUAAAAUUUGGGUGACUAUAAGGAAAGUUUACCCAAAAUAAAACAUUGUAAGCUUUUACAAAUUCGGACGUCUUCUACAGGCGUGAUUGUUCCCUGACUUACAGGUCGGGAGUUGUCGAGCGAUUGAAGUUUUUCAACUACGAGACCACCUUAAGCAAAUAUGUCAAUAAAUAAAUAAUCUAACCCCAUCCAAUCAGAGACUUCAAACUCUUACUCCCCAUCUCUUAUUACAUCUCUUGCGUUCCUCCUGUAUAUGUUUUUUUUUUCUUUUUUAUUGCAGAAAUCUAGUUGAAUUCAGGAAUUGUUACUUUGUUUUGGCCCUUCAAAUCAAGGUUCUACAUCUGGGUAAACAUGGAGGGUUGUUCAUCAAAUGGAUCUACUUCAUUUUUUGGCUCAAACAUACCCAACGAGCUUCAACUUCCACACCAAACUGAUUCUUCGGCCGGAGUAGAUGAAAUGCUUCGCAGACAAGAUUCUGUGUUAGUACAGGACGAUCUCUACUUCUCUGCUGGAGACGAUGGACCAACGGAUCAGUCUCUGCCAGACCAAGACCAUCAAUUCAAUCAAGAAGAAACACCCGAAGCUUCAUAUCAAACGGUAUCAGAAGGUGGGACUCGAUCUAAACUCACUCCAGCUCAAAGAAAAGAAAACAAAAGACAAAGUGAUUACAAGUAUAGGCAAAAGCGCAAGGUAUAAGAUAAUCCAAUUAUUUUUCUCUCUCUAGAAUAUUGCCUCUAAUGGAAUUAGUUAUAAUCAAAAUGUUUACUUUAAAUGCCCUUUUUAACCCAUCAUAUUGAUAUGAUUGUAUUUUACCUAGAAUGGUCAAGUGGUGACCAAAUUAUGUAAAUUGAUUUCUUAGAUUUGUCUUGUUUGAUAUUAACAUUCUGCGGUGUAGGUAAAAGCAGAUGAACAGAAUGGGGAGAUUAAACGCUUGAAAGAGGAAAUUCAACGGCUCAACGUUGAGAAUGGACAGUUGACAGCACAACUUGGAUUGCCACUCUCUAUUGCGCAAUUCCAAGCAGCAGCUCAACAGAGACAGGAUGGUUACAUUACCCAGUCAACCGGCAAGCAGCUUCACCCUCAAACUCUUACUGUCCAUGGAACAAACUCUGAAGCUGUUGACAAGGUAUGGCAUAUUAAUUGUUCUUCAUGUUUGAAAAAUCUAAUGCUUGAACUGGAAUUUAUGUUUGGAUUUCGAUACCUUGGGUUAAACCAUAUUAAGUUUCUCAUAAAGAUUCAAAUUCUGGAAUCCUGAUUUGUUUUCCCUCACAAUUCAUUGUCUCGGCUCUGCAAUUUGGAGAUGAAUGAGAUACAAAAUAUACAGGGAACAGUUUCUGUAAUUGUAGUUGAUGGUAAUGACGGUAUAGCAAAAAAUCAGACGAGUUCUGAAGUUGAAACAUGCAUUAAUAAUGAAGCAGCCAUAACUGACAUUCUUAUGAAACUUGAAGCUGAUGACGAGAGCAGAGUGAAGUUCUCUGACUUCACUGGCUUACAUGGUGAGUGCAUACCAGUAGGAAAAUAUAGUUUCCCACCAGCCCUACAUCCGAUUGUGAACAGCAUUAUCGAAGUCUACGGUGAUGUUUCAGCAACAAGUAAGAUGAGCCCAAGUAUUGCCGAGACCGUUUAUAUCGUGUUCUGUGCUUCUGUCAAAGAGAUGAGCAAUCUACGGCUGGAGCACGUCACAGAGGAUCUGAUAUUGAAGUGGAGGGAUGCAAUCAAAGAUGCUUUACGCAUCAAUUUCAAGGUGGAUUUCGCCAUGGAACAUUUGAAGAAAAUUGCUUGUGCAUACAUCGGUUUAAUGGAACGUCAAAAGCUGGAUAGUGCGGGUUUGAGGAUAUCCAAGUUAGAGGCUGAGUUGAGUACUGCGAAAGAGGAGCAUGCAAAGAUAUGCGAGCAGUCCAAGGUGUUUAUAGAUGCUGCAGAAGAGUUCAACGAUAAGCCUGUCAGCUCUGGUAUGUUCAAAAGACCUGGCCAGAUCAACGUUGAGCUAGAGCUAACAAAUGAACCGGAUUCGAGUACCCUAAUACUUUGAUUUGAGUAGCUAUCAAGUCCAAUCGAGUUUUUCUUGUUAAUAUAUAUUUUUUUCAUUUUUGUUUGAAACUAAAAUUUGAGUUUAAAUAAUUGAAUGAGAAUUAUGCUCAUUUUAAUAAGGUAAAUUGACCUCAAACAUUUAAAGUGAAAGUUGAUAGAGCUAGACCGAGCUUGACCAAGCUUCUAAACUCUUCUACAGCAUCCAUAAACACCUUCGACAGUUCACACAUAUUUAGUAUGCUCUUCUUUCCCAGGAUUCCACUCAGACUCAAUUGGAUAUCCUCAAAGCCAUAUUAUCCAGCUUUCGACAAUCCAUUAAACCGAUGUAAGCGCAAGCAAUUUUCUUCAAAUGUUGUAUGGUGAAAUCCACCUUGAAAUUGAUGCCUACAUCAUCCUUUGUUGCAUCCCUCCACUUCAAUAUCCGACACUCAGUGAAGCAUAGAACGUGAUAUAGAUCGCCUCGAAAAUGCUUGGGCUCAUCUUACUUGUUGCUGAAACACCUCCAUAGAAAUCAAUGAUGUCGUUUACAUUGGAUGUAGAGACGGUGGGAAACUACCGUCAACUACCACAUCGGCCUUUUAUAGUAGAAAAUUUGUGAAUAAAAACAGAGGAAGAAAUUCAUAUGUUACGAAGAAUCAGAUUUUGGUUUUGCGAUAAUCGUUCGAAAACUUGCGAUAACACCCAAGUUGUACGUUUUGUAUCUUUUGGUUGUUUUGUGUUUUUCUUGUUCACAUUGUAAAAGUCAACAAUCCCGUGAGAAGAAGUUGCACGGAAAAGUGCAACCGCUUCUUUAGUUACAAUAACCAUAAAUAUAAAUAAAUGGGUAAAUUUUAUUAUGCUUCUUUAGUAUCUUAUAGAGGUGGUAAGGGGCUGGCUAGGUUCGGGUCAGGUCAAGUAAAAAUUUAUAUUCGUUUGUUAGGUCUAGGUCUGACAUGAAAAUGAGUUUAAAAAUUUGUCCAAAUUCAGCUCGGAUAAAAAUGUUAAAACUUGAACCCAAUCUUGCCCACCCAUAUUAAUUUUUUAUAUUAUUUUAUUUUUACAUAAAUUUUAAAUAUAUAUAAUAUAUCAAAAAUAUUAAAAAUAUUAAAAUAAAUAUUUCCAAACAAAUUGAAAAUAAAUUUUAAAAAAUAUAUAUACUUAAAUAAUACUAAGAUAGAUGCAACUUAACAAGAAAAUUCUUUAAAAUAAUAACAAAAUUAAUAAUAAAACAAGUGUUAUAAAUAUCCAAACAAUAACAACAAAAUAGUAGUAAUAUAAUAGUGAAAUGGUAACAAAAUAUGGAGAAAACAAAAAAAUAUCAUUAAAAUAACAAAAAGAAAAGAUUUUUUUGGCAUUUAGUGAAUUCGGGCCAGGCUCGGGCAAAAAAUGUCUUUACCCAAGGCCUGGCCCAUUUUUAAAAUGGACCUUAUUUUUUUUGUCCAAGCCCAUUUUUCGAGCCUAUAUUUUUGUCCAAACCCUUUCAUUUUUCAGGCAGGCCUUCGGGCUGGGAGACCCAGCCCAUGAGCAAGUCUAAUAUCUUAGGGCUUUUUUUUGUCAGUUUCAAAAUAGUCACCCAACUGGUUUGUUUUCUUUUAUCUAUUUCUGUUACAUAUUUAACAGAAAGGUGAGAUGACGGUUCAAAUAUUAAUAUAAUAACAAAUUUAGUGUACAAUAUUACAUAUUAUGUCAAUUUAGUCAUAAAUUAAAAUAAUUAACUCUUAACGUUUACAUAUUAUGUUAAUUUGAUCCUAAUUCUAAAAAGUUAAAAAAGAAAUUAUAAAUAUACAUAAAUAUUUAAAAUAUAUAAUAAAUUUAAAAAUAUAUAAAUAAUAAAGUCAAGAUCAAGAAAAAAAAACUUGGAGAAGAAGUAUGAACAAAGUCGAAUUCCAAGUUUUUAUAGAUUUCUUCAUCAAGUUCUCUUUUGUAGAUUUUAAAAUAAAGAGCAAAUCUUAUAAAAAUAUGAUAUUUGACUUUAUUCAUACUUUCUCUCCAAGUUUGCUUUUUUAGAUCUUGAUUUUAUUUGAUAUAUAUUUUUAAAUUUAUUAUAAUUUUUGAAAAUACAUAUGUGUGAUUAGAGUUAUGAUCAAAUUGAAAUAAUUUAUAAUGUUGAGGGUUGUUUUUUAAAAGUUGUGAUCAAAUUGGCAUAAAAUGAAAAAAUUUCAAGGUUAAUUUUAUUAUUAUAUUACCUUUUGAACUGUCAUCUCACCCUUCUAUCAAACACUUAAAUAAAAAAAAUAAAAAACUUGAUUAGUUGGGUCACCCUCAUAUCACCCUUCUAUCAAUUUUGGAAAAUUAGAGUAAAUUAAUUUUAGGAAAAUGAUUUCAAUGAUUUUCUAAAAUAUUGGUAUUUUCCAAUAUUUGGAUUAUUCAACCUAAAAUAUAUUUAGCUGUUUGGUAAAUUUUGUCAGAAUAGUGAAACAAAUACAAUAAUAAUAAUGCAUUUAAUUAACAUAUUUUUAUUAAUUAUUUUAAUUAAUUUGGAUAUAUAUUUUAAUUAAUUUCACACUUAGUUAAUUAUUUUCUUUGUCGAUACAGUUAUUAUCUAAUGUGUCAAUAAACAAGUGGAUAUGUGAUUUGCACAAUAAAUUUGACACAAGAAUUCGAAUUGACGCGCGAAACAAAUACUUUAAAAUUAUUUUAUUAUUAUCUCUUUUUAUUUUAGGAUUUUAUAUAAUGUAUAAUUACCGGGCAGCACAUGACAACCAACCCUUAUACUUACUAGCAGGGUCGGAGUCAAACAGGUUGAUAAAGUUCCCAUCCUCCUAAAAUUAAUAUAUGAUAAAAUUAUAUUUUAACUCUUAAAAAAAACUUUUUAAAAAUUAUAAAAAUAUAAAAUAUCAAAAUAUAAAAUUUUUAUUUAUAUCAUUAUAAAACCAUAUAAUUUAAUUCCAAUCUCCUUUAAAAAAAUUUUGACUUCGCACCUUCUUGUUAAGUUUUAUCUUAUUAUGAGUAUUAAAUAUAUAGUUAUAGUAAGCAGGGGAGGCAGGAGCACAACAACCCUUCCUUUAUAUUCACAUUCACUUGCGCAUGAACUAGAAACCACUGUUGCGCUAUUUUUAUUUCAUUUAAUUUGAAUACAAUUCAUCCCUUUCUUUUAUUAUCGUUCUUCAAUUUUUUGAUUUAGUUUUUAUUAAAUCUAUUCUUGAGUUGGGUCAAAUCAUGUUUGAGUCGAGUCAGGAUAAGAUUUUAAAUUCGACUAAUAAGACUAACCCGACACAAUCCAAAAAAUAGAUUUAGAUUUUCUUUCUCAAACUUGGCCCAAAAUAAAGUUAUUAAGCUUAGGCCUAACCCAUAUUAUUUUUUAAAAAUAUUUUAUUAUAUGAAACAAAUUUUAAAAUAUAUAAUAUAUCAAAUUUGAAUUUUUUUUUUCACCGGGACAUUUUCAACAAAUAUUAAACAUCAUUCUAAUAAAAAUAAAGGAUAAGCAUUUAAAAAAAAAAAGAAGAAAAGAAGAAAAGUAAAAAAACAUAUUAAUAUAAGAGCACAAGACAAAGAAGCAAAAUUGUCAGGUAAAUUAGACCUUUCAUUUCAUCAUAUAAAUGCAGCCUGGCAUAGACAAAAAUUCAUACUCAGAAACCAGAACCAACUUGAAAUCGCACAUGCAUGUAAGCAUAUUGGAUAUAAAGUUUGGUGUAAUAUCCUAAUUUUCCUCGGCCCAACACAAAUAAAUAAACUUAAAUAAAUAAAAAAAUUCAAAACAAAAAUAAACAAAAAUUCUAUUAGCAGUCCAAGUUACAAUCCCAAUAAUAAAGUCAAUUUACAAAACCCUAACCUAAUACCCAAUAAUCCAAAGCCCACAACUUAAAUUUUUUCAAAAAAUAAAAAAAAACCCUAGAUUUGUUGAAAGGCCGCGUCGGAGGAAGACCAAAAAUCGAAAGGUCCCUUUGGUAUUUUCGAAUCUUGACCAGAUUUUUAGGGAUUUCAACCCUAGAUCUUGGUUCUCUGUGAGACGGAGAUGAAAAAGGUUUUUUUGACAACUUCGGCCAUCGGAGGCGAUGGUCACUGUCACCGUUGUCGAUGGCCAGUGGCCACAGCGGGGCGACGAUAGCCUUAUGGCCGGACCCAGGGAGUUGUUUCUGUAACAGCCCAUUUUCAGUUAAAUCGGAACAGUGGUAACGUGACCAAAAAUUUGAAUUCAAAAAAAUUUAUUAUUAUUAUAUGGUCUACAGUAUGAUAGAAAUACUGUGUAAAAAUUUCAUUAAGAAAUUUUACCAUUUACAUACCUAAUUUAAUGUAAAGGACUAAAUUGCAUUAAGGGCAAAAGCUGAGUUCUAAUAGCUAAAGGUAUUAAAUAGCUAUAGAAUUUGAAAUUAGAGGUCCUUAUAUAGUAAACAGACCAUUAAAGUGCUUAGUGGUUAAGCAUGAGUAGUCAUCACUGGAAAUUGAAUAAAUUAUUAAGGGUAAUUUUAGAAAUUAUCAAUUAAAGUUAUAAUAAAUAAAAUAAAAUAAUCUAUUAUUAUCAUCUACCACCAAAAAAAACAGAAGAAGAGAAAACCUAACCAUAGAAGCUUGAGAUAUUAGCAAGCUUAUUUUGCUCAAUUAGGUAUGUAUUGUUGUCUCGUUUUUAAUGAUUUAUAUGUUUUCGAUAUCGUAGUAGCUUAAUUUAGCUAGCUCAGGAUUAAUUUGCAAGAUUGUUAAAGUAUUAUGAUAGAAAAUGAAAGGUUGUUGUUAGAUAAAUAACUUUUGUAAAGAGAAUUUUGAUGAAAUUAUCAAUGAGGGAUUAAAUUGAAAAAGAUGAUAAAUUUAUGGUUAAAUUGUGAAAUUGUGAAUUAUGUGGGCUGUUAUUAAUAUGUAAAAAAAUUGACUAGGCUUGAGUAAGGAUUAAAUUGCAUAAAAGUCAAUUUUCGAGCCUAGGGACUAAUUUGCAAUAAAUUAAAAGUAUAGGGGCAAAAUAGUAAUUUCCCAAAAAUAUGUGUUGGACUAAAUUGAAUAUGAAUUAUAUUGAAUUGAGUUAAACUCAUUUGUAUAGAUCCGGUUAGACCUAGUACGGAGUUAGAUCGAGGCAAAGGAAAAAUAUCAGAUUAGUCACCUUCGUAUCUACUUACAUUUAUCGAGGUAAGUUCGUAUAAUUAAAUUGAGUAUGUAUAUGUAUUAAUUGAAUUAUAUGUAUGUGAAUUGUAUAAUUACCAUGUAUAAAUACCGAUCACAUAUCCGAUGAUUAUCGAGUCCCGUUUGAACCGUAUGAAAUUCGUAGGAUAGAAAUGACAUGUCAUUAGGGUUACCGAUUUGGUUGGGGUCCUGCAUGUGUUGCAGACACACCAAAGCUCUUAUGAGCUUUGUGAUACCCAGCAUGCAUGAGCUUCCCAUUAUUCAACUCCCAUGAGCUUCCUAUUAUUCAACUCGGAGGAGCUUCCCAUUUACUGCUCUUAUGAGCAUACAUGUACAUGAAUUGACAGAUUACAGUUUAGUACACUUUGUGUGUACUACUCGUGUAUCCAACGAUAUUUUAAAUGGUUCAAUGGGCAUAGUUCUGUUACGAGAUUUUAUGAGUUUGAUAUGAACUAUUAUUGGUAUUAAUAUAAAAAACAUGAAAUGUGAUUAUUUGAUGAAUUCAACCAUGUGUGUUGGACCUUAUAAGUGAUUUUCAUGGCUAAUAUGUUGGUGAUCAUGUAUUUAGGCUUUUGGCCAAAUUGAUUGAGAUAUGCUAUGUUUACUUACCAUAUUUUAUGGAAAUAUGGUAAGUUAAAUUUUGUAUUAUAUGAACUUACCAAGCUUAAAUGCUUACUCUGUGUUAUUUUUCAUGUUUUAUAGUAAUUCAGCGUACGAGUUAGAAGCUGGUCAGAGCUAUUUCACACUAUCCAUCAGUCCUUUUAGUAUUUUCAGUAAAUUAAUUUUGGUUAUAAUGACAUGUAUAGGUUAUUUUGACCAAUGUUGGCAUAUAAAUGUUUUAUGGAAACUAGUUACUUGAAUGACUUGUGUUUGGUAUAUUUUGAUGCAUAUAUAUAUAUAUAUAAGUGACUUUAUCAUGUUUGAUGUGUGAGUGAUAUGGUAGAAUGAAAGAAAGUAAAAUGUGGUUUGAAUAUGCAUACAUGAAUUUGGUCAUUUAGGUAAAUUGAGAUACUUGUUGAAAUGUCUUUAAGUUUUCAAUUGAGGUGCCUAAGGGCAUAUUAGUUGUAUGUGGUAAUAUUUCAUGUUUAAGAAUUGAUUUUGGAUUAUGUUGAAUGCCUUGUUAUGGCUUGUUGAUAUGUAAAGUGUUGUGUUUAGGUUGAUGUCAAUUUGGGUGAGAAAUGUGGCUUGGAAAAUGACCUAUUUUCGUCCACACGGGUAGAGACACGAGCAUGUGUCUCAACUGUUUGUCCCCUGUAUCUUUUAAUUGAGCAAGUUAGUAUUCUCACACGGCCUAGCACACGGGCGUGUGGCUUGGCUGUGUGACCCAAGUCAGACAGUUACACGGGUACGGACACGGGCUGGACACGGCCGUGUAUCCCUAUUUCGAAUGCCUACAUGGCUUGAGACACGGGCGUGUCUCCUGAUUGUGUGAGUCAUAAGGCCGUGUGUCCCCUACAACUUUAAAAAUUUUUAAUGUUUUCGAAAAAUUCUUUGAGUAUCUGAUCUAGUCCCGACUUGUUAUUAACGUGUAUUUUGGGCCCCAAGGGCUCGUAUAAGGGACAAUAUGUAUGAUUUCGAUUGAUUUUUGACAUGAAUGUUAUACGAUAUGAAAUAUCUACUUAUUUGAUCUGUAAACUUUGGUAAUGCUCGGUAACCCUGUUCUGACGAUGAAUACAUGUUAGGGGUGUUACAUUUAUAGAGAAAAAAAACCGAAAGAAGAGGUUUUUUUUAAAACACAGGAGAAGUGAUAUUUUUUCAACAAAUUUUGGCUUAUGGGGGCCUUGGUGUGACUUCGUUUUGGAUUGGCAUUAGAAGCUCCAAAACGGCAUCGUUUUGAAGCCUGACUGCUGACCCGAUCUAGAUCCCCUAGGAGCCGCAUGUUUUCGUGACAAAGUUCUAAUUGCUGACCUAGUCCUUCCGCUUUUUAAACGUUUUUCAACACAGUCCUAUUUCUGGUCUUUUUUCUUUUUCUUUUUAAAUUAUACCACUCAAUUUUGGAUUUUUUUUAUUUUGGUCCUUUGGACCUUGGUCUCUCCGGAAAAUGGUGUGUGUAAUGAGGUUGGGAAUAAUUUCCCAUUUGGUCACUGUUCCUUUUCGCGUUUUACAUUUAGUCCUUUAUUUUGCUUUAUUUAUUCAUUUGUUUAUUUGAUAUAAUUCAUUAUUUAAAUUUCAUCUAAAUUUCAAUUUAAUCAAUCAUUUAUUUAACUUCACACUUUUAAUUACUAUUUUUUUUAAAUUUUGGCACUUAAAAUUUAUGUUGUUUGGAUCUUUUUUUAAUUUUUUAUUUAUAUAUUUUUUGGUGGUUAUUACAUAUUUUUAUUUAUUUAUUUAUUUUGGUAUUAUGAUAAUGAUAUGACUAUUGCUAUUAGUAUUAUGAAUUAAUAUCUUAUUUAUUAUUAUGGUUGCAUUAUUAUUAUGGUAUUUAUUUAUUUAUUAUUUAUCCUUUUAAUAUAGAUGUUUUACCCACAUGAUUGUUUUAUGUUAUUUAGCUAUCACUAUAUCAUGUGUCAUGUUAAAUAUAUUUGUCCAUUUUCAUACUAUGCGCAAAUAAAUUAACUGCACAUCACUUUAAAUGUUAUUUUCGUUUUUACUCGAUGCAUAAAAAAGGAAACUUAAAAAAAAUGAGGCAAUGUUCAUUGUUUAGGGAUUCAAGAAAUAGUGCCCUAACUUACGGGGUACGACUUUCUCCUUGAACCAAGAUAAAUGAGCAUCCUUUUUAAAUUCAAGACAUAUAAGAUUUGAGUAAUGAUCAAAUGGUGAUUAUUCUUGUUUUCGAAGAUUUGAAGCAUCGUGUUCUAACUUACGGGGCAUGAUAUUUUCUUCUCGAUUAAUUUGAAAUAAGACCUUUUUUGUGAAAAUUAAUUUAGUUAAUCGAUAUUUUAAUUAAAAAAAACAUCAUGCAAAGAUAAAUUCUAUUUUAAAUUUUCUUUUAAAUUUUAAAUUUUCGACAUCAAAACAUCAAGUAACCAACUAGGUACCAAUUUUGAGGGUUAUGAGGGUGCUAAUCCUUCCUCAUACGUAAUCGACUCCCGAAACCAUAUUCUUGGAUUUUGUAGGCUAAAAAUUAUCGUUUUAGUAAAAUCUAAUCUUUUAUUAAGAUGAUUAAAUUUUGAGGUGACCCGAUUACAACUAAUAAAAAGGAUAGGUGGCAACUCCAUUUUCGUUUUUAAAAUAAAAAUUGAUUUAAAAAAGGUUUCAAGUAACGUUAAAUUAGCCGCUGCAAACUGCUACUAAAACUACAAAAAAGAAAAAUAAAAAGAACACUCAUAAUUUCUAAAAAACACUCAGCAAAUCUUUAAAUUAAUUAGCAACUACCAUUUAAACCAUCUACCACUUAAUCAAGCAGAUCAACCACUAACCAAACAAACUGUAAUUUAUAAAGUCCAAUCUAACAACCAAAACUUUAAAUCCGGUUUUCUUUUAUUAUAAUUUCUGACAAAUCACUCAACAAAUCCGUAAAUUAAUUACCGUUACUCAUCUGCUUAAAUGUCAAUCUAAAGCUACAAUUAGUAUCAAAGACGAAGAGAAAAAUCAAAGAAAAUACAAAAAAGAAGUAUAGAAUAAAAGAAAAUAUAACCUAAAAAUAGUCGCUGAUGAAAUGAAGAAGCACUUGGACUUCGAUCAGUCCAAUAAAAGAGUGGAGCCAGCGAAUGAUGCGAAGAUUAUGAAAACUUGAAGGGUGCCUAGCGUAUGAUGAAAGUGAAAGUGAAAGUGAAAGUGAAAGUGAGAAAUUAGGGAUUUAGUUUUAGAAAUUGUUUUUGUUUGAAAGAAGGAACAUUGUUUGGAGUAUUGGACAGAGGGAAAAACAAAGAGGAAGCCUUAUUUUCAAACAAGUAACAUGGUUUUCCAAUUUCAAAGCCCAAUCCAAUAAAUUCUUAAUUUGCUAAAAAUAUGAUUUAUUAGUACCGUUGGGGUUAGAUUGGGCCCAGGUUGAAAAAAACUUACUCGAGGCUUGACUCGUUUAGAAAACAGGCCUCAAUUUUUUAUCCAAUCCCAUUUUUCAGGCUUAUAUUUUUGUCCAAAUCCUCCCACAUUUCAAGCGAGUUUGGUCGAGCAGCCCGACCCUUGGACAAGUCUGUUUUUUAUCUGCGCUAAUUUUUUAUCUAGUCUUUGAAACUAUGAGACUCGAAACCAUAUCUAAAAUUUUUCAUUCUUAUAUUUAUUAUUUUUUUGGGUUAAAGAAAUAGACACUAUCGUCUCAUAAAAUCAUACUGGCAUAAAAUCAAAAAAGAUUCGUUGAUUGGGUGUUGUGUGGUGUCUAGUUGGCAGAACCAAUACGGUUGAUUGCUAUAUUCAGUUUACUAAGAAAUACAUUGACGUGUUCAAUUUAGUGGUUGGUUGGACCCGUCAAAGAAAAUAACAAUCGGGUUUAAAUGACUUGCGCGGUUGAGGCCAUUUAUCUGAGUUGGGCCCUUCUGGUUCGCGAGGCUAUUGAAAAGUUAAAUCAUGGAUAUGUGUUUCAUGGUUUGUUUGGUAAGGGUUAAUCAUCGGACGUUCUCAUAUUUAUUUUAUACACGGAAGGGUUGGUGGCCUAAGGCGUCCUCGAUCACUAUAAUUGACUUAUCGAUUGGAGGAGAAAAUUCUUUGCCAAGAACUAGUUUGAAGUCAAAGUUUGAAGCUAGAGCGUCGUCACAUCGGUUUAUUUAAUUUUAAUUUUGUUUUAGUUUAUUUUACUCUAAUUUCAAUUUCAAUUUGUUUCUAUUACUUUUAUUUUUAAUCGGAUUUAAUCUUCCCUUUUAUUUUAGUAUAGGUUGACACACGUUGUGGACACGACAAUUGCUUGACUGCGUAACAUGGUUAAACCAAAAGUCAAAUUUCGAUACCUCAACACUAUGGGAUCAACCCUGCCACUUAUACUAUUUAGGUGUAGGAAUAUUAUUUUUGGUAGAUUCGACAUCCAUCAAAUUUUGGCAUCGUUCCAAAGGAUUGCUACUAACUAAUUUUGUGUUUUCCUUUUUACGGGCCUAGACGUACAGAUUGCUCAAGCACAAUCUAGAUGUAGAGCGUAAGAGGUAAAUGUAUCUUCAUGGAAAGUACACUUACAACAUGUUUGGUUGGGGGGACUAGGAAUGGUUUACAUCUUAAUUUGGUAGGCCCAUCACCAAACUAAUGUUUGGUUGACUGUAAUGGCCUAUUACGACUUGUGCUGAAUAGGGCUCUAUUCUGGGAAAAGGCUACAUAGUCAUUCCUUUCCCUUACCGUUAAAUAGGUAUUCAACUCGGUGGAUUAGGAAGAUUUUUCCCAUUUUCAAUUUUUUCCUCACCUUUACCCGGAGGAUAAAAACCAUGUAAUUGGAACCAUCAUCGUUCUCCCUCGGUCUCAUUGGUAACUUCCUUUCAUUUCCAUUUCUACUAAGGAUAUUGGUACUCUUUUUUAAAUGCUUCCCUUUUUUUUCCUUUGGUUGUAGAGGAAACCUACGUCAGUCAAUUGAAGCUAUCAUCCUUCGCUCUUUUUUCUUUUUCUUUUCCUAAGUUUAUAUUAUCUUGAAGCUAUCAGGUCCUCCUAAUUUUGAAAAAAGGGUAAGUUUUUUAAUGAUAUGUUUUCUAAACCCAAAAAUUAGGGCCUCGAGUUGCAUAUUCAACUAUGUUUCUUAUGUUUAGUGCAGGCAGUGAAAGAUCCUAAUUCUUCAAUUCUUUUGUUAUAAGAUUUUUAUGCAGAAUUUUAUAUUAUGAUUUGUAGCAUGUAAACUAUUGUAAUAUAACCCCUAGGCUUGAGAGUUAACUACAUUGGAUUGAGGGAGCAUAAGUUUGCUUUCUUUGUAUCUUAAUUGUAUUUUAUUUGUUAUUAGUCAAUUUUCAAAUAGGAACCUAGUUUCAGUUAACUUAUGAUUGUCAAAACCAUUUUUUUAUUUGAAAACAGAAAUCGACUUUUAAGAAUAAAAAUGGGAGUCAUGACCGAUCUUUUAUUGGGGUGUGAUCGGAUCACCUUGAAAACGAUUUUAGGUCUACAAAUUUUGAGAAAAUAGGUUCGGGAGUCGGUUACGCACGAGGAAGGGUUAACACCCUCGCCACGCCCAAAAAUUGAUACCGAAUUGAUUGCUUAAUGUCUUAGUGUUGAAAAUUUGAAAAGAUUUUAAAAUACGAUCCUUUGAAAAGAAAACUUGAAUAAUCGAAUUGGAUGAUAAGACAUACCCAUUUCAAAGAAAUAAAUUGUCAAGUUAGGGUGCAACAGUCCAAUCUUCGAAAUUAAGUUUGUCUUUUUAAAAUUUAAAAUUCAUGCUUUUUAUGAAGGAUAUUUGGUUAUUUGGGUCAAAUAAGAAAUUAGAAUCCAGUAAGUUAGGGUUCAAUUUCUCGAAAUUCCUAAACAUCGAAUAUUGCCUUUAUUUUAAAAUCCUUAACUCGAGAUAACAAAAUGUCAUAUCCAGUGAGUUAGGAUUCAACAUUUUGAAAUCCCAAAAAACUUUAUUUAGAAAUUUGUAUGGUUUUAUUGCAAAAGAAAUACUUGGCUAUCUAAAUUCAUCGAAAAAAAUUGAAGCUCGGUAAGUUAGGGCACAAUCCUCUCGAGAAUCGCAAAUACCGAGUAUUUUGACAAUUAACAAAAUAAGAUGAUUUUAAUGUUUUUAAUGAAACACGGUUUCUUUUAAAAAUGUAGUGUGAUUAAGCGGCAACAUACCACACAAAAUUUGAAUAUAAGAUGUACAUCAAUGAGUAAUGAACAAUAAAUAAAUAUAAACAAAUAGAAUAACAAUAAUUUCAAUCAUACAUUAUGCAAAUAUCAACAUCAACAUUAACCUAGAAGAAAAAUAAAAUGUAACUUAUAAAAACAAAAAAAAUGAGAGAAAGGAAAUUUGGAAUUAAUAAAGUAUGUACACAAAAUUAUACAUAAAAAAAUUAAAAAAAUAAGUAAUUAAUGUGAAGAUUUGAAACAAUUUAAUAAUAGAACUAAAAAUGAAAAAAAAAUGUUUAAAUGAAUUUUUAAGAAAGAAUUAUAAAACGAAAAUAAAAAUGAAUAAAUCUUAAAAUUAAUAUACAUAUUUUAAUCUAAAUGAGUAAAAACUUAAUGUAAACAAUAAUAUACAUUUAAUAAUAAUAUGUGUAAAAAUCGAAAUAAGUAAAACAUAAUAGAAAAUUUAAAAGAAAUAAAGUAUUUAUGUAUAGAAAAUAGGUAAAAAUUUAUAAUUUGAAAUUAAUAAUAUAUUUUUUAUAUAUACAUAUGUAUAUUAAUCACCGUGCUUAAGGGCUAAGAUAACCCUAAAAACCAAAAACCUUUCACUAAAAACCUAAACUAAACACUAUUUGCGCCGCUCUGUGAAUUAUCCAAUCAAGGAUUCUCCGAACCUCGCCCAAACUCCGAUGACGAAGGAGAGAGCAAGGAUUCGGCCACAAGGUCACUUCUCUGCUUUCUAAUAUUUAUUUUUAUAUUCUUUUAUUCAAAAAUGAAUCAAACAAACAUAGAAAAGAUAACCGAAAGAAAAAACAAAAAACAAAAAGAAAAAAGAAGAAGCAAAGGAAAGAUUUAAAAUCACCUUUAGAACUCUCUUUCUCUGAAUCUUUUGUUUUGAUUUCUUAAAUUGUGUAUGCAUAAAAAUUUACAGUAUUCCAGUGGCUCUUUUAUAGUCAGAUUUACAGAAAAAAUAAAACAAAAUAAAUAAAAUGAAAUUCCCUCAAAUUACAUCUGUUAUUCUGUUACUGCUGGCUUUCGUGUGUAUUUGCAGGUAUUCGGCCAGCCUCAAACAACAGACGGAGACACACCCAUGUGAGGAAGAUGCACGCGCCUGAUGGUGAUACACGCGCGAAGUCUGGGUCCAACCGCUGUGGCGCCGGUGAAACCCUAGAAGCUUCUGGGGUACUCCCCUGGUUCAGACUGAGUUCUGGGCCUGGGAGAUUCGGGUUUAGAAAAUUGGGUUUGGGGUCUAUUAGUAAUUUGGGCUAUUUUUAUAUUGGACUUUUAAUUUUAUUUUUCUGGUAUUUACUGGGCCAGUAAUGUAAUUGGACCUUAUUAUUAUUUUUUAUUUGGCUUGGUUUUUUUUGAAAUGUAUGUGGGCCGGGCAAAUUUGGGUUAUUACAAUGAUCAUCAUAACAAACCUUGUAUUUGACUUUUUGUUGAGGGAUAUCAACUCAUUUGGGAGAAGUCUUUUGAGUGUUGUCUACCAGACAACCGAUGUUGCCCUCAACAACUAAAGGUAUUGUCCCCAUGUCAAGAUUUUAACCCAGCCUCUGUAGAAUAAUUAUGGAGAAUAUGUGCAUAGGGAUUCAAACCACCAACCAAUGCAUAUGUAUCCUUUACUUGUAGAAUCAAGAUGUAAUAGCCCAUUUUUAGUAGUUUUAGAACUCCUUUUUUCGAUAAUCAAUUCAGUAAAUAAUAUUUAUUAAUAUUUACGAGUCUAUUAUAGUGUUAUAUUAAUUUUUGGUCUGGUAAUUUUGAUGAACGAUUAGUAAUUAAGGUACAAGGACUAAACCGUAAAAAACAUAAAAGUUGAUAGCUAUUGAAUUUUAUUAGUUAAAAGAAUUAAAUAGAAAUUGUUCAAGGGUUUAAGUGGUAAUUAGGCCAUUUUUUUAUAGUGGUGGACAAUUGAUGUUUUGUUUUAAGUAAUUAAUGUUAAAAAUUAUAAUGAAAUUGUGUUAUAUGUUAUAAGAAAAAUAAAACAACAGUGAUCAUCCGCUUUAGUUUCUUCCUUCUUCAACCAUGAGCACCAAAGAGAACUUCAGAAACCAUUUUUUUUACAUCAAUCUUGUUCGAUCCUCUUGCAUCAUAUGUUAACUAAGUCAUUUUCUUAUAAUUUUUAUGUUUUGAGAUCCCGGGGAGCUUGAUUUAAUUAACUCAAGUACUAAUUCACAAAGUUGUAAAGUUUUGAAAUGUUGUCAUUGAUGAUUAUUAAGCUUUUGGUAUUAAUUGGUUGAAUGUUAAGCUUAGAUGUUAAAUAUGACUAUUUUGUAAUGAGAAAAUUACUAGUUUUGAGUAUACGGACUAAAGUGUAAAUAUUUUGAAAUUGACAUGAAAUUUAUAUAAUUAUUGAUUCUAGAGGGUUAUAGAAUGAUGAAAUUGAAAUCCGAUUGAAAAAUGAAGCUUGAAUAUGAAAGUUAUGGUUAUUUUGGUUUUAGGGACUAAAAUGAAUAAAAUGUAAAAAAAUUAGUGAAUUUGUGAAAAUUAAAAUUUAAGUGUCAUAUGUAUAGAAUACGGUGUUGUAAGGUAAUUGGAACUGAUAAAUUGAAAUGAAUUACAAUAUAGUUUAAGAUUUGAAUUGACCAGAAGUUAGUCGAGGAAAAAGGAAAAUUGUAGAUUAGGCCCUGACACUUCGCUUACUAUCGUUUUUUCCAGGUAAGUUUAUAUGGUAUACUUAUAUUUAAUUGUUAUAGAUAAUUGAAUUAUAAAUUGUGUAUGUGUGUAUGUAAUUUGAGUUGCUUUUAUGUUGAUGUAUGAUUGCACUCUAAUGCCCCUGAUUGCACUCUGGUGCCCUUGAUUGCAUUUUUGUGCCUCUAUAUGCACUUUGGUGUCCCUGUUUGUAUUACAAUGAUCGUCAAGAAAUGAACAGAGUUUGAGCGAUGAGUUCAAAUGGGAUAAUAUGAACAUGUCCAUGGUUGAAUGUGGAAUUGAUUUUGGUGUGGUACUAAAGCGUUAAAUUAUAAUAGAGUUUCUUGUACACUGAAUUAGCAUAUGGAAGGAUUGUGUGAACUCAUCUUGAGGAAAUUGUACUACCAUGGUUAGGUUUAAUUGGCAACUUGGUUAAGUAAUUACUUAUAGGUUUUAAAUGAGGCAAGCUAAUCAUUCUAUGCUUAUGAACUUGCUAAGUAUUUUAAAAUGCUUACUUUGUCUUGUUUUCCUAUCUUUUAGUUGCCUUUUGCGGAACGCAACAAUGGAUAAACUUGGAGCUCACACAAUCUAGUCUUUAAUUUGUGGAAUAUUACAUAACCCAAAUGGCAUUACUCUCCAUUGAUAAUGUCCAUUAGGAGCACUAAAGGCUAUUAAGGGUUUAGAUUUAUUGGUUAGCAUGAUUUGCCAAAAACUCUAUUUACAAUCAAACUUACUAAAGUAUUUAGCUUAUUUAGCCUGAUUAAUCAAAACAUCUUUUCUUGGAAUAAAAUAUCCAUCAAAAAAUAAUAUUUUGAUUUAACCUUUUAUAAUUAAUUACCAUCCUAACUUUUCCUCUUUUUAUUUCGGCAUGGUUUCUUACCAUAAAAGCGGGACUAGAAUGUGGACUAUUAGUUUUUUCUAUUAAUCCCUUUUCUAAUAGUUCAUUUAUUUGAACUUCAAAUUCAUCUAUAUCUUGUUUAGUAUGGAUCAUAGGUUUAACUCUGAUAAUUUUAUUGGGAUUUUCUAAUUUAAUAUCACAGUGUCUAAGACUAUUAUUCCAUAAUUUUAAUGGUUCUUCACUAAAAUUAUCUUCAAGAAUUUUAAACAACCAAUGAUUUGUUUCUAGUUGUUUAAUUUGUUCCUUUCUAGUUGGUGUAAAGUUUUUAUCACACACAAACUUAUGAUUUUCUACAACUGGUAUUUCCACUGAAGACUUUUCUACAGAUAAAAUAAUUAAAUUUCUAUCUAUAGAAAAUGGUAGAUGCUGAUAUAUAAAAUUAUUUCCUAAUAAUAUAUCUCCAUGCAUCACAGGAAAACAUAAUAUUUUUGGAAUCACAAAUCUUACAUUGUUCAUGUAGAUUGAUAUAUUUCUAGCCUUAUAUUGAAUUAUGGUUUCGUUACCAUCUAUUCCUAUUGCAUUUAUAAGAUUUUUCAUUAAUUCACAUUUUUCUACAGGAAUGACAUUUUUUUGACAACUACUGGUUGUAGCUCCUAUAUCUAAUAAAGCAUGUAAAGAAUAUUUUUUAUAUUCUUUAAACUGAAAUGUAAUUUUAAUAUAUGUAUAAUAUUUCCUUGAUUGAAAAUUUGAAAAGGUAAUUACAUCAUCUUUUCUAACUUUAUUUGUUGAAUAAUUGUUUGUAGUUUUUUCAUUCUAGUGUUUCUAGAAUUUUCCAACACAAAUAUAUAAUCUUUAUUAUUAUCAAAAUUUUUUUCUGAUAGUAUUUUACUAGGAUUUGUUUCCUUUUUAUAACAUAUUUUUAAAUCUUGUUUUUCAAGACUUUUGAUCCUUUUUCUAGCUUCUUUUCUUUUGUUAGAAAAGUUUUUGACUAUAUGAUCUUUCUUAACACCUAAAAAGCAUUUAUAACUUAGUUUUUUAAGUUUUCUAGAAGUUUUUCCUCUAAAAAGACUUUUUGCUACCAGAAAACUUAUUAUUUCUUAAUUUCCCUUUAACUAAUUUAUAAUGUUUUUUCUUUUUAUGCCUAUGAUGUUCAAAGGCGUCCAGAGGCAGACAAAAAAGUUUUGCAAUGUGGAAGCAACCAUCAAAUCCAUGAUGGGAAAAGACGGUGAAACGUGGAAGCAACCAUGAUCACACAAGAAACAUGACAAAUGCGACGUGGAAGCAACCACAUCCAUUCAAGAAGGGAUCCUUAUCAGAAUCACUGUUCAAGAUUCAAAAUACAAUUGUAUAGAAUUUUUGAAAUUGGACUAUAAAUAAAGAUAGGCUAUCAAUUGUAGAGGCAUCUUGAAAAUAUCGUAUAGUUUUCCCUUUUAUAUUUUCUCUUCUGUAAACACUUUCCUUUUGUAAAUUAAAAGAGUAUAUAACCUUCCACACAUAGCAUGCACUCUACCACCCUUCCCCCUAUUGGUAUCAGAGGUGCCGGUGUAAAUAUUUUUUGGAGAAAUAAUAUCGUAGUAUUCAUUGUAAGUCUUUAUCUUUGAUUUACAGUUCUGUUUGUUUCAUGUUUAUUUGACUCAAAACCCAUAUAUCUAUUAUUCUGUCUUUCUAUUGCCGUUGAGUCUAGGGAGGACGUUUAGGCCUUUGAGAGAAGACGUUUAAGAUAAUAGACGGUUUUAGGUACCAGGGACAAAUAAAAUGGAGCCGAUAGAGUGUUUAUAUAAAGAUAAAACUUGUAAUCAUACUAUGAUCUGUUGAAAGGCAAAUCAUGAUCAUGUGUGCAAUUUGAAUUAUGGUAUCUUGGUUCAUGAAUGUGACUUGGAUUUUUAAUGUAUAUAUGUCAUAUACCUAUAUGUAUUUACUGGUUAGUAAUGCUUGAUGAAAGACACAUUUGUUUAACUAGAUUGGCAUUGUUAUGCUUGUAUACUUGGUGAAUGUAUUUAGGCCUUAUUAGAUACAUGAGAUUACUUGAAUAUGCGAACCUCAUUGCAUUGAAUAUGCCAGCUGUCAUUGUAUUGAAUGUGUGAAUUUUCAAUGUAUUACAUAUGUGAACUAUCACUGUAUUUUUCUGCGUGAACUGCAUUUGUAACGCGUGAGUUAAUUAUCCACUCAAAGUAUGAGUAACCAACCCAUAAUAUAGUUAUAAGCGAACUCUAUAUAAAUGGUUUUGAGGUGAACUGUGACAAUGUGUGAAUUGUGUUUAUAUGCGAACUGAGUUAUAUGUGAACUGUGUGUAUAUGCGAACUGGGUUACAUGCAAAUUGUGUUUAUAUGUGAAUUGUGUUUAUAUGCAAACUAUGUUUAUAUGUAAGUUGUGUUUUAUGCGAACUAAGUUAUAUGCGAACUGUGUUUAUAUGUGAAUUGAGUUAUAUGCAAAUAGUGUUUAUAUGCAAAUUGUGUUUAUAUGUUAUCUGUGUCAACGUGUGGACCGUGUAAAUGUGAGAUCUGUAAUUGUAACUUAAUAUGUGAACUGGUUCAUUAAAAUUAUGUGUGAACUGACUUUGUAUGGCUUGUAUCAUAUACAUGCUCUUUGUAAAGUAAUUACGUGCGAGCUCUUUGUAAAGUGACUAAGUGCGAGCUAGUCUAUAAAGUAGUAAAAUGUGUGUUAUGUAAUCUAUGACUUGUAUUGACAUGCGAACUAUGUUAAUACAUGAGCUGCGUCAACUUGUGUGCAGUAGCAAAAGUACAAGCUAUACUGUGAUAGUAGUUAUAGCUCAGGUUCAGUGAUUGGACCAGGCGAGGGGUGUUAAACAAUAGACAAAAUCUCAACACGAAAAUAAUACCAUUUUUUGAGAGUCCGUCAACACAAUAAAUGAAAUUUAAAUGCAUACUUUUUUCAAUGAAAGUAAAUAUCAUAUUAAUUAAAGAAAAGCAACUAAAAAUCCAAUAAUAAAAUCCUUAGCAAAAGAUUGAAACACAAUUAUAUUGUAAAUGAAGUAAGAAACUAAGAAAAUCCAAUCUAAUAAAGAAAAUAACUUGAUGCCCCAAAGCUACCAUAAAACUAAAUCAUGGUAAGGCCUGCUGCUCGUUUUAUUGGUUUCCAUCUUUAUUUUGCAAAGGAAGUUUGAAUUUCGAAUAGAGCCUAGUACAUGGGAGCAAAAGAAAGAAAAUUAGUAUAUUAAUUUCCACGAUUUUUAAAACAAACUUCAUGGAAACGAAUAUUGACAUAUUAGAUAUCUAUGAUUAUAAUGCUAAAAUAGAUUAAAAUUAUUAAAUUAAUGGUAAAAUUUAGAGUGAAUUAAUAACCACAAGCGUACUCGUUACUCACCAUAUUUGUUAAACAUGUUUGAUGUUGUUUAGCAACCUUUGUUUGAUUUUCUUUAGUUCAACCACAACAUCUUUCAUGUCUUUUCUUUCUUCUGGUAACUCAGCUGAACAAUUCAGAGCCAACUCCAUGAUGGCUGAAAUACAAUUUGUUUUAACAACGAAGUACUCAUCCUCUUUUCUUAAUAAAUCAGCAUCUGCAAUUUCUAUUGCUCCUUUAGGCAAUGAAUAUUCCAUCCAAUGCCUUAUAGUCACUUCUUCAGCAAAAAGAUUAUCAGUUGGCUUUUUCUUUGUGAAAGUUUCUAUAAGGAUGAUCCCGUAACUAUAUACAUCACAUUUUAUAGAAACAAUUCCAGUUGAUCCAAAUUCUGCAUUUCAAGUAUAAUUAGAGCAUCAUUAAUCCUUAAUUAUUUCUAAAAUGCUUAUUUGCAUGAAGCAAAAAUAUAAAUUGCAAAUCAAGAAAAUAAUCAUACAAAAAUAAAAAAAUUCACCUGGUGCCAUAUACCCGAUAGUUGCAAGAGUCAUGGUUUGCUUCAUUACAUCACCUUCUCCCAACAAUUUGGCCACAUGUUUAGACAAGCCAAGAGACCUUUGGGAUCAUACGGGUGAUUUUGAUGCUGUUAAUGGUUAUUUUGGUGGAGAGGGUGAAAAAGAAACAAAUGGUCCAUUAUAUAUAAUAUAAUUAUGAAAUUCAAGCCAUAUAUUGUAUGUUUCAUACAUAAAAAUUUCAUGGGAGGUCCAAAAGUAAUUAAAUGACUUGUAGGCUUGCUGAAUUUCAUCUUUUGAAUAGGUGGUAUUAGGUCCAAAAGUAAUUUAACAUUCACAUAAUAAUCUCUAAAUACUGUAAAGACAAAUCAAAUCCACAGCAACAUUAGAGUUGAUCAAGCUAAGCAUUGGCAAAUAUUACUUUGAUUUUGCAUGCAAUAUUGGCAAAAUCCCCUCUUACAUUAGAAAAACAACAUAAUCCAUGAAACAUUGAUAGCCCAAUACAAAUUUCAUCAAGAAAAAAGUUUCUUUGUUUUGUAGAACAUGAUGGUAAAGAUGUGGAGUUUCCUUUAGUUUUCCUUGAUCAACAACCACUUGCCAAAAACACAAUUAGAUUAGAUUAUGAAUGAUACUUUCAACUAUGACAAUAUUAAAUACUAAACACUCCAAAUAGCUCUAAAUAACUGGAAAGCAACAAAUUACCUGACGAGGCAAGCUAGCUCAAUUAAGACCAUUGUGUUAUACUUGUCUCUGAAUUGAAAAAUCUAGAAGACAAUAAAGAGAAAGAGUUAGCAAAUACUUGAAAACCGAUAAAACUUAUAUGUCAUUGAUUGGAUAAACUACGAUCACCCAUAAUAGCCUUUAUCUUGCAACCAUCUACAUGAACCUAUAGGGCUCUUAGCAGAAUCAAGAGACAAAACCUUAACAUGAGAAAAAUACCAUUUGUUGAGGGCUUUGUUAAUAGGGUCGUACCUAGGAGAGUUGGUAGGGGUCCCAACCCCCCUUAAAAUUAAAAAGUUUCCAUUUAGGCCCUUUAAAAUUUUUAAAAUUUUUAAUUAAUAAACGUAAAAUUGUACUUUGGCCCCCCCAAAAUGAUAAAACUUUGAUUUAAUCCUUUAAAAAAUAUAAAAAUAUAGGCUAUUAAAACGGUGAAAUUACGUUUUUACCAUCGUAAAAAUUACAAUUUAAUUUCAACUCCUAAAAAGAUUUUCUGGCUUCGCCCCUAAUAAAACCUUUGGCAAAAGAUGAAAAUAAAUUUAUAUCGUAAAUAAAAAAAGAAACUAUGAAAAUCCAAUCCAACAAAGAAAAUAACUUGAUGUCGAAAUUUAAUGCAUUUUAUUGGUUUCCAUUUUGAUUUUGAAGAGAGCCUAGUACGUGAGAGCAAAAGAAAAAAAAUGGUUUAUUAAUUUUUACGAAUACCGACAUAUUAUAUAUAUGAUUAAAAUUCCAGAAUAACCACAAGUGUGAAUUAAAGAUAAAAUUAAGUGUGAAUUAAUAAUUAGAAGUGUACUCAUUACUCACCAUCUCUGUUAAAAAUGUUGGAUGUUGUUGAGCAACCUUUGUUUGAUUUUCUUCAGCUCAACCACAACAUCUUUCAUAUCUUUUCUUUCUUCUGGUAACUCAGCUGAACAAUUCAAAGCCAACUCCAUGAUAGAUGAAAUACAAUUUGCUUUAACAACAAUGUACUCAUCCUCUCUUCUUAAUAAAUCAACAUCUGCAAUUUCUAUCGCUCCUUUAGGCAAUGAUCUUUCCAUCCAAUGCCUUAUAGUCUCUUCUUCAACAAAAACAUUAUCAGUUGGCUUUUUCUUUGUGAAAGUUUCUAUAAGUACGAUCCCAUAACUAUAGACGUCAGAUUUUAUAGAAACAAUUCCUACUGUUCCAAAUUCUGUAUUUCAAGUAUAAUUAGAACAUCAUUCAUCCUCAAUUAUUUCUAAAAUGCUUAUUCAAAUAUAAAUCCACAUACACAUGAAACAAAAAUAUAAAAUGCAAAUUAGGAAAAUAAUCAUACAAAAAUAAAAAAAGAAUUCACCUGGUGCCAUAUACCCGGUUGUUGCAAGAGUCAUGGUUUGUUUCAUUACUUCACCCUCUCCCAACAAUUUGGCAAUGCCAAAAUCUCCAACAUGUGCAACCAUGUCUUCAUCUAGUAAAAUAUUGCUUGGUUUUAUGUCACAAUGAAUUAUAGGUGUUGGAUGUCCAUUGUGGAGGUGUUCUAUAGCUACCGCAACAUCUAUCAUUAUGUCGACCCUUUGUAUGAUAUCAAGGAAACAAUUUUCAGAAUGUAACCAUUUCUCAAGGUUUCCAUUAGACAUGUAAUCAAGCACCAAGGCUUUGAAGUCAACACUUGAACAGCAAGUAAUGACCUUCACAAUAUUACGAUGAACUAUAUUACGCAUAGCAUCACAUUCAAUGUCAAAACUCCUAAAUGCUCCCUCUGUUUGCAAAUUGAAAACUUUUAUUGCAACUUCCAUUCCAUCUGAAAGCCUCCCUUUAUAUACACAUCCAAAACUCCCUGAACCAAGCAUAUUGCUUUCCUCAAAUCCAUUAGUUGCUCUUGAAAGUACAGCAUAUGAAAUUCUUCUCGGUGUUUUCAAAGACAGCAAAUCAUCUUUAAUUGGUAGAGUUGUACUCCUUCGCCGGCAUCUUCUAUACAUAAUAGUUAAGACUAAUAGUACUAUGACAAUACCAAUUGUUGGUAAACCAUACCUAAAAGCAUGCAAUAUAAUCAUUUGGGAGUUUUUGUGGAUGUCGUUUUUGCAAGGUGGGACUAGCAAUCUAGGUGGACCACAAAGUGCAUAAUUCCUCAUGAAUGAUGUGCUAGAAAAGUUUGAAAAACAUCCUUUGCUGGGAAUUUCCCCUUCAAGUCUAUUGAAUGACACAUUAAAAUACUUUAGAUAUAAAAGCUUUUCCAAAGAUUUGGGAAUGACUCCAGAGAGAUUGUUAUUGGAUAAAUCCAAGAAUUCCAAACUAAUCAACCCAUCAAAUGAUUCAGGGAUAUGACCAUGUAGUAUAUUAUUUGAUAAAUCUAAUGAAACCAAAGUUUGAAGACCCCCAAAUGUGGAUAAGACAUCGCCCGUGAGAAGAUUCCUUGAUAAAUUUAGUUUCAGUAGACUCCUCAAAUUUCCAACAUCAAUAGCAUGUGAAUUGUGAAGAUGGUUUGAUGAUAAAUCUAUUUCUAAGAUAUCUUUAAGAUUCCACAAAUUUGAGGGUAUUGCGGAACUCAAUCUGUUGGAAUUUAAGUAAAGAUAUCCCAAAGAAGUAAUAUUACCCAAACAAGAGGGUAUGGGUCCAUGCAGCUUAUUCAACCCUAAAUACAUCUUGUAUAGUCUCUCCAAACCACAGAGGCUUUCGGAGAUAGGCCCUCCUAAUUUAUUAGAGGAAAGAAAUAGACCUUGGAGAUUUCUCAUUCCUCCUAUUGAUGCUCGAAUCAAUCCACUUAAUUUAUUAUAGCCAAGUUGUAAAAGCAAUAGGUUGGUUAAGUUACCUAUUUCCAUAGGAAUAAUGCCUUGAAGCUCACAAUUAUGGGCAUAAAAGUAUUGAAAGGAUUUUGAAAGGUUCCCGAUAUAAGUAGGAAGAACGCCACUCAAUGGAUUUCCUGAAACCGCUAUUUUUCUCAAAUGCCUGCAAUUCGAUAAAGAAGAAAGAAAGCUCCACUCAUGAUCAGUAGCAGAUCCUGUGAUGAAAUUAUUGUUUACGAUUCGGAACCGUUCAAGGUGUCUUAAGUUGCCAAGUGUUUUAGGGAUUGGACCAGAGAAUAAGUUAUGUGACAACUCUAGUUUCUUAAGCAUGGAAGCAUUGGAGAUAGAGUUGGGAAUGUUUCCGCUAAGUUUAUUUCCCCACAAAAAAAGAAACUCAAGCUUUGGAGCAUUGGUGAUGGGUGGUAAAUUACCUGUAAAAUAGAAUCUUUUAGUAUACAAAUUCACAAAAUAUAUAAUACAUUAAAGUAAAAACUGUAAAACUUUAAAUCAAUUAAGAAUAAAAUUUUGGCAUGGAAAAAUGUGAUGAAAUCAAUUAGAAAGUUGAGACAUAAUAAGAAGUUUUGAGUAGUAAUUAGUCCUUGUGAUUUGUAUAGACAAAACAUAUAAUACACUAAUAAUUUUUUAAAAUAUUGUAAAACUUGAAAUAAAAUAAAAAUAAAAGUUUGGCAUGAGAACGUGGCAUCUAAUCAAUCUUAAAAAUGAGACUGAUACUGAAUAAUAAUUAGUUAUGAUUUGGGAAACAAAAAUGUUAAAGUCAUUGUUUUUAAUGUAAACUGGUAUGAUUUUGACCUAUUAGGUUAAUUAUUUAUUUUUAUUAAAUUAUAGUGUAAAAUUUAAAGAUUAUUAUUUGCUCAAAAUUUUUGUGUUUUUCGUAUAUUUGAAAUUUAAUCUUUAUAUUUUUUAUUUUCUGUGAUUUAGUCUCUCUACUUUUUGAAUUAAAAAUUUUAGGUUCAUUUAUUAACACUGUUAAAAAAGUUUUUCUGUUAGUAUGGCAUUUUGAAAAAUAAAAUAAACUUGAUAUCUAUGUUUUUAAUUAUUCCAAAUAUUGUUUCACUAUUUCAAGAUAAAUUAUUUGUGUUUAGACCAAUAUCUUAAGAACUAUUGUUGCAUGUUUAAUUAUUCUAAAGAAUUGUUGAUUGAGUCUUAGCUGAAGUGCACUAUUCUCCUAUUUAUGAAUUGGGGAGUUGGUAAAGUAUUAAAUUUUGAUAUAUUUUAAAAUAUUAAAAAUUUAUUAAAAUAUUUUUUAUAAAAAUUGAUUAUACCACAAUAUACAAUUUUAAUAUCAAAUUUUUAUUUUUUUUUAAAAUAUUAGCGAAUAUAUACUUUAUUUCAAGUUACACAAUUUUUACUAGUUUUUAAAUUUUUUUAAAAAUUUUUAUCGUCUUUUAUAAUUUCUAAUAAUUUUUUAUAAUUUUUUACAAUAUUUACAAUUUCUAACAAUUUUUAAUAAUUUUAUUAUUUAUUACAAAUUUAAAAAUUAACAAAUUUUUAUUUUUUAAAACAAUUAUAUAUUUAUAAUGUAGUUGUUUUUUUUAUAAUUUUAUUUGAAAUUUUAAAGAUUUUUUUUGGUUUUUUUUAGAUGAUGAUGCCAUCAUGAUGUCAUCAUAUGUCACAUGGCAAUUUAUAAUUAGUUGAAUAUCUCAAUCUAUUUUAUUAACGUCCAAUAGACUAAAACAAGAACACCUGAUAAUGUUAGAGACUACACUAGGAAUGUUUGAUAAUAUUAGGUACUAAAGUGGGCAAAAAAAAUUAAGGACUAUAUUAAAAAUAUAUCUAUAAUAUAUAUAAAUGCAUGGAUUUUGAGAAACUUUUGAAAUGAUAAUUAUAUAGUCUUUGUUUUUUUUUUCUAUAUUAUUGAAUUUUUUAUUUUAAAUAUUUUUUUAUUACUUUUAAGAUUUAUCAUAUGCAUGGAUAAGAAUUUUGGUUUUACUAAAAUAUUUGGUUAAAUAAAUUCACUUCAUAAGAAAAUUUAGGAUCCUUAUAAAUAACAAUUUUGAUUCUAUUAAAAAUAUUAUUUUAAAAAAUAUAUAAUAAAAAUUUAAAAUUUAUAUUGAAUUACUUUAUACUUAAAUUAUUAUUAGAAACUUUAUCAUACACAUACAUAUAUGAGAAGCACGUAUUUAGAACAUAAAUUUGUGUUUUAAAAUAACUUAUGAUAAAUAAUGAAAUGUAUAAUUUGAAACUAUUUAAUAAUAACACAUGGCAUAUCUACCAUAUUAAAAUAAAAAUAGAUUAAAUUGUAGGUAAAACAUAAUUUAAACAUAUGAAUACAUCAAAUUAAGAAUACUAAAUGAAUACAGUUAUUUAUGAUGAUGUUGUUGCCAAUUCUUAACUUGGUGUCGAGUUAAUUUGUGACAUCAUAAAUUUAAGUGGUAAAUUUAAGGUUUUAUGUAUUGAUGUGGAUUCAAAUAUCACCAUAAUUUUUUUUAAAAAUAAAAAACUAAAGUACCCUCAAACAAUAUAACUUAUAUUAAAUAUGAAAGGGUAUUUUUAUAAUUUCUUUAACCGAGUUGAUGCCCGGUUGACUCAUGACACCAACUCAAUCAAAAGCUUCAAUAAUAAUAUAGAUAUUCACGUUAAAAAAACCAAAAAAAGUACUUUAGUUCCAAAUAAUUAUAUAAUAAGUAAAUUUAUAAUUGAUGAAUAAAUUUAUAAAUAAUAUAUUUAUAUGAUCUAAUAUAUUAUAUAUAUUAAUUAUAUAUCAUCUACAAACUUUGAAGAUCAAUUUAUUAAGUAUCAAGAAAAGAAAAAAUGAAAUUGAAUUAACACUAAAUCGAUUUUUAGAUUUUGUCCAGAUGAUUUAAUGAUGAUAAAAAAAUUAUUAGCACUAUUUUUGAAUUAACAAAAAAUUAGUGAUAUAUUUUAAUUAUAUUUAUUAUUUAUUAGUUUUAAUAAUGUUUUUUUAAUUAUAUGAAGUAAAAUUAUAUCGUAUACUAAAUAUGGUACAUAUACUUUAAUUAUAACUUGAAAAAUUAUUAUAUAAAUUAAUAUAUUUUAAUUAUAUUCAACCAUUUGAAUAACAAAAUUAAAAAAAAACUAAUUAGAAUUAUUUACUUUUUAAAGUUUAAUGGAAAUUAAAAAAUUAAAAAUAAAUCAAUUCAUAUAAAUCUUAUUGUUUAUUAUCAGAUUAAUAUGAUAAAAGUAUAUGACAUAAAUAGAAGAAACAAAUUCAACACAAUGUUUUUGGAGUUUGGAAAAAAUUAAAGUGAAAAACAUACCUUCUAAUUUGUUGUUAAAUAGCUCUAUACCUUCGAGCGUAGUUGAAUUAAAAAUACUUGAUGGAAUCUGGCCUGCACACAUAGUCGAAAAUUGAAGUGAAAAAUAUACCUUCUAAACUGUUCAACUAAAAAUACUUUAAGCAUCUUUUUUUCCAUCAAAUUAGUUAUCUAUUACAAAUCAAACUCUUUUAUGAAAUGUUGAAGAUGGAAGAUGGAACCUGACCAGAUAAUUGAUUGAAUCCCAAGUUCAAGAUCUCUAGAUUAGACAUGUUAACAAGUGUUUCAGGGAUUGUGCCUGUAAAGUUAUUAUUCUUCAUUUCCAGCCUUCGAACUCUUUGUAAGUUCCCAAGCCAUGAUGGAAUUUCCCCAUUCAGACGGUUGUAGCUUAAUUGAAGGAUCCUCAAACGAUGCAAGUGGCCCAAUUCUUUAGGGAGAUGGCCAUAGAAAUGGUUGCUACUCAAGUCUAGAGAGAGUAGAAAUGAAAGAUUUCCAAGGUGUGGAGGGAUAGUACCCCUAAGAUUCAUGCUUGUAAGAUUCAAAGCUAUAACUCUUUUAUGGAGGAUGCCACAAGAAACACCAAUCCAAUUGCAAACAGAGGUUGAGGCCGUCCAAUUGUUUGCCAUGACAUUUUGAGGACCGGCAAUGCGAUCCUUGAACUCGAGAAGUGCAAAUUGAUCAGAGUUGAGAUUCCUGACUGUUAUAGCCAAGCAAAGUACGGAACAUGGUAUGAAUAAAGCUAAAAGAAGAUGAAAGCAAGUGUUGUAGUCCAUGAUUGCAAGACGGAAUAAGGCAAGAAAAUAAAAAAAAAAGUAGGAAAAGGGAAGUUGAGUUGAUAAAAUAGUUUGGAUGAUGAAGAAAAGCCCAGAGAGCAUGCUUUAAUAUGUUUCAACCCUCGCACACUUGAUAAACUUGAUAAAUUUAAGACUACUCUAAAAAUUAAAAAGGAAAACAAAGUUUUGAUGAAAUUUCAAAAUAAAUGUCAAGUAUUCUUCUUUUAGAAAUACGUAUAAAGAAGUGAAUUUUCAAAAUUUCUCCUAAAUUUUCUUCACAUUACUCCACAUAAUCCAUUAAAAAAAACUUAAAAAAUAUAUUUUAUUAAUUACUAUAUAUUCUUUUAUUUUCAGAAUAAUAAAUUGUUUAAAAUAUGCUACUAGUCCCUGUAAUUUAAAAGUUAAAAAAAAUCCAAUCCUCCUAUUUUUUUAAUUUAAAAAUUCUAGUCCAAUCAUUUUUAAUUCCAUUAAAAAAUUUCAACUUAAUAGAUUUUUUAUUAUCAAUCAUAUGCAACAUUAUAUGAAGGCAGUCUACUCAGUAUAUAUCCAAGUUUACAUAUUUUAAUAGAAAAUACUUACAAUCCUAAUGAUAGGACUAAGUUUUUUAAACUAGAAAAGUACAAAAACUUAAAUUUUAACUUUUUUAAGUACAAGGAUUAAAUUUUAAAUGUUGUCAAAGUACAAGCACUAACAAAAUAUUGUGAUCUAAUAAAUGUAAAAAGCAUUUUAAACAAAAGAUGGUUGAAAUAAUCUAUUUGUCCUUAUACUUUGAUAAAAUUUGAGAUACCAUAAAAUUUGUAUCUUUUUUCGAAUUAUUUAAUGCCAUUUCAACAUUUUCAUUAAAAAAAAAACAUAUCAUUUUGAAUUUGAUCUUUUUCAAGAUGAAAAUAUUGAAAUGAUGUUAAAUUAUCGGAAAGAGAUACAAGUUUCAUGGUAUCUCUCUAAGAAAGCUGAUGUAAGAUAUUAAUGACAUCAUUUGAACAAAGUUUUAGGUCAAAUUAUUCAUCUAGUCCUUGUAAUUAUUCUUUAAGGUGAAUUUCAUUAUUAUUCUUUUAUUUUCUUUGGCUUAAAUAAACAUUUACCCCUAAUUUUAUCACAUUCUCCUUAAUUGGUAUUUAUAGUUUAGAAAAUUUUACAAAUAUAUUAUUUUUUAAGAAAUUAUAAGAAGAUUACAAAAAUUCCAAAAUAAUAUAAAAAAGCUAAGAAAAACCUAGAAAUUCAAAAAACAAAAAAAUAAUGUUUUUACAAAUUGGGGUAUGCAAUCAAUUUUAAGAUGGUUUUUGGAGUUCAUCUCACUUUAGCAUUGACUUACUUUUCUACAGUUAGUCUUCUCCAACAAGUUAAAUAUUUCAAUUUUAACAACAUUGACAGGUCUUAGGGGUAGGGUCGAGCAAAACUCAAUAGAAAUAGAUGAUAUAGGUUGAGUUGGCUCGGCCAAGUCGAGUCGACUUGUUCAAAUUUGUUAAAUUAGUAAAUUUUGGGGUGCAGUUAGAAUUUUUUUGUUUUGAGAUGCUAAGAUUAAAAAAAUUUGAGUUUUGAAAACUUUGACUCCUUUUUGCUUUGAGAGUUGAUUUGAAGAGAAAAGAGCUUGAAGGUGCUUUUGUAGAAAUAGGACAAAUUUUAAAAUAAGGAGUAAAUUGGAAAAAAAAAUUUGGGUUGGGCUAAUUUGAAAAUUUGACACUUUUGUGGGAUAAAAAUAGAAAAAUAUUUUGGUUGAAUACACAUAAGGAGUUACGAACUUGAGACUUAUAGGUAGGCUAAGGCCUUACCACUUAACCAACAAGCUCAUUAUUAUUAUCUUUUAACACAAAUAAAUUUUAAGGCAUACUAAGGGCUUGUUUAGCAUUGCAGUGAAGAAGCAUUUUGGCUUAAAAAACACUUUUGAGAGAAAAGUGGUUCUAAGCUAGUAACUUUUGGCUAAGAUUUUGGCUUUUCAAAAGCAAUUUUGGCCAAAUGGAGAAGUUAAAAUUAUUAGCUUUUCUUACCCAAAAGCAGUUUUGAGUGCUUAAUUACUAAUUCAUCCCCCCAAAAACACAAUUUAAAAUAAAAUAAUACAAAUAUGUUAAUAUUUAAUUACAAAUAUUUAAUGGGUAUAUUUAAAUAUUUAAAAUAUAAUUUAUAUAUUCUAAUUAAAUUUUAUAAAUAAUUAAUAUUUGUUGCUUAAAAAUAUUUAAAAUUUAUAUUUUAUAUAUUAAAAUAUUAACAACAAAUUAUAAUAAAUUAUUUUUUAUAUUCUUACUAAAAUAUCAUAAUAUAAAUUAAUUUUAAUAUUAUUUAAAUACAUAUUUGUUACUUUAUAAUAUCAUGUCUAAGAUUGACGUUUUAUUUCUCAAAAGCACUUUUUGAAAUUAAUACUAAACACUUAAAUUUUAAACUAAACUUCUCAAAGAUACUUUUCUACAACACUUUUAAAAGCACUUUCCAAAAUCAAUGCUCAACUACCUCAAACUCUCUUACCUUAUACUUUAAAAGAGAAAAAAAAAAGAUUUUAAAUUUUAUCCCUAUUUCUUUUAACCCAAUUUUUAGGAUGUCAAACAUUUAUAAAUAAAAUAAGUAAAAGGAAAAAAAAGCAUAUACUUUAUUUUUAUCGCAGGUAAAAGUUUUAAUGGAGAGGAUCAUGUAAAAUUAUGAUCUGAAUAAUUUUAAACAUUUCAUCAUUGCAAAAAUGAAAUAAUAGAAAAGAAUGACUAUUCGAAUUUGCAUUUGUGUUCUUUCUUUCAAUAUUUGCUUUCAAAACUGUGGGAAAAUUUUAAAUUUGAUGAAAUUUUAAAAUUGCAGUUCAGUAAAAUAUAAAUUUUAUGAAUUUGGAGUAGCCAUUUUAUUUAUAAUUUUCUGUGUUUUCUUCUUUGCUGACUUUUUUAAUGUCAUUUUCUAUCAUGAAAGAAACUUAAAGAUUCACUAUGUAUUUCUCAACCACUAUGAAAUUACUUGACUACGGGGGUAGAAUUUUCUCACCAAUUUUCUAACAUUAGAUUUUUUGAAUGAGACAAAUAUUCAAUUUUAACACAUUUCCCAUAAUUAGUCACCCCUAUUUGUGAGUGAUUUGGGGAUAAAAGCUUAAACAUUUAUGGAUCACAUUGCAUUUAAGACGGGUGUUUGGAGUUAUAUGAAAUUUUAACAUAGACUGGCUUUUCUAUAAAGAGUACUCCUUGCUUUACUAUUGUCAUGAUACGAGGAGAUACUGAAAAUUAUUGUACUAUGAAAUUUUAAUUCACUCGAAAAAUAAGUGUUUUAUUUCAAGGGAUUAAUAUUAGCUUUCUCUUUUUUAAAUUUUGAAUUUUUUUUGACAACUGCGUAAUUAAGAAUAUAUCAAUUUUAGGUGUUAUAGGGGUGUUUUAACCUUCCCUAUGUGUAAUCGACUACUGAAACUUUUUUAUUCUUUAGAAUUCAACACAUACCUCAAAAUUUUCUUUUUAAAAGAUUUUUAAAAUCUCUUUAUAAAAGAUUAUCACACUUAACAAAGAUGAUCAGUGACUACUUUUCUUUAAUAAAAUAUUAUGUUUUUGCAGAGACCAAAAUUUUCAUAUUUUUCAAGAAUUCCUCAAUCUAAUUUUCUUUUUGAAUUUUUAUUUUCAAGAGGAAAAUGAUCCCUACAAUUAAUAUUUAUUUUCCUUAUUUUUAAUUUCUUUUUAAGGGAGAUGAAUAGUGGAAUGAUAAUUUUUAGUUAUGGUAAAGUAAAUUUAAUUAUCCACAACCUUCAACUAUUAAUUUUUUCGAUUUAAUUACACAAUUUUUUGAAAUUAACACUCUUUUAUUAGUUGUCGCUAGGUGAUGGACGAAAAGUUGAUUUGGACUUUUUGUUGACCUAAUAACAAAUUUAGAUAUUCAAAGUUUACUUAUUCUAUCAAUUUAAUGCUAAAUUUAAAAAAUUCAACAAAUCCUAUCAAAAAACAAUUGGACCUUGAGUACACAGGCUGUGAGAUUUUCACAUGGCUGUGUCUACACUGCACUCUAUUUUAUCAAAUUCGGACAAAGAGUUACACAGGCUGUUCACACGGGCAUGUGCCUCCUUCACAUGGGGCGUGUAGACCUCCACACAACUUAGGAACUUCCACAUGGCUGGGGCACACGGUCAUGUGGCCUUGUUUUGUAGAUUUUUGUUCUGUGUUAGAUUUUGACUCGUUUUGUGCCUGUGUGUAUUCUGACCUCAGUUAAGACUUAGUAAGAAUGUUUAGGACUCUGAUUAGUUCGAAUUUGUGCAUUUGUUUGUAACUAAUGUGUUAAUUUAUUAGUUUGAUUAAAUGUUAUGUGAUGUUAUUAGUAAAUAGUUACAAACCUAAUUGAUUCUAAAUCUGAUUGAUUGAACUUGUGUGUUUCGUUUUCUGUAUGGAUGUUUGUAUGUUGUGUGCAUUUUGCAAUAGCAUAAAAAUUUUACUAUUGAUUGACUGAAUAUGAACUUCUAUAUCUGUGACACUAUUAGUGUUUGAUGUGCAUUCAUACAUAUGCAUAAAAUUAGGGUUUUGGUUAUGAAGAGAAGGGAGCCUGUUUCGGUAGUUCAACUGUAAUAUUUCUGAACAGCAGUUUACCGCAUGAUUCUAUAUAUAUGUCAGCUUAGCUGCAUAUUAUGAUUUCGAGUGGCUUAUUUUCCUUAUUGUAGUGUGUAGGGUGGAUGAACCUUUUAUAGUUCUUGUAAUAGGCCCAAUUUGUAUGGGCCCAAAAAAAUAAGUUACAAACCCAAAAUAAACAUUACAAGCCCAAAAAUUAAAAAAAAAACUAACGGCCCAAGUGGCCCAAAACCUAACCCUCUUUAGUCGCCACUUCUCUCACGCGAGCCAACCUCCUCACGCGUGCCACCACGUCAGCACCUCCGUACCCUCCACGCUCUCUCUCUCUGCCACCAUAGCAUGCGUCCUUGCCCGGUACUUGCAGACCAAGCAAAAGAGAGCACAACAGUAAAGAGAAAAACAUUGUAUUUUUCGGCUAUAAAAGCCAUGAACAAAUCAAUGUAAAUUUUUUACGACAAAAAUAAAUACAAAAAAGGCAAUUGGAAACAAAAAAAAGGUGGUUCUUUUUUUGUUUUUAUUUCUUUUCUACUUAUAUUUCUACUAGUUUUUAAGAAAAAUAAAAAAGAAUGGAGUCGAAUCUUACCCUUUUCUCGCAUGUGCGCCGUCGUGGGGGGUCGAGGUUCGUCUUUUCCAAUGAAAAAUGACAUUUUUUGAGUUGAGGAAGUCGAAAAGUCAAAAAAUGGCCUUUUUUCGAUUUUUUGGCCACCGUGGAUGGCGGCGCCGUCACCGACGACCGACGGCCGCCACGACGGUCCGUCGGUUGGAGCCAUGGCCGGAGAGGGGAGUUGGGAGAAAGGGGGAGAGUGAUUUGAGUGUUUUUUUUUCAGAGAAUGGGGAGAAAUGAAAAAUUAAAAAAAAAGGUUUUUAUAGAGGAUUGAAAUGGCAUCGUUUUGGGCCUUAACCCCAGUGGCCAAAACGACGUCGUUUCACCCCUUUAAUCUGCGCGUGGACCCGACCCGCAAGAGGAUCCGUGUGUUUUUGUGGAAGGGUCUAUUUGCGUGUUAGACCCUUCCACAUUUUUCAAUUGUCUUAAUCCAGUCCUUUUUUAUUUUCUAAUUUGUACUUCAAAUUUUAUUUUAUUUUUGAUUUGGUCCUAGCAAAACGGCGCGUUUCAGAGGGCGGGGAUAUUUCCCCAAUUGGUCCCUCUUAGUUAUUCGCGCCUUUCAAAUGGGUCCUCUACCUUAUUUUCAUUCUCGAUUUUUACCCAGUUUUCUGAUUAAACUUCAAUUUAGUCCUUCUGCAUCUAUUUUAUUAUAAUUUUAGCCCCUCUUAUAUUCAUAAACUUAUUUUAUUAGGAUUUGGACUCUUAAUUUUAUUUCAAUGUCAAUUUAAUCCCCUUUUAUCUCAGUCUAGGUUUUAUUUUCUUUUUUUUUGUUGUGCUUUAUUUAUUUUAUUUAUUUGCUUACCAUUUCUUUUUUUAUUUUGAUUUUCGUAUUUAAUGAUGCUUUUACUUUAUUUAUUUUAUUCUUGACUUUCAUUGUUAUUGUUGUUGUUGUUGUUGUUAUUUUUAUGGUUUUUUAUUAUUUCAUUUAUUUACAUAUUUUAUUCCAAAUUGUUGCUUUAAAUUUUGUUUACAUUUUAAUUCGGUUCUUUACUUUCAAUAUUUUUUUAUAAACUAUUUUCCCUUACAUUAUUUAUGUAUUUAUUUUAUUUGUUUUUUUUAAAGUUGGUAUUGUCCUUUUAUGUGCAUACUUUGACAUUAUUACCAUUGUUAUUAUUUAUUUUAUUUAUCUUUUGAUUAUUCAUAUUAAUGUUAAAGUAGUGUAUAUUAUAUGAUUCUCGUAAAUUGUCUUUAUUAUAUUCAUUAUUGUUAUUUAUUAAUGCAACAUUUCAUUCAUGUAUUAUUUUAAAUAUUACACAUUUUUACCCAAAUUUGUAAAAAAAUAUAAAAAUUAGAAAAUAAGCAAUAUUUCGUAUUUUGGAAUUUGAAAAGUCGUUCCCUAACUUACGGGGUUUCAAUUUUUUUGAUAAAUCCAAAUAUACGAGCUAUUUUUCAAAAACACAUUUUUAAAAUUAUCUCGAGAAUUAAAAAGAUCGUUUUUCAACUUUUGGAAUAUGAUUUCUUUUCUAAAACUGAGAUAAUAAAAAUUUUCUAAAAAUAAAUAAAAUUUUUGGUGUUUAUUCUCGUUUUGAGAUUUAAGGUUAUGUCCUAACUCACAGGGUAUAAUUCUUUUUCUCGGUUGACAUAAAAUAUGCCCUUUUUAAAAUUCUUUUAGGUAAUUUUAAUAAAAGGAUCGUAUUUUAAGUCUCUUCAAAAUUUUCAACUUUCGACAUUAAGACAUUAAUUAAUCAAUUAGGUAUCAAUUUUGGGCGUGACGAGGGUGCUAAUCCUUCAUCGCACGUAACCGACUCCCGAUCCAUUUUUCUCGAAUUUCGUAGAUCAAAAUCAUUGUUUUAGUAAAAUCGAAACGUUUUGUUAAAAAGAUUGAAUUGCAAGGUGAUCCGAUCACACCAAAAAAAAAUAUCGGUGGCAACUACAGUUUUUUUCGUUUUUAUUUUUAUAAUAAAAGUCGACCCCUUUUUUAUUAAAAAAUGGCUUCGAUAGUUCUAUGUGGUGUGAGGGUAGACGGGCCUUCUAUAGCCCUAAUGUGGUGUGCAGGGUGGUCGAAGUGGUGUUCAAAUGGUUGGGUGGGUUUUUAACUUAUUGCAUACGGUUUGCAUUAGGCAUAUGUGUCUGAUUAUGAUUCUUUUUAAAAUUAUUUGCAAAUGUUUGUACUAAUUUGAUUAUUACAUGUGUUAGAGACAUUGCUUAUGCAGUUUGAUACUAUAUAUUGACUUAUUGAUGUAAGAUUUUCGUAAGUGACCAUCAUAUAGUGCUUGUCUGAAAUAUUUAUGGAGUUAUCCCCUCUUUUACCGACUGUUGUGUUUUGGACUCACACUGAGCUCGCGUAGCUUACCACCUUAGUUUUCUCCCUUUUAGAUACUCUCGUGUUCUGUAGCUAGACUCGACAUAUUAGAAGGCUCAGACGGAAGAGGUGAGAUUUGAUUUAAUAAAGUGUUUCAAUUCAAUUUUAGUUUUUCUAACUUCUUGGGACUAUAAGUGUUAAUAGGGACUGUAGUAUAAGUUUUACUUCUGGAUUUUCGUAAAUUUUUAUUUUGGGACUGAACUUUUGAAAUUGUGGAAUUAUACUUUCUAUUGUUUUUAACGUAAUUUAAAAUCUUUGUUUGAAUCCUGAAUGGUUAAACGACUUAGUUUGAUUUUAGCAAAAAUGAGUUAUAAAUGAGAUGUUAACAAUUCAUUUUGUAAAAUUAUUUUUAGAUCACUUCGGUGUUCAAAGUAACCUCUGAGAUUCGAUCCAUACUUCUAGGCCGAGUUUUGGGGUGUUACAUUAGUUUUCAAGAGGAGAUUGGUGAUCUACUUGAAGAUAGAUUGAUUUUGAAAACUUUGACUCCUUUUUGCUUUGAGAGUUGAUUUGAAGAGAAAAGAGCUUGAAGGUGCUUUUGUAGAAUCAGGACAAAUUUUAAAAUAAGGAGUAAAUUGGAAAAAAAGGGUUUUGGGUUGGGCUAAUUUUAAAAUUUGACACUUUCGUGGGAUAAAAAUAGAAAAAUAUUUUGGUUGAAUACACACAAGGAGUUACGAACUUGAGACCUAUCGAUAGACUAAGGCCUUAGUACUGAACCAACAAGCUCAUUCUUAUUAUCAUUUAACACAAAUAAAUUUUAAGGCAUACUAAGGGCUUGUUUAGCAUUGCUGUGAAGAAGCACUUUUGGCCUAAAAAACACUUUUGAGAGAAAAGUUGUUCUAAGCUAGUAACCUUUGGCUAAGAUUUUGGCUUUUCAAAAGCACUUUUCGCCUAAUGGAGAAGCUAAAAUUUUUAGCUUUUCUUACCCAAAAGCACUUUUGAGUGCUUAAUUACUAAUACAUCCCUCCAAGAACACAUUUUAAAAUAAAAUAAUACAAAUAUUUUAAUAUUUAAUUACAAAUAUUUAAUGGUUAUAUUUAAAUAUUUAAAAUAUAAUUUAUAUAUUCUAAUUAAAUUUUAUAAAUUAUUAAUAUUUGUUGCUUAAAAAUAUUUAAAAUUUAUAUUUUAUAUAUUAAAAUAUUAACAACAAAUUAUAAUAAAUUAUUUUUAUAUUCUUACUAAAAUAUCAUAAUAUUAAUUAAUUUUAAUAUUAUUUAAAUGCAUAUUUGUUACUUUAUAAUAUCAUGUCUAAAAUUGACGUUUUAUUUCUUAAAAGCACUUUUUGACAUUAAUACUAAACACUUAAAUCUUAAACUAAACUUCUCAAAGAUACUUUUCUACAACACUUUUUAAAAACACUUUCCAAAAUCAAUGCUCAACUAUCUCAAACUCUCUUACCUUAUACUUUAAAAGAGAAAAAAAAGAUUUUAAAUUUUAUCCCUAUUUCUUUUAAUCCAAUUUUUAUCCCAGGUAAAAGUUUUUAUGGAGAGGAUCAUGUAAAAUUAUGAUUUGAAUAAUUUUAAACAUUUCAUCAUUGCAAAAAUGAAAUAAUAGAAAAGAAUGACUAUUCGAAUUUGCAUUUGUGUUCUUUCUUUCAAUAUUUGCUUUCAAAACUGUGGGAAAAUAUUAAAUUUGAUGAAAUUUUAAAAUUGCACUUCAGUAAAAUAUAAAUUUUAUGAAUUUGGACUAGCCAUUUUAUUUAUAAUUUUCUGUGUUUUUCUUCUUUGCUGACUUUUUUAAUGUCAUUUUCUAUCAUGAAAGAAAGUUAAAGAUUCACUAUUUAUUUCUCAACCACUAUGAAAUUACUUGACUAUGGGGGUAGAAUUUUCUCACCAAUUUUCUAACAUGAGAUUUUUUGAAUGAGACAAAUAUUCAAUUUUAACACAAACAUAUCUUUAGUUAUUGAGUCACCCCUAUUUGUGAGUGAUUUGGGGAUAAAAGCUUAAACAUUUCUGGAUCACAUUGCAUUUAAGAUGGGUGUUAGGAGUCAUAUGAUAUUUUUUCAUAGACCGACAUUUCUAUAAAGAAUCCUUGCUUUACUUUGGGUAGAUUCUUCCAAUUAGCGUGGUCGUUGGUAUUACUCUCCAACAAUUAUUGUACUGUCAUCCUUAUUCCUACUCCUCCUAGCAGAGAAGUUUCAUAAGUGUUUUAUUUCAAGGGAGUCAGCACUUAGCAACCCCUUGGGGGAUUCAGCACUUAGCAACCCCUUUUAUAUUCAAUGUACUCCGGCUUAUUCCGAGUGUUCAACCGGAAAUCUUGUUUGCAAUAUUUUACCAUUUUUUCCAACUUAACCACAUUUUUAGGAUCUAUGGCAAGUAUUUAUUCUACGUUCAAUUAAAUCUCCUCAUAUAAUGAAUAAUAUCAAAAUAAUGCAUUAAUUCACAUGUUUACUUACCUUGGUGCAAAAUAUUGUAAUUUUGCAAUUUACUCCACAAUUUUCUCUUUUCCCCGAUUGAGGUUGUCUCCUCGUCUUUCUUGAUCUAUAAUAGCAAUUUUAGCUUAUUUAAUAUUCACAUUUAUUAAAACAAUCCUCGACUCACAUUUAUUAAACUUGCUAUUUAAUAUUCACAUUUAUUAAAACAAUCCUCGACUCAACUUUUUACAAAAUUAUGAUUUUGCCCCCAAACUUUUGCAUAUUUACACUUUUGUCCCCAAGCUCGAAAAUUAAAUUCCACUCCUUAUUCUUAUGUUUUACAACAUGCUGAAUACUUUUCCCUUCUAUGGCAACAUCAAAUUCUCACUCUAACAUACACUCAUGAACAUUAAAUAUUUUUACCGAUUAUGUCAAUUUACCCGUUUCUACUUAAAAUUGCUUAGUAAAAGUUGUUUAACAUAAUUCUAGCUCCAUAUUCUACCAUAAAACAGUAAAAUAAACACAUUUCACCUAUGACUAUUUUUCCAAAUAUGAACCCUAGGUUAAAUUAUGUGUUUUGUUCUUCCAAAUGUGUUUUGUUACGAAAUUGAAAACCAAAAUUUAUGUAAAUUUGUCAUGAUUCCUCAAUAGAAAAAUCUGUAAAUUAUCAAAACGUAAAUGUGAACAUAUUAAUUAUUAACUUAAAAAAAACCUAGUCUUGUACAAUCAAAAUUCAAAAAUCAUUUGCCUUGUAAAACUUGUAAUUUUCAUUAAAAUUUUUGCAGCGAAAACUUUUUAUUUAGCCUAUUGAGCAUAUUUUUAAAUUUACGUUUUUAACUUUCGUAAAAUCCCAAUUUGUAUUUUUGUGGUGGAAAAUUUUAUAAUUUUGAAAACCUAGCCUUGAUUGUUGGUUAACACAAAUCAUGCAGAAAAAAAAAACCUUUAACUAAGCCAAAGAAAUCCAAAGCCAAAUUAAAUCGGAGAAAUUCAACCAAAAGCCAAAAGUCCAGUAAAUCAAUUUAUUAACCAGAGCAAACAUUUAAUGAAAGAAUCAAUCCGAGACCCCGCAAAUUCUAACUUUCCGAUUACCUGAAACAUCAUAAAUAAAAUAAAGGGGAGAGCUAUAAAGCUCAGUGCAUAACUAAAACAGAAGCUGAGAUCACAUACAAUACAAUAUACAAAUCAUAAAAUCAUAGAAAAUUUCAUAACAAACAGUCAAACAGAAUUGAGUAUACAUGAUUAUGCCAAUGCGGUAUUUUUCAGAAAAUCUUAAUGCAAAUUUUUCAGAAAACGUCCUACCCAAAUCCUCUACACACUUGAAUAGAGUUCUCCAGAACUUAUCCAUAAAAAAAACACACCAAUUAAGUCAUCCCAGGUUGCCCAAAAACGAUGACUCACCACCAUGGGAUGCCCGACAACGAUGGCUUAUCAAUAUGUAAUUAAACUGUUAGAUCAGAUAUUUGUGGUCAAGCCAUUGAAUUGCAUCUCAGCUACUUAAACAAAAAUAUGUAGUGAAGCCACUAUAUUGUAUCCAAGUUGCCAAAUAAAAAUAUGUGGAUAAACCACCAGAUAGUGCAGACCAUUAAACUACCAAAACUUCCUCCCUGCCAUAUUAUCCCAACCCCAUGCAAUGUGACAUGACAUGCAUUUACAUAAUCAAAACGACAAGCAUGUAAGACAUGUAGUCGUACCAUAACACAAUUUAGCAAGCAUGGCAUUCCACUCUUUUACAGAACAGAUGUAUCAGAAAUUCAACAUAAGCAAGUUGGUAUGCUAUAAAGUCACAUGCAUGAUCACAUAGCAGAAUCAGAAACAUAAAAAUAACGUAACCAAACCUCAUAUACACAAAUACAAACAUAACAAUACAAAUCAUGCUACCAGAUUCAUUAGAAAACAGUUCAUGCACACUAAUUUCACAUACCUUAUUCAUAUCACCUACAAUAUCAAAUUAUCAGAUAUUACAUUUUCAAAGUCAAUUUUACACAGUACGAACCCUACAAAGUGGCUAAACAUGAUUCACGAAUCAAAAGGGGCCUAAACGAAAAUUUUUAAAAGAUGGGCCAAUAUGGCCCAAUUAGCCUAGGCCGUAUGGCGUCGACAGUCCAAUUUUUGACUUUCAGCUGUUCAUUAUUUUUUGACUUUUUUGAUAUACACCUUACUAUUUUCCGAAGCAAAAUCAUGGCAAGAAUUCCAAAACUUAAAAUCCAUAUUCAACCCACUCAAAUUAGUAAUGAAACCCAAAACUAAAUCAUUAAACAACCAAAACUGCUACCAAUAAACCUUAUCAAACCAGGAAUCAACCUUUUGGCAUCUGACUACUAACCCAAAAUAGUAGCAGUAGUACUAAAAAUCUCUCAAUUCAUCGGAAGACUAUUUGUUACAGAAACGUCACCUAAACCAAAGAUUUCAGAGUAAUCAAAAUCGCGUCACACAAAGAAGGAAACAAAUUAACCCUAAAAUCGUGAAACUCAACAAAAUACGAAUCUUUUCACAUAUUCCUUACCACCAACCGUCAAGAUUGGUCAAAAACCACUAAUGACACCGACCAUCGCAAGGUUAAAUUGAAACCAAAAGGCAACUAAAGAUGGAACAAAGGUUGUUAUAAAAAAAAUUAACAAAGACUUAUUGCAGCAAAAAUGGCAAAAAAUCAAGAAUAGGGAGAUUGGAAAAAAAUAAUGAAACGGCAAAGAGAAGGAGUGGGAAAGUGACGGCAGUUUGUGGAGAGAUUUUGGGUAAAUAAAAAGUAACUCACCACUCAACCCAUUAAAUCUGAUUACCCUCUAGACAGAUUCCCUUAGAGUUUAAAUUCAACCCAAAUACCGCUACAUGGGCGGCAUAGUGUAAGGAAAUAAAAAUAUUUCUACUUUGCACACACGCGGUCUUGAACACGAAGCCUUAGGGUAAUUUGAAGCCUUACCACUAAAUUAGUAGGCUCAUCCUUGAAAUUAAUUGAACGAAAAUAUUAUUUAUGUCAGAUGAUCAGGGAUAGAGGUUAAGACCAAAGAUGACAAAAAUUCAAAGGAAAGAUUUAAACCUAGAACCUCACACACACAAGCAUAACACCUAUCCACUGAACCAUAUUUACUCCACUGACAUAAUUUUCACAAUAUUAACUAAAAAUUCAGAAUAUGGUCACUCUUGGUUUCACUUACCUAAUUUCUUCUAACCUGAUUUUUGUGAUGUGACAACUCUCCCAUCCUUAAAAGAAUUUCAUCCUCGAAAUUCCUAUUAUGACACCAUACACUUAACUACAAAAUCUAAAAUUCCCUAGUCCAAACCAACCACCAGGCUAUCAUUGUACAACUCUAAUCUCCAUUCAAGUCUGAUCCAGACAAUAUUUCAGAGGAAUUUCCUAUUCACUACCUCGAAUUACCUCAAUAAGCUUUCCACAGAAACAUCACUAAUGAUCCUUUACCCCAGACUCUAAAAAAAUCACUUACCACAAAAUACAGGUACAAACAAUUCUUAUCAAUGCAUAGUACAUUUGGAACAUAUCAUAAAAGUACCUGUAUCAUUGUCAAAUGCAUCACGGCUCGCUUGAUACCUAGUUGCAUAUCCCCAUCUCAAAUUUUGUUUUUAUGUCGAAGCUUGUACCCGUAAAAUAGUGUCAUGAGCAAUCCCAAACUCGAUGCUCAACUGACCUACAUCUAAAACACGCUCUCAUUUUCCUCCAACAAUCGUCCGAAUGGUGCCUAUCACAGUAAGUAUAAAUCAGAAGCUCAACCGCAUUCACAAUUGCCUCACCCCGCUGAAGCCUGUCUAUUUUAGCCCGUUUCCUUGGUCAUGGAUUCAAGUCAAUAGAACCAUCACUCAUCUUAUUUUGCACUUUAUUCAUUACUUAUUCUCUCCCUUGGAGCAAUUACUCUCUACCGCUAACUUGACUUGAUACGCUUGAGGUCACUCAAUCACAGACUCUUGUCUCAUACAUCCAAAUUGGGUUCCAUCGAUCCUUUGCAAAUCUCUAAACACCUCUUGGAACACUGAAACGUCCCCUACUUCUAAACUGCCCUCAGAUUUGGGCGUCAUAGCAAACUUAUUUAUUUUCAAAUUGGGCUUACUGCCCCGAGAAGAGAACUCAACUCGAGUCACCCAGCUACGUCCACCACGCCCUCGCACAUCAUGACCUCGAGUACUCAUUAUACUAAUCUACAGUUUGCGAAAUUUUAUGAAUUAGCUUAGGUUUAUUAAAAAUUAUAAGUCUAGAGUUUUAUCAAAGUUUCUUACAUAAUUACCAUAGUCUUUAGCUAGAGUAGAGUAAUCCUAGCACUUAAGUUUUGUUAGUUUGUCUAGUAUAGCUAAAGUAAAGAUACUUACAGGAUCGACGAUGUAGUUUUGGAUUCUUUUUGAUAGAAUCAAAUAUAAAAAUAAUCAAAAUCUAAAUACCCAUUUUAGAAACCCAAAGUAUAAUAAUUAAUCAAAAAUUCAAUUUAUUUAAAGCAUAUUUAAUGGAGAUUUUCAAACCCAGAAAUCAUAGCCUGAGUUUUGUUACCUUGCUCUGAUACCACUAAAUGUAACACCCAAAACUUGGCUUAGACAUUAUGGCCAAAUCUGGAAGGUUACAUUAGUACGAAAAAAAUGAUUUUUCCAAAGUGUGGUUUGUUACGAAAUUGAAAACCAAAGUUUAUGUAAGUUUGUCAUGAUUCCCCGAUAGGAAAAUUUGUAAAUUAUCAAAACGUAAAUGUGAACAUAUUAAUUAUUAACUUAAAAAAAACCUAGCCUUAUACAAUCAAAAUGCUAAAAUCAUUUGCUUUAUAAAACUUGUAAUUUUGACUAAAAUUUUUGCAACGAAAAUUCCAAACUAAUAUUCGUAAAUUGUAAUUUUGUCAAGUAAAAACGUUUUAUUUAGCCGAUUAGGCAUAUUUUAAAUUUACGUUAUUAAAUUUUGUAAAAUCUCAAUUCGUAUUUUUGUGGCAAAAAAAUCUUGGCUCGUAUAAUUUUGAAAACCCAACAUUGAUUGUUCAGUAACACAAAACAUACAGAACAAAAGACUUUAACUAAGCCAAAGAAACCCAAAGAAAAAUUAAAUUUGAGAAAUUAAACCAAAAUCCAAAAGUCCAAUAAAUCCAUUUAUUAACCAGAGUAAACCAUUUAAUUAGAGAAUCAAUUCGAGCUUCCACACACUGCCCGAUUCUAAGUUAUCGAUUAUUUGAAACAUCAAAAAUAAAACAAAUGGGUGAGCUAUAAAGCUUGGUGCAUAACUAAAACUCAAGCCGAGAUCACACACAAUACAAUAUACAAAUCAUAAAAUCAUAGGAAAUUUCAUAACAAUCAGUCAAACAAAAUUGAGCAUACAUGAUUAUGCCAAUGCGGUAGUUUUCAGAAAAUCAUAAUGCAAAUUUUUUCAGAAAACAUCCUACCCAACACCACCACACACCCAAAUAUAGUUUCCCAAAACUCGUCCAUCUAAAAACACACCAAUUAAGUCAUCUCAGGUCGCCCGAAAGCGAUAACCUACAACCUCGAGUUAGUCGGCAAUGAUGACUUAUCAAUUUGCAGUUAAACUACUAGAUCAGAUAUUUGUGGUCAAGCGAUUGUACUGCAACUCAGCUGCCAGAUUAAAUGUUCCUAGUGUAGUCCCUAACAUUAUCAGGUGUUCUCGGCUCAGUCCUUUGGACAUUAAAAAAAAUAGAUUUGGAUAUGCAAUUAAUCAUAAAUUGCCAGGUGGUAUAUGUUAAAGUUACGAUAACAUCAUCAUCAAGAAAAAAACCAAAAAAAUCUUUAAAAAAUUUCAUAAAAUUCAAAUAAACUUAUAUAAAAUUAACUACAUUAUAAAUAUAUAAUUGUUAAAAAAUAAAAAUUCUUAAUUAUUUUAAAAUUUGUAAAAAAUAAUAAAAUUAUUAGAAAUUGUUAAAUAUUGUAGAAACAUUAUAAAAAUUAUUAGAAUCAUAAAAGACGGUAAAAAAUAAAAAGUUAAAAUACUAGUAAAAAUUGUCUAACUUGAAAUAAAGUAUACAUUUGGUAAUCAAAUUUAAAAUAUUGAAAAUUUAAUAUUAAAGUUGUAUAAUUUUUAUAAAAAAUAUUUUAAAAUAUUUUAAUAAAAAUUGAAUAAAUUUUAUAUCUAUUUUUUAAUAUUUUAAAAUACAUCAAUUUUCAGUACUUUACCAACGUUACUGGCAACAAGUUUUUUCGACUUGACUCCCUAUUUAUUGUCUUAAGUAGCUUCCUGCAUCCACCAUUUUGCACAUGGUUUUUCUAUUUUAUACCAAAGCUCUUUAGAAUAGUUAAACAUUCGACAAUAGUUCUUAAGAUAUUAGUUUAGAGACAAAUAAUUAUCUUGAGAUAGUAAAAAAAAAAGAAAUAAUUAAAUAUAUUAUUUACUUGAAAUAAUAUUAUUUUUCAUUAUUUAAAUUAUUUGAGAAAAAAACUUAUUCAAGUUUAUCACGUAAAAAGAUCUACCAAUUAUAAAUUUUGAUUAGUUGAACCAUAAGACAAUUGUUAUAGGUAGUAUCAUUCCAAGAGACAAUUAUCACAUGUUCAAACUCUAGUUAAUGUGAUUUAUAAAAUUUUAAAAAUAUUAAAAUAUCUAAUAUAUUUUUGAAAUUUAUGUAAAUUUUUAUAUUUUACACAGUUUUUUUUUCUAUUUUUAAAUAAUUUUGAUAAUUUUUCUUUUAUAAUUUUUGUCAUUUUUGAAGAUUCUUUAAGGGUUUUUGUUGAUGAUUUCAUUAUGAUAUCAUCAUACGACAUGUGGUAGUAUAUGAUUUGUUGAAUAUUCCAAAGAAUUUUUUAUUGACCAAUGAACUAAACUAAAAAUUUUUAAUAACAUUAGGGACUGAAGUGGAUAAAAAUAUUUUAAAAACUAAAGUUAAAAAAGUGAUAUACUUGCAUUAACAUUUUCUAAAAGAUGGAAGUGUUUUUCUGUUUUAAGGGAAUAGAAUUUUUUUGAGUGAAUAUAGUUUUGUGAGGGAGUAGUGAUAUUAUUAUUAGAGACAAGGCAUUUGAUUUUUAUAUAACUUUUUAAUUAAGUCAAUAUCACUCAUCGAGUAAAACCCAACAUAUUAAGCACAUUAUUAUACUAAUUUAGAUUAAUAGGAAUCAUCAAAUUUACAAUUAAGGAUUAUAAAUUUAUUUAAUUCCAAUCUUCUACCUUUUCUAAAUUAUAAGAAUGGUUUUGCCUUAUAUUUUCUUCAAAUUGAGAUUUAAUUUAUAAUUUUAAUUUUGAUAUAAUUUAGUUUAUCAAUUUUUAUAAUGCAAUUAAUUAGUUAAUACUUUAUUUUAAUCAAAAUAAUUAUAUUAAUUUUAAAGAAUUAUUAUCACCGUUAAAAUUCUUUACUAACAAUGAUUUAAAAUUAAGUUCUAUUGCUUUUGUUUUAGAUUACACAUAAAUGUUUACAAUAUGAAAUUCUUUAUAAUUUUCAAUACAUAUUACUUAAAUAAAUAGAAAAUAGAGUUUUAAUAAUGCACAACCAAAUAAAUUUUAGGGUAAACGACCAAAAUAGUCACUUUUGUUUGCCUUAGGUUACAUUUUAGUCACUUAUGUUUGAAAUGUUACGUUUUAGUCACUUACGUUAUCGUGUUGUAACAUUUUAGUCACUGAGUCAUUAAUUGUCGACAAUGGUGUAAUGGUAAGUUGAUGUGGCACGUUAAAUCAUCAUUUCAAACGAAAUUUUUAGGUUAAAUUCUACAAUUGGUCCCUAUAUUUUUCAUUUUCAACAAUUUAAAAAAUUUCUUUUAUGUUCUUCUAACUUUUUUUUUUCCAUUCUCUUAUGCUUCUCCCUCUAUUUUCCUCCCUUCUUCAUUUCUUUUAACAUAGUUUUUCUAUGAUUUCCAUUUGUAACUAGUCCACAAGCUCGCCUCACUCGAAAAAAUUAAAUUGUUCAAAAAAUAAAACAUAGAAUAACUACGUUGAAAGAAAUGGAGAAGGGAGGAAAACAAAGGGAGAAACAUAAGAGAAUGGAAAAGAAAGAAAGUUAAAAAAACAUAAAAGAAAAAAUUAAAUUGCUCCAAACGAAAAAAUAUGGGGACCGAUUGUAUAAAUUAACCUAGAAUUUUUGUUUGAAAUGAUGAUUUAACGUGCCACAUCAGUUUACUGUUACACCGUUAAUAGAAACUAACGGCUCAGUGACUAAAAUGUUACAACGUGAUAACAUAAGUGACUAAAACGUAACAUUUCAAACAUAAGUGACUAAAAUGUAACCUGUGCCAAACAAAAGUGACUAUUUUGGUAGUUUACCCUAAAUUUUAUUGAUGUUCUAUUAUUUUGAUUUCUUAGACUUGUAUAUAGGGAAAAUAAAGGACUAUUGCCAUUUAAUUGCUUUAAAACAAUUUUAAUGAGCUCUAGUCAUGCAAGAUUACCAUUAAAUAGAAUACUCAUAUAGAAGGAUUUACUAUUUUUGUUUCUCAAAUCACAACUAAUAAUUGUUCAUAAUUUCUUAUUUAGUGUCAUUUUUAAGAUUUAUUAGAUGACAAUUUUUCAUGCCAAAGUUUUAUUUUUAUUUCAUUUAAAGUUUUACAAUAUUUAAAAAAUUAUAUAUUUUGUAAAUUUGACAUUUAAUCAAUUUUAGAUCUAAAAAGUAAUAAUGAUUUCAACCCAAGGCCUGAGCUAGGAAUAGUUUUAGUUUGGAGUACUAUAUAUAUAUAUAUAUACUAAAAGAUGCAAUUUUUAUAAAUAACUUACAAAUCUAUCAUUAAAUCAAAUACUGGUAUGAAAUGGUUUAAUUAUUUGAUCACAUUUUUCCAUGACAAAAUUUUAUUUUUAUAUGAUUUAAAAUUUUACAAUUUUUAUAUUGUGAAUUUGGUGUACUAAAAGAUGUAAUUUUACAGGUAAUUUUAAUACCCAUCACCAGUGCUGCAAAGCUUGAGAUUCUUUUAUUGUGGGGAAAUAAACUUAGUGGAAACAUUCCCAACUCUAUCUCCAAUGCUUCCAUGCUUAAGAAACUAGACUUGGCAGAUAACUUAUUCUCUGGCCCAAUCCCUAAAACUUUUGACAACUUAAGACACGUUGAAUGGUUCCAAAUUUCAAACAAUAAUUUGAUCAAAAGACCUGCUACUGAUCAUGAGUGGACCUUUCUUUCUUCUUUGGCAAAUUGCAAGCAUUUGAGAAUAAUAGAUGUUUCAAGAAAUCCAUUGAGUGACGUUCUUCCAACUUAUAUUGGGAACCUUUCAAAAUCCCUUCAAUACUUUUAUGCAUCUAAUUGUGAGAUUACAGACAAUAUUCCUAUGUAAAUAGGUAGCUUAAGCAACCUAUUACUUUUACAACUUGGCUAUAAUAAAUUAAGCUUUAUUCCAACACCGAUAGGAGGACUGCAAAAUUUGCAAGGUUUACAACUUUCCUCUAAUAAAUUAGAGGGGCCUAUAUCAGAAAGCCUUUGUGGUUUGGAGAGAUUAUACUACUUGUAUUUAAGGCUGAUUAGGUUGCAUGGAUCCAUACCCUCUUGUUUGGGUAAUAUUUCUUCUUUGAGAUAUCUUUACUUAGAUUCCAACACAUUGAGUUCUACAAUACCCUCAACUUUGUGGAAUCUUAAAGAUAUCUUAGAAAUAGAUUUAUCAUCAAACCAUCUUUACAAUUCACAUGCUAUAUUGAUGUUGGAGAUUUGAGGAGUCUACUAAAACUAAAUUUAUCAAGGAAUCUUCUCAUGGGCAAUAUCUUCUCCACAUUUAGGGGUCUUCAAAUUUUGAUUUCAUUAGAUUUAUUAAAUAAUAUACAACAUGGCCAUAUCCCUGGAUCAUUAGGUGGUUUGAUUAGUUUGGAAUUCUUGAAUUUAUGAAAUAACAAUCUCUCUCGAGCCAUUCCCAAAUCUUUGGAAAAGCUUUUAGAUCCAAAGUAUUUUAUUGCGUCUUUCAAUAGACUUGAAGGGGAAAUUCCCGCCAAAGGAUGUUUUUCAAACUUCUCUAGCACAUCAUUCAUGAAGAAUUUUGCACUUUGUGGUCCACCUAGAUUGCUAGUCCCACCUUGCAAAAACAAUAUCCAAGAAAACUCCCAAAUGAAUAUAUUGCAUGCUUUAAGGUAUGGUUUACCAACAGUUGGUAUUGUUGUAGUACUAAUAGUCUUAACUAUUGUAAUCACUGAAUUUUGUCCGGCUCGAUUUGGUUUUUUUUAAAAUUUUUUUUUAAAUACAAAAAAUAAAAAAUUGUAUUUUGACCCCUAAACUUUUUUUAAAAUUACAUUUUACCCCUAAACUUUCUCAAAAUUACAUUUUGACCUCUAAACUUUCUCAAAAUUAUGUUUCGACCCUAAUACUUUUCCUGCAUUUGCAGUUUAGUCCUUCUGGCAGCAACUUGCACACCUACCCCCGUGAUUUCCGGCCACUGGCCUAGGGCAUGGCCUCCCUCUCCCCUAGCCACCUAAUCCCUGCAAAAAGGAAGAAAAAACAGCUAUAAAAUGGGUUAAAAAACCCCAAAAAUCGGACCCCCCACGAAAAAAUAAAAAAAAAACUUGCAAAAAAGAGAAAAAGAAGAGGAAAAAGGAGAGAAAGAGAGGAGAAAGGAGAAGAAGAGGCCGGCCAUCGGCGAACCACUGGCAGCAGCACGAGCAGCGACGUCGACGGCGGCGAAGGAGACCGAACGGAGAAGAAGAAGGAGAAAAGAGAAGAAAAAGAGAAAGAAGAAAGGAAAAAGAAGAAGGAAGAAAAAGAAAAAAAGAAAAAAUAUUUUUUUUAACAGUCGGGUCAAACCGACCCGACCCAACUCUGACCCGAACACCGCGACCCGACCCGGCACCUGCAUACCCAGGCCAAGCCCAGCAGCCUAAAGAAAAAACAAAAAAAGAGGCAAAAGCAAAAAAAGAAAGAAAGAAAAGGAAACAGGCCAAAAACAGCCCAAGCGCAGGCCCAAACCAACGCCAGGCCCAACAGCAGGCCUAGCAGGCCAACCAACCCAACGCUAGGCCCAACAGCAGGCCUAGCAGGCCAGCCAGCCCAACGCCAGCAGCAGGCCCAAUAGCACAGGCCCAAAAGGCAGCAGGCCAAAAAAAAAGAAGAGAAAGAGAAAAAAAAAGAAAAAAGAAAAAAAGAGAAAUAAAAGAAAAAAAGAAAAAAAAAAGAAGAAAAAAGGGGUUUCAAUUUGAACAACCCGUUCGGCGAAGCUCGUGUUUUAGAUUUUUCGGUAAUUUUAUUUAUUUCUCUUUUAAUUUAAUGCUCGUAUUUUUAUGUUAUUUCAUUUUAAUAUUAUUAGCAUUUUAUGCAUUUUUUAUAUUUUUAUAUUUUUGUAUUUAUAUUUUCAAUUUAAUUCAAUUUUAAUUUUAUUUUAUUUUAAAUAAUUUUAAUAAAUAAGGCAACGGAUCGAUUUAUCAUAAAAUUGUUGAUUUCAUCGCUAUGUUGGGUGAAUAUCACCGGUUUGUGUUAAACUCGAUACGCUCUUUUAAAAAUAAAAAAUAUUCAAAAAAAUUGUAUUUUCAAAAAAAAAUCCUCGGGUUUCGAAAUUUGCGUGUCUUCAAAAUAAUUUCUCGUGUUUUCAAAAAUAAGGUAACGAAUCUAUUUGACACUAAUUCGUUGAUUUCAUUGCUAUGUUGAGUGAAUAUCACUGACUAGUGUUAAAUAUGAUACGUGCUUAAUAAAAAAAUCAGAAAAUUUUUCGUGUUUUCAAAAAUUUCCGUGUUUCAAAAAUUUUCAUGUUUUCAAAAAUUCUCGUGUUUUCAAAAAAAUUCCAAUUUUCAAAAUUUUUCGUGUUUUCUAAAAACUUCUGUGUUUCAAAAAUUUUCGUAUUUUAAAAAUUUUUGUGUUUCUAAAAUUUUCGUAUUUCAAAAAUUUUCUUGUUUUCAAAUUUUUCGUAUUUCAAAUAUCCUCGUGUUUUCAAAAAAUUUCGGUGUUUUGAAAAUUUUCUUGUUUUUCAAAAAAAUCUCGUGUUUCAUAAAUUUUUGUUUUUUUUUAAAUUGUGUUUCCAAAAUUCUCGUGUCUAAAAAAAAUUCUCGUGUUUUAAUCGGAUCAGGAUUAAAUAUUAAAUUGAACUCGUAUUUUUGAAAGUGAAGACAACUCGCAUUUAACGAGAUACCAAUUUCGGGCGUCGCGAGGGUGCUAAUACCUUCCUCGCGCGUAACCGACUCCCGAACUCUAAUUUUCUCUGGAUUUUCACGUAGACCAAAAAUUACCUCUUUUUUAGAAAAAUUUAAAAAAUAAAUUUUCCUUCUAAAAAGAGAAUUUAUUAGGUGUCCAAUCACACCUAGGAAAAAAAAGAUCGGUGGCGACUCCUUUUUCAAAUAAAAUCGAAACACCGUUUUCAAAUUUUCAACAAUCAUUUCGAUUAGCGCCCGUGCACGAAAUUUUUAGGUCGCUACAACUAUUAUGUAUAGAAGAUGCCAAAGUAGGAGUACAACUCUACCAAUUCAGGAUGAUUUGUUUUCUUUGAAAACGCUGAGUGGAAUUUCACAUGCUGAACUUUCACAAGCAACUAAUGGAUUUGAGGAAAACAAUAUGCUUGGUUCAAGGAGUUUUGGAUAUGUAUAUAAAGAAAGGCUUUCAGAUGGAAUGGAAGUUGCAAUAAAAGUUUUCAAUUUGCAAACAGAAGAAGCAUUUGGGAGCUUUGACAUUGAAUGUGAUGCUAUGCGAAAUAUAGAUCAUCAUAAUAUUGUGAAGGUCACUACUUACUGCUCAAGUGUUGACUUCAAAGCCUUGGUGCUUGAUACAUGUCUAAUGGAACUACAGAGAAAUGGUUAUAUUAUUAAAACUAUUUCCUUGAUAUCAUACAAAGGGUUGACAUAAUGAUAGAUGUUGCAUCAGCUAUAGAACAUCUCCACAACGGGCAUCCAACACCUAUAAUUCAUUGUGACUUAAAACCAAGCAAUAUUUUACUAGAUGAAGACAUAGUUGCACAUGUGGGAGAUUUUGGCGUUGCCAAAUUGUUGGGAGAAUGUGAUGUAAUGAAGCAGACCAUGACUCUUGCAACAAUCGGGUAUAUGGCACCAGGUGAAUUUUUUAUUUUUGUAUUAUUAUUUGUCUAAUAUGCAUUUUAUAUUUUGUUUCAUCUGUAUGUGGAUAUAUAUUUGAAUAAUCAUUUUAGAAAUAAUUAAAGAUUAAUGAUGCUCUAAUUUUACUUGAAAUGCAAAAUUUGGAUCAACGGGAAUUGUUUCUAUAAAAUGUGACAUCUAUAGUUAUGAGAUUGUCCUUAUACAAACUUUCACAAAGAAAAAGUCAACUGAUAAUUUUUUUGCUGAAUAAGUGACUAUAAAGCAUUGGAUGGGAAGUUCAUUGCCAAAGGAGCAUGAAAAUCCCCAAAACCUAAAUUCUUUCCUUCUAGCAAUGAAGAGAUGGUGAGGGGAAGGGGAAAAAAUCACGUUAAAUGAAAAGAAAAAGAAAAAGAACAAAAUUAAAUUUGACGUGAAAAUUAUUUUAAUACUUUUAAUUUGAGUUGGAAAGGUUGAUGAUGUAGCAUAAAAUAAUUGGAUAGGACCAUAUUUGAGGUAGUGGGUGUAACACCCCUUACCUGAGACCGUCGCCGGAAUCGAGUACGAGAUGUUAUCCAAUUUAACUUACCAAUUUGGAGCAUAAAAAUUUGCUUUGUAAAUUACUUUCACAAUUUACAGCAAAGCUGUCCACCUGCGCGACUGUCACUAAUUUAAUUAUAACUCGAGUUACGAAACUCGAAAUUUAAAUCCGUAAAUUUUCCAUGAAACUAGACUCAUAUUUCUACGUACCAUAAAAUUUUUAGAAUUUUUGACUUAUCCAAUUAGUACAGUUUAUUCAUUAAAGUAUCCCCUGUUUCACAACUUGACAGAUCUGACCUCUUGGCACUAAAAAUCAAUUAUCUCACUGUACAAAAUUCAUAUAAGGUUAUCAUUUAUUUCUCUUGAAAAUAGACUCACUAAGGAAUCUAGAAAUAUAAAUUAUGACCCAUAAUUCUUUCUGUACAAUUUAUAAUGAUUUUCUAAAGUCAGAACAGGGGACUUUAAAAACCAUUCUGACCCUGUCUCACUAAAAUUCAAAUAUCUCAAAAUAUACAAUUCCUUUGCCUACACCGUUUCUUUCAUAUAAAAAUAGACUUGAUAAGCUUUAAUUCCAUCUAUAAUUCACUCUCUAAUUCCAUUUAUACUAUUUAUGGUGAUUUUUCACAUUCACGUCACUGCUGCUGUCAAAAAAACUGCUUCUUUAUAUUAGUUCCAUUUACACAUACAUACCACCAAAACAUAAUCUCUACUAACCACUUCAAUAGCUAAUCUUAGCCAUAUCAUAUGAACAUACUCAAAAUGAUUAAGACUCUAUACAUGCCAUAGUUUAAACAUUUUGGAAAGCACACAAUACCGAGAUGAUUAUGAUAGUGUGAUACGAGCUCCGACGAUCCCCAAUUCGAUCAAGUUCAAAUCACUAUAAAACAAAGGAAAUAAGAAAAUGUGUAAGCUACAAUUAGCUUAGUAAGUUACAUGUAAAUAAUAGAUACUCAUUUAAUAAUUAACACUUUUAACUUAUAACUAAUCAAAACAUUUCUUGGCAAUUUCAAUCACUUACACAUGCACAAUCUUACCAUUUCACUUACAUAUACAUUUUCACACUUAACCUUUACCACUUUUGAUCAUUAUUUCAAUUGUACCUGCAUACACACUUCAUUUCAUAUUCACUUUAACACAUUAUUAAUCCCGUUGAACACUUGGAAUAUACACGGAUACAUAGAGAUUUAGCACAUAAGUGCCACACUGAUAUGUAGCCGAAGCUACCACUGAUAUGUAACCGAAGUUACCACUGAAUGUAGCCGAAGCUACCACUGGGAUGUAACCGAAGCUACCACUGAUCAAUAACACUGGAAAUGUCCACGGGCCUGCUCACACAAGCUGUCAGGUGUCUGCAACACAUGCUAGAUCACCCAGCACCCGGGACUCACUGUAACACUGUAACACUGGUCUCUAGUGACAUGUCACUUGUAUCCAUUUCUAUUCCUAAGUUCAACUGGGAAUUUACACUUAACACUUUAUUUUCAACACUUUAUCACUUGAAUAAUUCAUGAAUAUUUUUCCUUCCACAUUCAAUAUUGAUUCACAUAUCAAUAAAAUUCACAAUUUAUAAAAAUGUAUUACUAUUAUUUACACAUAACUUACCUCGGAUGCAAAACGACUAUUUCUGUAAUUUAGUCGAUAACUUUCUCUUUUCCCCGAUCACUUGCACUAUUUCUUCUUUCUUGAUCUAUAUUAACACAAUUUAAUACAUUUUAUCAACAUUUCAUUCAAAUACAAUUCAUACACAACAUUUUGGCAAAUUUACAUUUUUCCCCAAAACUUUUCAAAAAUUUCACUUUUGUCCCUAAGCUCGUAAAAAUAAAAUUCACUAAAUUCUUAAAUUUCAAACUUCACUAAAUCAUAUUUCAUGCUCAUAACAGCCCUCAAUUUCACAAAAUCACAACUUUAUGCACACUUUACCAUCUUUCACAAUUUAGCCCUUUUUCAACAUUUUCAUUGAAAUUCAUCUAGUAAAACUUGAAAUUAACACUUCAAACAUUCAUUAUCUAACAUCACUAAUCACUUUACAAUUAUAUCAUGAAUGGGUCAAUUUUUAAACUUUAAUUUCACUUAAAUUAAAUGGUAGAAACAUGAAAUUCAAGCAUCAAUAAGCAUAAAAAUACGAAAAUAAUUAAAAACGGGGCAAGAAAUCACUUACAAUUGAGCUUAGAAAAAUCAAAACCCUUAGCUAUGGUAACAUGAAACUUUCGGCAGCAAGCUUCUGAUUUUUGAAGAAGAUGACACUUAUUUUCUCUUAUUUUGUCUUUUUGGACAAAAAUGCCCUUGACCCAUUACUUAGAUAUUUUUCUAGAAUUACCCUUUUGUGUCCAUAUCACUAAUUUAUGGUCUAAUUGCCACAUAAACACUUCCAAUUUCAUGCAAUAAUUCAAUUAAGUCAUUUAAUCACUAAUUAGACACACUUUGCAAUUUUCUCGAUUUAGUCCUAAAAAUUCAAUUAGGCACUAAAUCAUUAAAAUUUCCUAUCCAUAUUUUCACACAAUAUUUCAAUCAAUCAAUAACUAAUAAAAAUUUAUAAAAUUAAAAUAUUUCACUUCGGAUUUGUGGUUACGAAACCACUAUUCCAAUUAGGCCCUAUUUCGGGCUAUCACAGUGGGAAAGGUCCAUGAAAUAAUUUUUCUAUGUUAUCAAAUAGAUGAAUGAUGGUUAUUGGGAUCAAACUAAUGAUUUUGAGGAUGUUAAUGGUUAAUUUGGUGGAGAGGGUGGAAAAGAAACAAAUAAUUCAUUAUAUGUCAUAUAAUUAUGCAAUUCAAGUUGUAAUACCCAAAUUUUACCCGGCCUACAAAAACAGUCCAAAUUACAAUGGGCUUAUGUGGCCCAAAACCUGAAAUGAACAGAGGCCCAAAACAAUGGCCCAAAACAAUGUCAGAAACUCCUAGGGUUUCUAAGGAAACUUUCCCGCCGCAGCCACCAAGCACCACGAGCCGAAAUCUUCACCUGCGCAGAAACAACGGAAAUGGCAAGAAAAUCAAAGAUUGCGAAUCAAAUAUGAGCAAGAUUUGAUUCUUUAUAUUAUUAUUUUCAUUAUGGCUAUAAAAUAGCCAUUGAUAUGCUGUAAAAAAGGAGGGGAAGACCAAAAGAAAUACAAAGACCAAUAGGAAAUUUUCUUUUUUUUGAAAUACAAAGGUUUUCUUUUCUGUUUUACCUCAUUGUCGAUUAUUGUUCUUUUAUUUUUUCAUUUAUACAUAUACAUAUUUGAUUUUUUAUAGUUUCUCUAUUUUUUUUAUUUAUUUUUGCUUAAAAUAUAAAGAAAAGAGGAGGGAUUUUACCUUUUUUUCGUCGAAGUUGUCGAACGGUGGCCAUCUCCGUCGCGAUCGGAGUGUUGGCACAGGCGAACAGCGGCGCAAAAGGGGUUAAGAAAAAACCCUAGCAGAGCAUUUGUGUUUUUUUUGUUUUUUUUUAUGUGGGUUAUUGAUUUUUAUUUUUUUAAAGAAUUUUCGUUUAAAUAACAUUAGCAAAACGACGCCGUUUUAGGGGAGCAGGAUCCGCGCGUUGACCCGACCUGCAGGCAGGGUGCACGUUCUGGCCUUGAAUGGGGUAUUUGUGCAUUUAGUCCCUCCUCUUUGCGACGCACUUCAAUAAAACCCAUUUUUCUUUUUCUUUUUUUAAAUUUAGCGGCAUAUUUCAUUUUUGUUUCAAUCGAGUCCGUCACUGCGCAGCGUUUUGGAAGUCGGAAUUAAUUUCCCUUUUGGUCCUCUAUUGUUGCUUGCGCAUUCAAGUUGGUCCCUUCUUUAUAUUUAUUGCUAAUUUGCCCCAUUUUUUCGCUUUUAGUUCAGUUUAGUCCAUUUUUUUAGCUAUUUCAUUAUUUAGUUAUUUUUUUAUUUAUUAUUAUUAUUAUUAUUAUUAUUAUUAUUAUUUCUAAAUUUAUACACGCAUUUUUUUAUGGUAUAUAUAUAUAUGCAUUUUUUUUGUAUAAUAUAUAUUUUUUAACUUUUAUAAAUACAUGCAUAUACUUCAUACAUAUUUGUUUAUUAUUAUUUUGAUUUCAAAACUUUUAUAUACUUUAAAUUUUAUAUACAUACAUAUACAUUUUAUAACACAUAUACAUUUUCCACGUUUUAUAAUUUAAAAUACACAUACAUUUUCUAUAAUAUAUUUAUGUAUACGUUUUUAUUCUUUAUAUUUUUUUUGGUUUAUUUCCUUCGUCUAUUCAUUGAUUUAGGUUUUCAUUUACAUUUUAAAAGAAUGUCCUUUUUUUAUAUUGCUUAUUCAUUUUAUAUUUUUGCAUUGUCAUUGUUUAUUUUUUUAUUUUAUAUUAAUUUCGUUUAUUUACUAUUUAUAUUAUUUCUAUACAAUUGUCGUAUUUAUUAUUGCAACAUUUAUACAUACAUUCCAUAUAACAUUACAUCAUCUUUUACUCGAAUUUAAAAAUAGAAAAUUUUCAAAAUAGAGAUAAUACUCGUAUUUAGGAUUUUCAAGAAAAUUGAGCCCUAACGUAUUGGGUUCCGAUUUUCUUCGUUAAAUCUAACAAUCGAGAAUUGCUCUUUGAUAAAAAAUAAAAUAAAAACUUGUCAUCGGGAAUUCAAUAUGUUGUGUCCUAACAUAUUGGAUGUGAUGCGUUGAUUUCUCGAGAUAAAGAUUUUCUAAACAAUAAAAGAAAUAUUCAAUGUUUGGGAUUUUAAGAAAUUGUGCCUUAACGUAUUGGGCUGUGAUUUCUUCAUAAAUUUUAAACAAUUAAAUAUUUUCUUAAAUUUUAUUACACGAGUUUUUUGGACCAGCUCAUCUUAAAAAGAAUAAAAUAUUGUGCCCUAACGCAUUGGGUGUGAUAUUUUCUUUUUUCAAAAUGAGAAAGUCUUAACAAAAAAUUUAAUUUAACUAAGGAUCGUAUUUAUUAACUCUCGACAUUAAGACACUGAUUAAUCAACUCGGUACCAAUUUUUGGGUGUUACGAGGGUGCUAAUCCUUCCUUGCACGUAAUUUACUCCUAAACCCGUUUUUUAAAACUCGUAGGCCAAAGUCGUUUUUUGGUGAUCCAAUCACACCUUAAUAAAAGAUUGGUGACGACUCCAAUUUUCAUCGACAACUAAUUUUUGUUUUUUUUCAAAAUAAAAAUGGUUUCGACAGCUUGGCGACUCCGCUGGGGACACAUACGAGAGUCGAGCCACAAAGUUGAUUAAUUUCUGUCUUAUUGGCGAGAAAAUAAAUUUUUUUAAAAAAAUCAUGAAAUCAUUGUGCAUUCAUUCAUUUUCUUGCUUAAUUGAUCUUUGCAUUAUACAUUACAUGAGUUGAAUGAUUUUACCCUUCUAAGUGGGAGUGAGAAACUAUUCCUUCGUGAGGUUUUCACCUCCGUAUAGGAUAGUGGAUCGCUUUCGGGAUACAUCUGUACCUAUGCCUUCUUGAGAUUUUCAUCUUCGUAUAGUCAUAGGGAAAAUGUAUUCCCCUGAACCGAACUUGAUCUAUAUGAGCCUAUAAUGGGUGAAGAUUGAGGAAUCUGCUGGUUUGGGUACCUUUGCCCUAGAAGUCAAACCACAUAUAGUGAACCUUAGGAACUUGCCCUAGGUAGGGAUAUGCCAAACCCCUAGUGGUCACCCGAAUAGGUUUUCUAUUUAUUCUUGCUUUAGCUUUGUACCAACCUGUUUUCUUUUUGGUUGUGAUUGCAUUGCAUUUUCAUCAUAAAAAAAGAGAGAGGUGUUGAUUCACAUUCAGUUGCUAAAUAGAUAGCUUGUCAUAAGAAAAUGAGUUUCUUGAUAAAAUGGAUGAUAAUAUGGUUGUCCGAAUAUGGUCCAAGAAAUGUGAUAAGAGAAGGAUGAUAGUUUAAUGGAGGACUACACGACUAUGGCUCCAUUGCCCAAGGAUUCAAGAUAACAAAGAUUAUUCGAGAGCCGCUAAACUUUCUUAAAGAGAAACCAACAAGCAUCACAAGGAUGAGUGAGCAACAAAUUGCGGCCUGGAUCAAGCAAAAAGGAGAUAGAAGAGACUUCCUUUUUGAAAAGUUCGUGAGAUUUAUCUUAACGCUUGAAUGAAGAAGAGGAUCGAAUGUCUUCGCCUAUGAGGGCAAGGCUGUAUAAAUAUUCAUUUUAUGUAAAGAGAUUUGUUUUCUAGUAAAGUUCUCUAAAUGGAAUUGAAUCAGAAUCAACGUCCCUUUAUGCAUUCAUUUCCUGCAUUCGCAUUACAUGAUAUCAUAGCAUUAAAAUCCACUAAAAGAUUCUAAUUAAUAUAAAUCAUUCCUCAGUUAAUCUGGAAACCAACCAACCCAUCACACACCACUACGGUACUCGAUCAAAAACUAAAGACAUGGACCAAAGGAUGGAAAGGUUAGAACAGUUCCAAAAAGAAAUGCAGUAUCAACUUCAAUAACAAAUGAAUGAACAACUUGAGAAAAUUCAGCAAAAAAUGAUGGACAAAAUGAUGGAAUCUCAAGAGAGUAUGAUGGCUCAAUUAACUCAGUUGUUGACCAGAGGAACUAAUAAAGGAAAAGGCUCUGUGCUCAAUAUGGAAGAAGGAGACAGUGAGGGACUUCUUUAUCCUCCAGGCUUGACCCCUCAGCAUGGGCAGACCCAAGUAGAGGUAUAUCCGCACAAAUCCUCUAUCACCAUCAAGCCUCAGCAGUUUCAGGCCGGUGCUGUAACACCAAUGAAUUUUCCAGCUAGAUCAGGCCCUAACCCCAGAGACGACCUUGUUAAUCCUGAUAUCCCUGACUUCGAUGAAACAGCUGAAAAAGAGAAAAUGAAUGGUGAAUUGCCAAAACAGCUCGAAGAAAAGUAUAAAUGGCUGGAGGAAAAACUUAGAGUGAUGGAAAGUACUAAGAGCUACCAUGGAAUUGACACUAAAGAAUUGAGCUUGGUUCCGGAUUUAGUACUCCCUUAUAAAUUCAAAAUUCCUGAGUUUGAGAAGUACAAUGGAACUAAUAGCCCCGAAGCUCAUAUUACCAUGUUUUGUAGGCGGAUGACUGGGUAUGUUAAUAAUGACCAACUGCAUAUACAUUGUUUCCAGGAUAGCCUUGCAGGGGCAGCAUCCAAGUGGUACAACCAACUGAGCCGUACCAAGAUUAAUUUAUGGAGAGAUUUAGCAUAGGCAUUCAUAAAGCAGUACAAUCAUGUAACUGACAUGGUACCUGAUAGAAUCACUCUACAGAACAUGAAAAAGAAGCCUGGUGAAAGUUUUAGGCAGUACACACAGAGGUGGAGGAGGUCGCAGUCCAAGUUCAGCCACCGCUUCUGGAAAAGGAAAUGACAAUGCUAUUCAUAAAUACAUUGAAAGCUCCGUUCAUCACACAUAUGUUAGGGAGUGCUACAAAAAGCUUUUAUGGCAUAAUCAUGAAUGGUGAAAUGAUUGAAAGCGCCAUAAGGAGCAGAAAAAUUGAUGCUGGAGGGAAUAACAGAAGGCAAGCCUCAAAAGAAAAAGAAAAUGAGGUGAACAGCGUGAAUACGUACAGAAAAUCGAUUGCUAAUCAGUAGGGUUCAUCAAGACAAGAAUCAUGUGUGAAGCAAGGUACUGAAAAACUCUAGUUCACUCCAAUUCCAAUGUCGUACAAGGAGCUGUAUCAAAGCUUAUUCGAUGCGCAUAUUGUUUCUCCUUUACAUGUGAAGCCUCCACAGCCUCCGUAUCCCAAAUGGUACGACGCAAGUGCACAAUGCGAUUAUCAUGUGGGAAUUACGGGACACUUAAUAGAGAGUUGCAUUACCUUCAAAAAGCUAGUUGAAAAAUUCAUCAACAUGGGUAUCGUCAAGUUGAAUGGCUCAUUUAAUGCAGAAAAUUUACUACCCAAUCAUGAUUGACAAUGGGGUGAAUGCAAUAUAUGAAGAGAUGUUAGGAAGUGUUCACAUCAAUGACAUAUAGGAAUACACAAAUGAAAGGGGGACCUUGUUAGAUAUCCGCCCUUAUAAAUCUGGGAGUGUUUAAAAUAAUUGGAUUGCGGAAGAAAUAUCUAUAGUCUUUAGAGCGUAUUUAGAGUAAUGUUCAGAACAUUCUUGUUGUUUUUAGCCUAAAAAUGAUAGGAAUUCCUUUGUGAAAUAGACUCAUGUCUGAUGAUCAUUAUUAUAAUAAAAUACAUCUUUGUAUUUAUUUUUGAGCCAACAUUCUUUCAUUCUUUGCGAGUAAUUAUUUUGUCAUUCUUUUGGAUUUUCUUCCACAUCAUUCUUUCAUUCAUAAUUAUAUUAAAAAAAUAAUUAUUCGUAAAUUCACACAUUCUUUUGCGCUUACUAUGGGACCCCAAAUAUCAAUGACAUGAGUGACGCUGUACUGACUCAAAAUCUCCUUCUGAGCGAGACAUGUGUUUAAAGGGAUCUCAUGACUUUGAAGAUGACAUAGAUCGUAGCCUAUUUCUGGACCUAUUAAGGAUGGUAGAACAAGUCGAGAAACGAAUCUUACCCUACAAAGAAUCAUUGGGAUAUAUGACUUCUCCUUAUGUGGGGCAUGAAGGUCAUUUGGUCGAUCUCGCCAAAAGAGUCUGACGGUCAUUGAUUCAUCUUUGUGAUCGUCAAUUACUUUACUAAAUGAGGGGAAGCUGCUUUAUAUGUCAAUGUCACAAAGUUGACAGUUAGCAAAUUCUUGAAGAAUCAUAUGGAACGUCAAAAGGAUCAUAUCUGACAAUGUACUAAAUUUGAGCAACAGCACAAUAUCAAAAGUUUGCAGUCUAUUCACGAUUAAUGCCAUAUCACCAAAAAAGAUGGCGCAAAAAAAAGAGAGAAAAGAAGAAAGAAAAUGGAGAGGCCAAAGUGAAAACCCGCAAAGGGCACCUUGAGACCAAAGGGGAUUUGAGUUGAAAACCCGAAACAGGCGGCUCAAAUAUUGAUCAGAAUAGGGCAUGAGGUGAUUAGAGCAACUCGAAUUUUAACCAGAUUGGGGCAUGUGGUGAUCUUGUUAUACCUGAAUUAUCAGGAAAGGGUAGGCAACAUCUUGGGGCAUUGGCAGAGUACUGUGGAUCUCCUAAACACAUGUCAAACUCAGAAGGAUCUUCAAAAAGUUUGUACGGAGAAAUUCAAGCUGCGAUAUCUGGGGCACCCAAUUUUCAUACUAUUGAAUUUGUUAUUCUUAGAAUACUUCAUUCUUUUCAAAGAUACACAUUCCCAAUCAAUUUCUUUGUUAUCCUUUUUACUAUUUUUGAUAAUUUAUUCCUUUCGAGCUAUGCUCAGAACUAAUUUUAUUCUUAUCCAUUGUUAUGACCUUUUUGCAUGCAUAUUGCAUUGGAAUAAUGAUCAAUGGACUAAUAAAACUUUCACAAGGGAAGUUUUGCAUAUUACUCUAGAAGUUUCUAAAUAAUAUAGGAGCCUGAAACAGGACUAUUAUUUAGAACGCACUAGGUUUAAAGGUUGGAAAUCUAAAAAGGAAGAGUCUAAACUAGGACUUUCUCUUUGGAUUUUGUUGUCAAAAAUCAUUAGUUGAACAAAAUAAUAAGAUGUCGUGUUGAUGACAAAGCUUAAAUCAACAAGCAAGUAAUGAUCACCAGGCAAUAGAAAGAGGUUACCUCGGGGAAGAGAGCCCUCAUUUGCUCAUGAGCCUUUGGUACGACACCCUAGGAAUGGUGUAAGAGACAAGAAAGAUUUAGAUCCUGUAUCCUUGAAUUGUGAUAGGAGAGGAUUGAAGAAAAGCCAUAUACCCUUGGGUUACAGUGGGAGAACGAUGGUAUGAAUUUUUGCGCCCCAAUGGAUUAAACUUUGAGGUUUACAGUGGGGGCAACCUGACUAAAUGUUUCUUCAGAAAAGCCAGCCAAGCAAGAAGGCAUUGUAGCACGUUAGUGUUAAAGCCUUAAUAAUCUUCGAACAAUGACAACCUAGGUGGGAUCAUUCUCGAAAAAAAAACUAUGCAUUCAUGCAAACACCAUUCACAGAUGUCUAGUUAGGAGCAUUUGAUUCAUUUUAUGCCAUCCUAAUCAUUAGGCAUAAAUAGGUUCAUUAUACAGGUCAUGUUCCCCAGAGAGCAGAUCAGUAAAAAUAGCAGAUCUUGCCUUCCUACACCGACAGUGAAACAGAUCAAAGACACCAGCCAUGCCUCCCUGGGUUGCAGUGGAGUAGGUUAAAAAUAGCAGAUCUUGCCUUCAUGCACCGACAGCGAAGCAGAUCGAAGAGACCAGCCUUGCCUCCCUGGGUUGCAGCGGAGCAGGUUAAAAUAGCAGAUCUUCCCUUCCUGCACUGACAGCGAAGUAGAUUGAAAACACCAGCCUUGCCUCCUUGGGUUGCAGUGGAGCAGGUUAAAAAUAGUAGAUCUUGCCUUCCUGCACCGACAGCGAAGCAGAUCGAAGACACCAACCUUGCCCCCUAGGUUGCAGUGGAGCAGGUUAAAAAUAGCAGAUCUUGCCUUCCUGCACCGACAGCGAAAUCGAAGACACCAGCCUUGCCUCCCUGGGUUGCAGCGUAGCAGGUUAAAAAUAGCAUAUCUUACCUUCUUGCACCGACAGCGAAGCAGAUCGAUGACCCCAGCCCUAUUUCCCUGGUCAGCAGGGGAAUAAGUUGAAGAUUGAGAAUCUUAUCUCCCUGAAGUUGCAGUGGAGUAGAUUAAAGCCAAUAAUCCUAUCUCCUUAAAUUUGUAGUGGAGCGGAUUAAAACCACAGAUCUUAUCUCUCUAAAGUUGCAGAGAGCAGAUCGCAUCUGGUCUUAUCUCCCAAAAGUUGCAGUAGAGCAGACUGAGUAAGAAAGUCUUAUCCCCCUGAAAUUGCAGUGGGGCAGACUAAAUGAACAAAUCUUAUCUCCCUAAAGUUGUAGUGGAGUGGAUUAGAAUGAUGGGUCUUAUCUCUCUGAAGUUGCAACAGAGCAGAUCACAUCAAAUUCAUCUUUAAGUGACAGCAGAUCAAGUUGAAGCUAUAAGUCUUAUCUCCCUGAAGUUGCAGUGGAGUAGAUUGAAGCACUAGUUCCUAUACCUUUGAAGAUGCAGUAUGAAGGAAUGAGGCUACUUGAAGAAGAAGACUACCUAGGUCCAGCACGAUCGGGUAAAAUUGGGCAUUUUUAAAGUCUUUACUCCAUUCCUGUUACACGAUAACGAGUAAAGAGGGGCAGCUGUAAUACCCAAAUUUUACCGAGCCUACAAAAACAGUCCAAAUUACAAUGGGCUUAUGUGGCCCAAAACCCGAAUGAACAGAGGCCCAAAACAAUGGCCCAAAAUAAUGUCAGAAACUCCUAGGGUUUCUGAGGAAACUUUUGCGCCCAGCCACCAAGCACCACGAGCUGAAAUCUUCACCUGCACAAAAACAACAGAAAUGGCAAGAAAAUCAAAGAUUGCGAAUCAAAUAUGAGCAAGAUUUGAUUCUUUUUAUUAUUAUUUUCAUUAUGGCUAUAAAAUAGCCAUUGAUAUGCUGUAAAAAAGAGGGGGAAGACCGAAAGAAAUACAAAGACCAAUAGGAAAUUUUCUUUUUUUGAAAUACAAAGGUUUUCUUUUCUGUUUUACCUCAUUGUCGAUUAUUGUUCUUUUAUUUUUUCAUUUAUACAUAUACAUAUUUGAUUUUUUUAUAGUUUCUUUAUUUUUUAUUUAUUUUUGCUUAAAAUAUAAAGAAAAGAGGAGAGAUUUUACCUUUUUUUCGUCGAAGUCGUCGAAUGGUGGCCAUCUCCGUCGCGAUCGGAGUGUUGGCACAGGCGAACGAUGGCGCAAAAGGGGUUAAGAAAAAACCCUAGCAGAGCAUUUGUGUUUUUUUGUUUUUUUUAAUCUGGCUUAUUGAUUUUUAUUUUUUAAAAAAAGAAUUUUCGUUUAAAUAACAUUAACAAAACGGCGCCGUUUUAGGGGAGCAGGAUCUGCGCGUUGACCCAACCCGCAGGCAGGGUCCACACGUUCUGGCCUUGAAUUGGGUAUUUGUGCAUUUAGUCCCUCCUCUUUGCGACGUGCUUCAAUCAAACCCAUUUUUCUUUUUUUUUUUUAAAUUUAGCCGCAUAUUUCAUUUUUGUUUCAAUCUGGUCCGUCACUGCGCAGCGUUUUAGAAGGCGGGAUUAAUUUCCCUUUUGGUCCUCUAUUGUUGCUUGCGCAUUCAAGUUGGUCCCUUCUUUAUAUUUAUUGCUAAUCUGCCCCAUUUUUUCGCUUUUAGUUCAGUUUAGUCCAUUUUUUUAGCUAUUUCAUUAUUUAGUUAUUUUUUUAUUUUUUUGUUAUUGUUAUUAUUAUUAUUUCUAUACUUAUUAUUUCUAUAUUUAUACACGCAUUUUUUUAUAGUAUAUAUAUAUAUAUGCAUUUUUUAUAUAUAAUAUAUAUUUUUUAACUUUUAUAAAUACAUGCAUAUACUUCAUACAUAUUUGUUUAUUAUUAUUUUGAUUUCAAAACUUUUAUAUACUUUAUAUUUUAUAUAUAUACAUAUACAUUUUAUAACACAUAUACAUUUUCCACGUUUUAUAAUUUAAAAUACACAUACAUUUUCUAUAAUAUAUUUAUGUAUACGUUUUUAUUCUUUAUAUUUUUUUUUUGGUUUAUUUCCUUCGUCUAUUCAUUGAUUUAGGUUUUCAUUUACAUUUUAAAAGAAUGUCCUUUUUUUUAUUUUGCUUAUUCAUUUUAUAUUUUUGCAUUGUCAUUGUUUAUUUUUUUACUUUAUAUUAAUUUCGUUUAUUUACUAUUAUAUUAUUUCUAUACAAUUGUCGUAUUUAUUAUUGCGACAUUUAUACAUACAUUCCAUAUAACAUUACAUCAUCUUUUACUCGAAUUUAAAAAUAGAAAAUUUUCAAAAUAGAGAUAAUACUCGUAUUUAGGAUUUUUAAGAAAAUUGAGCCCUAACGUAUUGGGUUCCGAUUUUCUUCGUUAAAUCUAACAAUCGAGAAUUGCUCUUUGAUCAAAAAUAAAAUAAAAACUUGUCAUCGGGAAUUCAAUAUGUUGUGUCCUAACGUAUUGGAUAUGACGCGUUGAUUUCUCGAGAUAAAGAUUUUCUAAAAAAUAAAGGAAAUAUUCAAUGUUUGGGAUUUUAAGAAAUCGUGCCCUAACGUAUUGGGCUGCGAUUUCUUCAUAAAUUUUAAACAAUUAAAUAUUUUCUUAAAUUUUAUUACACGAGUUUUUUGGACCAACUCAUCUUAAAAAGAACAAAAUAUUGUGCCCUAACUCAUUGGGUGUGAUAUUUUCUUUUUUCAAAAUGAGAAAGUCUUAAUAAAUAAUUUAAUUUAACUAAGGAUCGUAUUUAUUAACUCUCGACAUUAAGACACUGAUUAAUCAACUCAGUACCAAUUUUUGGGUGUUACGAGGGUGCUAAUCCUUCCUCGCACGUAACUGACUCCCGAACCUGUUUUUUAAAACUCGUAGGCCAAAGUCAUUUUUAGGUGAUCCAAUCACACCUUAAUAAAAGAUUGGUGGCGACUCCAAUUUUCAUCGACAACUAAUUUUUGUUUUUUUCAAAAUAAAAAUGGUUUCGACACAAGUAAUAGUAAGUUUCAUACAAGGUUCAAAGGCAAUUAAAUGACUUGUAAGUUUGUUGAACUUCUUUGAAAGGCCCAAAGGCAAUUGAACAUUUACAAAAUAGUCUCUAUAUACUGUAGAGACAAAUCAAAUCCAUGGGAGCAUUACAGUUAGUUAAAUUGAGCAUUGGCAGAAAUUCCAUCAUAGGAAAUAUUGGCAAAAUCGUCUAUUUAAUUAGAAAAACAACAUAAUUCAUGAAACAUAGAUAGCCCAAUAUAAAUGUCAUCGAGAAAAAAAGUCUGUUUGUUUUAUAGCACAUGAUAGUAAAGCAUGCGAAGUUUCAUUCUUCUUAUUGGCCUCCUUUAGUUUUCCUUGAUCAUCAACCACUAGCCAAAAACACAAUUAGAUUAGAUUAUAAAUGAAACAUUCAAUUAUGAUAAAAUUAAAUAGAAAACACCCUAAAUAACUCUAGAUAAAUGAAUAGUAGCAAAUUACCUGGUGAGGCAAGCUAGCUCAAUUAAGAUCAUUGUGUUAGACUUGUGUAUGCAUUAAACAAUCUAAAAGAAAAUGAAGGAAAAGACUUAGAAAACACUUGAAAAUUGACAAAAUUUAUAUGCCAUUGACUGGUUAAACUAUGAUCACCCAUAACAGACCUUGUAUUGGAGUUUUUGUUGAGGGAGAUCAAGUCCUUCAAGAAAAGUCUUUUAAGUGUUGUUUGUUACGUAAUCGCUGCUACCCUCAACAAAAGGUAUUGUCCUCAUGUCAAGAUUUUAUCCUCAGCCUUUAUGGAAUAAUCAUGGAGAUUACAUGUGCAAGGAUUCAAACCACCAACCAAUGCAUAUGUAGUAUUUACUUUGGAACCAUCUCCGUGAACCCACGAGGUUCUUUGCAGAAUCAAGAGACAAAACCCCAACACAAGAAUAAUACCAUCUAUUGAGGGUCCUUUAACACAACAAAUGAAAUUCAUACAUUUAUUUAAUAAAAGUAAAUAUCAUAUUUAAUUGGGGAAAAGCAACAAAAAAUCCAACAAUAAAAUCCUUAGCAAAAGAUUAAAACACAGUUAUAUCGUAAAUGACAUAAGAAACUAAGAAAAUCCAAUCUGACAAAGAAAAUAACUUGAUGCUCCAAAGCUACCAUAUACCGUAAUUCAUGGGAAGGUCUGAUGCUCAUUUUAUUGGUUUCCAUCUUGAUUUUGCAAAAGAAGUUUGAAUUUUGAAGAGAGCAAAAGAUUGAGCGAAAGAAAAAAAAUUAGUUUAUUAAUUUUCACAAUUUAUAAGACAAACCUUAUGGAGACAAAUAAUGACAUAUUAGAUAUUUGUGAUUAAAAUUCUAGAAUAGAUUUAAAAUGUUGAAUUAAUGAUGAAAUUAAUAGUGAAUUAAUAACAACAAGCGUACUGAUUACUUAGCUUCUUUGUUAAACAUGUUCGAUGUUGUUUAACAGCCUUUGUUUGAUUUUCUUUAGCUCAACCACAACAUCUUUCAUAUCUUUUCUUUCUUCUGGUAACUCAGCUGAACAAUUCAAAGCCAACUCCAUGAUGGAUGAAAUACAAUUUGCUUUAACAACAAAGUACUCAUCCUUUCUUCUUAGUAAAUCAACAUCUGCAAUUUCUAUCGCUCCUUUAGGCAACGAACUUUCCAUCCAAUGCGUUAUAGUCAUUUCUUCAGCAAAAAAUUUAUCAGUUGGCUUUUUCUUUGUAAAAGUUUCUAUAAGGAUGAUCCCAUAACUAUAGACGUCACAUUUUAUACAAACAAUUCCUGUUGAUCCAAAUUCUGCAUUUCAAGUAUAAUUAGAACAUCAUCAAUCCUUAAUUAGUUCUAAAAUGCUUAUUCAAAUAUAUAUCCAUAUAUGCAUGAAACAAAAGUAUAAAAUGCAAAUUAGGAAAAUAAUGAUACAAAAAAAAAAUUCACCUGGUGCCAUAUACCCGAUAGAUGCAAGAGUCAUGGUUUGCUUUAUUACAUCACCUUCUCCCAACAAUUUGGCACAACAAAAUCUCCCACAUGUGCAACCAUGUCUUUAUCUAGUUGUAAUAGCCCAUUUUGCCCGGGGCCCAAUAAAACCCAAAACAAACCAAAAUAAUAAAACAUUCACAGUCCAUUUACAAUAAAUAAACACACUACCCAUAUCAAGCCCAAUUAAACCCAAAUCUCAAAGCCCAAAACAAAACAACACAACCCGAGCCCAUAAACUAAAAAUUUUCAGCACAAAAAACCCUAGCCCUAAGCCUCCAGUGCCGCAUGUGCUCCACCGCCGCCGCUCGCCUAUCACCGGCCAUCCACGCGUCUGGCACCACCUGCAAGAGCAAACAACACGCAAAAGAAGAGGCCAACCAGUAACAGACAAGAACAAAGAAAUGAAACAAAUUUUGUAAUUUUGGCUAUAAAAGCCCGAAUAUAUCUUUGUAAUUUCUUCUUCCGUUUUACGAACAUCUAGUAAAAAAAAGAAGAAAAGCAGAGAACAGAUUUUCGAGAGGUGAAACCUUUUUUUCGGUUCUUUUUUUUCAUUAUAUUUUAUUUUUUUAUUUUCAUUUUUUAUAUCAAACAAUGAAAUAAAAAAAAGGAGAAAGAAAUGUAGCAGAAUCGACCCUUAGCCCCGCCGUCGGUGGUCUUUUCCCCGGCAUCGAAAUUGGCGAGAAAUGAGGCAAAGGUCGAAUCUUUUUCAUUUUUCUUUACUUUUCAGUCAUUUUCCUUGUAGAUCUAAAAUCUACGCUUAAAACGGGCUAAAAAUAAAAAGUUUUGGGUUCUCCGGUCACCGUGGGCUGCGACACCGUCGCCGACGAUCGGCGGCCGCCACGGGGGUCAACGGCCGGCCCUUUGCCCGGAAUCGAAGAGAAAUUUUAAGAGAAAAGGGAGCUUUGGAAAUUUUUUAAAGCAAAUGGCUGAAAUGGGGUUUCAAAAAAAUGUUGGCUUUUAUAAUACUAUUAAACGGCGUUGUUUUGCAACUGAAGGUCAGGUGCCAAAACGACGUCGUUUUGGCCCUUACCCGCUCGCGCUCCCGACCCGCUCCUGGGGGAUCCGCGUGUUUUUGGCGUUUGGGCUAUUUGCACUGCGGAUCCUUCUGCAUUUCGCCCAGUUUAUGAUUUAGUCCCUUUCGUUAGAUUUCUUUUAUUUUUAAUUUCGCCUUGAAAUUUUGUUCUGAUUUUAUCGGAGUCCCGCAAAGUGCUGCGUUUUGGAGGGCAGGGAUAUUUUCCCCUUUGGUCCCUCCUUGUUAUUCACGCACUCGAUUUGGUCCCUUUCUUUUAUUCAUUUGCGAAUUUGCCCCCAUAUUUCUGUGUUAAGUUCAAAUUAGUCUCUUUUUUAUUUAUUUUUGCUAUUAAAUUAAUUAAUUUUGAUAAUAUUAUCAUUAUUAUUAUUAUUAUUAUUAUUAUUAUUAUUGCUAUUAUUAUCUUCGUAUUAUUAUUAUUGUUUGCUUUAUUAUUAGUAUUAUUAUUAUUUUCAUUAUUACUAAUAUUAUUAUUUUUAUUUUACUACUCUUAUUAUUAUAUAUUGUUAUUAUUUUUAAAUUGUUUUACCUAAUAUUCCCUCGUUUAUUAUUUAUAUUCACUCGUUCAAAUUUUCAAUCAUUUUCAAUUAGUUACUUCUUUUUUUAAAUCAGUUUGUUUUAUUUUUUAUUUUCAUUUUAUUAUUUCAUUAUUUUAUUGUUUUUAUUAUUUAUAUUAUUUUUGUUUUUACUCUUAUUAUUCCUUUUUAUUUUGGUUUAUUUCAUUUCAACUUUUGCGCUCAAAUUUUUUUUGUUAUUUCGUCAUCUAUUUAUUUUCGUAUUUAUAUUUUGUUAUACAUACAUUCAAAUCUCAACUAUUCAUUAUCAUUAUUAAUUUUAUUAUUAUUGUUAUUUAUAUUUAUUAUUGACAUCCUCAUCAUGUUGUUGCACACAUUAGCAUUGUAAUCCAUUUUACAUUUUACUAUAAAAUCGCGUUAUGUUAACCUUCAUCCAAUACAUUUUAUAUUAAGCAAUUUUGUAACUCAAAAUUCCAGAAAUCGUACCCUAACUUACUGGGUUUCGAUUUUCCUCGACGAGUCUAAAGAACCAAUCCUUUUUUUAAAAAAUCAAAGCAUAAGUUAAAUAAAAACUUAUCCUCAGGAGUUCAAAAUGUUGUGUCCUAACUCACUGGAUGUGACAUUUUGUUAUCUCAAGGUAAAGAUUUCUAGAAACACAAAGGCAAUAUUUUGAAUUUGGAAAUUCGAGAAAGUGUGCCCUAACGUGCUGGGUUUCAAUUUCUCGUUUGACCAAAUAGCCAAAUAUCCUCUUAAAACUUCAAAGUAUGGGUUUUUCAAACCAUAAGGUGAUCUUUGUUUCGAUGGUUUAAAGUAUCGUGUCCUAACGUGCUGGAUGUGAUAUUCCUUCGGAAUAAGAGAAUCUUAAAUUUCAAUCCAUGUUAUUCAAAUUUUUUUUAAGGAUUGUAUAUUUUUUUAAACUCUUCAAAGUUUUCAAUCUUCGACAUUAAGACACUAAUUAAUCAACUAGGUACCAAUUUUUGGGCAUUACGAGGGUGCUAAUCCUUUCUCGUACGUAACCGACUCCCGAACCUGUUUCUUUGAAUUUCGCAGACCAAAAGAAUUGUUUUAAUAAAUCUAAAUUGUUUAUUAAAAACAAUCGUUUUACGAGGUGACCCGAUCACACCUCAUCAAAAAAGAUUGGUGGCGACUCCCGUGUUUAUUAUCAUUUUCAAAACCCAAGUCGACCCCGUUUUCACAAAAAAAAUGGUGCCAACACUAGUAAAAUAUUGCUUGGUUUUAAGUCACAAUGAAUUACAGAUGUUGGAUGUCCAUUGUGGAGAUGUUCUAUAGCUACCGCAACAUCUAUCAUUAUGUCGACCCUUUGUAUGAUAUCAAGGAAGCAAAUUUCGGAAUGUAACCAUUUCUCAAGGUUUCCAUUAGACAUGUUAUCAAGCACCAAGGCUUUAAAGUCAACACUUGAGCAGCAAGUAAUGACCUUCACAAUAUUACGAUGAACUAUAUUACGCAUAGCAUCACAUUCAAUGUCAACACUCCUAAAUGCUCCCUCUGUUUGCAAAUUAAAAACUUUUAUUGCAACUUCCAUUCCAUCUGAAAGCCUCUCUUUAUAUACAUAUCCAAAACUCCUUGAACCAAGCAUAUUGUUUUCCUCAAAUCCAUUAGUUACUUGUGAAAGUUCAGCAUGUGAAAUUCUUCUCAGCGUUUUCAAAGACAACAAAUCAUCCUUACUUGGUAGAGUUGUACUCCUACUUUGGCAUCUUCUAUACAUAAUAGUUAAGACUAUUAGUAAUACGACAAUACCAAUUGUUGGUAAACCAUACCUUAAAACAUGCAAUAUAUUCAUUUGGGAGUUUUCUUGGAUGUCGUUUUUGCAAGGGGGGACUAGCAAUCUAGGUGGACCACAAAGUGCAAAAUUCUUCAUGAAUGAUCUACUAGAAAAGUUUGGAAAACAUCCUUCGGUGGGAAUUUCCCCUUCAAGUCUAUUGAAAGACACAAUAAAAUACUUUAGAUCUAAAAGAUUUUUCGAAGAUUUGGGAAUGGCUCCAGAGAGAUUGUUAUUGCAUAAAUUCAAGAAUUCCAAACUAAUCAAACCAUCUAAUGAUCCAGGGAUAUGACCAUGUAGUAUAUUAUUUAAUAAAUCUAAUGAAAUCAAAGUUUGAAGACCCCCAAAUGUGAAUAAGAUAUCGCCUGUGAGAAUAUUCCUUGAUAUAUUUAGUUUCAAUAAACUCCUCAAAUUUCCAACAUCAAUAGCAUGUGAAUUGUGAAGAUGGUUUGAUGAUAAAUCUCUUUCUAAGAUAUCUUUAAGAUUCCACAAAGUUGAGGGUAUUGCAGAACUCAAUUUGUUGGAAUUUAAGUAAAGAUAUCUUAAAGAAGUACUAUAACCCAAACAAGAGGGUAUGGAUCCAUGCAAGUUAUUCAACCCUAAAUACAUCUCGUAUAGUCUCUCCAAACCACAAAGGCUUUUUGAGAUUGGUCCUAAUUUAUUCGAGUGAAAAGUUAGACUUUGGAGAUUUCUCAUUCCUCCUAUUGAUGCUGGAAUAGAUCCACUUAAUUUAUUAUACCCAAGUUGUAAAAGCAAUAGGUUGUUUAAGUUACCUAUUUCCAUAGGACUAUUGCCUUUAAGCUCACAAUUAUUGGCAAAAAAGUAUUGAAGGGAUUUUGAAAGGUUCCCGAUAUAAGUAGGAAGAACAUCACUCAAUGGAUUUCCUGAAACAACUAUUCUUCUCAAAUGCCUGCAAUUUGCCAAAGAAGAAAGAAAGGUCCACUCAUGAUCAAUAGCAGAUCCUGUGAUCAAAUUAUUAUUUAUGAUUCGGAGCACUUCAAGGUGUCUUAAGUUGCCAAGCGUUUUAGGAAUUGGGCCAGAGAAUAAGUUAUCUUCCAAGGCUAGAUUCUUAAGCAUGGAAGCAUUGGAGAUAGAGCCGGUAAUGUUUCCGCUAAAUUUAUUUCCCCACAAUACAAGAUUCUCAAGUUUUGGAGCAUUGGUAAGGGUGGUAGAGUACCUGUAAGAUAGCAUCUUUUAAUAUACAUAGCCAUUGGAUACCAAAUUCACAAAACAUAUAAUACAUUAAAAUACAUUUUUAAAAUAAAAAUUGUAAACCUUUAAAUCAAAUAAAAAUAUAAUUUUGGCCUGGAAAAAUGUGAUCAAAUCAAUUAGUCCCUUGUGAUUUGUAUAAACAAAAAAAUAAAAUAAAACCAUUCCAUACCAGUAUUGUAUUUGAUUUAAUGAUAGAGUUGUAAGUUACUUGUAAAAGUUACAUGCUCUAGCAUAUAAAUUUUGUCCAAGCCUUGGGUUGAAAUCAUCGUUACUUUUUUAGAUCUAAAAUUGAUUGAAUAUCAAAUUUGUAAAAUACUGUAAAAUUUUGAAUCAAAUAAAAACAAAACUUUGACAUGAAAAUGUGGCAUCUAAUCAAUUUUAAAAAUGACAUUGACACUGAAUACGAAAUUAUGAAUAAAAAUUAGUUAUGGUUUGGGAAACAAAAAUAUUAAAUUAUUCUGUAUGAUUUGGUAUUAGUUAUUAUUUUGAAUAAUAUUGUUAAUUUUUAAUUACAUAAAACUAUUGUAUGUUAAAUAUGGUUUUAAUUAUGCCUUGAAAUUUUAUUAUUAUAUUUCAACUACCAUAUAAUAUUUUAAUUAUGUUUAGCCAUUUGAAUAACAAACCAAAAAACUAAUUAAAAACUAAUUACUUCUUUAAGUAUAAUGGAAAUUAAAAGUUUUCAAUUCAUAUAAAUUUUAUUGUUUAUUAUCAAAUUAAUACAUUUUAAUAGAUGAUAAAAUAUAUGAGCAAAAAAGAAGAAACAAUUAAAGAGAAUGUUUUUGGAGUUUGGAAAAAAUUAAAGUGAAAAACAUACCUUCUAAUUUGUUGUCACAUAGAUCUAUUUCUUCGAGCGUAGUUGAAUAAAAAACACUUUCCGGAAUCAGCUCACUGAAUUGAUUUGCUGCUACGAAUUCUAAAGCUUGUAACAUUCACUUAUACUAGAUGGAAUGUUACAGAUAAUUCAUUUGUAUCCAAGUAAAGCCCCUCAAACUUGGGAAGAUGUUGACACAUAUCAUUAAGUAAACUACCUGAUAGGCUAUUGCAGGAGAGAUUAAUAGUCUUCAGAGAAGAAAUAUUGAAGAUAGAAGACGGAAUCUGACCUGUAAGGUAUUUAAUUACUGUAAUACUAAGCAUUUUCAAACAUUACUAAUAUAAAUAGUUCAUGGAAGUAAGAAAGUGUGCAUAAUAAAACCAAAUUGUAUAAAAAAUUUAAAAAAUUUUGAUUAAUCAAUAAAUUUAAGAUUUUAUAUAUUGAAGUGGGUUCAAAUCUCACUAUUAUUUUUUGUUUUGUUUUUUUUUUAAAAACCAAAGUACCUCAAAUAAUGUAACUAAUUUUAAAUACGAAAAGUUAUUUUUGAAAUUUCUCUAAUCGAGUUGGUGCUCAUUGACUCGUAACACAAUCCUAAUCAGAUACUUAAAUAACAAUAUAGAUAUUCACAUUCACCAAAAAAGUUCAAAAAAAUUGUUACUUUAGUUUCAAAUAACAAAUUUUAAUUAUUUAUAUAACAAGUAACUUUAUAAUUCAUGUAUAAAUUUGACUAUUAAGAAAAGAAAAAAUGAAAUUAAAUAAUGAAUAAUUUAAUUGAAAAUAUAUCAAUUUUUAUAUUUUCUACAUAUGCUUUAAUGAUGAUGGAUUUUUUUUAUUAUCACUAUUUUUGAAUUAAAAGAAUUUAUUAAUAUAAUUUAAUUAUAUUUUGAAUAAUGUUACUCUUUUUUAAUGACAUGAAGUAAAAUCAUAUUAUAUAUUAAAGAGGGUACAUAUGCUUUAAUUAUAGCUUGAAAUUUUAUUAUUACAUUUGAGUUAUUAAAUAAAUUAAUAUAUUUUAAUUAUAUUCAGCCAUUUGAAUAACUAAUUAGAAUAAUUUUAAAAAACAUUAUUUAAAAGCUAUGUAUAUAAAUGUAUAUGUAUAUAUAUGGUUGUUUCAUAUUUUUAAAAUAAAUAUAUUUUCAAUGUUGGUUUCUUUUCUUCCACACACAAAGUAUUUCUAAUGUUUUUUUUUUAUAACUUUUACUUAUAUAAAAUAGAUUAGUUAAUGCAAUAACAAAUUAAUUACUUUUUUUAAACUUAAUGGAAAUUAAAAUAAAUAAAUUCAUAUAAAUCUUAUUGUUUAUUAUCAAAUUAAUAGAUGAUAAAGUAUAUGACAAAAAGAAAAGGACAAAUUAAAUUCAAUAGAAUGUUUUUGGACUUGUGGAAAAUUUUAAAGUGAAAAACAUACCUUCUAAUUUGUUGUCAAAUAGAUAUAUUUCUUCGAGAAUAGUUGAAUUAAAAAUACUUUUUGGAAUCAGCCCACUGAAUUGAGUUGUUGCUAAAUUCAAAACCUGAAGCUUGUUACAUUCACCUAUACUUGAUGGAAUCUGACCUGCACACAUACUUGACAUAAGUCAAAGAGGUUUUCUUUUCUAUAAUUUGGAGAUGUUAUAUUUUAAUAUAUUUAAUCAUAUUUUUUCUUCAAAUUAACUAUUUUGAUUUUAAUGAAAUAAAAAGCUCUUACUUUUUCUUUUAUAAAAAAAAAAUACUUUAAACUAAAGAAACCAAAGAAAUUUAGUACCUUCUAGAUUAUUAAACACCAAAUAUAAAUGUCUAAGUCGUGUCAAGUUUCCAAUACUUCUUGGAAUGAUACCUGUGAAUUGAUUAAUGGACAGUGACAAAAUUUGAAGGUUGCAUUUGUCUAUACUUAAUGGAAUGUUACCAGAUAAUUCAUUCAAACUCAAGUGAAGCCCUUCAAGCUUAGGAAGAUGUUGACACAUAUUAUCAGGUAAUCUACCUGAUAGGAUCAAUAGCCUUCAGAGAAGAAAUGUUGAAGAUAGAAGAUGGAACCUAGACAGAUAAUUGAUUGAAUUCCAAGUUCAAGAUCUCUAGAUUGGACAUGUUAACAAGUGUUUGAUGGAUUGUGCCUGUAAAGUUAUUAUUUUUCAUUUCCAGCCUUUGGACUCUGUGUAAGUUCCCAAGCCAUGAUGGAAUUUCCCCAUUAAGACCAUUGUAGCUUAAUUGGAUGAUCCUCAAACGGUGCAACUGGCCCAAUUCUUUAGGCAGAUGGCCAUAGAAAUUGUUGCUACUCAAGUCGAGAGAGAGUAGGAAUGAAAGUUUUCCAAGUUGUGAAGGGAUAGUACCUCGAAGAUUCAUGUUUGUAAGAUUCAAAGCUACAACUCUUUCAUGGAUGAUGCCACAAGAAACACCAAUCCACCUGCAAACAGAGCUAGAGGCUAUCCAAUUGUUUUCCAAGACAUUGUGAGGAUCGACUCGAUCCUUAUACUCGAGGAGUGCAAACUAAUCGGUGGUGAGAUUCCUGGCUGUCAUAGCCAAACAAAGUACGGAACAUGGUACGAAUAGAGCUAAAAGAAGAUGAAAGCAAGUGGUGUAGUUUAUGAUUGCAAGACGGAAUAAGGCAAGAAAAUAAAAGAGUAGGAAAAGGGAAAUUGAAAUGAUAAAAUAGUUGGAUGAUGAAGAAAAGCCCAGAGAGCCUGCUUUAAUAUGUUUCAACCCUCCCACACUUCUCCUAAUUAAAUUCACUCGGCUGGGGUUACAACAUUAAUUUUCAAAAUAAAUGUCAAGUCUUCUUUUAAAACACAUCCAAAGAAGCGAAUUUUCUCCAAAAUUUCUUCACAUUACUCCACAUAAUCCAUAACAAAAUUAAUAAAAUAUAAUUUUUUAAUUACUAUAUAUUCUUUUAUUUUCUUCACAAUAAUAAGUUGGUUAAAUAUGCUAUUAAUCCCUGUACUUUUUAGAAUUUGAGAUUUAGUCCUUAUACUUUAAAAGUUAAAAAUUAAUUCAAAGAUAUUCUUUUUUCUAAACUGAGUGAAUUCACAAGCUUUGUUUUCCUUUAACAAAUAUUUUUGGUAUUUUCGUGGAUAUGAGGAGAUACUGAAAAUUAUUUUACUAUGAACUUUUAAUUCACUCAAAAAAAUAAGUGUUUUAUUUCAAGGGAACACAAUUAAACAUUAGAUUUCCCAUUUUUAUGUUUUGAAUAUUUUUGACAACUGCAUAAUCAACAAAGUAUCAAUUUUGGGCGUUGUGAGAGUUUUAUAACCUUCCAUAUGUGUAAUCGAUUUUUGAACCCACUUUUUAUUUUAGAAUUCAGGACAUACCUUAAAUUUUUCUUUUUAUAAGUUAUUUAAAAUCUAUUUGUAAAAAGCGAAUUUUUAAGUGACCGAUCACGCUUAACAAAAAUGAUUGGUGGCGACAAGUCCUUUUUGAUAAAAUCUUGUUCUUGGAAAGACCAAAGUUUUCAUUUUUUUAAGAAGUUUUCAAUUUAAUUUUCUUUUUGAAUUUUUAUUUUUAACCAGAAAAUGGUCCUUACAGUUAUUAUUUAUUUCCCAAUUUUUAAUGGUUUUUUUCAAGGAGAUGAAUAGUGGGAUGAAAAUUUUUGGUUAAGGUAAACUCAUUAUGUAUAGUUGAUUCUUUUUUGAUCCUUCAAUUAUUAAUUUUUUUGAUUUAAUUACAUAUUUUUUUAAAAAAAAAUUAACACUCUCUUAGUUGCCUCUUAAUUGAGGGACAAAAAACUUAGACAUUUUUUAAUCACAAUUAAUUUAAUUGCGUUUAGGAUCACAUAAUUUUCUUUUAUUCUUUUUAAAUUAUAAACUGUUUCAAAAAUUCCGUCAAUAGCUUAAGUGAAAUUAUCCUUUUUUGAAAUAUCAAUUUCACUUAAGCUAUUGACUUAAUUUUCAGCUAUUAGUCUUUUUUCCAAUCAAAUUGACUCUUAGCAGAAAUGCAAACUGCGCAAAAGAGUGUAAACAAAGAAGUUGAAUUUAAUUAUUUUCUGAGUCUAGUUUCAAAAGACAUAAUUAAUAAUAAACUUAUAACUAGCCUUAUUUAUUUAACAUGUUAAGAAACCUUUGCUUCAUUUUCUUGAACUCAACCACAACAUUCUUCCUAGCUUUUCUUUUUUGACGUAAUUCAGUUCAACAUUUCAAAAGAAAUUCCAUAAUCGAUGAAAUACAAUUUGCUUUAACAAUAAAUCUGCAUCCUCAAAGUCUAGUAGUCCUUCCAACAAUGAGCUUUGUAGGGCCCAACUUCUGCCCCGGGCCCAAAUAAUAAAAACCAAAAAUAAUCCAAAGUUAAACAGUCCAGUUACAUUAAACCCAAAUACAAGCCCAACUACCCAAACCCUAAGCCCAAACCUAAUAGCCCACAACAAACUUUCAAUAGCAGCAAAACGUGCAACACGCAACAAAAAGAAGCAACCAAAUCGCAAAACAACAAAAAACAGGCAUCAAAGAGUUGUUUAGAUCGGCUAUAAAGCCAAAAAUCAGAGACUUGUAGUUUUUCGGCUUCCUUUUUUAACACACAUCAGAAAUAAAAGAUCAUAUAAACUUCUAAAAGGUUGCUGUUCUUUCUUUGUUUUUCUUUUUAUUUCACUUAUUUUAUUUAUUUUUUUUACUGAUCCUUUUUUACAAAUAAAAAACGAUUAAUAAAAGAAAAACAAGAAAGGAAGAGAAGGGGAAUAGCUAGAAUCACCCGCAAGUCCCAUUGCCGGAGCCCUUUUGCGGCCACCGGAGUCGUGCUGGGAGGGUGCGGGGUCUCCUUUUCCUCUGGUCUUUGGGCCAAGAAAGGCACCGUCACCAAAAGGCCUUUUAAAUCGGUUUAAAAUAGACCUUCGGGUCGCAGGCCACCGCCCGCGGCGGAUCUAUGGCGGCGCGAGUGACGGCCAUGUUGGCCGAAUUUGGGGGGACCGAGAGAGAAACCUUACUCUCUCUGUUUUUUCUAGAAAAUUGAAGGAAAUGAUUUCUUUUUUAUUUUUUUUGUAUUUAUAUAUGCUAUAAUACGGCGUCGUUUUGGCCUUAGCAUCAGUGGCCAAAAACGGCGCCAUUUUGAUGUUUGACCCGCGACCCGACCCAGUAACGCUAAAGAUCCGCGCGUUUUCGUUUAAGGGUCUAUUUGUGCAAUAGGUCCCUCCACCUUUGUUGCGUGUUUCAAUGUGCUUUUUUUAUUUUUUUGAUUUUGGCCACCAGAUUUUUAUUCUGUUUUAAUUUGGUUCUGGGAUGCGCAGGCCCCAGUAUUGCGAACGGCCCCGUUCAGGUGGCAUGGGAUUAUUUCCCUUUCGACCCUACGUCUAUGUGCGCAUUUCGCUCAGGUCCUGAAUGUUCUUUUGUUUUUCAAAUUUUACCCUUUAAUUUUAUUUUAACUUCAAUUCGGUCCUUUAUCCUAUAUUUUAUUAUUUUGAAUGCUUACCUUGAAAUAUCAUUUAGUUUCCAAUUUAAUACAUAUAUCCCACAUGUUUUAUGAUCCAUAUAUAUUCAUACGUCUUUUAUAUUUUAUAAUUUUAAAAUUUGUACAUGCAUACGUAUAUUUUAUAAUUUCUAUAUGCGUAUAUAUAUAUCUACAUAUGUAUUUUUUAAAUUUUUUUUUACAAAUAUACACAUACUUAUACAUACUCUUUAUAUUUUAAAAUCUAUAUUUUUCUUAUGUAUUUUCCAUAGUUUAUAAUUCAUGUAUACAUAUUUUUAGAAAUUUUACAAUGCAUACAUGCACAUAAUAUAUAUAUAUGCGUUUUAUUUUUAUAAAUACAUAUACAUUACCUACCUUUAUAUUUUAUAUCUUCCAUGACUUUAUAUAUAUAUAUACAUGAAUGUACACAUACAUACUUACAUAUUUUUUACGUACAUAGAUUUUUCAUAUUUUCAUAAUUUUAUGCACACACAUAUAUAUCUUUUUACUUUUUCAUAAUUUUAUUUAUUAUUUAUUUAUUUCAUUUUUAUUAUUGAUUUGAGGAAAUGUUUUAAUUUUAUUUGCUUGUAUACAUUGUUAUUUCGGACGUUAUUGAUUUGUACUUUUUAUUUAUCUUAUAUUCGUUGCUAUUACUCGUAUUAUUUUUACAUCAUCGUAUUCAAUAUUGUUUUGUUACGAACAUUAACAUCGUGUUUUAUUUUUACUAUUUGGUGUUAGAUUAUUUUUAUUCAACACAUAAAUUAUGAUUUUUUGAAUAAGCAAAAUCUCGUGUUUAGAUUGGAGAAGGUUGUACCCUAACUUACUGGGUUUCGAUUUUCGCAAUGACUUUAAAUACGUGAAUCUUUUCAAACUCAAGUUUUAAAUGAUCUUGGGAUUUAAAAAAGAUCGUGUCCUAACUUACUGGGCAUGAAUCCUUUUUAAAAAAAAAUCUGAGAUAGCUAAAUAUCUUUUAAACAAGCAAAUUUUUAGCAUCCAUUCGCGUAUCGGGAAUUCGAGAUAUUGUGUCCUAACUUACUGGAUAUGAUUCUCUUUCUCGAUUAACGUGAAAUAUGCCCAUUUUCCCAAAAAUUUUCAACAUUUUAAUACAAGGAUCGUAUUUUUUAAAAUUCUUUAAAGUUUUCAAAUUUCGACCUCAAGACAUUAGCUAAUCAACUAGGUACCAAUUUUUGGGCGUUACGAGGGUGCUAAUCCUUCCUCGUACGUAACCGACUCCCGAACCCGUUUUUUGAAUUUUGUGGACCAAAAUUAUUGUUUUAAUAAAAUCUAAAUCGUUUAUUAAAAACAAUCAUUUUAUGAGGUGACCCGAUCACACCUCAUCAAAAAAAGGAUUGGUGGCGACUCCCAUUUUUGUUUUAUUUUUGAAAUUUAAGUCGACCCCGUUUUACCAAAAAAUGGUGUCAACAGCUUGGCGACUCCGCUGGGGAAGAGAUAUGUGAGUCAAGCCACGUGUUGAUUACUUUUUGUCUUUUUGUCGAAAAUCGAGAAUUUAAUUUAAAUUUACGAUCCGUUCAUUGCAUUUCAUUCGUCUUUAUUACGAUCUUCAUCAUUGUGGUUUUAUAGUUGUGUUGGUUUAAGUCUUGAUAUAUUUUUGCACAUUGCAUUGCAUGACCGUUGGUCACACCUUUUAAGUGGGAGUGAGAAGCUAUUUCCUUCGUGAGGUAUUCACCUCCGUGCAGGAUAGCUGAUCACUUUCGGGAUACAUCCGUACCUAUGUCUUUGUAAGAUUUUCAUCUCCGUGCAGCCAUAGGGAAAUGUAUUCCCCUGAACCGAACUCGGUCCGUAUGAGCCUAUAAUGGGUGAGGAUCGAGGAACCUACUGGUUUGGGUACCUUCGCUUUAGAGCCGAACCACAUGUAGUGAACCUAAGAGCCUACCUUAGGAAGAACCACUUCAAACCCCUAGUGGUCACCCGAGUAGGUGUUCUAUUUAUUCUUGCUUGCUUUUGCUUUGUACUAACCUGUUUUCUUUUGUUUUGAUUAUGAUUGCAUUGCAUUAUCAUCAUUAAAAAGAGGUGUUGAUUCACGUUCAGUUGCUAAAUAGAGAGCUUGUGAUAAAGUGGAUGACGAUACGAUUGUCCGAAUAUGGUCCAAGAAAACGUGAUAAGAAAAGGAUGAUAGUUUAAUGGAGGACUACAAGACUAUUGCUCCGUUGCCCAAGGAUUCAAGAUGACAAAGAUUAUUCGAGAGUCGCUGAACCUUCUUAAAAAGAAGCCAAUGAGCAUUACGAGGAUGAGUGAGCAACGAGUCGCGGCCUAGAUCAAGCAAAAAGGAGAUAGAAGAGACAUCUUUUUGAAGAGUUCGUGAAAUUUAUCUUAACGCUCAAAUGAAGAAAAGGAUCAAUUGUCUCCGCAUAUGAGGGCAAAGCCGUAUAUAUCCGUUACAGAGAUUUAUUUUCUAGUAAAGCUGUUCUAAUAGAGUUGAAUCAGAAUCAACAUCUCUUUUUGCAUUCAUUCCAUGCAUCUGUUUUACAUUUCAUUGCAUCAUUUGCAUUAAAUUUCACAAAAGAGCCCUACUUAAACGAGAUUAUUUCAGUUAAUCUGGAAACCAACAAGAAUCUACCAACCAAAUAUCACUAUGGUACCCGUCGCAAAACAAAAGUAAUGGAUUAGAGGUUAGAAAGAUUGGAACAAUUGCAAAAAAAGAUGCAAGAUCAGAUGCAGGAACGACUAGAUAAAAUCCAGCAAGACAUGCAAGAAUCCUAGAACACUAUGAUGAACAAAUUGGAGCAGUUAUUGGCUGGAAGGAAUGAUAAAGGAAAAAGCCCUUUAGUUGAUUCUGGAGUUGAUCAUGAGGACCCUAUUUAUCCUCCAGGUUUUACCCCAAUAGGCAUCCAGGCACAACCGGAUAUAUGCCCGCAAAGAGUACCUGUCAUUAUCAGACCUCAAUAUACGGUUGGUGCCUCAGUGCCAAUGCAUUUUCAAACGGGCUUGGGUUCUAAUCCCGGAGACAACCCUACCAAUCCUGUGGUCCCUAAUCUCGAUGACGUGGAAGAAAUAGAAAAAGCAAGAAUGGACCUGCCAAAACAACUUGACGACCGAUGUAGAUGGCUAGAGGAAAAAUUUAGAGCCAUGGAAAACACCGACUACCAUUGUGGAGUUGACGCCAAGGAUCUGAGUUUGGUCCCUGAUUUAGUGCUCCCGCCUAAGUUUAAGAUGCUGGAGUUCAAAAAAUACAACGGGACUAGUUGUCCUGAAGCUCAUAUCACUAUGUUCUGUUGAAGGAUAAUAGGAUACGUCAAUAAUGAUCAACUAUUAAUCCACUGUUUCCAGGAUAGUUUGAUCGUGUCUGCAGCCAAGUGGUACAACCAAUUGAGUCGUGCUAAAGUUAGUUCAUGAAGAGACUUGGCACAAGCUUUUAUGAAGCAAUACAGUCAUGUAACAGAUAUGACACCUGAUAGAAUUACGUUACAGAAUGUGGAAAAGAAGCAAAAUGAGAGCUUUAGGCAAUAUGCCCAAAGAUGGAGAGAGGUAGCGACACAAGUCCAGCCACCUCUUCUGGAGAAAGAAACCACAGUGCUUUUCAUUAACACUCUGAAAGCCCCAUUCAUUAACCACAUGUUGGGAAGCACUACUAUGAGCUUCUCAGAUAUGGUAAUGUCUGGCGAGAUGAUUGAAAACGCCAUAAGAAGUGGGAAGAUAGAUGCAAGGGAAGGUGCCAAAAGAUCAACCCCAAAGCACAAAGAAAAUGAAGUGAGCAACCUGAGCUUGUAUAAUAAAGGGUAUUCAAAAUUAGUCACUGUAGGCCAGCCAAGGACGGUAGCAGCUAGCUAUCAAGGCCCCUCAAAGUAAGAAUCCAACUCGAGGCCAAACACAGAAAGACUCGAGUUCACACCUAUCCCGGUGAUGUAUAAGGAGUUAUAUCAAAAUCUGUUUGAUGCGCAUGUAGUAGCUCCGUUCUACUCAAAACCCAUGCAACCUCCAUACCCCAAAUGGUACGACGUAAAUGCUCAAUACGAGUAUCACGUAUGAACUACGGGGCACUCGAUUAAAAACUACACUACAUUUAAAAAGUUAGUCGAAUGGUUCAUUAAUAUGGGCAUCGUGAAGUUUGACGAUCCAUCUGGACCUAAUGUGGCAGGAAGUCCGUUACCCAGUCAUCCAGACCCAGGAGUAAAUGCGAUAGCUGAGAAUGGAGGAAAAAAAACCAAAACAAAUGUUGCAGAAGUAAAACCCCCACUAAAAUGGGUUUUGAAACAAAUGAUGGACAUGGGAUUAAUCAUUCAGAAUUUGGAGAAGAGACCAAAAUGGAUGAGGAGCUACUGUGAGUUUCACGCUAAAGAAGGCCAUGAAAUCCAGGAGUGCACUGAAUUCAAAGCUUUGGUGCAAAGUAUAAUGGAUAAUAAAGAGUUGGAAUUCUUUGAAAAAGUCAAAGGCCUAGAAGAAAUGUUGGGAAAUUUAAAUGUUAACGAUGUAUCCGAAGAGGGAACUGAGGAAGAUAAUUUAUGAGGCAUCGGCCCUUAACGCAUUUGGGAGUGUUUUGAACAAUGAGAUUGUGGAAGAGAUCCCUAUAUUUUUUUAGAUCUAUUUCAAAGUAAUGUCCAAAACACGCUUAUUGCUCUAAGCCUAGGAGCAAUAAGAAUCCUUUUGUGAGAUAGACUUAUGUUCAAUAUCUUUAUUUUAAUAAAAUGCAUCUUUGUUUCUCACUUCGAGCAAAUAUUCCUUUAUUAUUUCCAUUUCAUUCAUAAUCAUACUGUACAGAUAAAUAUUCUUAGAUUCUUUUUAUUCUUUGGAUUUGCUUUCGUCCCUACAAUAGGUCUCCAGAUAUCAAAGAUAUGAGUGACACUACUACUGACUCAGAAUCUCCUUUGAGCAAGAUAUGUGUCCAGAUGAGCCUCAGGACUUUGAAGAUAACUGAGACUGUAACUUAUCCCCUGAUUUGUUAAUGAUGGUAGAACAAGAUCCUACCUUACAAAUAAUCAAUGGAAGUCUUGACCUUUCUCUAUGUGGGGUACGGAUGUCAUUGAACCAAUCUCGUCUAAGGUUUUGGCGAUCAUCAAUUCAUCUUUAUGGUCGUUAAUUACCUCACUAAGUGGGUAGAAGCUGCUUCAUAUGCCAAUGUCACAAAAAUGACGGUCAGUAAAUUCGUAAAAAAAGAAAUCAUAUGUUGGUAUGGGAUGCCGAAAAGGAUCAUAUCUGAUGAUGCACCAAAUUUGAAUGAUAGCACGAUAUCAGAAGUUUGCAGUCUGUUCAAGAUUAACACCAUGUCGCCCAAAAUGAAUGAUUCAGUGGAGGAAAAAAAAAGGAAACCAAACAAAAAACAAAACAAAAAAAACAAAAAACAAAAAUAAAAAAACAAAAAAUAAAAAACCUCUACCGGGGUAACUUAUUUCUCAUUGGUAUAUAGAAUAGAGGCAAUUUUACCCAUCGAAGUUGAUAUUCCUUCCCUUCAAGUCUUGUUAGAGCUGAAGUUGGAUGAAGCAGAAUAGAUCUAGGCCUGAUAUCAUCAGUUAGAUUUGAUUGAUAAGAAAAGGUUAAAAGUUAUCUGUCAUGGUCAAUUGUACCAAAAGCGAAUGAUGCGAGUUCACUAAAAGGUUCGCCCAGAGAAUUCCAUGAGGAGGACUUGAUAUCGAAGAAGAUCCUUCUCAAACAAAAGGACUUAAGAAGAAAGUGAAUGCCAAAAUGGAAAGGACCUUAUGUGGAAGGCCUUAUUUGAAAAAGCGUUGAUAUUGACCAAGAUAGAUGGUAAGAACCUGCCCAAUCUUGAGAAUUCUGAUUCCAGCAAUAAAUACUUCACUUGAAAAAAGAAACGAAAAGAAAAAAGAAAAGAAGAAGAAUGAAAAAAGAAAAAGGAAAGGCCAAGGUGAAAACCCGCAAAGGGCGCCUUGAGACCAAAGAGGUUUUGAAUUGAAAACCCAGGAAUGGGCAGUUCAAAUUUUGAUCAAAGGUGGGGCAUGCAGUAGUCUUGUCGUCUCUGAAUUAAUAAGAAGGAGAGAUGCUACAUCUUGGGGGCAUCAAUGAAGUCUUCUAGGACUUCUAAACACAUAUCAAGUUCAAAAGGGUCCUCAAGAAGUUUGGGGCAGAGAAGCUCAUGCCACGAUAUCUGGGGCACCUCUUUUCAUUUAUUCUUUUUGUAUUUGUGACAAAAUACGCCAUCUUGAUUAAUUUAUUCUCAUUUUGUAUUCUAGCAAAAUUUGCUAUCUUGAUUAAUUUAUUCAUUCAGAGCUUUGCUCUCAAUAAUUUUUCAUCUUAUCCAUUGUGAUAAUCCUUUCAUCUUAUUCAUCUCAUAUCUUAGCAAAAUUUGCUAUCUUGAUUGAUUCAUUCAUUUCAAGCUUUGCUCUCGACAAAAUUUUAUCUGGUCCAUUUUGAUAAUCUUUUUCAAGCAUUUUUCUUUGAAAUAACGAUUAUUGGACUGAUAAUGUUCAAGCAAAAGAAGUUUUGCAUAUUACUCUGAAAGCUUCUAAAUAGUACGAGGACCUAAAGCAGGGCUAUUGUUUAGAACUAACCAACUUAAGGGUUAGAAGCAUUGGAGAAAGAAUAAUCUAAAUUGCGACUAUUUCUUUGGUUUUUCUAUCAAAGAUACCACUGAAUAAGAAAGCAUCGGUGAUAAAACCUUGAUGAACAAUAAAGAAUGACAAUCUAAGCAUUAAAAAUGGAUCAUUCUCAUGACAUUCUACAAAUAUCAUACAUACACAUCUAGUUAGGAGCAUUUUAUUCAUUCUAAUCAUGACAUCCUAAAUGCUAGGCAUAAAUAGGUAUAUAAAAUGGAUUUUACAGGUCAUGUUCCCCAAGGAACAGAUCAAUGAAGUUACCCAUACCCCUGAAGUUGCAGUGGGAUGGAUUGAAGUCAUCAUAUCCAACAUUAUCUCCCUGAGCAACAGUGGAGAAGGUUGAAGAAAGCAAGUCUUGUCUUCCUGUAUUGGCAGCGAAGUAGACUGAAGAUAGCAGAUCUUGUCUUAUUGUAUUGGCAGCGAAGUAGACUGAAGAUAGCAGAUCUUAUCUUCCUGUAUUAGCAGCAAAAUGGAUCAAAGAUAGCAGAUCUUGUCUUUCUGUAUUGGCAGUAAAGUGGAUCAAAGAUAGUAGAUCUUGUCUUCCUGUAUUGGCAGCGAAGUAGAUCGAAGAUAGCAGAUAUUAUCUCCUUGAGCAGCAGUGGAGUAGAUCGAAGAUAGCAAGUCUUGUCUUCCUAUAUUGGCAGCGAAGUAGACUGAAGAUAGCAGAUCUUGUCUUCCUGUAUUGGCAGCGAAGUAGACUGAAGAUAGUAGAUCUUGUCUUCCUGUAUUGGUAGCGAAGUAGAUCGAAAAAAGUAGAUCUUGUCUCCCUGAGUAGCAGUGGAGUAGAUCGAGGAUAGCAAGUCUUGUCUUCCUGUAUUGGCAGCAAAGUAGAUUGAGGAUAGCAGAUCUUGUCUUCCUGUAUUGGCAGCAAAGUAGACUGAAGAUAGUAGAUCUUGUCUUCCUGUAUUGGCAGCGAAGUAGAUCAAAGAUAGCAGAUCUUGUCUCCCUAAGCAGCAGUGAAGUAGAUCGAAGAUAGCAAGUCUUGUCUUCCUAUAUUGACAACGAAGUAGACUGAAGAUAGCAAGUCUUGUCUUCCUGUAGUGGCAGUAAAGUAGACUGAAGAUAGGAAGUCUUGUCUUCCUGUAUUGGCAGCGAAGUAGACUAAGGAUAGCAGAUCUUAUCUUCCUGUAUUUGGCAGCAAAGUAGAUCGAAGAUAGCAAGUCUUAUCUUCCUGUAUUGACAGUGAAAUAGACUGAGGAUAGUAGAUCUUAUCUUCCUGUAUUGGCAGCGAAGUAGAUCGGAGAUAGCAAGUCUUAUCUCCCUAAGCAGUAGCAGAGCAGACAGAUGAAACCAAUCCUAUCUCUCUGAAGUUGCAGUGGAGCAGAUUAAAAUGAUGAAUCAUAUGCCUCUGAAAUUACAGUAGGUCGAAUUAGAUCAUAUCACAUCAAACCUUAUCUCCCUGAAGUUACAGUGGAGCAGACUAAAACCACGAAUCUCAUCCCCACGGAUUUACAACAGAGUAGAUUGAAGUCAUAUCUCUCUGAGGAUGCCGUGAAGAGGAUCAAAGUCAUAAGGCGCAGUGGGCUAGAAAGAGACUACUUGAAGAAGAGGAGUAUCAAGAGAUCAAGAUUCGUGCGACCAUUGAACGUAAAAUCAAAAUGCUUAAAGUGUAUGGAGAUUCCGCGUUGGUGAUAUACCAACUCAAAGGAGAGUGGGAAACCAAAGACCCUAAAUUGAUCAAUUAUAAAGAACUGGUUCUUGAAUUGAUUUACGAGUUUGAUGACAUCACCUUCAGUUAUCUCCCAUGAAAGGAAAACCAAAUGACUGAUGCAUUGGCUACUCUAGCUUCGAUGAUUCAGGUGAACAGGCUUGAAGUAAUGAAGCCUAUUCAGAUGAGUAUCUACAAAACCCCAGCUCAUUGCUACAAUAUUAAGGGGAAGGGAAAAGACAAUCACCCUUGGUAUCGGAGUAUCCUACAGUAUGUGAAGAAUCGGGAGUACCCUAGCCAGGCAACAGAGAACGACAAGAGAACUCUGAAAAGAAUAGCCAUCGAAUAUAUCUUAGAUGGGGAAGUGUUAUACAAAAGAAGGAAAGAUCAGGUAUUGUUAAGAUGUGUAGAUGCCGUAGAAGCUAAGAAAAUUUUGGAGGAAGUCCAUGAGGGUAUCUGUGAGACGCACGUCAAUGGCUUCACCAUGGCCAGAUAGAUCAUGAGAUUUGGGUACUAUUGGUCCACUAUGGAAGGGGAUUGCAUUAAUUACGCCAAGAAAUGCCAUAAAUGUCAAAUUUAUGGAGACAAGAUGCAUCCCCCCUUCGCUACUUCAUGUUAUGACCUCUCCAUGGCCAUUUUCCAUAUGGGGUAUGGAUGUCAUUGGGCCGAUAUCGCCAAAGGCUUCUAACGGGCAUCGUUUCAUCUUCAUAGUCAUUGAUUACUUCACUAAGUGGGUAGAAGUUGCUUCUUAUGCAAAUGUCACGAAGUCAGCAGUUAGUAAAUUCUUGAAAAAUGAGAUUAUUUGUCGAUAUGGAAUGCCUGAGAGAAUCAUAUCCAACAAUGCGCUGAAUUUGAACAAUAGCACAAUAGCAGAGGUUUGCAGCCAAUUUAAGAUCAAGCAUCAUAACUCAUCGCCGUAUCGUCCAAAAAUGAAUGGUGCAGUAGAGGCGACCAAUAAGAAUAUUAAAAGAAUUGUGGGGAAAAUGACUGAGACUUACAAAGAUUGGCAUGAGAAGUUAUCAUUUGCUCUCCUUGCCUAUCGAACAUCUGUUAGAACUUCUACUAGGGCAACACCUUUUUCUCUAGUUUACGGAAUGGAGGCAAUAUUACCCAUCGAAGUUGAAAUCCUCUCUCUACGGGUAUUAUCCGAACUCUAGUUGGACGAGGCUGAAUGGGUCCAAUCUCGUUAUGAUCAGUUGAACCUAAUAGAGGAGAAGAGAUUAAAAGCUAUUUAUCAUAGGCAAAUGUACCAGAAACGAAUGAUGUGAGCCUAUGAUAAAAAGGUUCACCCCAGAGAAUUUAGUGAAGGAGAUUUGGUGCUAAAAAAGAUUCUUCCUAUGCAAAAGGACUUUAGAGGAAAAUGGAUGCCAAAUUGGGAGGGUCUUUAUGUCGUAAAGAAGGCCUUUGAUGGUGGAGCUUUGAUUCUAAGUGAGAUAACUGGAAAAGACUUGCCCAAUCCCGUAAAUUCAGACUCAGUCAAGAAAUACUUCACUUGAAGAAAAGGGACCAAAGUGAAAACCCGCAAAGGGCGCUUUGAUCCCUAAAAAAAAAGAAAUGAUGAUGAUAAAAAUGGAGAGGCUAAGGGGAAAACCCGCAAAGGGCACCUUAGGCCAAAGGGGAUUUGAGUUGAAAACCCGAAAAGGGCGGCUCAAAUGUUUGAUCAGAAUGGGACAUGAAAUGCUUAGAGCAGCUGGUAUCUUGAUCAGAUCGGGAUGUGUGGCAAUCUUGCUAUGCCUGAAUUAACAAGAAGGGAUAGGCGAUAUCUUGGGGCAUUGACAAAGCAUUGAAGAUCUCCUAAACACAUGUCAAACUCAGGAUGGCCUUUAGAAAGUUUGUACAGAGAAAUUCAAGCUGCGAUAUCUGGGGGAUUUAAUUCCCCUAUUAUUUUGUAUAUAUUGAAUUUUGUUGAUUCUUGGAAUAUUUUCUUUCUCUUUUCCAAGAUAUAUAUUCCCAAUCAAUUUCUCUACUAUUUGUGAUGACUUAUUUAUUUUUAGCUAUGUUCAGAACCAAAUUUAUUCUUAUAUAUUGUUAUGACCUUUUCUGCAAACAUGUUACAUUAGAAUAAUGAUUAAUGGACUAAUAAAACUUUCACAAAAGAAGUUUUGCAUAUUACUCUGAAAAGUUCCUAAAUAAUACAGGAGCCUAAAACAAGACUAUUGUUUAGAACACACCCAAUUUUAAAGAUUGGAAAUUUGAGAAGGAGUUUAAAUUUGGACUUUCUCUUUGGAUUUUGUUGUCAAAUGCAUUGAUUGGCAAGAUGCCAUGUUGAUGACGAAGCUUAAGUAAACAAGCAAACAAUGAUCACCAGGCAAGAGGAAGAGGUUACUUUGAAAAAGCCUUCAUCUACACAUAAGUUUCUAGUAUGACACCUUCAAAAUUGUGUGAGAAACCAGAACGAUUCAGAUCCUAUAUCCUUGAAUUGUGGGGAUUGAGGAAAAGCCACAUAUUUCUACCCUUGGAUUACAAUGGGAAAGUGGUGGUACAAUUUUUUUGCGCCCCAAUGGUUUAAACUUUAAGGUUCACAGUGGGGGCAAUCUGACUAAGUGAUUCUUUGAAGAAGCCGGUCAAGCGAGGAGGCGUUACAGCACAUCAGUGUUAAAGCCUUAAUAAAUUUCGAGUAAUAAUAACCUAAGCGGGAUCAUUCUCAAAAAAUAAAAUUCUGCAUUCAUGCAAACACUAUCCACACAUGUCUAUUUAGGAGCAUUCGAUUCAUUUUGAUCAUGCCAUCCUAAUCAUUAGGCAUAAUUAGGUUCAUUAUACAGGUCAUGUUCCCCAGAGAAUAGAUCAAUAAAGAUCGAAAACAAAGCCUUGCCUCCAUCGGUUGCAGUGGAGCGGAUUAAAAUAAAGGAUCUUAUCUCUCUGAAGUUACAGUAGAGUAGAUCGCAUCAGAUUGAAGCCAAAAAUCUUAUCUCCCUAAGAUUACAGCGGAGCAGAUUGAAGCUAGAAAUUCUAUCUCCCUGAGAUUACAGUGGAGCGGAUUAAAAUAAAGGAUCUUAUCUCUCUGAAGUUAUAGUAGAGUAGAUCGCAUCAGAUUGAAGCCAGAAAUCUUAUCUCCCUGAGAUUACAGUGGAGCAGAUUGAAGCUAGAAAUCCUAUCUCCCUGAGAUUACAGUGGAGCAGAUUAAAAUAAAGGAUCUUAUCUCUCUGAAGUUAUAGUAGAGUAGAUCGCAUUAGAUUGAAGCCAGAAAUCUUAUCUCCCUGAGAUUACAGUGGAGCAGAUUGAAGCUAGUAAUCCUAUCUCCAUGAGAUUACAGUGGAGCGGAUUAAAACAAAGGAUCUUAUCUCUUUGAAGUUACAGCGGAGUAGAUCGCAUCAGAAUGAAGCUACAACAGCAAAUCUCACUACCCCGACCUCACAAUUAAGCAGAUUAAGGUUACGAGUUACAAAUCCUAUCUCCCUGAUGUUACAGUGGAGUGGAUCGAAGCACCAAUUCCUAUACCUCUGAAGAUGUAGUAGGUUGAAAUGAGUCAACUCGAAGAAGAAGAGCACCAAGGUCCAAACACGACUGGGCAAAAAGGGGCUUUAGUCUUUGCACCGUUCCCGUUACACGACAACAAGCAAAGAGGGGUAGCUGUAAUAGCCCAUUUUUGCCCGGGCCCGUAAUAAGUAAACCAAAAUUAAAAAUUAAAAAUUAAAGUCCAAAAAAUAAUAAUAGAGUCCAUUUUUUACAAUAGGCCUAAUAGCCCAAAUCCACUACCCAAACCUAAUUAGCCCAAAUCCACUACUUAAACCCAACUAGCCCAAAUGCCCAUGACCGAACACUAAAUCUGAUUAGCCCAAUUACAGUGGCCCGACACCUAACCCAAAACCCGAUUCAGCCCAAUUAGCCCAUUUUGAAAAAGCAUUCCAGAAAUCACUAGGGUUUCUAGAACCCUUCAGCCGCCAUUGCCACGCACGGGCUCCCCUUCGAGCCACUCCUCACGCGCGUGAUGCCUUCGUACGCCACGCAUGCCUCCGUACGGCCACCUCUGUACCUCUAGGCUGGCCGAGUACCUGCAAAUACAAGCGAACACACGGAAGCAGCAACAAAUAGAAAAACAACAGCAUUUUUAUUUUAUUUUUUUAUUUUCUGUAAAUGGGGCUAUAAAGAAGCCAUUCGAACACUGUAAACGAUUUACACGCAUUUUCAGAAUACAGAAAUCAAAAAAAGUUCCAAAAGGUGAUUUUCGGUUCUCUUUUCUUUUUCGCAGAUCGUUUUCCUUCUUUCCUUUUGUUUUUACAUACAUUAGUCAUCUGUUAAAGGAGAAAAGGGGAACCAAAAGGGAAGAGGGGCAUACCUGAGGGCCGGAUUUUUGCUCACUCCGCAGCCAUCGGAGUUGGGGCGAAUAUUGGGAGUCUUUGGAGGCAAUGAAUCCCCAGAGCGGCGACGAGCCUUUCUUUUUGUUUAGGUUUUGCUAAUGUAAACCCUAGGUUUUAGGAUUUAUUUAGUUUUUAAGUGCAUGAAUUAAAACGACGCCGUUCAGAGUCAAUGCAAUGGCACUGAAAUGACAUUGUUUUGGAGACUCAACCCAAACGAUGACCCGAUCCGGGAAGGAUCCGCACAAUAUGGGUCGAAUGGUUUAUUUGCUAAAUAGGUCCCUGUGUGUUUAUUGAGAUUACGUUUUGUUUUUUUAUUUAAUUGUAAUUUGUACGGCACAUUUAAUUUUGUUUCCAUUCAGAUCCGACUUGAUACGGUACCGUUCUGCGGUUGAUUGUUAUUGUUUAUAAUGCUUGCGUUUAAUUGUUGGUUUAGUCCUCCAAGGUUAAAAAGGAUUUCGAUUUGAUACAAAUUUAGAUUUUUUUACUCAAAAUGCCUUUAAUUAUAAUUAAUCCUACUUUUAUAAACGGAUUUCAUUAUUGUUUUAAUUUUAUCUAAGCUUCGAUUUUUAAAAGAAUUUGUUGAUUAUUAUUUUCAAUGUCAAAAAAUGCCUUUUAUGUUAAUUUUGAUUUAAAAAGUUUUUUUUAAAUAAAUCAAUUUUUAAUAUUACUUUAAUAGAUAUUUUUUUCAAAUUUAUUAUUAGCACAAAUUCUAUUUUUUAAAAAAAAUAUAAUAAUAAUAAUAUAUUUUUUAAUUGUUAUCAAUAUGUUUUAAAUGUAUCAAUAUUAUUUAAAAAUACAUAUAAUUUAAAUUAGACUAUUUUAGUAUAUAUGUACAUAGGGUAUAUCGUUAACUUCAAAUUAACCUUUUAUUCACAUAAUUUUUUAUACAUAAUUGUUUUAUUUCUUAAACCUUAUUUAUUUUAUUCGUUUUGGUGGGUUGUCAAAUUAUUAAUAUGGAUGUUUGUAUAAUAUGAUUAAGGUCAAUGUUAGUAUUUGCCUAUUAUUUGUUUAAUUGUUUCUAGUUUAAGUUUAAAUUGUUAUUUAUAUUUUGCAUUACAAGUUGUUAUUCAAUUAUGUUGGUUGUAAAAAUUUCAUUUCGUUAAAAUAUUAUAAUCGUUUCAUUUCAAAAGUUCAAAAAAGAGGCUUGGUGUUAAAUAAUUCUCGAGAGAAUUGUGCCCUAACUUACUGGGCCUCAAUUCUUCUCGAUGAAUUUAUAUCAUCAAGUAUCCCUUUCUUUAAGACAUUUAAAAAAAAAUUCUUUAGAUUUCAAAAUGUUGGAUCCUAACUUACUGGAUGUGACAUUUUGUUAUCUCGUUUUUAAAUAAAGGAAAUAUUUGGUGUUUAAGGAUUUUAAGAAAAUUGAACUCUAACUUACUGGGUUUUGAUUUUCUCGAUCGAUUUAAAUAACCAAAUAUCCUUCUCAAAAUGUAUGAAUUUGUUUUAAAUUUUAAAAAGGGACGAAUCUAACUUCGAAGAUUGAAUCGUUGCACUCUAACUUACUGAAUAUAACGAUUUAUUUCUUUAAAGUAGGUAAGUCUUAUUUCCCAAUCCGAUUACUCAAAUUUUCUUUUCAAAGGAUUGUAUUUUAAAAUCCUUUCAAAGUUUCGACAUUAAGACAUUAAAUAAUCGAUUCGGUACCAAUUUUGGGCAUUACGAGGGUGCUAACCCUUCCUCGUGCGUAACCGACUCUCGAACCUUAUUUUUUUCAAAAUUCGCAGACCUAAAAUUAUUUUCAAGGUGAUCUGAUUACACCACAAUAAAAUAUCAGUGGCGACUCCCAUUUCCGUUUUCAUUUUAAAAGUCGAUCCCCGUUUUUUUAAAUUUCAAAAAAAAUGGUUUCGACAAGAAACAAAUGAUUCAUUAUAUAUAUAAUAUAAUUAUGAAAUUCAAGCCAUAUAUUUUAUGUUUCAUACAUAAAAAUUUCAUGGGAGGCCCAAAGGUAAUUAAAUGACUUGUAGGCUUGCUGAAUUUCUUUGAAAGGCCCAAAGGCAAUUUAACAUUCACAAAAUAAUCUCUAAAUACUGUAAAGACAAAUCAAAUCCACAGUAGCAUAAGAGUUGAUUAAGCUAAGCAUUGGCAAAUAUUACUAUGAUUUUGCAUGCAAUAUUGGCAAAACCUCCUCUUACAUUAGAAAAACAACAUAAUCCAUGAAACAUUGAUAGCCCAAUACAAAUUUCAUCGACAUGAAAGUCUCUUUGUUUUGUAGAACAUGAUAGUAAAGAUGUGGAGUUUCAUUCUUCUUAUUGGCCUCCUUUAGUUUUCCUUGAUCAACAACCACUAGCCAAAAACACAAUUAGAUUACAUUAUCAAUGAUACUCUCAACUAUGACAAUAUUAAAUACAAAACACUCUAAAUAACUCUAAAUAAAUGGAAAGCAGCAAAAUUACCUGACGAGACAAGCUAGCUCAAUUAAGACCAUUGUGUUAUACUUGUCUCUGAAUUGAAAAUUUUAGAAGGAAAUAAAGAGAAAGACUUAGAAAAUACUUGAAAACAGGUAAAACUUAUAUGUCAUUUAAAAUAAAAAAUUUCUAUAUAAGCCAUUUAAAAUUUUUAAGAUUUUUAAAAUUUUAAAAUGAUAAAGGUAAAAUUGUACUUUGGCAUCCCAAAAAUGACAAAACUUUGAUUUAAUUCUUUAGAAAUUAUAAAAAUAUAGGCUAUUAAAAUGGUGAAAUUAUAUUUUUACUAUAGUAAAAAAUUACAAUUUAAUUUCACCCCUAAAAGGACUUUCUCACUUCGCCCCUAAUAAAAUCUUUUGCAAAAGAUUAAAAUAAAAUUAUACAUAAGAAAAUCCAAUCUAACAAAGAAAAUAACUUCUUGUCCAAAAGCUACCAUAAACCGUAAUUCAUGGGAAGGCUUGUUGCUUAUUUUAUUGGUUUCCAUUUCGAUUUUGCAAAAGAAGUUUGAAUUUUGAAGAGAGCCUACUACGUGAGAGCAAAAGAAAAAAAAAGUUUAUAUGAUUAAAUUCCAGAAUAGAUUAAAAAUGUUGAAUUAAAGAUAAAAUUAAGUGUGAAUUAAAAAAAUUUCUAUUUAGGCCCUUUAAAAUUUUAAAAUGAUAAAGAUAAAACUGUACUUUGGCACCCAAAAAAAAUAAAAUUUUAAUUUAAUCCUUUAAAAUUUAUAAAAAUAUAGGUUAUUAAGUGUGAAUUAAUAACCACAAGUGUAUUCAUUACUCACCAUCUCUGUUAAAAAUGUUGGAUGUUGUUUAGCAACCUUUGUUUGAUUUUCUUCAGCUCAACCACAACAUCUUUCAUAUCUUUUCUUUCUUCUGGUAACUCAGCUGAACAAUUCAAAGCCAACUCCAUGAUAGAUGAAAUACAAUUUGCUUUAACAACAAUGUACUCAUCCUCUCUUCUUAAUAAAUCAACAUCUGCAAUUUCUAUCGCUCCUUUAGGCAAUGAUCUUUCCAUCCAAUGCCUUAUACUCUCUUCUUCAACAAAAACAUUAUCAGUUGGCUUUUUCUUUGUGAAAGUUUCUAUAAGGACGAUCCCAUAACUAUAGAUGUCAGAUUUUAUAGAAACAAUUCCUACUGAUCCAAAUUCUGCAUUUCAAGUAUAAUUAGAACAUCAUCAAUCCUCAAUUAUUUCUAAAAUGCUUAUUCAAAUAUAUAUCCACAUCCACAUGAAACAAAAAUAUAAAAUGCAUAUUAGGAAAAUAAUCAUACAAAAAUAAAAAAGAAUUCACCUGGUGCUAUAUACCCGAUAGUUGCAAGAGUCAUGGUUUGCUUCAUUACUUCACCUUCCCCCAACAAUUUGGCAACGCCACAAUCUCCAACAUGUGCAACCAUGUCUUCAUCUAGUAAAAUAUUGCUUGGUUUUAUGUCACAGUGAAUUAUAGGUGUUGGAUGUCCAUUGUGGAGGUGUUCUAUGGCUACCGCAACAUCUAUCAUUAUGUCGACCCUUUGUAUGAUAUCAAGGAAACAAUUUUCAGAAUGUAACCAUUUCUCAAGGUUUCCAUUAGACAUGUAAGCAAGCACCAAGGCUUUGAAGUCAACACUUGAGCAGCAAGUAAUGACCUUCACAAUAUUACGAUGAACUAUAUUACGCAUAGCAUCACAUUCAAUGUCAAAACUGCUAAAUGCUCCCUCUGUUUGCAAAUUAAAAACUUUUAUUGCAACUUCCAUUCCAUCUGAAAGCCUCCCUUUAUAUACAUAUCCAAAACUCCCUGAACCAAGCAUAUUGCUUUCCUCAAAUCCAUUAGUUGCUCGUGAAAGCUCAGCAUGUGAAAUUCUUCUCGGUGUUAUCAAAGACAACAAAUCAUCUUUAAUUGGUAGACUUGUACUCCUUCUUCGGCAUCUUCUAUACAUAAUAGUUAAGACUAUUAGUACUACGACAAUACCAAUUGUUGGUAAACCAUACCUAAAAGCAUGCAAUAUAAUCAUUUGGGAGUUUUUGUGGAUGUCAUUUUUGCAAGGGGGGACUAGCAAUCUAGGUGGACCACAAAGUGCAUAAUUCUUCAUGAAUGAUGUGCUAGAAAAGUUUGAAAAACAUCCUUUGCUUGGAAUUUCCCCUUCAAGUCUAUUGAAAGACACAUUAAAAUACUUUAGAUAUAAAAGCUUUUCCAAAGAUUUGGGAAUGACUCCAGAGAGAUUGUUAUUGCAUAAAUCCAAGAAUUCCAAACUAAUCAACCCAUCAAAUGAUUUAGGGAUAUAACCAUGUAGUAUAUUAUUUGAUAAAUCUAAUGAAACCAAAGUUUGAAGACCCCCAAAUGAGGAUAGGAUAUCGCCCGAGAGAAGAUUCCUUGAUAAAUUUAGUUUCAGUAGACUCCUCAAAUUUCCAACAUCAAUAGCAUGUGAAUUCUGAAGAUGGUUUGAUGAUAAAUCUAUUUCUAAGAUAUCUUUAAGAUUCCACAAAGUUGAGGGUAUUGUAGAACUCAAUUUGUUGGAAUUUAAGUAAAGAUAUCCCAAAGAAGUAAUAUUACCCAAACAAGAGGGUAUGGAUCCAUGCAGCUUAUUCAACCCUAAAUACAUCUCGUAUAGUCUCUCCAAAUCACAAAGGCUUUCUAAGAUGUGCCCUCCUAAUUUAUUAGAGGAAAGAUCUAGAGCUUGGAGAUUUCGCAGUCCUCCUAUUGAUGCUGGAAUGAAUCCACUUAAUUUAUUAUGGCGAAGUUGUAAAAGCAAUAGGUUGGUUAUGUUACCUAUUUCCAUAGGAAUAAUGCCUUGAAGCUCACAAUUAGAGGCAUAAAAGUAUUGAAGGGAUUUUGAAAGGUUCCCGAUAUAAGUAGGAAGAACGCCACUCAAUGGAUUUCCUGAAACUCCUAUGGUUUUCAAAUUCUUACAAUUCGUCAAAGAAGAAAGAAAGCUCCACUCAUGAUCAGUAGCAGACCCUGUGAUCAAAUUAUUGUUCAUGAUUUGGAACCAUUCAAGGUGUCUUAAGUUGCCAAGCGUUUUAGGGAUUGGGCCAGAGAAUAAGUUAUCUUCCAAGUCUAGUAUCUUAAGCAUGGAAGCAUUGGAGAUAGAGUUGGGAAUGUUUCCUCUAAGUUUAUUUCCCCACAAUGCAAGAAUCUCAAGCUUUGGAGCAUUGGUGAUGGGUGGUAAAUUACCUGUAAAAUAGCAUCUUUUAGUAUACAUAUUCAUUGAAUACCAAAUUCACAAAAUAUAUAAUACAUUAAUAAUAUGAAGUUUCGAGUACUAAUUAGUCCUUGUGAUUUGUAUAGAAAAACAUAUAAUACGCUAAUAAAUUUUUAAAAUAUUGUAAAACUUGAAAUAAAAUAAAAAUAAAAUGUUGGUAUGAGAAUGUGGCAUCUAAUCAAUUUUAAAAAUGAGACUGACACUGAAUAAUAAAUAGUUAUGAUUUGGGAAACAAAAAUAUUAAAGCCAUUGUUUAUCUUUAUUAAAUUAUAGUGUAAAAUUUAAAGAUUACUAUUUGCUCAAAAUUUUUGUAUUUUUCGUAUAUUUGAAAUUUAAUCUUUAUAUUUUUAUUUUCUGUGAUUUAGUCUCUCUACUUUUUGAAUUGAAAAUUUUAAGUUUAUUUAUUAAAACUGUUAAGAAGUUUUUGGGUUAGUAUGGCAUUUUGAAAAAUAAAAUAAACUUGAUAUCUAUGUUUUUAAUUAUUUCAAAUAAUGUUUUACUAUUCCAAGAUAAAUUAUUUGUGUCUAGACCAAUAUCUUAAGAACUAUUGUUGCAUGUUUAAUUAUUCAAAAGAAUUGUUGAUUGAGUCUUAGCUUGAUUGACAUGUGUAUUGUUACCAAUGUAAGAGAAUGUGGGUUCAAGUAUGCUAAAGUGCAUUAUCUUCUUAUUUAUAAAUUGGGGAGUUGGUAAGGUAUUAAAUUUUGAUAUAUUUUAAAAUAUUAAAAUUUUAUUAAAAUAUUUUUUAUAAAAAUUGAUUGCACCACAAUAUACAAUUUUAAUAUCAAAUUUUUAAUUUUUUUAAAAAAUAUUAGCGACUAUAUACUUUAUUUCAAGUUACACAAAUUUUACUAGUUUUUAACUUUUUUUUAAAUAUUUACCGUCUUUUAUAAUUUUUUACAAUAUUUAAAAAUUUCUGCCAAUUUUUAAUAAUUUUAUUAUUUAUUACAAAUUUAAAAAUUAACAAAUUUAAAAAUUAACAAAUUUUUAUUUUUUAAACAAUUAUAUAUUUAUAAUGUAGUUAUUUUUUAUAUAAUUUCACUUUAAAUUUUAAAGAUUUUUUGGGUUUUUUUUUAGAUGAUGAUGCCGUUAUGAUGUCAUCAUAUACCACAUGGCAAUUUAUGAUUAGUUGGAUAUCUCAAUCUAUUUUUUAAUUUCCAAUGGACUAAACCAAGAACACCUGAUAAUGUUAGAGACUACACUAGCAAUGUUUGAUAAUAUUAGGUACUAAAGUGGGCAAAAAAAUAUUAAGAACCAAAGUAAAAAAAAAAAAAAGAAGAAGAAGCAAUAUGCUGUAGAGAAUAAACUAUGCAUUAAGCCAUUAAAAAUAUAUCUAUAAUAUAUAUAAAUGCAUGGAUUUUGAGAAACUUUUGAAGUGAUAAUUAUAUAGUCUUUGUUGUUUACUAUAUUAUUGAAUUUGUUAUUUUAAAUAUUUUUUUAUUACUUUUAAGAUUUAUUGGAUAAGAAUUUUGGUUUUUACUAAAAUAUUUGGUUAAAUAAAUUAACUUCAUAAGAAAAUUUAGCAUCCUUAUAAAUAACAAUUUUGAUUCUAUUAAAAAAUUAUUUUAAAAAGCAUAUAAUAAAAAUUUAAAAUUUAUAUUGAAUUACUUUAUACUUAAAUUAUUAUUAGAAAUUUUAUACUUAAAUUUAUGAGAACCACAAAUUUAGAACUUAAAUUUGUGUUUUAAAAUAACUUAUGAUAAAUAAUGAAAUGUAUAAUUUGAAACUAUUUAAUAAUAACACAUGGCAUAUCUACCAUAUUGAAAUAAAAAUAGAUUAAAUUGUAAGUAAAACAUAAUUUAAGCAUAGGUAUACAUCAAAUUAAGAAUACUAAAUGAAUACAGUUAUUUAUGAUGAUGUUGUUGUCAAUUCCUAAGUUGGUGUCGAGUUAAUUUGUGACAUCAUAAAUUUAAGUGAUAAAUUUAAGGUUUUACGUAUUGAUGUGGAUUGAAAUAUCACCAUACUUUUUUUAAAAUAAAAAACUAAAAUACCCUCAAAUAAUAUAACUUAUAUUAAAUAUGAAAGGGUAAUUUUGUAAUUUCUCUGACUGAGUUGGUGCCAGGUUGACUCAUGACACCAACUAAAUCGAAAGCUUCAAUAAUAAUAUAGAUAUUCACAUUAAAAAAAAGUACUUUAGUUCCAAAUAAUUAUAUAACAAGUAAAUUUAUAAUUGACGAAUAAAUUUAUAGAUAAUAUAUUUAUAUGAUCUAAUAUAUUAUAUUUAUAUUAAUUAUAUAUCAUCUACAAACUUUGAAAAUCAAUUUAUUAAGUAUCAGGAAAAGAAAAAAAUGAAAUUGAAUUAACACUAAAUCAAUUUUUGAAUUAACAAAAAAUUAGUGAUAUAUUUUAAUUAUAUUUAUUAUUUAUUUUUUUAAUAAUAUUUUUUUAAUUAUAUGAAGUAAAAUUAUAUUGUAUGAAGUAAAAAAAAUAUAUUUUCCGCAUUGGUUUCUUUUAUUCUACAGACAAAGGAUUUCUAAUGAUUUUUUAAAAAAAAAUUACUUAUAUAGAAUAGAUUAGUUUAUGCAAUAAAAAAUAAUUUCUUUUUUUAAAGUUUAAUGGAAAUUAAAAAAUUAAAAAUAAAUCAAUUCAUAUAAAUCUUAUUGUUUAUUAUCAUAUUAAAAUGAUAAAAAGUAUAUGACCAAAAUAGAAGAAACAAAUUCAACACAAUGUUUUUGGAGUUUAUUAUCAUAUUUCUAAUUUGUUGUUAAAUAGAUCUAUUUCUUCCAGCGUAGUUGAAUUAAAAAUAUUUGAUGGAAUCUGACCUGCACACAUAGUCGAAAAUUGAAGUGAAAAUUAUAUCUUCUAAACUGUUCAACUAAAAAUACUUUAAGCAUAUUUUUUAAGGUUAUUGCAUUUACCCAUGCCAAAUGGAAUGCUACCAAAUAACUCAUUGCUAUGCAAGUAAAGCCCUUCAAGCUUGGGAAGAUGUUGACACAUAUCAUUAGGAAAUUACCUGAUAGGCUAUUUUUGGAGAGAUCAAUGGUCUUCAGAGAAGAAAUGUUGAAGAUCAAAGUUGGAAUCUGACCUGUAAGGCCUUUAAUUGCUUGAAUAUUAAGCAAUUCCAAACCAUGAAGAUUACCAAUUUCCUCAGGAAUUUGACCUGCACACAUAGUCGAAAAAUCAAGGUGUCAAACUACCUAUUUUGUUAGCAUAAGUCAAAGAGGUUUUCUUUUCUGUUCUAUGGUAAUUUGGAGAUGUUAGAUUUUCAUAUAUUUCAGCAUAUGUUUUUCAUCAAAUGAAAUAAAAACUUUUUCCUUUUGUUAUCUAUUACAAAUCAAACUCUUUUAUAAAAAAAAUACUUAAAAUUCAAGAAAUCAAGGAAAUUGAUUACCUUCUAGAUUAUUAAAUCCCAAAUAUAAUUCUCUGAGUUGUGUCAGAUUUCCAAUACUUCUUGGAAUGAUCCCCGUCAAUUGAUUCAAGGACAAGGACAAAUUAUUAAGGUUGCUGCACUUGCCCAUACUUGACGAAAUGUUACCAGAUAACUCAUUGCUCUGCAAGUAAAGCCCUUCAAGCUUGGGAAGAUGUUGACACAUAUCAUUAGGUAAACUACCUGGUAGGCUAUUGCUGGAGAGAUCAAUGGUCUUCGAAGAAGAAAUGUUGGAGACCGAAGUUGGAAUCUGACCUGUAACGCCUUUAAUUGCUUCAAUAUUAAGCAAUUCCAAACCAAGAAGAUUACCGAUUUCCUCAGGAAUUUGGCCUGCACACAUAGUCGAAAAAUCAAGGUGUCAAACUACCUAUUUUGUUAGCAUAAGUCAAAGAGGUUUUCUUUUCUGUUCUAUAGUAAGUUGGAGAUGUUAGAUUUUCAUAUAUUUCAGCAUAUGUUUUUCAUCAAAUGAAAUAAAAACUUUUUUCUUUUGUUAUCUAUUACAAAUCAAACUCUUUUAUAAAAAAAUACUUAAAAUUCAAGAAAUCAAGGAAAUUGAUUACCUUCUAGAUUAUUAAAUCCCAAAUAUAAUUCUCUGAGUUGUGUCAGAUUUCCAAUACUUCUUGGAAUGAUCCCCGUCAAUUGAUUCAAGGACAAGGACAAAUUUUUAAGGUUGCUGCACUUGCCCAUACUUGACGGAAUGUUACCAGAUAACUCAUUGCUAUGCAAGUAAAGCACUUCAAGCUUGGGAAGAUGUUGACACAUAUCAUUAGGCAAACUACCUAAUAGGCUAUUGUUGGAGAGAACAAUGGUCUUCAGAGAAGAAAUGUUGAAGAUCGAAUUUGGAAUCUGACCUGUAACGCCUUUAAUUGCUUGAAUAUUAAGCAAUUCCAAACCAUGAAGAUUACCGAUUUCCUCAGGAAUUUGACCUGCACACAUAGUCGAAAAAUCAAGGUGUCAAACUACCUAUUUUGUUAGCAGAAGUCAAAGAGGUUUUCUUUUCUGUUCUAUAGUAAUUUGGAGAUGUUAGAUUUUCAUAUAUUUCAGCAUAUGUUUUUCAUCAAAUGAAAUAAAAACUUUUUCCUUUUGUUAUCUAUUACAAAUCAAACUCUUUUAUAAAAAAAAUACUUAAAAUUCAAGAAAUCAAGGAAAUUGAUUACCUUCUAGAUUAUUAAAUCCCAAAUAUAAUUCUCUGAGUUGUGUCAGAUUUCCAAUACUUCUUGGAAUGAUCCCCGUCAAUUGAUUCAAGGACAAGGACAAAUUAUUAAGGUUGCUGCACUUGCCCAUACUUGACGGAAUGUUACCAGAUAACUCAUUGCUAUGCAAGUAAAGCACUUCAAGCUUGGGAAGAUGUUGACACAUAUCAUUAGGCAAACUACCUAAUAGGCUAUUGUUGGAGAGAACAAUGGUCUUCAGAGAAGAAAUGUUGAAGAUCGAAUUUGGAAUCUGACCUGUAACGCCUUUAAUUGCUUGAAUAUUAAGCAAUUCCAAACCAUGAAGAUUACCGAUUUCCUCAGGAAUUUGACCUGCACACAUAGUCGAAAAAUCAAGGUGUCAAACUACCUAUUUUGUUAGCAUAAGUCAAAGAGGUUUUCUUUUCUGUUCUAUAGUAAUUUGGAGAUGUUAGAUUUUCAUAUAUUUCAGCAUAUGUUUUUCAUCAAAUGAAAUAAAAACUUUUUCCUUUUGUUAUCUAUUACAAAUCAAACUCUUUUAUAAAAAAAUACAUAAAAUUCAAGAAAUCAAAGGAAAUUGAUUACCUUCUAGAUUAUUAAAUCCCAAAUAUAAUUCUCUGAGUUGUGUCAGAUUUCCAAUACUUCUUGGAAUGAUCCCCGUCAAUUGAUUCAAGGACAAGGACAAAUUUUUAAGGUUGCUGCAUUUGCCCAUACUUGACGGAAUGUUACCAGAUAACUCAUUGCUAUGCAAGUAAAGCACUUCAAGCUUGGGAAGAUGUUGACACAUAUCAUUAGGCAAACUACCUGAUAGGCUAUUGCUGGAGAGAAUAAUAAUCUUUAGAGAAGAUAUGUUGAAGAUGGAAGAUGGAACCUGACCAGAUAAUUGAUUGAGUCCCAAGUUCAAAAUCUCUAGAUUAGAUAUGCUAACAAGUGUUUCAGGGAUUGUGCCUGUAAAGUAAUUAUUUUUCAUUUGUAGCCUUCGAACUCUCUGUAAGUUCCCAAGCCAUGAUGGAAUUUCCCCAUUCAGACGGUUGUAGCUUAAUUGAAGGAUCCUCAAACGAUGCAAUUGGCCCAAUUCUUUAGGGAGAUGGCCAUAGAAAUGGUUGCUACUCAAGUCGAGAGAGAGUAGAAAUGAAAGAUUUCCAAGGUGUGGAGGGAUAGUACCCCUAAGAUUCAUGCUUGUAAGAUUCAAAGCUAUAACUCUUUUAUGGAGGAUGCCACAAGAGACACCAAUCCAAUUGCAAACAGAGGUUGAGGCCGUCCAAUUGUCUGCCAAGACAAUUUGAGGACCGCCAAUACGAUCCUUAAACUCAAGAAGUGCAAACUGAUCGGAGUUGAGAUUCCUGACUGUCAUAGCCAUGCAAAGUACGAAACAUGGUAUGAAUAAAGCUAAGAGAAGAUGAAAGCAAGUUUUGUAGUUCAUGAUUGCAAGACAGAAUAAGGCAAGAAAAUAAAAAAAGUAGGAAAAGGGCAGUUGAGUUGAUAAAAUAGUUUGGAUGAUGAAGAAAAGCCCAGAGAGCAUGCUUUAAUAUGUUUCAACCCUCGCACACUUGAUAAACUUGAUAAAAAUAUUUUGAUCUAAUAAAUGUAAAAAAAAAUUAAACAAAAUAAGGUUGAAAUAAUCUAUUUGUCCUUAUAUUUUGAUAAAGGUUGAGAUUAGUCCUUAUACUUAAAAGGUUAAAAAUAAAGUUUUCUUGUUUUUAUUUAAAAAUCUUAGUCCUAUCGUUAAUUUUUUUUGGGCAAAAUUUGUCAACUGGACAUAUUAAUUUGGUUUCCCUUAUAUGUCGUUGUAUAUGACUAACACAAAAUAAGCAAGUUGACAAAUUAUGACAAAAAAAUAUCAAAGAUGAUAAUAAUUUGAUUAAAAUUUUUAAAUUGAAUUAAUAACCUUUAACAUAUAAGGAAUGGAUAUCAAAUAUUUAUAGGAAUAAAGGGACAAACAACAUAUUUUAACCACAAAAUAAUAUGAGUGAUUAGAAUGAAUCUAAAAGAGACUAACAACAUAUUGAUAACUUUGAAAUCUCCUACGAUCAUCCUUUUUCUACGUAGAAAAAGAAAAUUAAUUAGCAUCUAAAGUGUCAAUUAAUGAAACCUUCAAAAGAAAAUGUGAAAGUGAUUUACCAAACAAUAAUAUUCUAACUUAUAAUAUAUUUAAUUACAUUUAGUACUUUAUCAAUCAAAACUUAAUUAACAUCCAUCAAUACUUCAUACAUAAGUAAAUUUACCAUUUAACUCAGAUUUAACUUUGCAAGUAAACUUGAAAUUUUAUUUAAUUUUGUCACUAAAUUUAAUUUGCUCAAUAUAGAUUUUGGUGACUUAAAACAAAAUUAAUAAAAAAUUAUUCUUUCAGACAUCUUUUUAAUGUUUAAUAAUAAGUUAAUUUAUAAAAUAUACUUUCAUUGGACACAAGCCUCCAAGGCAGUGAACCACUAAUCAAAUUAAUUUGGAGAUAUCUUUUUUUUCCAAAUAAAAUGGAUAUCAAGAGAUACCAAAAAUUAUUUCACUAAGAAAUUUUAAUUCACUCGAAAAGUUAGUGUUUUAUUUCAAGGGGUCAUAAUUAUAAAUUUUGAACUUUUUGACAAUUGCGUAAAUAAUAAAUACCAAUUUUGAGUGCUGUAGGGCUAGGACAAUCUCCCUUACACAUAACCGACUCUUGAACCUACUCUUUUCUCUAGAAUUCAACUCAGACCUCAAAUUUAUCUUUUGAAAAGAAUUUUAAAAUCUUUGUAUAAAAGGUGUAAAAAUAUAUAUUUUAUUAAUUACUAUAUAUUCUUUUAUUUUCAGAAUAAUAAAUUGUUUAAAAUAUGCUACUAGUCCCUAUAAUUUAAAAGUUAAAAGUAAUUGGGAUCUUGAGUGCAUCAAAUUCCUCCUUUUAUUAUUAAAUGUUUUAUUUUAGUUACUCUAAUUAAAUAUAUCCAAAUUGUAAUAAACAUUUAUUAUAUAAAAAAUAUUUUAAAUUUAUUUCAAUUGCAAUUUAAUUUUAGUAGAAAUAUUUCAUUUAUAAAAUCAUAAAAUUUUAAAAUAUUAACUUUAUUAAAUAAAAAAUAAUUUUUUUUAAACAGUAAAUGUUGACUUUAUUAACACAAAUGGGUCUUUAGGGUUAAACUUCAGUAACUGACGAGCUCUUCCACAAACUGUGGAUGAUUUGGGGAUAAGAACUUCAAUAAUUCUAGAGUUAAAGUGUAAAUUUACUACUAUAUUAUAAGUAAAUAUUGAAAUUUAUCACUAAAUUUUAAUUGAUACUUGUCAUUACACUUUGAAAAUAUAAGUAAAUUUACCAUUUAACUCAUAUGUGAUUGAGCUUUGCAAAUAAACUUAAAAUUUUAUUUAAUUUUGUCACUAAAUUUGAUUUAUUUAAUUAAAUUUACAACUCAAUAUAGAUUUUGGUGACUUGAAUUAAAGUUAAAAAAAAAACUAUUCUUUCAAAUAACUUUUAAUGUUUACUAAUAAGUAGAUUUAUAAAAUAUACUUUCAUUGGACACAAGCAUCCAAGGCUGUGAACAAACCACUGGUCAAAUUAAUUUGGAGAUAUCCUUUUUGCGUUUUUCUUUUUUUUUAAAUAUUUUUAAUAUUUUUGUGGGUAUCAACAGACACCAAAAAUUAUUUCACUAAGGAAUUAAUUUGUAUUUUAUUUUAAGGGUUCACAAUUGAACAUUAGAUUUUUUAUUUUUAAAUUUUGAAUUUUUUGACAGUUGCGUAAUUAACAAGUACUAAUUUAGGGUGUUGUAGGGUUAUUACAACCUUCCCUACACGUAACAGACUCUUGAACCUACUUUUUUUUCUCUAGAACUCAACACAAACCUUAAAUUUAUCUUUUUAAAACAAUUUUAAAAUAUCUUUAUAAAAGGUUAUUUUUUUACCCAUCACACUUAACAAAAUUUUAAAAAUUAUUAAUUUCUUUUUGAAAUUUAAAGUGAUCUAAAAAUAUAUUUUUAAGUGCUUUAGACCCUGCGGUGCUGAUUUCUUUAUUGUAUUAAAUGCUUGCAAUCACUCCUGAUAUCUUAUACUUGAGUUGUAACAAAACCAAUUAUCAUGUUCCAUAAUGUUCUAUUGAUGCUGAAACUGAAGUUUUUGUUAUAUUAAUAGAGCUUGUCCUUCAACACGUAUAACGGGUGUUUGUUAUUUUUUUCUUCAAAUUGUAUGAUCUCAUUCAUUAAAUGAAUUAAUGAAUUUCCCUUUAAAAAAUAUAAUUUUAAAAAUUAAAUACUUUAUAAGAUAUUUAAAACUAUUUAAAAAUUGUAAGCGUUAAAACAAUCAACAAGAUAUAUUUUUCUUUAAAAAAUCAAUAAAAAUAUGUUUAAAAUUUUAUAUGAAAUUUACAAUUUUUUAACAAUAAUAUAUUUUAAAAUUAUUUACACCUUUUUUAUAUAUUUUUCCUAACAUAUAUUUUCAACACUAUCGUAAUCCUGUUUUGAUAACUCCCUUUCCAUACAUCCUUUUUCUACAUAGAAUUUCGAAAGAAAAUGUGAAUUAAUGCAGACGUGAGAAGACUUAGAGGUAAGUCACCCAAUGAAAGUGACCUACUUAUGGAAAAAUCAAACAAUAAUUUUGUAUCUUAUAAUAUAUUAAAUUACAUUUAUGAGGUUAUCAAUCAAAACUUAAUUAAAAUCCAUCAAUAAAGUUGUUGAUUGUAUAGCUAAGGCAGAUGGAGGCAUAAUUGAGCAGUUAGUUAUCUUGGAAAAUCCUCCGCAUUAUGUGAGAUGUUGGCUUGAAGAAAAUAUUAGACAGUCGUUGGUCACUGAUGAUAAUUUUUAUUUGGAUUGAAGCUGGCUUAAUUUUCUAAGUUUAUGUUCAACUAGAAAAAAAAUGUCUAAAUUGUAAUUGAAUUAACAUUUAGUGUAUAAAAAAUAUCUUAAAUUUUUUUUUUCAAUUGCAAUUCAAUUCCACAAAUACCGACGAUGAACCCUAAAACGGACAUGAAAAUUACAAAAAGAAAAAAAGCACAUCUAUUAUCAAACCAGCAAUACAUGCCUAAACUAAUAGAGAUGAACCCUAUGAUAGAUUGUGACCCCCCAAAGUCGACCGGGAUAGACCAGCCUGAAUUCAAAGCAUUACAUUAGCCACCUAAAUGACUCUCCAGCUAACGACCACCCAAGGCACACCCCAACCUUAUAACACCUCAAUUUUAUCUAAUUAUUAGUUAUUUAUUAAUGCCAAAGUAAAUUAUGAGCCAAUUUUAAACUUUUCCUAAGUAAUUUAAUCUAUGGGCAUUUACGUUAUUUUACCACCUAUGGUAAAACUAACUUGAUUUUAGAUCUAAGUGUUUACUCACCUUCUUUUAGUCAAAUUAUGCAAGUCUAAAAUUUCCAGGUGAAUUUGAGUUUGUUUACUAUGUCUAAUUCAAGUUUUAUUAUUUAGGAUUAAAUUGUAACUUAAACAAAUUCGAAUACCAAUUUAAAGAGGCAAAAAUUCAAAACCCAAAACAGACACAAGCAUGUGCGUAAAUGACACGGGCGUGUGAAAACUGGAACUAUCACAUACGGACGUGUGGGAUUGAAAAAUAUAAAAUAAAUUAAUCCACUCAAUUUUCCAAUAGCCAUGCUAUACUACCAAACCAAAAAAUGCUUGAAGCUUUGAAUAGGGGUGAAUCUAAAAAAAAAAUUAGAAGAAUUAGAAUUAAAUUAUAAUCUAAAAAAAAUUAGAAGAAUUAGAAUUAAAUUAUAAAACUUUGAGAAGUUAAAAUAUAAUUUUAUCAUGUAUUAAUUUAUUAUUUUUAAAAUGGUCUUAAUUGAAUUUUUUUUUCCAUUUUUGUUGGGCCAAUACCCCUGCUUGCCUCUUUGAAUUUGCUCCAACCCUAAACCCAAUAAUCAAUUUGGAUUAACAACAAUAUAUAGGUUAGUAUUUGUGGGAGUUUGACAAUAAAAUUUUUUUUAAAAGGUUUAAAUUAUAAAUUUUUGAAAGAUUAAAAUAAAUUUGUAUUUUUUAUUAACAAAAUAUAAAAGAAAAAAACAUGUUUAGACAAGCCAAGAGACCUUUGGGAUCAUACGGGUGAUUUUGAUGAUGUUAAUAGUUAUUUUGGUGGAGAGGCUGAGAAAGAAACAAAUGAUUCAUUAUAUAUAAUAUAAUUAUGAAAUUCAAGCCAUAUAUUGUAUGUUUCAUACAUAAAAAAAAUUGGAGCAAUUUAAUCCCUAUCAAUUUUGAAAGUGAGCAACUAAGAACAAUGAAUUAUGGUGUUUCCUUCUUAAUUUCACAAUUGCGCAAAUUAGUCCCUCUCAAAAAAAAUUGGAGCAAUUUAAUCCCUAUCGAUUUUGAAAGUGAGCAACUAAGAACAAUUAAUUAUGGUGUUAAAUUCUUCCAUCAAUUGUACAUAAUUUUGAUUGGUAUAGUAAUAAAUUUAGCCUUCAAUGUUUAAAUAUUUUGUCAUUUUGGCCUUAAUUUUUUUUUAAAAAAAAUUCAAGCAUUUCAACCUCAACAUUUAGAUAUUUACACAAACGUUGCGGGAAAUUUUUGUUAAAUUUAGACCAAAUUGCAAGUAUAAAUUUUGAAGGCUAAAUUUAUUAUUAUACCAACCAAAAUCAUGUACAUUUUAUGGAAAAUUAACAUCCUGAUUAAUUAUUCUUAGUUACUCACUUUCAAAAUUAAUAGGGACUAAAUUGCUCUGAUUUUUUAAGGGUGACCAAUUUCCUCAAUUUGGAAAUUGAGAGAGACUAUUCAGAUAUUUUACAUAUUUUUUUAUAAAUAUAUUUUUUUAAUAUAAAAUAUAUUUGUUCACACAUAUUGUGAGUAUGAUAAAAUAUUUUUAUUAUUGAUUGAGUUGGUGUCAAAAAUUAACUCGACACCAACUCAAGAUUAAUAAUAACAAUAUGAUAAAUAAUUUAUUUAUUUAAUAUUCUUAAUUUAACAUAUUGAUGUAAAUUUUAAGACAUGCAUGUCUUGUAGAAUUGAGAUUAUACUAUUUGAGUAUUGAGUCAGUUUUCCACAAUGGUGGGUCUCGAGCAACAGCACAAUUUCAACAUUUCUUCAUCUCGCUUAAUCCAAAUGCAUUUAGGAUUUUUUUUUUAUAUCAUUGUUUCAAAAACGAUAAAAAAAAACGUGGACAUUGAAUUUUCUGUUUCACAUUCAAUUUUUGGAGAAGUAGAAUUUUCUAACUUAUUUUCCAUCAACUUCACUUCAAUUUUCAAUCACAAUCUAUUGUAUUCAAGAGUACCACAUCUUUUUGGAUGAAACAAACCUCUCAAUCUUAAGAUAAACGGAAUCUAUUGCAUUCAAGAGCACCACAUCUUUUUGGAUGAAACAAAGCACUCAAUAUUAAGAUAAACGGGUCUUUAGGGUUAUUAACUGAGGGCAUUUUCCACAAAUGGCAUCGUUAUUUGAAGGUGAUUCGGGGAUAAUAACAUCAACAUUUCUGUAUCACAUUUAAUUCAAUUCCACAUUUAACUUUUAAUUUUUGGAGAGAUGAUUGGGCUACAACAAUGGUUUGAAGUGAAGAUAUUUCAAAAGAAGGCAAAUAUAUCAAUUUUUUUAAGGGGUCUUUGGAGUUAUAUGUGACUUUAGCAUUAUUGACCGAUUUUUUUAUGGUUAAUCUUUUAUAAUAAGGUAAAUAUAUCAAUUUUAAUAACAUCGGCAUGUUUUUUAGUAGGGUCGAGCAAAACCCAAUUAAAACCUUUCAUCACUGCAAAAAUGAAAAUAAUAGAAAUGAAAGACUAGCCAUUGUAUGAGAUUUAUAAUUGUAACUGUCAACGAAAUUGGGAGAAAUUUUUAAAUUUUAUGAAAUUUUAAAAUUUAACUGUCAAUAAUAGAAAAUUGCCUGAGUAACUUGAGAUAAGAGGUUGAACAUUUCUGGAUCACAUUACAUUUAAGAUGGGUCUUUAAGGUUAUACUUUAGUUAUUGAGAACAUUUUCCACAAGUUACCGUCGUUAUUUGUGGGGUAAGUGGUUGAACACUUCUGGAACACAUUGCAUUUAGGACGGGUAUCAUUCAUAGACUGACUUUUCUAUAAUUAGUCCUUGCUUUACUUUAGGUGGAUUCUUCCAACUAGUCCAAGAAUUAUUGUACAGUUACAAUUAAUCUUUUUAAAUGAGACAAACAUUUCAAAUUUGUCGUUACUAUUUGUGAGUGAUUUGGGGGUAAGAAGUUUAACACUUCUGGAUGUCUUAUAGAAUUGUGAUUAUACUUUUUGAGUAUUGACUCAGUUUUCCACAAUUGUGGGUCUCUAUUUGAGCAAAACAAUUUCAACAUUUCUUCAUCUCGUUUAAUCCAAAUGCAUUUAUGCAUUUCUUAUAUCAUUGAAUUUGCUGUUUCCCAUUCAAAUUUUGGACAAGUAGAAUUUUCUAACCUAUUUUCCAUCAAGAAUUUUCUAACCUAUUUUCCAUCAACUUCACUUGAAUUUUCAAUCACAAUCAAUUGCAUUCAAGAGCACCACAUCUUUUUCGAUGAAACAAAACUUUCAAUUUUAAGAUAAACGGGUCUUUAGGGUUAUUAUUCAUUUAUUGAGGGCCUUUUCAACAAUUGCCAUCAUUAUUUGUUGGUGAUUUGGGGAUAAUAACUUGAACAUUUCUGGAUCACAUUGAAUUCAAUAUUCUUAUACAAUAGUAUUUUAUAUAUAUACGUACAUAAUUUAUAUUAAACUAUUUUUAUUUUAUAUAUUAUUGAUUUCGUAUUAUUAUAACUAUUGACCUUAUGUUUAUAUGUUUUUUUAAAACCUAUUUUUUACAUAUACAAUUUACUUCUUUUAAAAAAACCCUACUUCAUAUACUUGGUUUAUUUCAAAUUUCUACAUAUAUUAUUAUGCAUAUAUAUAUAUAUUAUCAUUUGUAUUGUUAUUAAGCUUUUCAUUUCAUAUAUAUUAAUUAUUUAGGUUAAUACAUACAUUAUUUUGUACAUUACCUAUUUUGAUUUUAUUCUUAUGCAAAAUUUACUUUAAAAUUUGUUUACAUAUUAUUGUUUCACAUAGUAUUUAUUUUUAACUCUAUUUUUGGUCUAUUUCGAAUUUUCAUGUACAUUAUUUAUUUUUAUACUUUUUGGAUUUACAAUUUCCUUUCUUUCAUGCCAUUUUUUAAUUAUUUCAAAACUUAUACAUUGGAUUUGCAUUUGUGUUAAUUUGUUUGCUUUUUAGGUUUUACUAGCUUUUAAAUAUGGAUGUUAGUAGUUGCAUAAUGUGUAAUAUAAGAUUGUUGCCCUUAUGUAUGUUGUAUUGUUUAUUUGUAUUUUAUUGAUCCUUUGUUGCUCAUUAGCUUACAUUUAGCUUACAAAUUGUAAGUGUAACUUUUGAGGGCUAAAUUUAUUAUUAUACCAACCAAAAUCAUGUACAUUUUAUGAAAAAUUAACAUCUUGAUUAAUUAUUCUUAGUUGCUCACUUUCAAAAUUUCUCUGAUUUUUUUUGGGUGACCAAUUUCCUGAAAUUGGAAAGUGAGAGAGACUAUUGAGAUCUUUUACGUAUAUUUUUUUAUAAAUAUAUUUUUUAAAUAUAAAACAUAUUUGUUCACACACAUCAUGAGUGUCGAAACCAUUUUUUUAAUAAAUGGGGGUCGACUUUUAUUUUGAAAAUGAAAAUAAACAAAUGGGACUCGCCACUGAUCUUUUGUUUAGUGUGAUCAGAUCACCUUGAAAGCGAUUUUGGUCUACGAAAUUUGAGAAAACAGGUUGGGGAGUCGAUUACGCACGAGGAAGGGUUAGCACCCUCGUAACACCCAAAAUUGGUACCUAAUUGAUUAAUUAAUGUCUUAAUGUCGAAAUUUUAAAAAAAAAAUUUAAAAUACAAUCCUUCUAUUCAAAUGAACACUUGUAUGAAUCAGAUUGCGUACUAAGACCCUCUUGUUUUGGAGAAAUAGAAUGCCACACACAGUGAGUUAGGAUAUGACAUUUUCACAUCUUCCAAAAAUGAGCUGGCCUUUUGAUUUUUUUUUUUAAAAAAAAAACUCUUGCAGUGAAGUUUAAAAAAAGGAUACUCUAUUGUUUUGGUUAGAUGAAAAUAAAUGAAUAAAUGAAUAGCAUACAAGAAAGGAAAUUUAAAAUUAUCAAUACAUAAACAAUAAAUUAUAUGCAUUAACUUUUAAAAUAAACAAUAUAUAUACGAGUUUGAAAUAGAUCAAAAAUGAAGAUAAAAAAUAGAUACUAUAUGAAAUGAUAAUAUCAAAAUGAAUUUUAAAGUAAAUAUUGAAUAAAAAAAAUCAAAAUAUGUAAUAUACAAAAUAAUAUAUAUUAAUCUAAAUAAAUAAUAAAUAUGGAAUGAAAAAUUCGAAAUAGAUAAUACUAUAUAUAUAUAUAUAUAAAUAUAUGUGAAAAGUCGAAAUAGGUAGAAUAUAAUAAAAUAGGUUUUUUAAAGAAAUAAAUUAUAUAUAUAUGGAAAUAGGUAACAAAGAUAUAUAUAACAGCAUGAAAUCAAUAAUAUAUUAUAUAUGCAUAUAUGUAUAAUAAAAAUAGUUUAAUAACACUUGUAUAUAUAUGUAUAAAAUAGUAAUAUGAAAGAGCAUUAUCGUAUAAAUCUUUAAAACAAAGAAGUAUAUAUAAGUGCAUUUUAAAAAUGUAUUUAAAAUAAAACCAUUAAAAACGUAUAAAUUAUAUUGAAAUUGCAUAAAAAGUAUAUAAAAUAAUAGAUGGAAAUUAAAAUAAUAAUAUAUGAUAAAUUUUAAAAAAAAAGUAAUUAUACAUGAAAAACUUAGAAUAAUAAUACAUAAAAAACUUAAAAUAAUAAUACAUGAUGAAUUUAAAUAACAAAUACAUGAUAAAUUUAAAUAAUGUUAAUGAUAAAUUUAAAAUAAUAAUAUAUUACAAAUUGAAAUAAUAUUGAUGAUAAAUUUAAAAAUAAUGUUAAGCUUAAACAUAAAAAUAAUAUUAGAUUUAAAAUUAAAUAUAUAUUUUUUUAAAAAUAACAGGAUAAUAAAUAUUUAAAAAAAUUGAACACGUUAAAUUAAACAAAUACGGGUUAAAUUGUAUUUAAUACAAAAUUAAAAGAAAAAAUGAAAAUAAAAUAAAAUAGAGGGCCAAAAUGCAGCACACGAAUAACAUGGGGGACUAAAUGGGGAAUAUUCCCUGCCCACCAAAACGCUGUGUUGCAAUAUGGAUCAAAAUGAACAGUAUUCAAAUUAAACGAGGUAAAUUUAAAAAUAAAAAAUGAAAUUAAAAUAGUGAAAGAAAAUAAAAGGGUCAAUGGUGCAAAUAUCCCCUUUUAGACCCAAAACACGUGGAUCUGACCUUGCUCGAGUCGGGUCAUUAGAUCUCUUAAACCUAAACCAUUGAAGCAAGGCCCAAACGGUACCAUUUCAUGGUCUUCUUAAAACAAAAACCUAAACCACUAUUUGGUUGUUCUUAAAUCAGAUUAGCCAAAACCCUAGCCGCUCGAAUGCUUUGCCGAUAUUCAACCUUACAGUCCUCGCUUGAGCUCCGAUUACGACAAAGUGAAUGGGGAUACAAUGGCGCUAUCUUAUAGGUAAAUCCCUCUCCUCUCAUUCAUUUCUCUUUCACAAACAAGUAUAACAAACAAAGAUUGAGGAAACAGAAAAGAAAAAAGAAAUCUAAAGAUAAAGAAAUGGGAUUUUUUUUCAUAACGGCUAAAUCAUUCAACUCAUAGUUUUUGUUAAAUGAAGAGGUCAAUUGAUUUUUUUGGAAUCAUUGAGUACUCAAUUGGUGCACUUUUUUCAUAAAGGCUAAAUUAAUUUUUUAAUUUGUUACUGUUGAGGGCUAUAGCAAUAAAAAAAAUUGAGGUAAAAUGGAAAAAAUGUUAGAGCUAAAUUUAUCACUAUGCCUAAAACCAAAAUUUUUUGAAAAUAAAAAAAAAUGGAAAAUCACAAAUUUUGUCACUUAUGUUAGCUUAAAAUUAUAGUUUUGGUCACCAAUCUUUUGAAGUAAAUAUCUGGUCAACAAUAUUAUCCAUUUGUUACUUUGUAAUAACUCACCUUAAAGUUAUAUCCCUGCGCAAGAAAGGAUUAAAUGACAAACUUGUAUCUUUUUUUAUUCAUCCAAUGUCAUUUCAACAUUUUCAUUUAAAAAAAUUGACAUAUCAUUUUGAAUUCCAUCUUUUUCAUGAUGAAACUAUUGAAAUGAUGUUAAAUUACUGGAAAGAGAUACAAGUUUAAUCUUAUCUAUCUAAGAAAGCUGAUGUAACACAUUAAUGACAUCAUUCCAAACAAAGUUUUAGGUCCAAUUGUUCAUCUAGCCCUUGUAAUUGUUUUUAGGUGAAUUUCAUUAUUAAUCUUUUAUUUUCUUUGGCUUAAAUACACAUUUACCCUUAAUUUUAUCACAUUCUCCUUCACUGGUAUUUAUGGUUUAGAAAAUUUUACAAAUAUAUUAUUUUUUAAGAAAUUAUAAGAAGAUUACAAAAAUUCCAAAAUAAUAUAAAAAAGCUAAGGAAAACCUAGAAAUUCAAAAAAAAAAUCAUGUUUUUACAAAUUGGGAAAUACCUAAAUUUGUUUUCAUCAAUUAAGAAAUUAAAAAAAUUGUUGAGAAAUAUCUUUUUAGAAAUAUCAUAAUUGCAUUUAAGACCUCAUGAUUAUCUUUUAUAAUUUCAAGGUUAUCAACUAUUUUGAAAACAAAGACAAAAACAAAAACAAAAACGUCGACAUAUCACUUUAGCAUUGACUUACUUUUCUACAGUUAGUCUUCUCCAACAAGAUAAAUAUUUCAAUUUUAACAACAUUGACAGGUCUUUGGGGUAGGGUCGAGCAAAAGUCAAUAGAAACAGAUGAUAUAAGUUUAAAUCGGCCCGGUCAAGCCGAUGUCCUGGUAAAAUCAAUUUUAAAAUUAAUUAUAAUAGUUUAAGCGAAUUGAUUAUUAAGUAAUGAAAUACUUAAUUCAAACAAUUGAUGUAAUCAAAUUAUAAUAAAUAUAUAUUUACUUUUAUGGGAUCCUUCAUCUCCUUUUUAGAGUUUGUGGCAAUAUUUAUUUUAAGCUUCAAAUUUAUAUUUUUUAUUUAUGAGUACAAUGUGUUUUACAAUUACAUCUACAGUGUAUAUUUUUUAUUUUAAAACAUAUAUUAUAAUAUAUGAAAAACAUAUAUGUCGAAACCAUUUUUAAUAAUUUUGAAAAACGGGGAUCGACUUCGAAAAUAAAAUGGGAGUCACCAUCGAUCUUUUAUUGAGAUAUGAUCGGUUCACCAUUAGACGUAAUUUUGGUCUGCAAAUUUUGAGAAAACAAGUUCAGGAAUCUGUUAAGCACGAGGAAGGGUUAGCACCCUCGUAACGCCCAAAAUUGGUACCAAAUUGAUUGUUUAAUGUCUUAAGGUCGAAAUUUUGAAAAGAUUUUAAAAUACGAUCCUUUGAAGUUUAAAUUUGAAUAAACCAAAUUGAAUAAUAAGACACACUCAUUUCGAAUAAAUAAAUUGUCACACUCAGUGAGUUAGGAUGCAACAAUUCAAUCAUCAAAAUUAAGUAUGUCUUUUUUAAUUUUAAAAUUUUAAAAUUCAUGCAUUUUGAGAAUGUUGUUCGGUUAUUUAAGUCAAACGAGAAAUCAGAAUUCAGUAAGUUAGGUUUCGAUUUCUUGAAGUUCUUAAACAUCAAAUAUUGUCUUUAUUUUAAAAUCAGGAUAUCAGAAUGUCACAUCCGGUAAGUUAGGAUCCGACAUUUUGAAAUCCUAAAUGCUUAGUUUUAAAAUGGUAUGGUUUUAAUAAAAUAAGCAUAUAGCUAUUUAAAUUCAUCGAGAAAAAUUGGAACCCAAUAAGUUAGGGCACAAUUCUCUCGAAAAUUAUAAAUGCUAGACCUUUUUUAAUAUGAAAUAGAAUAAAAAAUUUAAAAGAAGUAUGAAAUGUAAAAGAUGAUUGAUAAUUCAAACUUAAACUAAGAAGUAGCAAAUAAGUGAUAAAUAAAUACAAAUAAGGAAUAGCAAUAAUAGUUUUAAUAAUAUUAUAUUAACGCUAACAUUGACAAUCAAACAUCAAAUUCUAAAGUAUAUCCAAGAUGAUAAAAGGGGAAUUUCACCUCACGAAACUUAUGCACACAAGUUCUAAAAGAUUUAUUCACAAAAUCAAAAUAGAUUCGAAAUAAAAUAAUAAUAACAUUGUAUAAUAGCAUUUCGAAAUGAGCUUGAAACAAAUAAAAUAUAUUUAUUAAUCCACCUUAAAUAAUACACAUAAAAUAACUAUGAAAGGGUCUCAAUGCAUGUAUGAUUUAAAAGAAAUAAGUAAUUACCCAAAUAGGUUUUCAAAGAAAUAAAUUAUAUAAAUGAAAUCGACUUAAAAUUCAUAUAUGCAUAUAAAAAUACUUUGAAAAUUUAUAAUCAUGAUGAUAUUAAACAUCAAAACAAUAAUAUAUAUAUUUUUUGAAAUAAUUUAAUAUCACAUAUAGUAGCAUUUAAAAACAUUAUAUUAAAAGAAAAUUAAGUUAUAACACAAAAUGAAUUACUAAAAUAUGUUCAAAGUAUGUCAAAUUGCUAUAAAACAUUUUUACAUAUAUAGAUGAUGAAACAUAUAAUGAUAUAGAGUUUUAAAAUAAAAAGGAUAAAUUUUAAAAAAAUGUUAAUAAACUCAAAACAUGUUAAUAAUAAUUUUAAAUAACAAUAUGUUGUACCUUAAAAUUAUAAUAAAAAUGUUUGAAAACAGUGUUAAUCCUAAUAUUUAAAACUUAUUAAAAAUAAACAUAUUAAAAAUACUAAGCUAACUUUACAUUAUGUUAUAUAUAUAAAAAAAAACUAAAUUUGAAUGAAAUUUGUAGAAGCCCAAAUUUGCCGGGCCCAUACCAACAAAAUAACCCAAACAAUAAACCCGAAGCCCAACUACCCCAGCCCAUUAACCUAAGCUCAGCAUUCAGAAACCCUAAUCCCACUAACCCUAGCCACCUACCCCCACUUGCCCACUUGCCCACUUGCGCCGAACACCACCAUGCCACUAUCGGCCAUGGCCACCUGCAAGAAGCCAAGUAGAAAUAAACAAAUAGAAAAUAAACAUUUGUAAUUGGUUAUAAAAACCGAAAAUCUCACCAUUGAUAAAGGGGAUUUUUUAUUUUUUGCUAUGAAAACAAAAGAUUUUCUUUCAAUAUUAACAGAUUCAAUACAAGAACCAUUCGAAAAUAUAUAUACUAUCAGGGGCUCUAACACCAAAUCGGAGAAUCAAAUCUAAAACCUAAGGUGAACCUAAGGUGACUCUUUCUUUUUUUUUUCUUUACUGUUUUGAGUUUAUUUUCUACAUAAAAAUACUAAAAAAUAUUAAAACAUAAAAAUAUAUGCAUUAUUAAGCAAAAAAAAAAAGAAAAAAAGAAAAAAAAUAUUUUUUUUACCUUUUCCGGCCACCGCCGGCGAGCCUCCGGUGGCCGUCCGGUGACCGGCCCCCUGGCCGGAUUCCCCUUUCCCCCUCCCUUCUCUCUCCCUUCUCUCUUCCCUCUCUCUCUUCUUUUUUUUCUUUCCCUCUCCCCAAAGGAUUUUUUUGGCUAUUUUAGGCCUUUAUAUAGCCCUCCAAAACGAUGUCGUUUUGGGGGCUACACUUAAGCCUCAAAACGACGUCGUUUUGACCAUUGCCCGACCCAUCCGACCCGACCCGCUAGAGGAUCCGCGUGUUUUCGUUUGAAUGGGAUAUUUAUGCGCGCAGUCCUUCCGCUUUUUCAAGGUUUUGCAGUUAAGUCAUUUUUCUUGUUUCCAAUUUGGCCCCAUAAUUUCUCGCGCUUUUCGAUUUAGUCCCCGCUAAUGUGCUGUGUUUUAAUGGAAUGGAAUAAUUGUUGUUUCGGUCCUCCUAUGUUUUGUGCGCGCUCAAAUAAGCCCAUUUCUCUUUAUUUCCUUUCACAUUUGCCCCACAACUUUGUUUUUAAUUCAAUUUUAGUCCUUUUUCGUUUAUUUUUAUAUCUUUAUUAAAUAUCAUUGUUAUUUUAUAUUAUUAGUAUUAUUAGUAUUACUAUUAUUAUUAUUAUGUAUUAGUAUAUAUUUUUAUUAUGUACGCGUAUACAUGUAUAUAUAUUUUCAUAUUUAAUAUUUUUAUUUCAUUUUUUUCUAAUAUUUUAUUAUAAUUUAUAUAUAUAUACAUAUACAUAUUCUUUAUUUAUUUUAAGUAUAUAUUUUUUAUAUUUCAUAUUUUCUACAGGCAUAUAUAUACUUAUAUAUUUACAUAUUUUAAUUCAUAUACUUAUAAAUGUAUGUACAUACUUACGUUAUUUUAUUUUUAUAAUAUACAUAUUUAUAUUUUUUUGUCUUUAUGUAAUAUAUAUACAUACAUGCGCAUGUUAUUUAUAUAUAUGUAAUUAUGUUUUCAUAUUUUAUAAUUCUUGUACAUACAUAUAUAUAUAUAUAUGUAUAGACAUACAUAUUUUCAUUAUAUAUAUAUACCUACAUAGUUUUUUUUUUGUAUUUUAAAUCUUUUAAAAUUCAUACAUGCAUUUUUAAAACUUUUAUAAUUUUAUUCAUUUCUUUAUUAUUAUUAUUGUUUUACUUUAUGUUUAUCUAUUUAUUUAUGUGUCCAUUAUUAUUUUUUUUAAAAAAUGUUUUAGUUUUUUUUAUUUUGUUUAUUUACUUGUUAUUGUAUAUAAUUGAUUUUUUAUAUAUUUAUUUUUGUUAUCUUCGCUCGUAUUAUUUUUACUCGCAUUAUCGUAAUUGUUAUUCCGUCACAUCAAUUUUUACCCAAAUUCGUAAAAAAGGGAAAAUUUUGGAAAUAAAGGCAAUACUCGAUACUUGGGAUCUUCGAGAGAAUUGGGCCCUAACGUGCUGGGUUCUAAUUUUCUGUUGAAUCUAAAUGCUCGAGAAUGCUCUUUAAUAUAAAACAUAAAUAAAAACUCAUUAUCGGGAUUUCAAUAUGUUGUGUCCUAACGCAUUGGAUAUGACACGUGGUUUUCUCGAUAUGAGGAUUUUUUUUUUCGAAAGUAAAGACAAUAUUCCGUAUUUAGAAAAUUCGAGAAAAUCAUGCCCUAACUUACUGAGCUUCGAUUUUUCUCGUUGAUUCUAAGUAAUCGGAUAUCCUUUUAAAAUUAAAAUAAAUGAGGUUUAAAUAAAAAAAUGAAAGGCAAGUUUACUCUCGAAAAUACGAGGUGUCGUGUCCUAACUUACUGGAUGUAACAUCUUGUUACUUCGAGAUAAAGAGGCAUUUUCCAUUUUGAUUUAUUCGAGUAUUUUUAAAAUAACACGAUAUAAGGAGGGAUCAUAUUUUUAAGAUUCUUUUCGAGUUUUUAAUUUUCGACACUAAGACACUAAUUAAUCAACUAGGUACCAAUUUUGGGUGUAUCGAGGGUGCUAAUCCUUCCUCGUGCAUAACCGACUCCCGAACUCAUUUUUCUGAAUUUCGUAGACCAAAAUCGUUGUUUUAAUAAAAUUAAAUCAUUUAUUAAAAACAACCACUUUUUGAGGUGACCCGAUCACACCUCAUCAAAAAAGGAUUGGUGGCGACUCCCAAUUUCGUUUCAUUUUCAAAAUCCAAGUCGACCCCGUUUUCAUCCAAAAAAUGGUGUCAACAGCUUGGCGACUCCACUGGGGACAAUAAGAGAGUCAAGCCACGUGUUGAUUAUUUCUUGUCUUUCUGUUGAAAGUGGAAAAUUCGAUUUAAAUUUACGAUCCUCUCAUUACAUCUCUUUUGUUUUGAGUUAUAUUUUUAUUGUGUUCUGUAUUUUAUUUUAUACCUCUGCACAUUGCAUUGCAUGACCGCUGGUCAUACCCUUUUUAAGUGGGAGUGAGAAGCUACGCCUUCGUGAGGUUUUCACCUCCGCAUGGGAUAGUGAAUCGCUUUCGGGAUAUAUCCGUACCUAUGUCUUCGUGAGAUUUUCAUCUCCGCAUGGCCAUAGGGAAAUGUAUCCCCCUGAAUCGAACUCGGUCCAUAUGAGCCUAUAAUGGGUGAGGAUCGAGGAAUCUGCUGGUUCAGGUACCCUUACUUUAGAACCAAACCUCAUGUAGUGAACCUUAGGAGCCCACCCUAGGUAGAACCACCUCCAAACCCCUAGUGGUCACCCGAAUUGCUUUAUUUGUUAUUUAUUCUGCACUAACGUGUUUUGUUUUUUUUUUGUUUAUAAUUGCAUUGUAUUACAUCAUCCUAGGAAGGAGGUGUUGAUUUAUAUUUGAUUGCUAAAUAGAACAGUUUGUCAUAAGAAAACAAAUUUUUUGAUAAAGUGGAUUAUAACACGGUUGUCUAAAUAUGGUCCAAGUGAAUACAUGAAAGAAGGCUGAUAGUCCGUGAAGAAAUACAAGACUUUGCUUCAUUGCCUGAAGACAGAAACUAACAAAGAUUAUUCGAGAGCUGUCAUGUCUUGACUUUCUUAAAGGAGCUGAAAAGUAUCAUAGAAAUAAGUGAGCAACGAGUCGCUGCCUGGAUCCAGCAAAAAAGCAGUUAAUAUAGACAUCUCUUGGAGAAUUCGUCAGACUCGACCAUAAGAUCCAGAUAUGAAGAGGAAGAAAGGUGUCUUCACUUGGAAUAUGAGAGAAAGACCGUGUAUGUAGUCCGUUUUAUGUAAAGGAAUUUGUUUUCUAGAAAAGUUGUUCCAAUGAAAUUAAAUUUAGAAUCAAUGUCUUCCUUUCUUUUUGCAUUCAUGCAUUUGCAUUACAUUACAUCAAAGAAAAGAAUGUGUUGAUUCGAAAUUCGAUUCCUAAAUAGAAUAGUUUGUCAUAAGGAAACGAAUUUCUUGAUAAAGUGGAUUAUAGUGCGGUCACCUGAAUAUAGUCUGAGUAAACACGAUGAGAGAAAGCUGGUAGUUCACGGAGGAAUACAUGAUGUAAUUUCUAGAGAUUCAAGCCAACGAAGGCAUGACGAGAGAAAGCCGGAAGUCCACGAAGGAAUACAUGACUUGAUUUAAUUGCCAACGAAGAUUAUCCAAGAGCCGGCACUUUUUGAUGAAUAUCAUGGAGAUAAGCGAGCAAGAGAUCGAGGCUCAGGUUAAGCAGUAAGGAGCUAGCAAAGGCAUCUUUUGGAGAAUUUACAGGGUUUAACCAUGAAGAAAAUAUCAGCGUUUACUUGGACUAUGAAGGGCAAUACCACAUAUGUAAACUAUUUUCAUGUAAAAAAAUUUGUCUUCUAGAAAAAUUAUUCUAAUAGAAUUAAAUUUAGAAUCAACGCAUUCUUUUUCUUUGCAUUCUUUUCAUGCAUUGCAUCACAUCAUAUGCAUUAAUGACCAUUUAAAAAGAACUUAAUCGAAUAAAAUCAUUUCAGUUAACCUGGAAAACCAACAAAGUUACGGCACCCGAGCUAAGGCAAAAGUUAUGGACCAAAGGUUGGAGAAGCUAGAGCGACUUCAAAAAGAAAUGCAAGACCAGUUGCAGGCGCAAAUGAAAGAGCAAAUGGAAAAGAUUCAGCGUGACAUGGUGCAAAAGAUGGAGGAGUCCCAAAAUGAUCUGGUGGCUAAGAUGACGCAAUUAUUGAAGGGAGUAGAUAAGGGUAAAGGUCCUGUGAUUGUUAGUGAAGAAGAAAACAAUGGUGAACCACUUUAUCCUCCAGGUUUCACGCCUCCGCAUGAGCAAGUACAGACUGAGCUGCAUCUGCGGAGACCCUCUGUGUCGGUUAGGCCCCAGCAGUUCCAAGGCGAUGCUUCAAUCCCAAUGAAUUUUCAACCCGGAGCGGGCUUUAAUCCCAGUGAUAGCCCGAAUAAUAUUGUUGUCCCAGAUCUUGAUGAGAUGGUUGAAAAGGACAAGGCGAAGGAGGAAUUUCCAAAACAAUUUGAGGAGAAAUGGAAAUGGAUAGAAGAAAAGUUUAGGGCAAUAGAAAGCAUCGAAAGCUACGGAAUAGAUGCAAAGGAUCUGAGCUUGGUUCCGGACUUGGUGCUCCCUUACAAAUUUAAGAUGCCGAAAUUCGAGAAAUACAACGGGACUAGUUGCCCAGGAUCCCAUAUUACUAUGUUUUGUAGAAGAAUGACGGGGCAUAUUAAUAAUGAUCAAUUAUUAAUACAUUGCUUUCAGGAAAGUCUUACGGGAGCGGCGUCAAAGUGGUACAAUCAGCUGAGCCGAGCUAAAAUUGCUACUUGGAGGGAUUUAGCACAGGCUUUCCUGAGACAAUACAAUCAUGUCUCAGAAAUAAUGCCUGACAGGAUAACUCUGCAAAAUUUAGAGAAGAAAUCAAACGAAAGCUUCAGACAAUAUGCGCAGAGGUGGCGAGAGGUGGCAGUUCAGGUGCAACCACCGCUUUUGGAAAAAGAGAUGACAACGCUUUUUAUUAAUACUUUGAAAGCCCCGUUCAUCACUCACAUGUUGGGAAGCGCUUCAAAAAAUUUCUCGGAUAUAAUCAUGAAUGGUGAAAUGAUUGAGCAUGCCAUUAAAAGUGGAAAAAUAGAUGGAGGAGAAAAUAAUAGGAGGGCACCCCUGAAGAAAAGAGAAAAUGAAGUGAAUAAUGUGAAUGCUUAUGGUAGGUCAAUUACCGUGAAUCAACCAAAGAAAGUGGUUGCUAAUCAACAGGGAUCAUCAAGACAAGAGUCGGGAGCUAGGCAAACUACUGAAAAGCCCUAAUUCACGCCAAUCCCGAUGUCAUACAAGGAGUUGUAUCAGACUUUAUUCGAUGCACAUGUUGUUGCUCCUCGUUACUUGAGUCCUCUACAACCCCCGUAUCCAAAAUGGUAUGAUAUGAACGCGCAAUGUGAUUAUCAUGCGGGAAUUUCUGGGCACUCGAUAGAAAAUUGUACUGCCUUCAAGAAGGUAGUAGAAGGACUUAUCAAUUUAGGUGUCGUCAAACUUGACGACUCACCUAACGCAAAGAAUCCGUUACCUAAUCACGCAGAUAAAGGGGUGAAUAUGGUUAGCGAAGAUACGGGAGAAGAAGCCAAGACUGACAUUGCUGAAGUAAAAACUCCAUUGAAACGGGUCUGGAAAGAAAUGGCGAAAAGAGGUUUGGUUAUUUCAGAUUCUGAGGAAGGGCAUGAGAUGGGAAAUUAUUGUGAAUUUCACCAUAAAACAGGGCACGAAAUCCAAGAAUGUGAAGGAUUUAAGGCUUUGGUUCAAAGCAUGAUGGAUAACAAGGAGAUGAGGUUUUACGAAGAUGCGAAAGAAAUGAGGAGCAUAUGCGCGACAGAGUUGGGAACAAAGGCUCCAAAUCAUCCUGUGGUCAUUAUCUCACGCCCUAAGGGUAAGGAGGUUAGGGCUCAGGUAACACCGAAAAUUGUAAUCCAGAAACCAUCAAAUUUCUCUUAUAGGGAUAACAAAAUGGUACCGUGGAAUUACGGGUGUAAUGUGACCAUUUUGGGAAAAGAAGCAGAAAGAAAUCAGGAAAUAGGUUCUUACACGCGCAAUAGAAAAAGAUAUGACGCUCAAGCAGAGUCGUCCAGGGAAGAGAAUUGGAAGAAAGAACAGAGGAAAGGGAAAGCAGUAGAAGUUGAGCCAUUGGUAAAUGAACCAAAAAAAGAAGAGGAGGCAAAGGAGUUUUUGAAGUUUUUGAAACACAGUGAAUACAGUGUUGUGGAGCAACUACACAAACAGCCAGCCCGCAUUUCUGUAUUAGCUUUACUCUUAAACUCGGAAGUACAUCGGAAUGCACUAUUAAAGGUGCUAAACGAAACAUAUGUGGCUGACGAUAUUUCGGUAAACAAGCUGGAUCGGCUGAUCAACAAUAUUGGUGCUGACAAUUUUAUCUUCUUCAGUGAUGAUGAAAUACCAUCCGGAGGAAGAGGUUCUACUAAAGCCCUGCAUGUUACUGUCCGAUGCAAAGGGUACACACUCCCGGGGGCCUUGGUUGAUAAUGGAUCUGCACUAAAUGUAUUGCCUUUGUCCACUCUUAGUCGAUUACCAAUAGACAGUUCGCACAUGAAAGCAUGCCAGAACAUAGUAAGGGCAUUUGAUGGAACAAAAAAGGAGGUUAUGGGGAGAAUUGAGGUACCAUUAAGGAUUGGCCCAGUCACUUAUGAGGUGGAUUUCUUGGUAAUGGAUAUUAAACCCUCCUACAACUGUCUAUUGGGGAGACCGUGGAUACACUCAGCAGGGGCAGUACCUUCAUCAUUACAUCAGAAGGUGAAGUUGGUAUCGGAGGAUCGGUUGGUAACAAUAGAUGCAGAGGAGGAUAUUAUCGCAAUGAUGACUAGCGAUGCACCUUAUGUGGACAUCAACGAUGAGGCACUAGAAUGUUCUUUUCGGUCGUUAGAAUUUGUGAACGCGAUGUUUAUUGCGGAGGGAAAUAGAAUUCCAGUACCAAAAAUAUCCAGGACCACUGAGAUGGGAUUGCGAUUGAUGGUAGGAAGAGGAGCCUUACCCGGGAAAGGAUUGGGAAAAUAUCUUCAGGGAAGGAUUGAGGCACCAAUGCCGAAGGAAAAGUUUGAUAGAUUUGGUUUAGGGUACAAGCCAGACAUGAAGCAGAAGAAGAAAGAAGUAGAGAAGAGACAAGAGAGAAGAAGGGCGCGUUUGAAUGGACAUGAAGCUAAGUGUGAGCCUUUAACCUUUCCCCACAUAUCUACAUCUUUUGUGUCGGGAGGAUUUAUUCAUUCUGAAUGUGGAGUGUCCGGUAGCGGCAUGGGAGGAAUGUUGGAAAACGUUUAUACCAACGCCAUAGAAGCAACGGAAAGGAGGGCCUUGUUGGAGAUCUGCCCUUAUGAGCCUGGAAGCGAGCUAAACAAUUGGACUGCUGAAGAAAUCCCUGUAGUCUUUAGGGCUUAUUCAGAGUAAUGCUCAAAACAUUCCUGUUGUUUGUUGGCCUAGAAACGAUAUGAAAUCUUUUGUGAAAUAGGCAUUGGGCCUAAAUAUCAUUAUUUUAAUGAAAUACGUGUCUACGUUCAUCUCGAUCAGUCACUUUUUUUUCCUUUCAUAUUUUUCAUUUGGUUGAUUGUCUUACAAAUAAUUCUUUCAUUUGUAAUUCUUUUGCACAAACAUAUUCAUAAAUUUAUAUUCUUGGUAUAUUCUUUGAUGCGCCCUCAUAGGUCUUCAGAUAUCAAUGACAUGAGUGACGCUGCCUCAAACACGGAGCCUAUUUUUGAGCAAAAAGUGUGUUCAGAGGGAUCCCACGACUUUGACGAAGAUUAUGAUGCAUCUCCGGACUUGUUAAGAAUGAUGGAACAAGAGGAUAAGCAUAUCCUACCUCAUAGGGAAUCGUUAGAAAUAGUGAGCCUAGAGGAUGGAAAGGAGGUGAAAAUUGGAUCUGAAAUCACCGCAAAGACAAGGCAAGACCUCAUUAAUUUGCUCCGAGAGUUCAAGGAUGUUUUCGCGUGGUCGUACCAAGAUAUGCCUGGGCUAAGUACUAACAUUGUGGUGUAUCGUCUGCCCAUAAAGGAGGAUUGUAAACCCGUUCAACAGAAGCUUAGGAGAAUGAGACCUGACAUUGUGUUGAAAAUAAGAGAAGAAGUCAAAAGACAAUUCGACGCUGGAUUCUUACAAGAAGUCAAGUAUUCGGAUUGGGUAGCCAACAUCGUCCCAGUUCCCAAAAAAGAUGGAAAGGUACGAAUGUGUGUGGAUUAUAGGGAUUUAAACAAGGCUAGUCCAAAGGACAACUUUCCACUGCCUCAUAUUGAUACUUUGGUAGAUAACACGGCGGGCUAUUCAUUGUUUUCUUUCAUGGACGGUUUUUCUGGAUACAAUCAAAUAAAGAUGCAUCCUGGAGACAUGAGGAAAACCACAUUCAUUACCUUAUGGGGAACAUUCUGUUACAAGGUAAUGCCCUUCGGAUUGAAGAAUGCGGGAGCAACAUAUCAAAGAGCUAUGGUGACUUUGUUUCACGACAUGAUGCACAAAGAGAUCGAAGUCUAUGUUGACGAUAUGAUCGCGAAGUCUAGAACGGAAGAAGAGCAUGUUCAGGUCUUGAAAAAGUUAUUUUUGAGAUUAAAGAAAUUUCAGCUCAAGCUUAACCCGGCCAAAUGCACGUUUGGAGCCAGAUCAGGGAAGUUAUUAGGCUUCAUAGUUAGCAAAAAGGGGAUCGAGGUUGACCCAGACAAAGUAAAGGCAAUACGAGAUUUACCUCCCCCGCGCACUCAGAAGGAGGUUCGAGGUUUCCUAGGGAGGCUGAAUUACCUUGCUCGGUUCAUCUCAUAACUGACAGAGAAAUGUGAUCCAGUAUUCCGGCUCUUAAAGAAACAUAAUCCGGGUGAAUGGGAUGAAGAGUGUCAGAGGGCUUUCGAUAAGAUAAAGCAGUACUUGGCUAAUACCCCAGUCUUAUCACCUCCAAGUCCAGAUAGGCCAUUGAUAUUGUAUCUAACAGUGUUGGAGAAUUCCAUGGGAUGCGUAUUGGGCCAACAUGAUGAGAUAGGAAAGAAAGAAAGGGCAAUAUACUACCUCAGUAAGAAAUUUACCGAUUGCGAAAUGAGGUACUCAUCAAUUGAGAAGUUGUGUUGCGCUCUAAUCUGUGCAACCCGAAGACUGAGGCAGUAUAUGUUGUAUCACACGACUUGGCUGAUUUCAAAGUUAGAUCCUUUAAAGUAUAUGAUGGAAUCGACUGCUUUGAACGGGAGAAUGGCUAGAUGGCAGAUCUUGCUCUCAGAAUUUGAUAUAGUAUAUGUCAGUCAGAAGGCCAUAAAGGGAAGUGCAAUAGCCGAUUUCCUAGCUAGUAGAGCCUUGGAGGACUAUGAAUCUUUGAAUUUCGAUUUUCCAAACGAGGACUUGAUGUAUGUGGCGAAUACUGAAGAAAAUCCUUAAAUGGAUCGCGUAUGGAAGUUAAAUUUUGAUGGAGCUUCAAAUGCUACGGGUAAUGGAGUUGGGGCAGUUUUGGUAUCCCCAAGUGGAGAUCAUUAUCCUGUUGCUAGCAAGUUGGACUUCGAUUGUACAAAUAACAUGGCAGAAUAUGAAGCAUGUAUUAUGGGCAUUCGUGCAGCCAUUGAACGGAACAUCAAAGUACUGAGAGUAUACGGGGAUUCAGCGUUGGUGAUAUACCAACUCAAAGGGGAGUGGGAGACUAGGGAUCCUAAGCUAAUCGGUUAUAGAAAACUAGUUCUUGAAUUGGCUGAGGAGUUUGACGAUAUCACCUUCUAUUACCUCCCACGGGAGGAAAACCAAAUGGCUGAUGCUUUAGCUACUCUAGCUUCGAUAAUUCAGGUGAAUAGACUUGAGGCAAUGAGGCCUGUUCAGAUGAGUAUCUCUGAGACCCCGGCUAAUUGCUGCAAUAUUGAGGAGGAGGGAAAAGAUGAUUGUCCUUGGUAUCAGAGUAUCCUACAAUAUGUGAAGAAUCGGGAAUACCCUGAUCAAGCGACAGAGAAUGACAAAAGAACUCUGAGAAAGAUAGCCAUUGAAUAUGUCUUAGAUGGAGAAGUGUUAUAUAAAAGAAGGAAGGAUCAAGUACUGUUAAGGUGUGUGGAUGCUGUGGAAGCCAAGAAAAUUUUGGAAGAAGUCCAUGAGGGUAUUUGUGGGACGCACGCCAGUGGUUUCACGAUGGCCAGACAGAUCAUGAGAUUUGGGUACUAUUGGCCCACCAUGGAAGGAGAUUGUAUUGAUUAUGCCAGGAAGUGCCACAAAUGCCAAAUUUACGGAGACAAAAUGCACGCGCCCCCUUCACCUCUUCACGUCAUGACCUCUCCUUGGCCGUUUUCCAUGUGGGGUAUGGAUGUUAUUGGGCCAAUAUCACCAAAGGCUUCUAAUGGGCAUCGCUUCAUCUUCGUAGUAAUUGAUUACUUUACUAAGUGGGUGGAGGCUGCUUCAUAUGCAAAUGUCACGAAAGCAGUAGUCAGCAAAUUCUUGAAGAAGGAGAUCAUUUGUCGAUAUGGAAUGCCUGAGAGGAUCAUAUCCGACAAUGCGAUGAACUUGAAUAAUAGCACAAUAGCUGAAGUUUGUAGCAAAUUUAAAAUUAAGCAUCAUAACUCAUCGCCGUAUCGUCCCAAAAUGAAUGGUGCAGUGGAGGCGGCCAAUAAGAACAUUAAAAGGAUUGUGGGGAAAAUGACUGAAACCUACAAGGAUUGGCAUGAGAAAUUAUCAUUUGCUCUCCUUGCCUAUCGAACAUCUGUUAGAACUUUUACUGGGGCAACGCCUUUUUCUCUGGUUUAUGGAAUGGAGGCAGUAUUACCUAUUGAAGUUGAAAUCCCUUCUCUACGGGUGUUAUCUGAGCUACAGUUGGAUGAAGCCGAUUGGAUCCAAUCUCGGUACGAUCAGUUGAACCUAAUAGAAGAAAAGAGGCUAAGAGCUAUUCACCAUGGGAAAAUGUACCAGAAACGAAUGAUGCGAGCCUAUAAUAAAAAGGUUCGCCCCCGAGAAUUUCGUGAAGGGGACUUGGUACUAAAAAAGAUUCUUUCUAUGCAAAAAGAUUUUAGAGGAAAAUGGAUGCCAAAUUGGGAAGGCCCUUAUGUUGUAAAGAAGGCCUUUUCUGGUGGAGCUUUGAUCCUAUGCGAGAUGGAUGGCAAAAGUUUACCAAAUCCUGUAAACGCAGACUCCGUCAAGAAAUACUUCACUUGAAAGAAAGGGGAACCAAAGUGAAAACCCGUGAAGGGCGCUUUGCUUCCUAAAAAAAAAAGAAAAAAAAAAACUUUGGGGAGGCUAAGGUGAAAACCCGUAAAAGGCACUUUGAGACCAAAGAGGGCUGGAGUCGAAAACCUGAAAAAGGUGACUCAAGUACUGGGCAGGAUUGGAACAUCAGGAUUUGAGCGGAUCAAAUUUUGAUCGGGGGCAUAUGAUUAUCUUGCUUUACUUGAACCAAUAAGAAAGGAUAUGCAACGUCUUGGAACAUGGACAGAGUAUUCCAGAUCUCCUGAACACAUGUCAAACUCAGAAGGGUCUUCGGAAAGUUUGUACAGAGAAACUCAAGCUGCGAUAACUGGGGCACCUAGUUCUUAUGUGUAUUCUUGAAAAUACAUUUUUUUAUUUUCUUUCUUUCUUCCUUUCUUUUGGUGAAAACGCACAUUCUCAAUCCAUUUCUUUGUUACCUUGCUUUCGCCAUCUUUGAUGUUUUAUUCGAGUUAUGAUCAGAACUAGCUUUAUUCUUAUCCAUUGUUAUGAUCUUUUUGCAAACAUGUUGCAUAGGAAUAAUGAUUAACGAACUAAUAAAACUUUCAGGAAAGAAGUUUUGCACAUUACUCUGGAAAAUUUCUAAAUAAUAUAGGGACCUGAAUCAUGACUAUUGUUUAGAAAAUACCAAGUUUAAAGGGUGAAAUAUCUAAGAAGGAAGAGUCUAAUUUAAAGACUAUCCUUUCAGAUUUUGUUGUCUAAACAUUGAUUGAACAAAAUGACAAGCUGUCGUGUUACAAAGCUUAAAUGAACAAGCAAGCAAUGAUCAUCAGGCAAUAGGAAGAGGUUACCUCGGAGAAGAGAGCCUUCACUUGCGCAUAAGACUUUGGUACGACACCUUGAGAAUGGUGUAGGAAACCAGAACGGUUCAGAUCCUAUAUCCCCGAAUUGUGAUAAAAGAGGACAGAGGAAAAGCCACAUAUUUCUACCCUUAGAUUACUGUGAGAGAAUGAUGGUACAAAUUUUGGCGUCCCAGUGGAUAUAACUUUGAGGUUUACAAUGGGGACAGUCUGGCUAAAUGUUUCUUCAGAAAAAAAAAUCAGUCAAGCGAGAAGGCGUUGCAGCACGUCAGUCACAAAGCCUUAGUAAACUUCGAGUAAUGACAACCUAAGCGAGAUCAUUCUCGGAAAAAUAAAAUUCUGCAUUCAUGCGAACACCAUUCACAUAUGUCUAGUUAGGAGCAUUUGUUUCAUUUUGAUCAUGUCAUCCUAAUCAUUAGGCAUAAUUAGGUUUAUUAUACAGGUCUUAUCUCCCUGAGAUUACAGUGGAACAGACCAAAGAAUUUCAGAUCCUAUCUCCCUGAGAUUACAGUGGAGCGGAUUAAAAUAAAGGAUCUUAUCUCUCUGAAGUUACAGCAGAGUAGAUCGCAUCAAGUCUUAUCACCCUGAGGUUACAGGGGAGUAGACCGAAGAAUUUCAGAUCUUAUCUCCCUGAGGUUACAGUGGAGCAGAUUGAAGCCAGAGAUCUUAUCUCUCUGAGAUUACAGCGGAGUAGAUUGAAGCUAGUAAUCCUAUCUCUCUGAAGUUACAGUGGAGCGGAUUAAAAUAAAGGAUCUUAUCUCUCUGAAGUUACAGUAGAGUAGAUCACAUCAGAUUGAAGCCAGAGAUCUUAUCUCCCUGAGAUUACAGUGGAACAGACCGAAAAAUUUCAGAUCUUAUCUCCCUGAGAUUACAGUGGAACAGACCGAAAAAUUUCAGAUCUUAUCUCCCUGAGAUUACAGCGGAGUAGAUUGAAGAUAGUAAUCCUAUCUGCCUGAGAUUACAGUGGAGUGGAUUAAAAUAAAGGAUCUUAUCUCUCUGAAGUUACAGUAGAGUAGAUCACAGCAGACAAAACCACAGAUCUUAUCUCCCUAAGCAGUUAGUGGAACAGAUCACAUCAAGUCUUAUCUCCCUAAGUAGUAGUGGAGCAGACUAAAAACACAAAUCUCAUCCCCAUGGAGUCGUAGCAAAGUAUAUUGAAGCUACAAGGCGUAUCUGAACUUGAAGUAGAGUGGAUCGAAGCAACAAGAUGUAGCAGGCUGGAAUAAGGCUACUUGAAGAAGAGAAGCACCCAAAGAAGUCAAGCCUCGGUGAGACCAGGCAAAUUUGGUCUUUUUUAGUCUUUGCUCUGUUCUUGUUACACAAAAACGAGCAAAGAGGGGCAGCUGUAGAAGCCCAAAUUUGCCGGGCCCAUACCAACAAAAUAACCCAAACAAUAAACCCGAAGCCCAACUACCCCAGCCCAUUAACCUAAGCUCAGCAUUCAGAAACCCUAAUCCCACUAACCCUAGCCACCUACCCCCCACUUGCCCACUUGCCCACUUGCGCCGAACACCACCAUGCCACUGUCGGCCAUGGCCACCUGCAAGAAGCCAAGUAGAAAUAAACAAAUAGAAAAUAAACAUUUGUAAUCGGUUAUAAAAACCGAAAAUCUCACCAUUGAUAAAGGGGAUUUUUUAUUUUUUGCUAUGAAAACAAAAGAUUUUCUUUCAAUAUUAACAGAUUCAAUACAAGAACCAUUCGAAAAUAUAUAUACUAUCAGGGGCUCUAACACCAAAUCGGAGAAUCAAAUCUAAAACCUAAGGUGACUCUUUCUUUUUUUUUUCUUUACUGUUUUGAGUUUAUUUUCUACAUAAAAAUACUAAAAAAUAUUAAAACAUAAAAAUAUAUGCAUUAUUAAGCAAAAAAAAAGAAAAAAAGAAAAAAAAUAUUUUUUUUACCUUUUCCGGCCACCGCGUGCGGUGGCCGGCGCCGGCGCCGGCGAGCCUCCGGUGGCCGUCCGGUGACCGGCCCCCUGGCCGGAUUCCCCUUUCCCCCUCCCUUCUCUCUCCCUUCUCUCUUCCCUCUCUCUCUUCUUUUUUUUUCUUUCCCUCUCCCCAAAUGAUUUUUUUUGGCUAUUUUAGGCCUUUAUAUAGCCCUCCAAAACGACGUCGUUUUGGGGGCUACACUUAAGCCUCAAAACGACGUCGUUUUGACCAUUGCCCGACCCAUCCGACCCGACCCGCUAGAGGAUCCGCGUGUUUUCGUUUGAAUGGGAUAUUUAUGCGCCCAGUCCUUCCGCUUUUUCAAGGUUUUGCAGUUAAGUCAUUUUUCUUGUUUCCAAUUUGGCCCCAUAAUUUCUCAUGCUUUUCGAUUUAGUCCCCGCUAAUGUGCUGUGUUUUAAUGGAAUGGAAUAAUUGUUGUUUCGGUCCCCCUAUGUUUUGUGCGCGCUCAAAUAAGCCCAUUUCUCUUUAUUUCCUUUCACAUUUGCCCCACAACUUUGUUUUUAAUUCAAUUUUAGUCCUUUUUCGUUUAUUUUUAUAUCUUUAUUAAAUAUCAUUGUUAUUUUAUAUUAUUAGUAUUAUUAGUAUUACUAUUAUUAUUAUUAUGUAUUAGUAUAUAUUUUUAUUAUGUACGCGUAUACAUGUAUAUAUAUUUUCAUAUUUAAUAUUUUUAUUUCAUUUUUUUCUAAUAUUUUAUUAUAAUUUAUAUAUAUAUACAUAUACAUAUUCUUUAUUAUUUAAGUAUAUAUUUUUUAUAUUUCAUAUUUUCUACAGGCAUAUAUAUACUUAUAUAUUUACAUAUUUUAAUUCAUAUACUUAUAAAUGUAUGUACAUACUUACGUUAUUUUAUUUUUAUAAUAUACAUAUUUAUAUUUUUUUGUCUUUAUGUAAUAUAUAUACAUACAUGCGCAUGUUAUUUUUAUAUAUGUAAUUAUGUUUUCAUAUUUUAUACUUCUUGUACAUACACAUAUAUAUAUGUAUAGACAUACAUAUUUUCAUUAUAUAUAUAUACCUACAUAGUUUUUUUUUUGUAUUUUAAAUCUUUUAAAAUUCAUACAUGCAUUUUUAAAACUUUUAUAAUUUUAUUCAUUUCUUUAUUAUUAUUAUUGUUUUACUUUAUGUUUAUCUAUUUAUUUAUGUGUCCAUUAUUAUUUUUUUUAAAAAAUGUUUUAGUUUUUUUUAUUUUGUUUAUUUACUUGUUAUUGUAUAUAAUUGAUUUUUUAUAUAUUUAUUUUUGUUAUCUUCGCUCGUAUUAUUUUUACUCGCAUUAUCGUAAUUGUUAUUCCGUCACAUCAAUUUUUACCCAAAUUCGUAAAAAAGGGAAAAUUUUGGAAAUAAAGGCAAUACUCGAUACUUGGGAUCUUCGAGAGAAUUGGGCCCUAACGUGCUGGGUUCUAAUUUUCUGUUGAAUCUAAAUGCUCGAGAAUGCUCUUUAAUAUAAAACAUAAAUAAAAACUCAUUAUCGGGAUUUCAAUAUGUUGUGUCCUAACGCAUUGGAUAUGACAUGUGGUUUUCUCGAUAUGAGGAUUUUUUUUUUUCGAAAGUAAAGACAAUAUUCCGUAUUUAGAAAAUUCGAGAAAAUCAUGCCCUAACUUACUGAGCUUCGAUUUUUCUCGUUGAUUCUAAGUAAUCGAAUAUCCUUUUAAAAUUAAAAUAAAUGAGGUUUAAAUAAAAAAAUGAAAGGCAAGUUUACUCUCGAAAAUACGAGGUGUCGUGUCCUAACUUACUGGAUGUAACAUCUUGUUACUUCGAGAUAAAGAGGCAUUUUCCAUUUUGAUUUAUUCGAGUAUUUUUAAAAUAACACGAUAUAAGGAGGGAUCAUAUUUUUAAGAUUCUUUUCGAGUUUUUAAUUUUCGACACUAAGACACUAAUUAAUCAACUAGGUACCAAUUUUGGGCGUAUCGAGGGUGCUAAUCCUUCCUCGUGCGUAACCGACUCCCGAACUCAUUUUUCUGAAUUUCGUAGACCAAAAUCGUUGUUUUAAUAAAAUUAAAUCAUUUAUUAAAAACAACCACUUUUUGAGGUGACCCGAUCACACCUCAUCAAAAAAGGAUUGGUGGCGACUCCCAAUUUCGUUUCAUUUUCAAAAUCCAAGUUGACCCCGUUUUCAUCCAAAAAAUGGUGUCAACAAAAUUUUCUUUAAUAUAUUCACUAUAAGAGCCAAUAAUAUUUAUGAAACUUAACAAAACAUUAUGACUAAUGAGAAAUAAAGAUAAAAUUAAAAAAAGAAGAAGCAAUAAUUGAAUCGAAAUUACAGCACUUGGAAGACUAAAUUUGCAAUCAAUCGAAAACAUGAGGACUAAAACCAUAAUUAAACACAAUGGUUCAAACAUUCAAAUUCAGAUAAUGGAAACGUCGCCGUUUAACUAUGAACCAAAUUGAAACCAGAUUAAAUCAUACGGUAUAAAUCGAAAAAUUGCAGAAAAUCGAAUUAGAACAAUACAAGAUAAAAGAGGACUGAUUGCGGAAAUAGUCCAAUGAACCAGAAUGCGCGGAUCCUGCCCCGGGUCGGGUCACCGCGUGGGUCCAAGGACGCUAAACGGCGUCGUUUCUUUCACACUAUAUAAGCUAAAAUAAACCUAAAACCUAAAGCUCUCAGUCAUUUUUUAAGAAAAAAAACCUAAAAGAAAACUAAACUCCUGGCGCCGCUUCAGCGUCGAAAACCCCCCUCGCCUAUUCAAUCUUGGCCUGAACGGGGGAGGGAUUCGGCGACUCACCGAUCCAGGUAAGGUUUCUGAACUGUCCUCCCUUUUUAUUUUAUAUAUAUGCUUAUAUAUGUGAUUACUAGCAAACAGAAAAAAAGAAAAAGCAAUCGGAAAAGGAACAGAACCGAAAAGAGGAAAAAAGAAAACCUUUUUUGUAUUGAUUUCGUUUUUUUUUUAUACAGUCUCCCCUUCCGGAGUACAUGAGAAAAUAAGGCUCUCAUAGCCCGAAAAAUAAAAAAUAAACCCUCUUUUCUCCUUUUUUCUUUUGUUGUUAUCGUUUUUUGCUUUUUUUCUUCUUCUUUUGCUGUUGUCUUGUUAUUUGCUGCAGGUACGGGUACGCGUGACGUGGCUCAACGCGUAUGGAGGCAGAGGCUGGCGUGGAGCGGCUCGGAGGCGUGGCUGCAGCGCUGGAGGCUGAAUGUUGCUAGGGUUUGCUGCUGUGCAUUCUGGUGUUGGGCCAUUUGGGCUGAGUUGGUUUGCUGGGCUUAGAAUCAGGUUUAGGUUUGGGCUAGGGUCUAGGCAAAUUGGGUUUGGUGAAUUUUUUUGUAAUUUGGACUGUUAUUUUAUUUGUUUUUUUAUUAUUUAUUUUAAUAGCGGGCUGGGCAAAUUGGGCCUAUUACAAUAUAUAUAACCAAAUUUUGUAACACCCAUUUUAUGUUAAAAAUAUUUUCUUUAAAAUUAAGUAUAGGUUGGGUGGUAAAGUACUUAUAUUUUAAUACUAGUAAAUACAUGUUCAAUCUUUAGAUUUAUAAUUUAUAAUUCUUUUAAUUAAAGAUGAUAUACAAGUAUGAAAAGACAAAAGUGACAUAGUAAUAAUAUUAAUUAUAAAUUUUAUAAUUUCAUAAUUGAGUUGAUGACGUGGUUGAAGGUGGCACUAACUCUAAAACACUUAAAUAUAAUAAUAGCUUAAAAAUAAGGGGCUUUUGGAAAAUACAUUUCUGAGUUGGUGACCUGAGGGUCACACCAACUCAAUAAAACUCUUAAAUAUUGAUUACAAAUCCUAUCACACACUUAUGUGUAUCAAUAUCACAAAUUUAGAAUAUAAAGAUGUGUUUAAAAUUAACAUACAAUAAAGAAUGAAAUUUAUGGUUUGAAACUAAUUAGUAAUAACACAUGAAAUAUGUAUGAUAUUAAAAUGAAAAAAGAGAGAUUAAAUUGUGCAUAAAACAAAAUUUUAUCCUAUUACAUCAAUAAAGUUAUAUUUAUUACCCUCGCCAAUUAUUUGUCAUUAAGAACAUUAAAGUAUCCUUGAAUGAUAUAACUUAUUCUAAAUAGAGUUGAUGUAUGGUUGGCUUGGGAUACCAACUCAGUCAGGAGCUUAAGAUUAUUAAAAUAUUCUUAUUUUAAAGAGAAAUUAAUAUUAUUAUAAGAGCACGUUUGGUUCGUUGUAUUGGAUUAGAGGCGUAAUGGAAUAGAGGUGUAAUGGAUUAGAGGUGUAAUGGAAUAGAGGUGUAAUAGCAAAUCAACUGUUUGGUUAAAUGUAAUGGAAUAGAGGCGUAAUAGUAAUCUUGUAUUUGGUUGAAUGAAAUAGAGGUGUAAUAGCAUAAUGGGAAAAACUAAAAUGACUAGAAUACCCUUAGCAUAAAUUUGUUAAUGAUUAUUGUUAUUGUUAUUUAAAUUUUAAUAAGAUUAUUAUUAUCAAUAAUAAAUAAUUUAAUCAUAUUUAAACAUAAUUAUUAUUAAAUAUAUUAUAAUUAAAAUAUAUAAUUUAAUAAAAUUCUUAAUAAUCAAUAUUCUUAUAUGAAUUUACUCAAAUCAUAAUAUAUGAUACUAUAAAAUUUAAAUUAACAUAAUUAUUAUUAAAUAUAUUAUAAUUAAAAUAUAUAAUUUAAUAAAAUUCUUAAUAAUCAAUAUUCUUAUAUGAAUUUACUCAAAUAAUAAUAUAUGCUACUAUAAAAUUUAAAUUAACAUAAUUAUUAUUAAAUAUAUUAUAAUUAAAAUAUAUAAUUUAAUAAAAUUCUUAAUAAUUAAUAUUCUUAUAUGAAUUUACUCAAAUCAUAAUAUAUGAUACUGUAAAAUAUAAAUUAAAAUAAUAAUUAUUACAUAUAAUUUAAUAAUAAUAUAUAAUUUAAUAAAAUUCUUAAUAAUUAAUAUUCUUAUAUGAAUUUACUCAAAUCAUAAUAUAUGAUACUAUAAAAGAUAAUUUGAAAUAAUUAUAACUAAUAAAUUAUAUUUUAUGAAUUUGUAUAAUUUAAAAUAAUAAUUAUUACAUAUAAUUUAAUAAUAAUAUAUAAUUUCAUAAAAUUCUUGAUAAUAAAUUUUCUUAUAUGAAUUUAUACAAUUUAAAAUAAUUAAUAUUAAAUAUAAUUUAAUAGUGAUAUAUAAUUUCAUAAAAUUCUUAAUAAUAAAAUGUUCUUAUAUGAAUUUACUAAAAUCAAUAUAUAACUUGAGAAUUAUAUUCUGCAUAAACAUAAUUAACUUAUAUUAAGAAAAGGUUAGAUGAAAAUGAAAUUCUACAUCAUAAUCCAUAUGUUAUAUAGUUUUACAACAUCAAAAAGUUUGAACAUUGAUAUUUAAUGGUGAGAAAGAAAUCUUCUGACCCAUUCCAAUCGGGCAACAGAAGGUAAACUAAAGAAAACGAUCAUUUGAGUUGGAUGAUCUGGAAUUUUACUCAAAGCAUCAUACCGCUGAUCGUCAGUUAAACCUUCAAUUGACCAUAGGGCUGAAUAUAAAUUUGAAGCUUUCUCUUCCAUCUUUUGAUAUUCUUCUGACUUCUGCUGAACUACCACCUCGAAGGCAAUACUCCUACUGAUUUGAUCGCCAACGGCCUGGAUUUUUUCCCCCAACAAAGUGGCAGCCUCAUCAAAUGAAGAAUACACAUUAUCACGAGCAUCAGAUUUCUUCUUUCUCUUGUUUGAAGAUGAGGAACCCCCUUGGUCUCUAUCUCCUCACGGAUCUGUACCAGAAACAUCCAUGUCGUCUAAAGAGACGUCAGCUUCGCAGUCAUAGAAUGUGUUUCUCUCUUCAUUCAUAUCUGUAGUACGUACAUCCUCAGCAUGUAUUUCUUCAAGAACAUCAGCAGCUGUUUGAGCGUCUUUCCCAGUUGCUCGAUCUCUUGCUUAUAUGGUAGUAAGCUGGUCAUAGUAAGAGAAAGUACGAUAUUUGAAUUGAGUGGCUUCUCUGUGACUCUAAAAAAAAUGAGGAAAUCAUAUUAGUCAUAAGUUUGGUAUAAAUAAGAUAAUAAAGACUUGAAAUAAUCUUACCUUUAAAUAGGACUCCCAAACCGUAUCUUCAGCAACAACGAGCUGCCUAUGCUCGUCCCAACCAAAACCGCUAUUGUUUUGGCCAUUAAGCAUGUCAUAAACGAUUGACCACUCCCUUUUUAGUAACCUAACCCUUGAUUCAAUAUUAGGUUUCGCCUUCAACAUUGCAUUUAGUAAAACCGUUUGUAGCAUUCUUUCCAACUCGUUCAAAUAACCGGCUUUGAACCCGGUAUCAGCAUUAAAUGUUCCAACAUUGUGCAGGUCCACCAUGCAGGAAACUAAUGCUGCAUCUUCUUCUGGAACCCAUUUUCUUUUGCUUCCUCGAGAAGCUUGAGAAGAAGCAUUUGAUUCUGGAACACCUGACAUAAUGAUCUUAAGAACAAAAAAAAAACAAAUUAUAUUAAUUACUAUUUUAAUAUCAUGAUUCAAAAGGUCAACACUAUAUAAAAUCUAAGGAAUUAAGUUGAAUAUCAUGAAUCAAAAGCUCCAUACCACAAAAAAUUUAAAAUUAUAACACAUGCUGAAUUAGAAGAAAUUAUAUUAUAAUUCAACAAGUUUAGUACAAUACAAAAAUCAAUACAAAAGUUUCACAAACUAAUUUCUAGAUGCUUGCCAUUCAUCGAACAUUUGGUUGGCUAGUUCCAUCCUCCAAGUAGCCCAAGCAUCUGAUGGAUGAAUAUUUGUGAUAUUCGGUUCAUCGUCAUCCACCACAUUAAUUGUAGGUAAUCCUUCUCCCACCUCCGCUUCAAUGGGAUCAAUACUCAUAUGGGUUCGAAUAAAAUUAUGGAGCAAACAACAUGCAAUAAUAAUUCUAUUGUGCACCCUUACAGGAUAGAACGAUGGACUCCUAAGUAUUCCCCAUCUAAGUUUUAAUAAGCCAAAGCAUCUUUCAAUAACAUUACGUGCUGAGGCAUGUUUCAUAUUAAAAAACUCUUGCGGAGAACUUGGCUGAUAACCCUGACGCCACUCGUUCAAAUGAUAUCGCUGUUCUCUAAAUGGUGCAAGAAAUCCCUCACAAUUUGUGUAUCCAGCAUCAACUAGAUAAUAACAACCUAUAAAAUAAAUUUUUUUUUAAAAUGAUUAAUUCAGCACACAAAGUUUACUAAAAAAAUAAUUCAAAGUCCUCUAACUAUACACUUUACCAUGAGGAACUUUUAAUCCAUGUCUUCUACUAAUGGCAUCUCGAAGAACCCGUCCAUCAGCAACUAAACCUUCCCAACCAGGAAGAACAUAAACAAAUUGCAUCUCAGGUGUACAAACACCUAGCAUAUUUGUUGCUAUGUCACCUUUUCACGUUCGAUAUCUAGGUUUAUCAACUGUUGGAACCCUAAUCUUGAUGUGGGUUCCAUCAAGAGCACCUAAGCAAUUCUAUAUCACAUGAUAUAAAACCUUGAGUUAGAAUACUAAUUUAAAUCUAAAUCAAGUAAAUGUUGUUGAAGAUAUAUAUAAAACUUAGUCCAAUACCUUAAACCAUUUCCACCUUGUGUCAGAAGAAUCAGCUGUAAUUAGCUCUGGCUUUUUAAAUAACACAUCUUGUAAGCGUAUGACAGCAUUUAAAACACUAUGAAAUGCUCUGCUAACAGUUUCCCCGGACCUUCUAAAGUGAUGCUUGAUAACUCGAUUUUUCAGGUGAUGGGAGAUGAUAAGUAAAAACAUUGCUACUUGCUCGUCAACAAGCAUGAACCUUGUCGACUUCAAUCCCCUAUCGAUUCUAACAUCUCACAUUGUUUAAAAAAGGCAGCUCUAUUCAUCCUAACUUGUUCAAUACAGGUCUCGUCACUAGCAUAUACAAGCCUCUUCACAUAAUCCCGUUUUGCAUAAAAAUCUACGGUAUAGGACCUAAUCCUUGGUCUAUGUAGCCUAAGGCUGGCACCCAUUCUAAAUAAGAACCAAAUCGCGAUUCUACAGAUUUCCAACCAUAUUGUCACAGCAAUACCAAUUCUUUUACGCCUCACACUUUGUGCAAUUAAAGGCAGACGAGCCAUUACUGCAACAUUUAGAACACACAUAGUUUAAACUCACGAAUUUAGAACACACGAUAGUUUGAACAUUAAUUAGUUUGAACAUUUCAUUUCGUAUAAAUAUAUUGAUUAGUUAAUUAAAGCAUGUUCAAUGUUUGAACAUUGAUAGUUUGGACAUUUAAAUUUAAAUUUAAAUAUAAUUUCGUAUAAUGAAAUUUAAGAUUUAAUAAAGGUGAGUAUCAAAGUUUGAUCAUUGAAUAAUCUUUUUUAUUGAUGAUUAGUUUAAUUAAGGUUUUCUAAUUUCAAAAUAAAUAAAAUGAAGAAUGAAGAUUUGGUUUAAUAAUGAAGAUUUGGUUUAAUAAAUAAAAUGAAGAAUGAAGAUUUGGUUUUCUAAUUUCAAAAUAAAUAAAAUGAAGAAUGAAGAUUUGGUUUAAUAAUGAAAAUGAAGUUUUAAAAUUUUUAUAACAUUUUAAAUGGUAAUUUUAUUUUGUAAAAAUAUAUAUAACUUUUAUCUCAUUUACAUGUACAAAUUAAUAUUAACAGUAUUGUAUUUGCAAUUAUGAUUGGAAAGAUUGAAAUCUAGUAUUGUAUUUACAUGUACAAAUUAAUAUUAUUUAAGCCCAUUAUUUGUAGGCAUAAUGCUCUUUAAGAUUGAACAUAAUUAAAGGUUGAACAUAAUUAUUAUUAUUUGAAUAAUAUCAAUUAAAGGUUGAACAUAAUUAUAUAUUAGUAUCAAAUUUGUAUGUACUCUUUAUAUGUACUCUUUCACUAAUAAAUUAUAUAUCAAAUUUGUAUCACAUUGAUUUUAUGUACGCUUUCAGUAAUAAGUUAUAUAUUAGUAAAAAGUUGGUGCAUUGGUACACCAAAUAAUUUGAAUACAUACUACUUUCUUUAAAAAAAAUGUUACCUAUUAGUAAAAACAUAUAACCUAUUUGGGAAACAACAAAAGCUGUAAUGACCAUAAUUAUGCAAAUUGGUGAUAAAAAAGAACAAUAAUUAUGCAGCAAUAACCAUAACCAUACAAACAAAAGCUGUAAUGAGCAAUACAAACAUACAAACAAAACCAUAUUCAUUUGGGAAACAACAGAAGCAGCUACAGCAAUACAAACAUAACCAUACAAGGAAAACAUACUAAUAAACCAUGAAUACCAAUGGAAAACUAACCUGUAAUGAGCAAAUCGGGGACGACUGCGAUGUAGAAGUGUUGGAACAAAGAACCUGUAACCAGUAAAGGGAAAUCAAUGUUACAAAAAUAAUCAGUUUAUAAAAUUGAUCAUACACUUUACCAAAGCAGCCUCUCAUUUAGUAACCAGUCCUUUAGAUUAUUAAAUAUACCAACUUGGCAGCUUUGAAUAUAUAUGCAAAGCCAUUUUACUUUAAAAUACAUCCCUCCAUUUAUCCUCUUUAAUGUGGUUCACUAGCACCAAGGAAGGCUUAGCAAUGAGGACUUUACAUUCCCUUUCGAAUUUUAAAAUCCCAGGGUUUACCAUCACAAGAAGAUACAUCCUUAUUCAAUCACACUCACCAACUAUUAUGUAAUUACUAAAAAAUGCAACCAAAAUGGGGUUGGCCUAACAUAAAUCAUACACCACACCAUCAAUUGAAGGUUAAUUCAUGGUAACAUUAGUAUUGAAAGGUUGCGUUGUGGGCAGCCUAAGAGGACUCGCAACACUAGGCUUAAUUGCUGUAACAUAUCACAUUCGGAGGCUGGUUCGGACAGCAUCAAUAAUACAAUAUUUAGACAUCAUUAACAACGCAAUAUUCGAACAACAUCAAUACCACAAUCGGACAGCAUAAACAGGGCAGCAAUUAACAAUACCAACAAGGUAAAAUUCGGACGGCAAUUUAACAGUUUCAACAAUUAUCAAACACAAGAAAAUAGAAGUUCAAGGAAAACUCGCCAAGGUUCCCAACACCAAUUUUACCUAUUUAAUUUACUUCUUCCCUUUUCCGCUACAGCCUUCUCCCACCUUGUUAGCUAAAUACAAUGAACCCAAAAGUUACAAAAAUGGUGUAUAACAACUCAAGCAUUCACUAAAUUCUUUUAACACAAGUGAGAAACUCCUCAUCUUCUAGACAUGCAACGUUUACAACUAGAAAAGAAACUCUUCUCUUCUCCCACACAUUCGGUCAAGCUCAAUUCAACAAUGCAACCAGAAUUUGUCAACGAAAAGCUAUGGGCAAGGGAGAGCUUAGAAGAGUUACAGUUCUACUUGAAAAUUUUAACUUCUAAGCAAGCAAAUUUCAUGGUUUUCCAGUACAUGUAGCCGGCCUCUCCUCUCUAGCUUCAUUUGAAAGAGACAAGGAAGCAAGAUAGAAAAAUAAAAAGUCGAAGUCUUUCUUUCUUACUUACCGUCCAUUUCUCCACCCUUUACCCAUCAUAAAAUGAAAUUUAGCCAAUCAACAAAUCUUAGCCGGCCACCAACCAAAAACCAAAAACCAAAAACCAUAAAAUGAAAAGAAUCAUGUAAAAGUUUAUUCAUACCUCAAAAACCAAACGCCGAGACCGAGAGAAGAAACGAUGAGGACUGAAUCAUCAACGAAAGCAGUGGGAAAUGGGAGGAGAAAUUAUGAGGACAGAAGAUGAGAGGGUCGGGUAGGGAGGGAGGGUAAAACAGAGAGUUGGGGAGGGAAGCCGGACGUAAUACCUAUUACUCGAUUUGGGAAGGGAUUAGAAAAGCAGGGAAUUUGGGGAUUAGGUCGGGAUUGUAUUACGCGCGUAAUACCUAUUACAGCGAACCAAACGCCAGAUUAGGGGCGUAAUGUAAUAGCCGCAUAAUCAGUCAGUAAUGGAUUACCUAAUACACUGAACCAAACAUAGUGUAAGUGUAUUUUCACCUUUUCAUACUUUGAUAUAAUCUUCAAGUAAAACGAUUGAAAAAUAUUAUUUGACGACACAAGACUAAAAAAAUUCAUAUAGAAAAUGCUUACCACUCCACUAGUAAUCAUUUGUCAAUGUAUUUUUGGUAAAAAGACCUCUCCAAUCCCUCUUAAUUUCACAAUUGCGCAAAUUAGUCCCUCUCAAAAAAUUAAAGCAAUUUAAUCCUUAUCAAUUUUGAAAGUGAGUAACUAAGGAUAAUUAAUUAUGGUGUUAAAUUCUUCCAUCAAUUGUACAUAAUUUUGAUUGGUAUAGUAAUAAAUUUAGCCUUCAAUGUUUAUAUAUUUUGUCAUUUUGGCCUUAAUUUUUAAAAAAAUUUUAAGAAAUUCAACCUCAACAUUUACAAUUUACACAAACGUUGCGGGAAAAUUUUGUUAAAGUAAGACCAGCUAAAUUUAUUAUUAUACCAACCAAAAUCAUGUACAUUUUAUGAAAAAUUAACAUCCUGAUUAAUUAUUCUUAAUUGCUCACUUUCAAAAUUAAUAGGGACUAAAUUGCUCUGAUUGUUUUAGGGUGACCAAUUUCCUCAAUUUGGAAAUUGAGAGAGACUAUUGAGAUCUUUUACAUUUUUUUUUAUAAAUAUAUUUUUUAAUAUAAAAUAUAUUUGUUCACACACAUCGUGUGUAUGAUAAAAUAUUUUUAUUGUUGAUUGAGUUGGUGUCAAAAAUUAACUUGACACCAACUCAAGAUUAAUGAUAACAAUAUGAUAAAUAAUUUAUUUAUUUAAUAUUUUUAAUUUAAGAUAUUGAUGUAAAUUUUAAGACAUGUAUGUCUUGUAGAAUUGUAAUUAUACUUUUUCAGUAUUGACUCAGUUUUCCACAAUUGUGGGUCUCUAUUUGAGCAAAACAAUUUCAACAUUUCUUCAUCUCGCUUAAUCCAAAUGCAUUUAGGAUUUUCUUAUAUCAUUGCUUCAAAAAGGGUAAAAAAAAACGUCGACAUUGAAUUUUCUGUUUCACAUUCAAUUUUUGGAUACGUAGAAUUUUCUAAUUUAUUUUCCAUCAACUUCACUUCAAUUUUCAGUCACAAUCAAUUGCAAUCAAGAGCACCACAUCUUUUUGGAUGAAACGAAGCUCUCAAUUUUAAGAUAAACGGGUCUUUAGGGUUAUUAAUUGAGGGCCUUUUCCACAAUUGCCAUCGUUAUUUGCGGGUGAUUGGGUUACGACAAUGGUUUGAAGUGAAGCUGUUUCAAAUGAAUAUGAAUACUCUACCAGUAAGUCAUAAUUUAAAAUUCAGGUUAUGUUUCAUUUCAACUAAGUUAAAUGUUAAGAUUGAAGUUAAACCUUUUAGAGGUUGCUCACAAAAGGAUCAAACCUUUAUAAAAGUGCUUAAAUGAAUGCCAAAUUUUUUAAAAUAGACAAAUAAGGCCCUAACCUUUUAAAAGGUGUUCAAAUAAGGGCUUCUCAAAUGUUGUAUAUCAGGUUAUGUGUUUUACUCUAAACAUAUCAGUAUUUACUAUUUUUUCUACAAAUUGGGUUGAAGUGCAUGAAAAAUUUUAUUUUAGCACUUUUGUAAAGGUUAAACUCUUAUUUGACAAUUUUGAAAGGUUUGAUCCUUAUGUGAGCAACCUUUAAAAGAUUGAGCACUAAUUUAACAAGUUGAGAAAUACCUAAAUUUGUUUUCAUGAACCAAGAAAUUAAAAAAAAAAAAAAAACAUGUUGAGAAAUAUUUUAGAGAUUCUUAGCCUUGACAAGUUCCCUCCACCAUCUCCCUGCCUCCAGUCCCACCUCUUCUCUUAUGCUCCUUCCAGGUUCUUGUUUUUUGUGUAUUGAAAAUUCGACGGAACAAAAUAUCAACCUACAUCAUAAGGCACGAAGGCCAGAACUUUACUUUCUAGCCCGUCCGAUCCAAUGAAAGAAGAACAAAGAGUAUUGAGAUCUGACAACUUUAUUUCAUUUUCAUUUUCUUUGUUAUUUUCUAUGUUUCAUGUCAAAUACAAUGGAAGAAGAACAUAGAAAAAUGUUGCCUAUUUAUUUCCCAAUCAUCAUGAAAUUACUUGCCAUAGUCUUAGAAUUUUCUCACCAAUUUUCAAGCAAUCUCACAUGAUUUCUCAAUCACAAUUAAUUGAAUUCAAGAUCUUUUUGGAUGACACAAACAUUUCAAUUUUAACACAAACCAAUAUUUAGGUUAUACUUCAGUGCUUGACAAGCACUUUCACAUUUGUGGGAUAAUAACUCUAGCAUUUUAGGAUCACAUUUAAUUCAAUUGCAUUUAAGACCUCAUGAUUUUAUUCUAUAAUUUGAGUCUUAUCAACCUUUUGGGAAAUAAUAAAACAUCGACAUUAAACUUGUUGUUGAUGCAUUCAAUUUGAUUUUUUGAGGGGUCGUUGGAGUUAUAUAUGACUUUAGCAUUGAUUGAUUUUUUUAGAAUUAAUCUUUUAUACCAAUUUAAUAACAUCGACAUGUUUUUGGGUAGGGUAGAACAAAACCCAAUUUAAACCGAUUAUAGUGGUUUAGUUGACUCGGUCAAGUCCAUUAGAUGGAUAAAAUCAAUUUUAAAAUCAGUUAUAAUGGAUUAAGGUAAUUAAUUAUCUAGUAAUGAAAUACAUAAUCAAAUCAGUUACGGAAUCCGCCAUGUUAGAUAAUAUGAACAUCCCAUAUAUAAUAAGAAAAAAUUACGUACGAUUAUUUAUUAUCAUAAAUGGUUAGCUUAAAUUUAAAGUAAUCUAAUAUUUUUAUUGAUCUUCAACUAUUAACUAAAGUAUAAGCUAAAUAUGUGUAAAUAUUCUAGAAAUCAUUUCUAAUUGAUGAUAGGCUAAUUCGGAAUUAAGAUUAAUAUAUAAAAACUAGAUAGUAGGGUUAUAGUCCUCAAACUACACCUAAUUUAGUUUUUCCGACAUAUUUUUGAAAAAAUAUCACCUUCUUUAAAAAAAAUUGGUACAAAUUUCAAAAAUUAAAACUAUCAAUAAAUUCAGAUAUAUUAAUAAGUACCAACUAAACAAUACUUAAAUAUAGAUGUGUUUUAUAAAAAAAAAUUAUCAGCUUAAAGAAGUUGCAACAAAAAUUUAAAAUUCAUUUAUCAAAUGAAUAUUUAAAACUUAUAAUCUAAACUCUGACAUAAUAAAAUACAUAAGCAUAACUUGGAUUUACCAAAAAUCUAUGAACUUUUCUAAAACUUAAAUUUUAGUCCCUAUACUUUAAUUUAGAGACAUUGAGUCACUAUACUUUUUUAUUUAAAAAUCUUGGUCCCUUCAUCAAUUUUAUCAUUAUAAUUGUUGAUUUACUUGUUAUAAAAAAGGUAGAAUAACUUUUUUAGCCUUAAACAUUUAUAGUUUUUAUUAAUUUGGUCCUUACUCUUUAAAAUUACAUAAAAAUUCAAAAAUAUUUUAAAAAUUAAAUUUUUUCGUAUUUUUAAAAACAUUUAUAGUUUUUUUUUGUGGUUUGGUAACUUAUCAACUCGACUCUUAAUUGUGACAAACUUUUUUGACCUUUUUCGUACCCUUAACCUAAGUCCCGCUACAACUUUCUAAAGACCUCUUGAUUGGUGUAUCAUCUCGAUUUGUUUUUAUAGUGGUGGAGAUUUGGUUUUGAAGCAAGCCUAUGAUAAUCACAUUUUUCAUUCAACUGUUGAGCACACAAUACUUGAACCUUAAACACUUAGAGUGCUUUGAGUGAAUCUUAGAUAGGGUAUUGAUUAUGGUUGAGUUUGAAUUUCAGGUAAUUAUUGAGAUAGAGGAGACGCCUAUGUUUUUUGUGCUUUACAAAUUUUUGCUUAGAUUGCUUUUAUUCUUUAGUGUUAUGCUAGUUUCAAUUUCUAGUGCGUGAUUAUCUGUAGAUUAUUCCUAAGGAAUUGUCGGUGAAAACAAUAAAUUGAGGGAGAUUAACUUGAAUAAGGGUUGAGAAUUUUGCUUAAGGACAAACAAAUGCUUAAGUGUGGGGAUAUUUGAUAAGUGCUAAAAUUAAUAUGUUUUAACAUCAUUCUUAAUGUGUUUUUGGUUGAUUAUUUGAUGUUAAUUAUGAAUUUUAUGCUCCUAAUUCGUGUUUUUAUGCUUAAUAGAACAUUUGGGAGGAAAAUGAGCUAAAAUGGGGGCAACUAUAGGACCCACACAGGCUGACCUAUUCCAUAUGACCAUGUGGGUCAUGUGGCAGGCCAUUCGAUUUCGUAAAUUUUCACUCUGAACUGCGAAAAAAAAACGAAUUUUAGGUUUUUCAAGCAUUUUAAGGCGUAUAUAUGAAAAACAUAAGAAUAUAGGAGAGAACCUACCUAGAAUAUUUAAGAAAACAACUCCAAAAACACCAUUGAAGUCGGCUCUGAAGUAGAUUUUCAUCAAGAUUGAAGAUUCCCAGUUGAUUUCUUAGGAGAUUAUCAUGAGUUUCUUUAUUUCUUUCGGUUAUACUGCCCUUUGGAUGUUUUUAUUUUUAAGCAUGAACUAAUUUUCUAAAUACCUAAGAGAGAUGAACCCUAUGAUAGAUUGUGGCACCCCAAACCCGAUCGGGAUAGACCGGCCCGAAUUCGAAACAUUACAUUAGCCACCUAAGUGACUCUCCAGCUAACGACCACCCAAGACACAACCCAACCUUAUAACACCUCAAUCUUGUUUAAUUAUUAGUUAUUUAUUAAUGUAGAAGUAAAUUAUGAACCAAUUUUAAACUUUUCCUAGGUAAUUUAACCUAAGGGCAAUUUCAUCAUUUUACCACCUAUUGUAAAACUAACCCGAUUUUAGAUCUAAUUGCUUAUCAACCUUUUAAUCAAAUUAUGGAAGCCUAAAAUUUUUAGAUUCAUUUGAGUUUGUUUACUAUGUCUAAUUCAAAUUUUAUUACUAGGGACUAAAUUGUAACUUAAACAAAUUAGAAUAUCAAUUUAAAGAGACAAAAAUUCAAAACCCCAAAACCUACACGGGCAUGUGGAGACUGGAGCUAUCACAUACGGGCAAGUGAGAUUGAAAAAUAUGAAAUAAAUUAAUCGACUUAUUUUUCCAACAACCAUGCUAUGCUACCAAACCAAAUAAUGCUUGAAGCUUUGAAUAGGGGCGAAUCUAAAAAAAAAAAAAAUAGAAGAAUUAUAAUUAAAGUAUACAAUUUUGAGAAGUUAUCAUGUAUUAAUUUAUUAUUUUUUAAAGGGUCUUAAUAGAAAUUUUUUCCCAUUUUGGUUGGGCCAAUACCCUUGUCUGCCUCUUUAAAUUUGCUUCAACCCUAAACCCAAUAUUCGAUUUGGAUUAACAAAAAUAUAUAGGUUAGUAUUUGUGGGAGUUUGACGAAUAAAAAUUUCUUUUCUAGAGGUUUAAAUUAUAAAUUUUUGAAAGAUUAAAAUAAAUUUGUAUUUUUUUAUUAACAAAAUAUAAAAGAAAAAAAACAUGUUUAGACAAGCCAAGAGACCUUUGGGAUCAUACGGGUGAUUUUGAGAUGUUAAUGGUUAUUUUGGUGGAGAGGGUGAAAAAGAAACAAAUGAUUCAUUAUAUAUAAUAUAAUUAUCAAAAUUCAAGCCAUAUAUUGUAUGUUUCAUCCAUAAAAAUUUGAUGGGAGGUCCAAAGGUAAUUAAAUGACUUGUGGGCUUGCUGAAUUUCUUUGAAAGGCCCAAAGGCAAUUUAACAUUCACAAAAUAAUCUCUAAACACUGUAAAGACAAAUCAAAUCCACAGUAGCAUAAGAGUUGAUUAAGCUAAGCAUUGGUAAAUAUUACUUUGAUUUUGCAUGCAAUAUUGACAAAACCCCCUCCUACAUUAGAAAAACAACAUAAUCCAUGGAACAUUGAUAGCCCAAUACAAAUUUAUUCGAGAAAAAAGUCUCUUUGUUUUGUAGAACAUGAUAGUAAAGAUGUGGAGUUUCGUUCUUCUUAUUGGCCUCCUUUAGUUUUCCUUGAUCAACAACCACUAGCCAAAAACACAAUUAGAUUAGAUUAUGAAUGAUACUUUCAACUAUGACAAUAUUAAAUACAAACCCACUCUAAAUAACUUUAAAUAAAUGGAAAGCAGCAAAUUACCUGACCAGGCAAGCUAGUUUAAUUAAGACCAUUGUGUUAUACUUGUCUCUGAAUUGAAAAAUUUAGAAGGAAAUAAAGAGAAAGACUUAGAAAAUACUUGAAAACAGAUAAAACUUAUAUGUCAUUUAAAAUAAAAUAAAAAAUUCUAUUUAAGCCAUUUAAAAGUUUUAAGAUUUUUAAAAUUUUAAAAUGAUAAAAGUAAAAUAAUACUUUGGCACCCAAAAAUGAUAAAACUUUGAUUUAAUUCUUUAGUAAUUAUAAAAAUAUAGGAUAUUAAAAUGGUGAAAUUACAUUUUUACUAUAGUAAAAAUUACAAUUUAAUUUCACCCCCUAAAAGGAUUUUUUGGCUUCGCCACUAAUAAAAUCUUUGGCAAAAGAUUAAAAUAAAAUUAUACCGUAAAUGGAAAAAGAAACUAAGAAAAUCCAAUCUAACAAAGAAAAUAACUUGUUGUAACCAAAAGCUACCAUAAACCGUAAUUCAUGGGAAGGCUUGUUGCUUAUUUUAUUGGUUUCCAUUUUGAUUUUGCAAAAGAAGUCAGAAUUUUGAAGAGAGCAAAAGAAAAAAAAGUUUAUAUGAUUAAAAUUCUAGAAUAGAUUAAAAAUGUUGAAUUAAAGAUAAAAUUAAGUGUACUCAUUACUCACCAUCUCUGUUAAAAAUGUUGGAUGUUGUUUAGCAACCUUUGUUUGAUUUUCUUCAGCUCAACCACAACAUCUUUCAUAUCUUUUCUUUCUUCUGGUAACUCAGCUGAACAAUUCAAAGCCAACUCCAUGAUAGAUGAAAUACAAUUUGCUUUAACAACCAUGUACUCAUCCUCUCUUCUUAAUAAAUCAACAUCUGCAAUUUCUAUCGCUCCUUUAGGCAAUGAUCUUUCCAUCCAAUGCCUUAUACUCUCUUCUUCAACAAAAACAUUAUCAGUUGGCUUUUACUUUGUGAAAGUUUCUAUAAGGACGAUCCCAUAACUAUAGACGUCAGAUUUUAUAGAAACAAUUCCUGCUGAUCCAAAUUCUGCAUUUCAAGUAUAAUUAGAACAUCAUUCACCCUCAGUUAUUUCUAAAAUGCUUAUUCAAAUAUAUAUCCACAUCCACAUGAAACAAAAAUAUAAAAUGAAAAUUAGGAAAAUAAUCAUACAAAAAUAAAAAAGAAUUCACCUUGUGCCAUAUACCCGAUAGUUGCAAGAGUCAUGGUUUGCUUCAUUACUUCACCUUCUCCCAACAAUUUGGCAACGCCAAAAUCUCCAACAUGUGCAACCAUGUCUUCAUCUAGUAAAAUAUUUCUUGGUUUUAUGUCACAAUGAAUUAUAGGUGUUGGAUGUCCAUUGUGGAGGUGUUCUAUAGCUCCCGCAACAUCUAUCAUUAUGUCGACCCUUUGUAUGAUAUCAAGGAAACAAAUUUCAGAGUGUAACCAUUUCUCAAGGUUUCCAUUAGACAUGUAAUCAAGCACCAAGGCUUUGAAGUCAACACUUGAGCAGCAAGUAAUGACCUUCACAAUAUUACGAUGAACUAUAUUACGCAUAGCAUCACAUUCAAUGUCAAAACUCCUAAAUGCUCCCUCUGUUUGCAAAUUGAAAACUUUUAUUGCAACUUCCAUUCCAUCUGAAAGCCUCCCUUUAUAUACAUAUCCAAAACUCCCUGAACCAAGCAUAUUGCUUUCCUCAAAUCCAUUAGUUGCUCGUGAAAGUUCAGCAUGUGAAAUUCUUCUCGGUGUCUUCAAAGACAACAAAUCAUCUUUAAUUGGUAGAGUUGUACUUCUCCUUUGGCAACUUCUAUACAUAAUAGUUAAGACUGUUAGUACUACGACAAUACCAAUUGUUGUAAACCAUACCUAAAAGCAUGCAAUAUAAUCAUUUGGGAGUUUUUGUGGAUGUCGUUUUUGCAAGGUGGGACUAGCAAUCUAGGUGGGCCACAAAGUGCAUAAUUCUUCAUGAAUGAUGUGCUAGAAAAGUUUGAAAAACAUCCUUUGCUGGGAAUUUCCCCUUCAAGUCUAUUGAAAGACACAUUAAAAUACUUUAGAUAUAAAAGCUUUUCCAAAGAUUUGGGAAUGACUCCAGAGAGAUUGUUAUUGCAUAAAUCCAAGAAUUCCAAACUAAUCAAUCCAUCAAAUGAUUCAGGGAUAUGACCAUGUAGUAUAUUAUUUGAUAAAUCUAAUGAAACCAAAGUUUGAAGACCCCCAAAUGUGGAUAAGAUAUCGCCCGUGAGAAGAUUCCUUGAUAAAUUUAGUUUCAGUAGACUCCUAAGAUUUCCAACAUCAAUAGCAUGUGAAUUGUGAAGAUGGUUUGAUGAUAAAUCUAUUUUUAAGAUAUCUUUAAGAUUCCACAAAGUUGAGGGUAUUGCAGAACUCAAUUUGUUGGAAUGUAACCAAAGAUAUCCCAAAGAAGUAAUAUUACCCAAACAAGAGGGUAUAGAUCCAUGCAGCUUAUUCAACCCUAAAAACAAGUUGUAUAAUCUCUCCAAAUCACAAAGGCUUUCUGAGAUGGGCCCUCCUAAUUUAUUAGAGGAAAGACCUAGACUUUGGAGAUUCCGCAGUCCUCCUAUUGAUGUUGGAAUGAAUCCACUUAAUUUAUUAUAGCCAAGUUCUAAAAGCAACAUGUUGCUUAAGUUACCUAUUUCCAUAGGAAUAGUGCCUUGAAGCUCACAAUCUUCGGCAUAAAAGUAUUGAAGGGAUUUUGAAAGGUUCCCAAUAUAAGUAGGAAGAACGCCACUCAAUGGAUUUUCUGAAACUCCUAUGGUUUUCAAAUUCUUACAAUUCGUCAAAGAAGAAAGAAAGCUCCACUCAUGAUCAGUAGCAGAUCCUGUGAUCAAAUUAUUGUUUACGAUUCGGAACCAUUCAAGCUGUCUUAAGUUGCCAAGCGUUUUAGGGAUUGGGCCAGAGAAUAAGUUAUCUCCCAAGUCUAGUUUCGUAAGCAUGGAAGCAUUGGAGAUAGAGUAGGGAAUGUUUCCGCUAAGUUUAUUUCCCCCCAAAAAAAGAAACUCAAGCUUUGGAGCAUUGGUAAUGGGUGGUAAAUUACCUGUAAAAUAGCAUCUUUUAGUAUACAUAUUAAUUGAAUACCAAAUUCAUAAAAUAUAUAAUACAUUAAAAUAAAAACUGUAAAACUUCAAAUCAAUUAAGAAUAAAAUUUUGGCAUGGAAAAAUGUGAUGAAAUCAAUUAGAAAGUUGAGACAUAAUAAGAAGUUUUGAGUAGUAAUUACUCAUGAUUUCUAUAGACAAAACAUAUAAUACACUGAUAAUUUUUUAUAAUUUUUACAAUAUUUACAAUUUCUAACAAUUUUUAAUAAUUUUAUUAUUUAAUACAAAUUUAAAAUUUAACAAUUUUUUAUUUUUUUAAAACAAUUAUAUAUUUAUAAUGUAGUUAUUUUUUUUAUAAUUUUUUUUGAAAUUUUAAAGAUUUUUUUGGUUUUUUUUCUAGAUGAUGAUGCCAUCAUGAUGACAUCAUAUGCCACAUGGCAAUUUAUAAUUAGUUAAAUAUCUCAAUCCAUUUUUCUAACGUCAAAUGGACUAAAACAAGAACACCUGAUAAUGUUAGAGACUACACUUGGAAUGUUUGAUAAUAUCAGGUACUAAAGUGGGCAAAAAAAUUAAGGACUAUAUUAAAAAUAUAUCUAUAAUAUAUAUAAAUGCAUGGAUUUUGAGAAACUUUUGAAAUGAUAAUUAUAUAGUCUUUGUUUUUUUUACUAUAUUAUUGAAUUUUUUAUUUUAAAUAUUUUUUAUUACUUUUAAGAUUUAUCAUAUGUAUGUAUAAGAAUUUUGGUUUUACUAAAAUAUUUGGUCAAAUAAAUUCACUUUAUCAAAAAAUCUAGCAUCCUUAUAAAUAAAAAUUUUGAUUCUAUUAAAAAAAUUAUUUUAAAAAAUAUAUAAUAAAAAUUUAAAAUUUAUAUUGAAUUACUUUAUACUUAAAUUAUUAUUAGAAACUUUAUCAUACACAUACGUGCAUUAGAACCAUGUAUUUAGAACUUAAAUUUGUGUUUUAAAAUAACUUAUGAUAAAUAAUGAAAUGUAUAAUUUGAAACUAUUUAAUAAUAACACAUGACAUAUCUACCAUAUUAAAAUAAAAAUAGAUUAAAUUGUAAGUAAAACAUAAUUUAAACAUAUGAAUACAUCAAAUUACGAAUACUAAAUGAAUACAGUUAUUUAUGAUGAUGUUGUUGUCAAUUCCUAAGUUGGUGUCGAGUUAAUUUGUGACAUCAUAAAUUUAAGUGAUAAAUUUAAGGUUUUAUGUAUUGAUGCGGAUUCAAAUAUCACCAUAAUUUUUUUUAAAUAAAAAACUAAAGUACCCUCAAAUAAUAUAACUUAUAUUAAAUAUGAAAGGGUAGUUUUGUAAUUUCUCUAACGAGUUGGUGCCCGGUUGACUCAUGACACCAACUCAAUCAAAAGCUUCAAUAAUAAUAUAGAUAUUCACGUUAAAAAAAAAGUACUUUAGUUCCAAAUAAUUAUAUAACAAGUAAAUUUAUAAUUGAUGAAUAAAUUUAUAAAAAUAUAUUUAUAUGAUCUAAUAUAUUAUAUUUAUAUUAAUUAUAUAUCAUCUACAAACUUUGAAGAUCAAUUCAUUAAGUAUCAAGAAAGGAAAAAAAUGAAAUUGAAUUAACACUAAAUCAAUUUUUAGAUUUUGUACAGAUGAUUUAAUGAUGAUAAAAAAAUUAUUAGCACUAUUUUUGAAUUAACAAAAAAUUAGUGAUAUAUUUUAAUUAUAUUUAUUAUUUAUUAUUUUUAAUAAUGUUUUUUUAAUUAUAUGAAGUAAAAUUACAGUGUAUACUAAAUAUGGUACAUAUACUUUAAUUAUAACUAGAAAAUUUAUUAUAUAAAUUAAUAUAUUUUAAUUAUAUUCAACCAUUUGAACAACAAAAUAAAAAAAAUAAUUAGAAUAAUUUAUUUUUUAAAGUUUAAUGGAAAUUAAAAAAUUAAAAAUAAAUCAAUUCAUAUAAAUUUUGUUGUUUAUUUCAGAUGAAAAUGAUAAAAGUAUAUGACAUAAAUAGAAGAAACAAAUUCAACACCAUGUUUUUGGAGUUUGGAAAAAAUUAAAGUGAAAAACAUACCUUCUAAUUUGUUGUCAUGGAGACCUAUUUUUUCGAGCAUAGUUGAAUUAAAAAUACUUGAUGGAAUCUGACCUGCACACAUAGUCGAAAAUUGAAGUGAAAAACAUACCUUCUAAAUUGUUCAACUAAAAAUACUUUAAGCAUAUUUUUUAGUAAAGCCCUUCAAGCUUGGGAAGAUGUUGACACGUUGACACAUAUCAUUAGGCAAAGACUAAUAGCUUUCAAAGAAGAAAUCUUGAAGAUGGAAGAUGGAACCUGACCAGAUAAUUGAUUGAGUCCCAAGUUCAAGAUCUCUAGAUUAGACAUGUUAGCAAGUGUUUCAGGGAUUGUGCCUAUAAAGUUAUUAUUUUUCAUUUCCAGCCUUCGAACUCUGUGUAUGUUCCAAAGCCAUGAUGGAAUUUCCCCAUUAAGACGGUUGUAGCUUAAUCGAAGGAUCCGCAAACGAUGCAAUUGGCCCAAUUCUUUAGGGAGAUGGCCAUAGAAAUGGUUGCUACUCAAGUCGAGAGAGAGUAGAAAUGAAAGAUUUCCAAGGUGUGGAGGGAUAGUACCCCUAAGAUUCAUGCUUGUAAGAUUCAAAGCUGUAACUCUUUUAUGGAGGAUGCCACAAGAAACACCAAUCCAAUUGCAAACAGAGGUUGAGACAGUCCAAUUGUUUGGCAAGACAUUUUGAGGACCGGCGAUGCGAUCCUUAAACUCGAGAAGUGCAAACUGAUCGGAGUUGAGAUUUCUGACUGUCAUAGCCAAGCAAAGUACGGAACAUGGUAUGAAUAAAGCUAAAAGAAGAUGAAAGCAAGUGUUGUAGUUCAUGAUUGCAAGACAGAAUAAGAAAAGAAAAUAAAAUAAAAAAAAGUAGGAAAAGGGAAGUUGAGUUGAUAAAAUAGUUUGGAUGAUGAAGAAAAGCCCAGACAGCAUGCUUUAAUAUGUUUGGAUGAUAAAUUUAAACUUGAUAAAUUUAAGACUACCCUAAAAAUACGUACAAAGAAAUUUCAAAAUUUCAAAAUAAAUACGUACAAAGAAGCGAAUUUUCAAAAUUUCUCCUAAAUUUUCUUCACAUUACUCUACAUAAUCCAUUAAAAAAAACUUAAAAAAUAUAUUUUAUUAAUUACUAUAUAUUCUUUUAUUUUCAGAAUCAUAAAUUGUUUAAAAUAUGCUAUUAGUCCCUGUAAUUUAAAAGUUAAAAAAAUUCAAUCCUCCUAUUUUUCUAAUUUAAAAAUUCUAGUCCAAUCAAUUUUAAUUCCAUUAAAAAAUUUCAACUUAAUAGAUUUUUUAUUAUCAAUCAUAUGCAACAUUAUAUGAAGACAGUCUACUCAGCAUAUAUCCAAGUUUACAGAUUUUAAUAGAAAAUACUUACAAUCCUAAUGGUAGGACUAAGUUUUUUAAACUAGAAAAGUAAGAAGACUUAAUUUUUAACUUUUUAAGUACAAGGAUUAAAUUUUAAAUGUUGUCAAAGUACAAGCACUAACAAAAUAUUUUGAUCUAAUAAAUGUAAAAAACUUUUUAAACAAAAUAAGGUUUGAAAUAAUCUAUUUGUCCUUGUAAUUUUAUAAAUUUGAGAUUUAAUCUUUAUACUUAAAAGGUUAAAAAUUAAGUCUUCUUGUUUUUAUUUAAAAAUCUUAGUCCUAUUGUUAAUAUUAUUUUUUUUUUGCCAAAAUUUGUCAACUUUACAUAUUAAUUAGGUUUCCCUUAUAUGUCGUGGUAUAUGACUAACACAAAAUAAGCAAGUUGACAAAUUCUGACAAAAAAUAUCAAAGAUGAUAAUAAUUGGAUUAAAAUUUUUAAAUUGAAUUAAUAACCUUUAAUGUAUAAGGAAUGGAUAUCAAAUAUUUAUAGGAAUAAAGGGACUAACAACAUAUUUUAACCAGAAAAUAAUAUGAGUGAUUAGAAUGAAUCUAAAAUUUUAUAGAAAUAAAAGAGACUAACAACAUAUUGAUAACUUUCAAAUCUCCUUCGAUCAUCCUUUUUCUACGUAGAAAAAGAAAAUUAAUUAGCAUCUAAAGUGUCAAUUAAUGAAACCUUCAAAAGAAAAUGUGAAAGUGAUUUAUCAAACAAUAAUAUUCUAACUUAUAAUAUAUUUAAUUACAUUUAGUAAUUUAUCAAUCAAAACUUAUUUAACAUCCAUCAAUACUUCAUACAUAAAAAACGCAAGCAUAAAUUACCAUUUAACUCAGAUUUAACUUUGCAAGUAAACUUAAAAUUUUAUUUAAUUUUGUUACUAAAUUUGAUUUGUUCACUAUAGAGUUUGGUGACUUAAAAUAAAAGUAAUAAAAAGUUAUUCUUUCAGAUAUCUUUUUAAUGUUUAAUAAUAAAUUAAUUUAUAAAAUAUACUUUCAUUGGACACAGGCCUCCAAAGCGGUGAACCACUAAUCAAAUUAAUUUGGGGAUACCUAAAUUUGUUUUCAUCAAUUAAGAAAUUUAAAAAAUUGUUGAGACCUCAUGAUUAUCUUUUAUAAUUUCAGUCUUAUCACCAAAAACUAAAAAAUAAAAACGUCGACAUUAAAUUUGUUGGUAUGCAAUCAAUUUUAAGAUGGUUUUUGGGGUUAUAUAUCACUUUAGCAUUGACUUACUUUUCUACUCUUAGUCUUCUCCAACAAGUUAAAUAUUUGAAUUUUAACAACAUUGGCAGGUCUUUGGGGUAGGGUCGACCAAAACUUAAUAGAAACAGAUGAUAUAGGUUGAGUUGGCUCGGCCAAGUCGAGUCGACUUGUUCAAAUUAUUUAAAUUAGUAAAUUUUAGGGUGCAGUUAGAAUUUUUUGUUUUGAGAUGCUAAGAUUAAAAAAUUUCAGUUGCUAAAACAAAAAAUUUGUAUUUAAAAAGGCAUAAAUUAAAUAAUUAAGUUUUUCAAGUUUCCAUUUAAUCAAAGGUUAAAAGGACUAAAUUGAAGCUUUUUAUUUUUAAGAAAGGCUGAAUGCCAAAUUGCCCAAAGCCCAUGCCCCUAGCUAUACAACUAACUUUUCUAUGAUUAGUCCUUGGUUUGCUUUGGGUGGAAUCUUCCAACUAGCCUCAUCCUUCGUUUUACUUUCCAACAAUUAGUUUAUCAUGAGUUUUGUUUUCUUUAAAAAAAUAUUUUUGUGGAUAUUAGGAGAUAAUGAAAAUUAAUUUAGUAUGAAAUUUUAAUAAAACUGGAAAAUAAGUAAUUUAUUUAAGAGAUCACAAUUAAACGUUAGAUUUCCAAUUUUUAAAUUUUAAAUUAUUUUGACAAUUGCAUAAUAUUUUGAGCAUUGUAGGAAUGCCAUAAUCUUCCCUACGCAUAAUCGACUCUUGAGCAUGAUGGAUCCUAGGCCUUCUCCUCUAUUCUCGUACCACAAACUGCUUCGAGUGUGGAUUCGAACAAUCACAAAUUAAACACAAAACCAGAAAUGAUUUAUUACUUUCAAUAGCAAAGUAAUUCUCUCUCAAUAGAAACCAAUAGAAUUGUAAUUCCUAAAAAAUAAAAUUUAUUUUUGGAAAAUAUAUUCCCACUACUUUCUAGCAGAAUAAUAAUAUGUGAAACUUAUGUCUUGUGUUAAUAGCUCUACCAGCACUAUCUAUUUAUAGGGAGAGACGAGAAUCCUGGUUGACUUAGUAAAACACGAAUAAUAUUUAUUUCAUUGAAAACAAUAUUCCACCCUAAGUAGAUCAAGUUUGUAUGACGCAUGGAUCGAAGCUCAAUCUAGGAGAAAAAAAAAAGGAAUUUUCUUUGUAAAGAAAAUCUGAGAUUGUACUAUUUUCAAAGUUAUAAAUAAAAUUAUAAGCUAAAUUUUCAAGUCAAUUUUCAACUCCAAUUUUGUAUGCACAAAUUUCUAAUACACUUGGUGGGACAUUCUUUGACUUUUAUCUAUUCUCUCAAAAAGUUAAAGUUCAAAGUUGCAUUAAACUCAAAGAAGAUAAUCAUUAGUAAACCAGCUCACAAGCCUGCUCAAGCUAAUCCUACAACUUGUUCCACUUCAUCAUCAAACACCAAUGUUCUUGCUUAUCCUUAUGGAAUUAAACAGUCUCAUUUUCUGCAUUUUGGAUACACACCUAGUUUUGUUUGAUGCUAAAACAGUCCCUGAGCACUCCAAAGCCUAUAAUUGAACAAAUAACACUAAUUUAAUCUUACAUAACGUGAUCCCAAAUUGAACUUGUAUCGAGGUUUUAACCCAUAAGUGACUAAACUUUACCUUCAACCGAUGAACAGUAAUUCCCACAUAAACUAAGACUCCGAUUGGCGAUUACGAGCCCUUGAAUCCUCCCCUAAUUGGCAUAAACAAAACACUUCAGAAGAAAGUUAACAAACAGAGACAAAUCACUUAUCUAAAACUUACUGAAUGAUCACAGACAAACGUGGAGCGACACAAGGCAGAGUGGGAAAAGAAAAAUCAAGAGGAUGAAGGGUGAAAGAGAGCAGAAAUUCGGUAGCAAUAAAGAGAAAACGGUAAGAGGGUGGAGGGAUUUUGGGGAAAGUAAAAAAAAAAGAUGAACAGAAUAUUUGAUAACUACCCCAAUCCCUUAUUUCUCUCCAUCAAACUCUCCACUAAAUCCACUACUCGAAUUUUUAGUCCAUCUCAAACUCUCCUGGACGCAUGAGCAAAAAAUAAUGCCCAUGCCAAAAUUUGAACACAUGACCUCCUUCACACCAACACUCCACUUAUCCACUAGACCAACAGGCUCAUUCUUUUAAUUAUUUGUCAACUUUUACUUAAAAGCCUACUGACCAAAAAAUACCAAAAUUUGCCCAAGUCCUAGAUUGAACUUGGGACCUCCCAAACACACCCAGAACACAUAGCCAAUUUUCAAGCAAUCUGACAUGAAUUCUCAAUCACAAUUAAUUGAAUUCAAGAUAUAUUUGGAUGAGAAGACAAAUAUUUCAAUUUUAACACAAACCAAUGCUUGGGAUGAUUUGGGAUAAGAACUCCAACAUUUUAAGAUCACAUUUUCUUUUAUAAUUUCAGGCUUAUCAACUAUUUUGAAAACAACAAAACGUCUUACACCAAAAACUAAAAAAUAAAAACUUCGACAUUAAAUUUGUUGGUAUGCAAUCAAUUUUAAGAUGGUUUUUGGAGUUAUAUCUCACUUUAGCAUUGACUUACUUUUCUACUCUUAGUCUUCUCCAACAAGUUAAAUAUUUCAAUUUUAACAACAUUGACAGGUCUUUGGCCGAAUAAUUUUAAACGUCUCAUCAUUGCAAAAAUGAAAUAAUAGAAAAGAAAGAGUAGCCAUUUUAUGAAAUCUAUAAUUCCAACUGUGAAUAAAAUAUAAAUUUUAUGAAUGUGGACAAGCCAUUUUAUUUAUAAUUUUCUGUGUUUUUCUGACUUUUUUUAAGUCAUUUUCUUUGUUUCCUAACCAAAAAAUUUGCCCAUCACUUUAAAUAUAAAUUUAAAUAUAAAUUUUCUUUUUAAAAUAUAAAUUACUUGUCACAAUUCAUAUUUCUAAGUCAAUUUGCCAUCACUUUAACAUACACUAACUGUUCUAUGAUUAGUCCUUGGUUUGCUUUGGGUGCAAUCUUCCAACUAGCCUCAUCCUUGGUUUUACUUUCCAACAAUUAGUGUAUUACGGGUUUUGUUUUCCUUAAUAAAUAUUUUUGUGGAUAUUAGGAGAUACUGAAAAUUAUUUCACUAUGAAAUUUUAAUAAAACUGGAAAAUAAGUAAUUUCUUUUAAGAGAUCACAAUUAAACAUUAGAUUUCCAAUUUUUAAUUUUAAAGUUUUUUGACAAUUGCAUAAUUAAUAAGGUACCAAUUUUGAGAGUUGUAGGAAUGCUAUAAUCUUCCCUACGCAUAAUUGACUCUUGAGCAUGAUGGAUCCUAGACCUUAUCCUCUAUUCUCGUACCAGAAAUUGUUUCGAGUGUGGUUCGAACAAUCACAAAUUAAACACAAAACCAGAAAUGAUUUAUUACUUUCAAUAGCAAAGUAAUUCUCUCUCAAUAGAAACCAAUAGAAUUGUAAUUCCAAGAAAAUAAAAUUUAUUUUUUGAAAAUAUAUUCUCACUACUUCCUAACAGAAUAACAAUAUGUAAUACUUAUGUCUUGUGUUAAUAGCUCUACCAGUACUAUCUAUUUAUAGGGAGACACACGAGAAUCCUGGUUGAAUUAGUAAAACACGAGUAAUAUUUAUUUCAUAGAAAACAAUAUUCUACCUUAAGUAGAUCAAGUUUGGAUGACGCAUGGAUCGAAGCUCAAUCUAGGAGAAAAAAAUAAAGUAAUUUUCUUUGUAAAGAAAACCUGAGAUUGUACUAUUUUCGAAGUUAUAAAUAAAAUUAUACGCCAAAUUUACAAGUCAAUUUUCAACUCGAAUUUUUUAUGUACAAAUUUCUAAUAGACUUGGUGGCACAUUUUUUGAAUUUUAUCUAUUCUCUCGAAAAGCUAAAGUUCAAAGCUGCAUUAAACUCAAAGAAGAUAAUCAUUAGUAAACCAGCUCACAAGCCUGCUCAAGCUAAUCCUACAACUCGUUCCACUUCAUCAUCAAGCACCAAUGUUCCUGCUUAUCCUUAUGGAAUUAAACAAAAGACAAAAGCUCUCUAAGAGUUAUUUGAACAGACAAAAUAUUCAGAUGUGUUGAGAUGGAAAGUGACAACGCAAAGUUGAUUGAAACUAUUUGUAACGGGUUGGCUACAAUAAGUAGUGUUGUGAAGUAAGAUAGAUUCACGAUUGGUGUUCCAAAAUUGAGUAGCUAGUUAUCUUGGAAGAUCCUCCACAUUAUGUGAGAUGCUGGCUUGAAGAAGAUAUUAGACAAUUGCUAGUGACUGAUGAUAAUUUUCAUUUGGACUGAUGCUUGCUUAAUUUUCUAAGCUUAUGUUCAACCAAAAAAAAAAAAAUUAAAUAUGUCUAAAUGAUCAUAGAGUUAACAUUUAGUGUAUAAAAAAUUAAUAUAUAAUUUGUUUUCAAUUGUAGUUUAGUUCUAGAAAUACCAACGAUGAACCUUAAAACGGAAAUGAAAAUUACAAAAAAAAAAACAAACCACAUCUAUUAUCAAACCAACAAUCCAUGUCUAAACUUAAAUUAACAAAAUUCGUUACGCAACUCGGUACACUAUUUUAUAUAAUCAAUAUAUUAGAUUUAUUCUUGAUGCACAUGUUUUAUUAUAGUUAAAAAUUAAAAUAUAUGAUUUACUAAGUUUUAAUUGAAUUAGUAUUGGUAUUAUAUCAGUGUAGGAAAAUGUGAGUUUAAUCGUACUUAAAUAUGUAUCCUCCAACUCAACAGUUGGGAAAAGGUUAUUGAUAAUUAAAUUAUACCAAUUUUUACAAUAUCUAAAAAGCAUUCAUAAACAUAUUCAUAUUGAUGGGCUCUUUCAUUAUUAAACUUUUUUUCUCUCACAAGUAAAAGUACUUGUGGUGAGGAUCAUGUAAAAUAAUAAACUGAAUAAUUUUAAACGUCUCAUCAUUGCGAAAAUGAAAUAAUAGAAAAGAAGCCAUUUUAUGAAAUUUACAAUUCCAACUGUGAAUAAAAUAUAAAUUUUAUGAAUGUGGACAAGCAAUUUUAUUUAACUUUUUUUAAAGUAAUUUUCUUUGUUUCCUAACCAACAUGAAAUUACUUGUCACAAUUCAUCUUUUUAAAUGAGAAACAUUUUCAACAAUUUGCCAUCACAUCAACAUACACUAACUUUUCUAUGAUUAGUCCUUGGUUUGCUUUGGGUGCAAUCUUCCAACUAGCCUUAUCCUUGGUUUUACUUUCCAACAAUUAUUGUAUCCUCCUCAUUACUUUUACUUACCGACGGAUGAAAAAUUCACUGAUCAAAUUAAUUCAAAGAUUUUUUUUUUCUAAAUCAAGUGAAUUCACGAGUUUUAUUUUCUUUAAAAAAUAUUUUUGUGGAUAUUAGGAGAUACUGAAAAUUAUUUUACUAUGAAAUUUUAAUAAAAUUGGAAAAUAAGUGAUUUAUUUAAAGGGAUCACAAUUAAACAUUAGAUUUUUAAUUUUUUAAUUUUAAAUUUUUUUGACAAUUGCGUAAUUAAUAAGGUACUAAUUUUGAGCAUUGUUGGAGUGCUAUAACCUUCCCUAUGCAUAAUCGACUCUUAAAUUCACUUUUUUCUCUAGAAUUUUAACAAACUUACAAAAUGAUUUAAUGAUAUUUAAUUAUUGAUGGGUAAAAAAAUUAUAUCAUAUAAAUUCCGAAUAAUUAAUUAUAUAUCUACAUAUUAUAACCAAUUCAUCUUUCAAAAUUAUUUCCUUAUAAUUAAAGCAAAAAUUAUAUUUAUAAAAUUCUAAAUAUAUUAUAAUUCUUGUAAAUAUAUAUAUUUACAUAUAUAAGUCCAAAUUGUAAUAGAGUUAACAUUUAUUGUAUAAAAAAUGUCUUGAAAUUUUUUUUUUCAAUUUCAAAAGAACUAUUCCAUUUAUAAAACCAUAAAACUUUAAAAAUAUAAACUCUAUUAAAUAAAAAUAAUAAUAUUUUUAAACAAUAAAUAUUGACUUUAUUUUAAAUUGACAUUAUCUAAUUCUUUUUAAUAUGUAUCGCUAAGCUUUACAUUAAUAUACAUGAUUUAUUUGUUCGUUAUUAUUAUUAUUAUUAUUAUUAUUAUUAUUAUUAUUAUUAUUUCUAUGAUUAUUAUAUUAUACUUAUCGGACUACAAUCAUAACCAUGUCUAUUAUCAUUCGAUAAAAAAAAAUUAAGUGUUGAGUAUAAUGACAAGGCACAUUACACUCUGAAGGGGAGAUUAAGGUUUGGACAAAGGAAGAAUAUGAUUCAAAUUUUGGAGACAACAUUCUUGAAAUGAGCAACCAUAAACCCCGAUUAUGAACCAUAAAACGAUCAUGAAAAGUACCCAAAAAAACACAUUUAUUACCAAAUAGUAAUCCAUCUAAGGAUUAAAUUAACAAAAUUCACCAUCCAACCGUGUAGACUAUUAUAAAUAUAUAUACUAUAUUUAUUCUUCAUGCAAAUGUUUAUUAUAUUUAAAAAUUAAAAUAUAUGGUUGAUUGAGUUUUAGUUGUGUUAAUAUUGAAAUUAUUGUCAGUGCAAAAGAACAUGAGUUCAAUCAUGUUUAAAUACGUUUUAUACUCCAAUUUAGGAGUUGGAGAGGAUUCUCAAUAGUUAAAUUAUAUUAGUUUUUGUCUAUUUAAAAAUGAUUUAUAAAUAAUAUAAGUAGAAAAUUUUAAAAAAAAUACAUAUUCAUAUUGAUCGGCUUUUUCAUUAUUAGACUUUUUUCCCCACAGUUAAAAGUAUUUAUCGAAUUCAAAUUUUGGGUUUUAAAUAAGGGUUUCGGAUUUUUUUUAAACAUUUGUGUGAGUUUUUGCCAAAUUUUAUAUUUUCGGAACGAAUAACUAAGUUGAUUUUUAAUUACUUUUUCAAACAAGUCGAUGUAAUUCCUCAAAAAUCUAGUCAAAGCGUCUAGGCUGGGUUUGGAGGUGUUACACUAACGUUACUAAAGUUAAUCUUAAUCUAUUUAGUCUAGAUCUAAACAUCAAUAUUCUCUUCCAAGAAAAAUCAAGAUUAUCAAAUUAUUACAACUGUGUAGCCAGACAAUCAUAUUAAAUAUGCAUAAAACAUAAUAAAUAAUUAGCGAAGAUUGAAACAAUCAAAGAAAAAAAUAAAUAAAUAAACUAAGAAAUAAGGAUCCAUUAUUGUUUCAAGAAAACAGAGUUUAGUUCAUAUUGAGUUGAGAAAACCAGAAAGGAGAUUCAAAACAAACUUGUGAUAAGGGGAACAAUGUCAAUAGAUCAUAUUCAAGUUGUUCGACUUCAGAUUUGACCUGAAAAGAAGAAACCAAACAUAUUUAGGAAAACAAGAAAAAACAAAGAAAAAAAACUAAAAUGAGAAAUUUAAGAAUAAAUAAUAAAUAUUAAAAAUAAAUAAAGAAAUUAUAGAAUAAAAAGUGGCAGAUGGAAUGAAGAAAUGAUGGAUAUAAAUAAAAGAUGGAUAUGACAUAUAGAUGAAUAAGUGUCUGAUAACUCUUGAAAAAAAGUUAUAUUUCAUGCCUUUAGACCUAGCUAAUUGCUUGUACUUAAGUAUAUUUUGUUGCUUUUUAAGACAUUUUAGUGAGCAUUUUUAAUAUUGUAUUAGGACUUAGACUGAGUUGGAAUUAGGUGCUUUUAAUCGCUUGUGGUGGAGUUUUUUGUGUGUUGGUAUGGCAGGAACAGGUUUUAGAUCGAGGAAAUAAAUGAGUGAAGUUUUGUUUGGGCAAAAGUGCAUAUAGUUUUCCAACAAGGAUGCCGUGGCAAUGCCGAGAAGACCAAGUUCAUAUUUUUUGUGCAACAGUCCUAGUUCAAAUUCAAACUUGUAUGAGAUAAAUCCCCCUAAAAGAGGAGAAGAUAAUUACAUUGAUGUUAGUUGACCCUAGCCUAAUCUAUCUAUUAAAUCCAAUGAAAGGGAUCUCACAAAUGGUAGAAAAAAGUGAGAGAGAUCUUUAGGGGUGAAUAAGGGUUUGGCUGUGCAAAGGAAAAGAAGUCAAGGGCAAUCAUUCUUAGCCUUCACAGGACGUUUUGUUGCCAAAGUGUGGACUGGGCAAGUGAAAGCUGUUUCCCAAAGUUCUUCUGUUAUUUCCAUCAGUGUUCCUUCGAAAGAUUGAAUUGAAGUAGUUGAACACAAUGUCAGAUAAUAUUUUGGUUUGAAAUUCUAUUUCCCAGUUUAUGAGCUAAAUCUCAUAAGGUUGGGAUUACUUUCGAUGAAACCUUUAAUUUUUUUUAUGGAUGCAAUAUAUAUCUAAUUUACAUUACAGUUUCAUUUGAUUGUUCUUAUUUCUUAAUUAAAAUGCAAAUGAUCUCUAGACAUAGAAGACUAUUCACAUACUUAUAAACUGAUUAUAAUUCUAAAAGGGUUGGAUUAAAAUUAAAUGAAAUGAGCAAGUAUUUGAUAGACACUUGUAGCCGACUCCAGACAUAGAGUCACGAUCAUACAGAAGGAACCCAUGCAAGAUAUCUGAAAAGCCUUUAGACACAGGCAAGGCAACUUGAGGUUAUUCUCUCACACGAGGCAGACCAUUUUAGAACUCUUCUGUGUUGUAAAGUAGAUACGAUUUUGCCAAGGCAUUAUUGACAAUAAGGGUUGAUUCUGGGUAAUCCCGACCUUCCAAAUCCACAUCGUAUAUCCUUCAUUAUUUUCCAUAGUAUCUUUUCCACAUCAUUAUUAAUUAUUUAUUUGUUCAUUUACAUAAUAUUCCCAUAGUAAUUCUCAUAAUUGCCAUUACAUUUCUACUCUCGAUUUGCCAUAGCAUUACCAAAUAUUCAUUAAUUCCACAUAUUGAUUACAUCAUUACUCUACUCAUUGCCAUUGCAUAUUUAUCAUUGACUUUGUCACAACAUUAAUUGUAUUUUAUGAUAAUAACUUGAUCGAUUUUGUGCCUCAAUCUGAUCAUCGUGGGAAUGAUACUCACUCAUCAUUUAUUACUUGAUUCAACGUGUAUACUUGCACAAAUCGCAUAUCAUUUCACAUGCGACAAUGUCCAAUUGAACCCUUUAAGAUAUAAACUCAAACAAACUCAAUUAAUGGCUUUAAUCAACCCACCAAGAAAUAAUCCUUGGCAAAUUGAAGGAUGAAUAAUGAAUUCCCAUGACUCCUUAAAGAAAAUUGAGAAGAAAACUGCUUCUAAAAAUUACAAGAAACAAUCUUGCACAAAGAAACUAACCUUGAGAGUUGGAAAUUUUAGUAACGAACAAAGACAAUUGUGUCUCUAAUGACCAUGAAAGAGCUUUACAUAGGCUAGAUAAGUACAUCCAAAUAAAAUUUCGAAGUAUCUUAAAACUUUAAUUAAUGUAAGCAAAAAGUAAUUUUCAACUAAAAUAGUCAUAAUUUCCGUAAUAAUCCCGUCUAGAAAUUCUACUCACAUAGUCAUCACUAAAAUAGUCAUCAUUUGAGCUCUUGAACUAGAAAUUGAGUGAAUAAAAGUGUGUUUGAUAGACCUUAGAACUCCAUCAAGACAUAUCAAUCGAAAAAUAUUUGGAUCCCAUCCAAAAAGUCAUUGCAAGUUAACUGAUUUUCCAAACUUGAAAAUUGGCAGCUUCAGUGAAUGAAAUUUAAUAAAGUUCACCCCAUCUGCUCAUGUAUAAACUUGCAGUGGUAAAAAGUAAAAAGAAAUAAUCUAUAGAGAAAAUAGUUGAAGAAUUUAUGACAAUUUAUUCAGACCUUUUUUUCUUCUAGCCUUUGCAAGCUUGAAGUUUCCGUUGGUGUGUGAGAGUUGUUCCUUACCCUUUAAGUUAUUUCUUUUCUUUUCCUUCUUUUUCUUUCUCUUCGAUCUCAUCACCUAAGGGUGCUCAAACAACUGAUUCAGUUAAUACCCGAACAAAGCUAUCAUUAAAUGAAAUUUUGAAACCCUUAAUCAUUAAUGAAACCAAUUUUUUGUUGAAACCUAUUAACCGGCCGGAUUGAUUUCGGUUAAUUUGUGCAGUUAACCAGAAUUUAUACAUUGUUUGUUUUUUAUCAAACAAUUUUAAAACAAAGAACAAUCCAUGACAACUUUUUCCUUGUUUUUUAUUCAAAAAUUAUUAAAAGAACUAAAAAAAAUAACAUAAUAACAACACUAAAUUAAAAACAUAAUAGCAUUCAUUACAGUACAAAUCUUUUUUCUUUUUUUUCUUUUUGUUGACUUUUUAGUUUAAUUUUAGUUUUUUUUCAAAUAUUUUAGUUUUCAUAUUCUUGUUAAGCUUAUUAUAAGAAAACUUAUAAAUCCAUUAGUUUUUAUAUAUUAGGUUUGUAUAAUGUAUUGGAGCUAUCUCUAUAAUAUAUUUUUAUUGAUUUCGGUUAAUCAAUUAAUUCGGUUAAUUAGUCGAUUUCAAACGAAACUAAUUGAUAAACAAAAUCUUCAAAAACAUUUAACCAACUCCCAACCAAAUUAGAUUCGUUGAUCGCCUGCUUAAUCAAGUUAAUCAUAUGGUAAAAUGGCAUAGUUUUGGAAUGGUUUUUUGGAAUUAUUGGUAUAGGUUUAAGUUAUGAUCUUGAGAUGUUGAGUUGAAUUAAGUUUGAUAUGUAUAUUGUGAUGCCUUCAUUGGCAUAUUGGUUAGAUAUUAAAGGAUGGUUGAUUUGGUAUGUUUUUAAAAUGGUUGUUGGUAUGUGUGAUCUAAAUUGAUUAAAUGAACUUGUAAUGUUGAAUGGUAUAAUAUUUGUUGGUACAUUAGUUAGUCUUAUAGGUUGAUGGAAUUGGUAUGUUUUAAAUGUGUUUAAAAUGUGUUUUGAUUGUUUAAAUGUUUGUGGAAAUGGUGUGUCUUGGUGUACAAGAUUUGAAAUUGAAAUGGCUUGAUUUAGAAGCAACUUAUGUUGUACACCACCUGGGACACUGGUUGUCACAUGGUUGUGUGUCAUUAUUGUUUUAGGUACAGGUUUCACACAAUCUGAGACUCGGCUCACGACAUAGCUGUGUAUCACAAGUCAGUAUGUAACACGGUUUGGUACAUGGCCUGCGACAUGACCGUGUGUCCAAACUUCGAAUGUCCACACGGUCUGGGCUAUGUCACACGGGUUGGCCACAUGGCCGUGUGACCCUUGUUUUCAAGUUUUCUAAAAUUUUCUAUUUUAUUUCAAAUUGAUCCUAGAAUAUUCUCAAACUGUUUUUAGGGCCCGUAGGUUCGAAUUAAGGCCCAUAAGUGUAUGUUUGCUAUAAUUAAGUUGUGUUAAUUAAUGUUAUUAAUUAAAUGGCAUGAAUAUUUUAUUGUAAGUUAAAUGUUUUAAUUUGAACUAUAAUGCUCCGUAACUCUAAUCUGGCGACGGAGACAGGUUUGGGGUGUUACAAUUUUGGACUUGAAAUUUGUUUUGGGGCUUUGUUCGAUGUUUGUUGGAUUUUAGUGUUUUAACAUUAAACUACAAAAUUGUAUGAUUUAACAAACUAAAAAUUAGGUUUUCAAAAUUAAAACUCUGGAAGUUUCUGUUUCAAAGAUUAAGUAAUCACUUAAGUGUUUUCCCAUAAAUAAUUAAAUGGUUUUUAACAAAUGUUUUCCUUAGUUUUGGAAAUGAUAUGCCAACAUUAGUACUUUUAAAACACAUGAUUUCAAAUUCAAAUUCUUGGUUUUAAGUAAGGGUUUUCAAACUUUGAUUUUUUUUAACAUUUGUGAGAGGUUUUUGCCAAAUUUUAUGUUUUCAGAACGUGUAACUAAGUUGAUUUUUAAUUAGUUUUUCAAACAAGUCAAUGUAAUUCCUCAAAAAUCCAAUCAUAGCGUCUAGGUCGGGUUUGGGUUGUUACACUGACGUUACUAAAGUUAAUCUUAAUCUAUUUAGUCUAGAUCUAAACAUUAAUAUUCUCUUCCAAGAAAAAUCAAGAUUAUCAAAUUAUUACAACUUGGUAGGCAGACAAUCAUAUUAAAUAUGCAUAAAAGUUAAUAAAUAAUUAGCGAAGAUUGAAACAAUCAAAUAAAAAAUAAAUUAAUUAACUAAGAAAUAAGUUCCAUUAUUGUUUCAUGAAAAUAGAGUUUAGUUCAUAUUGAGUUGAGAAAACCAAAAGCGAGAUUCAAAACAAACCUGUGAUAAGGGGAACAAUGUCAAUAGAUUAUAUUCAUGUUGUUUGACUCAAGAAAGAAAUAUUCGAAUCUAACUUGAAAAGAAGAAACCAAAUAGAUUUAGAAAAAUAAGAAAAAAAAACAAAGAAAAUAACUAAAAUGAGAAAUUUAAGAAUAAAUAAUAAAUAUUAAAAAUAAUAAAGAAAUAAAGAAAUUAUAGAAUAAAUAAUGGAAGAUGGAAAUGAAACGACGGAUAUGACAUAUAGAUGGAUAAGUGUCUGAUAAUUCUUGAAAAGAGUUAUAUUUCAUACCUUUAGACCUCACUAAUUGCUUGUACUUAAGUACAUUUUGUUGCAUAUUGAGACAUUUUUGUUCGUAUUUGUAAUAUUGCAUUAGGACUUAGAUUGUGUUAGAAUUAGGUGUUUUUGAUCACUUGUGGUGGAGUUUUUAGUGUGUUGGUAUGGUAGGAACAAUAUUUAGAACGAGGAAAUAAAUGAGUGAAGUUUAGUCAGCGCAAAAGUGCAGAUAGUUUGCCAACACGUAUGCCGUGGCAAUGUCGGGAAGACCAAGUCAACAAAUUUUUGCGCAACAGUCCUAGUUCAAAUUCAAACUUGUACUAGAUAAAUCUCCUUAAAAGAGGAAAAGAUAAUCACAAGUUGUUAACCGACCCUAGCCUAAUCUAUCUAUAAAAGCCAAUGAAGGGGAUCUCACAAAUGGCAGAAAAAAGUGGAAGAGAUCCUUAGGUGCGAAUAAUGGUUCAGCUGCGCAAAGGAAAGGAAGUUGAAGGCAAUCUUUUUUAGCCAUCACAAGACGUUGUGCUGUCGAAGUGUGGACUAGACAAGUGAAAGUUGUUUCCCAAAGUUCUUUCGUUAUUUCCGUCAGUGUUCCUUCAAAAUAUUAAAGUAGUUGAACAUAAUGUUGGAUAAUAUUUUGGUUUGGAAUUUUAAUUCCUAGCCCAUGAGCUAAAUCUCGUAGGGUUGGAAUUACUUUUGAUAAAACCUUAAACUAUUUUUAUGGAUGCAGUAUAUAUGUAAUUUACUUUACUGUUUCAUUUUAUUAUUCUUAUUUCUUAAUUAAAAUGCAAAUGAUCUCUAGACAUUGAAGCCUUUCACAUACUUAUAAACUGAUUUUAAUUCUGAAAGGGUUGGAUUGGUUGGAUUAAAAUUAAAUGAAAUGAGCAAGCAUUCGGUGGACACCUGUAGUAGACUUUAGACAUAGAGUCACGCUCAUACAGAAGGAACCCAUGCAAGAUAUCUAAAAAGCCUUUAGACAUAGGCAAGGUAACUUAAGGUUUUGCUCUCACGAGAGGCAGGCCAUUUUAGUACUCUUUUGUGCUUUAAAGUAGAUACGAUUUUGCCAAGGCAUUAUUGACAGUAAAGGUCGAUUAUGGGUAGUCCCAACCCUCCAAAUCCACAUCGUAUAUCCUUUACUCUUUGCCAUAGUAUAUUUGCCACAUCAUUAUAAGUUAUUUAUUUGUUCAUUUACAUAAUAUUUCCGUUGUAAUUCUCAUAAUUAUCAUUACUUUCUACUCUCGAUUUGCCACAACAUUACUAGUUAUUUAUUAAUUCCACGUAUGGCUUACAUCAUUGCUCUACUAAUUGCCACUGUAUAUUUACCAUUGACUUCGCCAUAGCAUUAAUCAUAUUUUAUUAUAAUAACUUGACCAAUUUUGUGCCUCAAUUCGAUCCUCAUGGAAAUGAUACUCACUCAUCACUUUAUUUGUAACACCCCAAACUCGGCCUAGACGUUAUGGCCGAAUCUGGUGAUGUCACAUGGAGAGGGAUUUGAAGACAAGAUUGUUGAGUUUAAAAACCGUUACAGUAAGUUAGCUUUUAUUUAGGGAAAAUCGUGUUUUGUAGAGUUGUAGUUUUUAGGAAAAAAAUCGUGUUUUGUAGAGUUGUAGUUUUUUUAAAAAACCCAAUAAAAAAUAGUAUAAAGUCCCAAAUUUAAAACCAAUCAGUCCAUAGUCCAGAAGAUACAUCAAAAACUCAAAAUAAGUAAUAAAUUCUAGGCAUUAACGGAAAACAAUCUAAAAUUUACGUGUGGCCACCAUUGAGUCCUCUGCUGCACCGAUUCGUCAAGUCUGAGGAUUACCUAUACAAAUUAAAUAGAGAAAGGGUGAGUUGUCGCAAACUUAGUGUGUAAUCCCCACAGAAAACAUGCAUAGAGAUAAUUAACAAAAUUUAGUUAGAUACAGUCUAGGGCCUGUGCCCAUCAUAGAAUCAGUUUGGGCCUUAGCCCAUUCAGAUAUAGUCUUAGAAAUACAUUAGGGCAUUGACCAGCCUCUACAAACCACCUCCAUCCAACCAUACACACCAUGUGGGGAUUAAAUCAACCAACCCAUCCCUACACACCAUGCUGUACCGAAAUGCGGCACAUAAUUAGAAGGUUGCAGCUGGGCUGCCAGAUAACAUAAGUCAUGCUCGGUAUAGAAAUCAGACAGACAGAUCACACAUAUAGGUGUCUAAGUAAAGCUUACUGACCCUACAGUAGGUCCACAGUUAACUUGGGCGACCCGUGCAAAAUUACAGAACUUUUUAGAAAAAUGGGCUUACACGCCUAUGUGGCCCACUCGGCCCAAAUUGGCCUUGACCACGUGAUCCAUUUUUAAUGUAACCAGUGCUAGUUAAUUAUUCAUAUAUGUUUUCACUAUUUACUUAUAUGUUAAUUUAAAGCUGUCUACUUGAGUCACUGUUACUAAAUUAUUUAUAUCUUGAGCUACAGAAUUUCAAAUUAAGAUCCGCUUAAUGUCUUUGAAACUAGACUCAAAUAUCUUUCUACUAUAAAAUUUUUAUAAUUUUUGGUUGAGCCAACAAGUACAGUAAAAUCUUCAAACCUUCCCCUAUUCUGCUGUCUGACAACUUCAACCCUUCUUUGCUAAGAAUUAAUUAUCUCUUAGUACAAGAUUUGGAUGAUGUUUACAUUUGUUUCUAUUGAAAAUAAACUCAUUAAUAAUUUAAAAAUGUAAAUUUUAAACCCCUAAUUAUUUUUCUCCAAUUUUUGAUGAUUUUCCAAAUUUAGAACAGGGGAACCUUAAUUCUUUCUGACCUUGUCUCACGAAGUUUAUUAUACCUCACAAUUUACAAUUCCAUUACUUACAUCGUUUAAGAUUUAAUUCCAUAUUUUUUUCAUCCUCUAAUUCAAUUUCCACAAUUUAUGGCAAUUUUUCAAAGUUAACCUACUGUUGUUGUCCAAACAGCAAGCAAUUUUGGCUUUUCGCCGAAUCCUUUUUUUUGCAUUUCGGGUACACACCUGGUUUUGUUUGAUGCUAAAACAAUCCCCGAACACUCUAAAGUCACCAAUGAUAACCAUCCAUUUAAAUAUUGUUAACACGAGAACACUGAAUUCACUAGUCCGAGUCUCCCCCUACGCCCAAAUCGCAGAGAAAAUACGUUACCACUUUAGUCGCUAAAAGAUUCAUGAUAGAAAAGAAGAGAAACACUUACCGAACUAAGCGAGCACUAACCGUGUGUGAAAAUGAAGGAAAAUAAAUGGAUUAGGGAAAAAUCAAGAACAAGAAAAAGAAGAAAAAGAAAAACUCAGAGAAUUUCAACAAGAGGAGAGGGAGAAGAAUAGACGGCGAAUAAAAUUCUGAUAACCCCCAAAAUCCCUUAAUCUUCUCCCCUAAUUCCCACUACACAUCCACUAUUCAUAACCCCCUAUUACAUAACUCUAUCCGAAAUCUGAUAAAAAAAAACAUAAUACCCUUGCCUGCAUAGGGGUUCAAACACAAAACCUCUACUAUAAUAACACAUCAUUUAACCACCAGACCAGCAGGCCCAUUCUGAUGUAAUUUACCCAAAAAUCAAAUAAAAGCCUACUCAACAAGAGUAAAGCCUAAUUCAUUCAAAAUACCAAAAUUUGCCCAAGCAAAAGCUUGAACUUGGGACCUCCCAAACACUCCCAGAACACAUAACUACUAAAGCUGACAAAUAUUUGUGUCAUAUUUUCACAAUAAUGAAAUUAGAAAUUUUGGGACAUUACAUUAUUACUUGAUUCAACUCUUGCACAAAUCGCAUAUCAUUUCACACACAACAGUGCUCAAUUGAACCCUUUAAGAUAUGAAAUCUAACAAACUCAAUUAAUGGCUUUAAUCAAUCCACCAAGAAAUAAUCAUUGGCAAAUUGAAGGAUGAAGAAUGAAUUCCCAUGACUCCUUAAAAAAAUUGAUAAGAAAACUACUUUUAAAAAUCACAAGAAACAAAUCUUGCAUAAAGAAACUAACUCUCAGAGUUGGUAAUUUUAGUAAUAAACAAAAACAAUUGCGUCUCUAAUGAACAUGAAGGGGCCUUUACAUAGGCUAGAUAAGUACAUCCAAAUAAAAUUGUCAAAUAUCUUGAAACUUUAAUUAAUGUAAGCAAGAAGUAAUUUUAAACUAAAAUAGUCAUAAUUUUCGUAAUAAUCCCGUCUAAAAAUUCUGCUCACAUAGUCAUCAUUAAAACAAUCAUAAUUUGAGCUCUUGAACUCAAAAUUGAGUGAAUAAAAGUGCGUUUCGAAGUUAAGUGAUAGAUCCUAGAACUCUAUGAAGACAUAUCAAUCAAAAAAAUAUCUGGAUCCCAUCCAAAAAGUCACCGCAAGUUAACUAAUUUUUCAAACUUAAAAUUUGGCAGCUUCGGUGAAUGGAAUUUAAUAAAGUUCACUCCAUCCAUUCAUGUAUCAACUUGCAUUGGUAACAAGUAAAAGAAAAAAAUCUAUAGAGAAAAUAGUUGAAGAAUUUAUGACAAUUUAUUCAAAUCUCUUUUUCUUCUAGUCUUUGCAAGCUUGAAGUUUCCCUUGGUGUGAGAGAGUUGUUCCUUACCCUCUAAGUGAUUUUUUUCUUUUUCUUUCUCUUCGAUCUCGUCACCUAUUGGUGUUCAAACAAUUGAUUCAGUUAAUACCCGAACAAAACUAUCAUUAACUGAAAUUUUGAAACCCUUAAUCGUUAAUCAAACCAAUUUUUUUAAAAAAAACCUAUUAACUAGCUGGAUUGAUUUCGAUUAAUUUUAGCGGUUAACCAGAAUUUAUACAUGGUUUUUUUUUGUUCAAAAAAUUUUAAAACAAAGAACAAUCCAUGACAAUUUUUUCCUUGUUUUUUAUUGAAAAAAUUAAAAGAACUAAAAAAAUAACAUAAUAACAACAAUAAAUUAAAAACAUAAUAGCAUUCAUUACAUUACAAGGCAUAUAUAUAUAUUUUUACUUUUUCUUCACUUUUUAGUUUAAUUUUAUAUUUUUUAAAAUAUUUUUAGUUUUCAUAUUUUUGUUAAGCUUAUUAUAAGAAAACUUAUAAAUCCAUUAAUUUUUCUAUAUUGGUUUUGUAUAAUGUAUUGGACUUAUCUCUAAUAUAUUUGGCCUAUAAUAUAUUUUUAUUGAUUUCGGUUAAUCAAUUAAUUCGGUUAAUUAGUCGAUUUCAAACUAAACUAAUUGGUAAACAAAAUCUUCAAAAACCUUUAACCAACUCCCAACCAAAUUAGAUUUGAUUGCUUAAUCAAAUUAAUUAGGUUUGAUAAAUUAAUUCGUUAAAACCAAAAAAUCCACACCCCUAUCAUCACCUUUAUUUUUAGGGAUUUUAAUCAUGUUGCUGCACCUGAUGCAGAAGUUGAGGUGGAACGAACUGCUUGCUACCACAAUUUAUGAAUUAUAGAGCAUGCUCCACCGUAGUGAAUCAAAUUCGGUGGAGUAGAAGACUUUUCUUCACUACUUUAUGCUCUAUGCUCCAAGUCUUCUAUUCUUCUUCUGAGACCUACAAUGGGAAAAUAAAAACUAAGAAACAAGUCUAAACUAACUUUGAAAAUUAGAAAUUUUCAACAAAAUUGAAAUAAAAUAUAAUUAAUCCAUAAAAAACUAUAAAAUGCAAUAAAAACAAACCUAAAUACUAAAAUUACCUCCUAAAAUGCUGUGGAAACUAUACUAAAAUAACUCUAAAUAUGAUAGUUAUCAGAAGCGACUUGAAUAAGCCAAUCGAGUAGAUGAUUUCAACUAUUGCAAAUAGCAUCAGUCGAUUAACCAUCCUCUUGAGAAGAUCAUAGAGUUGAAAGAAAAAAUCAUACAACUCCAUGAAGAAGAAAAAAUCAUGUUUGAAAAAGAAGUGGCAUUAUCAAACUUGACAUCAAUGCUUUGGUUUCUCAAUACAAUAUUAAGGAGAAAUUCAUCAAAUUUGGCUCUUUCACUCCUAUUACACUAGCUCUAAGUAGAAGUAAGAUGGUGAAUUUCGAAGGGAUUGGGGACAAUCAUCUAUUUUUGGAAUAUCAGAAUGGUCAUGAUUGGACUCAAAGAAGCCAAUGAAAUGCAUCUCUCCUAGGUAUAAGCUUAUAUUGUCACAUUGCUCCUAAGCACGAGCAUAAAUUGUUCAUCCAAAAUGAUGAUGCUCCUAAGCAUGAGCUUAAACUGUUCAUCUAAUGCUCCUAAGAAGGAGCCUAAACUAUUCAUAAAAAAUAAAUGAUGAUCCAGUGAAGCACGAGAUUAAACUAUUCAUACGAAAUAAAUGAUUACCUCCUAAGCAUGAAUUUAAAUUGUUCAUACAUAAUAAAUGAUGAUACUCCUAAGCAUGAGCUUAAAUAGCAGUCCAAAAAAAAUUGAACAACAUUAUAACUUUAUCUUUUAAAAAUGAAGGUACGUAGAUAGCCUGGUUUCAUUGCCAAGUUCAGUCAGUGAAACAAAUUCUUGAAAGUAGGAAGCAAAUAAAAUUUCAAGACUUGUACCCUUUCUACGCCCAACAAAAUUCAGAAUUCAGCAUUUGUUAUUACUGUUUAUCUCUAACUAAAUUAAUGAAAAGAUAAAUCAAGAAAUUAAAUCCUUUUAGAACUGUCUUAUAAAGAAACCAUAUUCUUUAAGGAUUACUUUAUCUAUAAUUAAUUAAAUUAAUAAGAUAUGAAUAAUAAUAAUAGAGUUUAAAUUCUUAUAGAACACUCAAAUGAAAAAGCUAAAUUCUACAACAACUCUCUUAUAUCAAAGUGAUUGGGCACUAUAAAAAUGGGUCACCUCCAAGUCAUUCUACACAUUCACAAGUUCAAGAAGUUCAAAAAUUCUUUACGAAAAUAUGAAGAAACUAAAGAAGUAGAAGAAAUUCUGAUGAACAUCAUAUCAGUUCUAAAGAAAAACUGCCUCCUAUCCAAUUCAAUUGAGAGGAGGAUGUCAACAGAAGAGAAGAAUCGAAGAAGUUUUGUUUGUAAAUAAAUUCAAAACUAUACACUCUUCGAAAUAAUAAAUAAAAUUUGACGCAAAAUUUUCAAGUCAAUUCUCAACUUAAAAUUUGCGUGUACAAUAUAUAUAGGAAAGAAUCCAUUUACAUUAUAUAAAACUAGUGUAUGUAUAAUACAGAAAUAUUUAGUACAUUAUCAAUAAAGUUUUUAAACUAUGCACUGUGAUUAAAACCAAAAUAAUAAUAAUAAUAACAACCAAUCACUUUAUUUGACUAACUUUUCCCUACAAGUCUUUAGUAUGGAGACAAAUCAGUUUAAUCAGCCUUUGGAGCUAUUAACUGACAUUUCCACCAUUGAUUUGAAAAUCCUAACCCAUCAAUUCACUUUAAAUGAAACGAGAUCCACUAGUGUUUGGUGUUAUAUUUUUAAAAUGUAUUUAGAUUAUUGUUUAUUAAUUUUAUUUGUUUAUAUUUAAAUCAAAUGUAAUAAAUUGUUGAAUUUAUAUACUUCAUAUUAUAACAAUAUAUUUUAACUUGCUACUUCUCUUUUUAAUUUAAUUUUUUGUAACUCUUCACAAUUUAUUUUGAAAAAAAUUGAAAAAACUAAAUGAUUAAAUUAAGGCUCAACUUUUCACUAACCUUAGUUUAUUUAGUCUAACUUUUCACAAAUUAAUAUACUCAUUUCAUGUUUCAUACCAACAACUUUUCUUUUUGGUAAAAAGAAAAAACAACUAUACGUUUUUUUUAAUCCCAAAAUUAAGGCUUUAUGAAUGAAAAUAAUAUUAUAUUAACUAUGAUAAUUAAGUCUUUAUUUUUAAUAUGAUUAAUAUUAUAUAUAAUAACUUUAAAUAUGCUUCCACUAAUCAGAUAUACUAAAGGAAAGAGUAACUUUCUUUUUAUGGUAACUAAUUUUCAAUUAUGUAUUUUAAUCUAUCACUAAAUAAUUAAUUAUAAUCAAGAUGUUAAUUUUCCAUAAAAUGUACAUAAUUUUGGUUGGUAUAUUAAUAAAUUUAGCCCUAAAAAUUUACACAUGCAAUUUGGUCUUAAUUUAACAAAAUUUUCCCGCAACAUUUGUGUAAAUAUGUAAAUGUUGAGGUUAAAUUUCUUGAAUUUUUUUUAAAAAAUUAAGGUCAAAAUGACAAAAAUAUAAAUAUUGAAAACUAAAUUUAUUACUGUACCAAUCAAAAUGACAAAAUAUAGCUAGGGACAUGGGCUUGACCGAGCCAACUCAACCUAUUUCAUCUGUUUCUAUUGACUUUUGCUCGACCCUACCCCAAAGACCUGUCAAUUUUGUUAAAAUUGAAAUAUUUAACUUGUUGGAGAAGACUAACUGUAGAAAAGUAAGUCAAUGCUAAAGUGAUAUGUCGACGUUUUGUUGUUUUCAAAAUAGUUGAUAAGCCUGAAAUUAUAAAAGAUAAUCAUGAGGUCUUAAAUGCAAUUAUGAUAUUUCUAAAAAGAUAUUUCUCAACAAUUUUUUUAAUUUCUUGAUUGAUGAAAACAAAUUUAGGUAUUUCCCAAUUUGUAAAAACAUGAUUUUUCUUUGAAUUUCUAGGUUUUUCUUAGCUUUUUUUUAUAUUAUUUUGGAAUUUUUGUAAUCUUCUUAUAAUUUCUUAAAAAAUAAUAUAUUUGUAAAAAUUUUUAAACCAUAAAUACCAAUUAAGAAGAAUGUGAUAAAAUUAGGGGUAAAUGUGUAUUUAAGCCAAAGAAAAUAAAAGAAUAAUAAUGAAAUUCACCUAAAAACAAUUACAAGGACUAGAUGAACAAUUUGACCUAAAACUUUGUUUGAAAUGAUGUCAUUAAUGUGUUACAUCAGCUUUCUUAGAGAGAUAAAAAUUAAAUGAAUAUGAGAUACAUGAAACUUGUAUCUCUUUCCAAUAAUUUAACAUUAUUUCAAUAUUUUCAUCUUGAAUUCACGAGUGAAGCGUACAUCAUAUACCAACUCAAUUGGAAAAAAGUCUUUAAAUUAUUUUUAAAUUGUAACAAAUAUUAUUAUUAAGAUGUUUUUCUUUUUAUAUUUUUUAUAAAAUAUAUUAAAAAACAAUUAAAAUAAUUUUAAGAGAAAAAAACUCAUACAAGGUAGAAUUUAAUCUAAAGAUGUCAAAGUUUUAAAGCCUCAACUUUAACAUUUCAACCGAAAUUCCAUUAGUAUAUAAAUAUUUAUAAAUAUAGAUUUUAUAUAAAAAAUUUUAUGUAAACUUUUUUUUAACCCGCAUCACAAGUACACCAUAUUUAGAGAUAUUCAUAGUUAGGCAGUCCACUUUGAGUCAAGCUUGAGCUUAGGUUUUCAAUCUCAAGUUGGCCCAAUUCAACUUAUUUUACUACUUAAAAAUAUAAAUAUAUGUUAUAUUGAUAUUUAUAUAUGUCUAUAGUUAAAAAAUUAUUAAAAAUAAAUUCAACUUAUUUAUUAAUUAAAAAUAUAAAUAUAUGUCUAUAAUUAAAUUUUAAAGAAAUUUAUUGUUAUUUUCUAAACAUAAAACAAAGAAAACUUUCACCCAAAUUAUAAGUUUGUGGUCAGGCAGCCCACUUUGGGACUGGAAUCAGCUUACUUUUUUAAUCUUGGGCUUUAAAAAUAAUAAAAAUAUAAAAAUAAUGUUCUAUUAAUAUUUAUAAAUUUUAUAAAUUUAAAUUUAAUUAUAUUUUUUAAACAGUAAAAUCAACCAUUUAUAUGGGCUAAAUUGAGUUAAGUUCGGUUUGCAUCAAGCCUUAACUUUGACCAAAUCCAACUAAAAACACCUCUAACCAUAAUCUAGUAUUGUUUUUAUGAAUUCAAUUUUAACUUGUAAUUUUCAAUUCUAUUACAAAAUUUCUUUGCCUACGAUAAGAAAAUAACAUAUUUGUAACUAAGUAAUUAAUUAAGUUAAUGUCACGAGUGAAUCAUACAUUAUAUGCCAACUCAAUUGGAAAAAGUUUUUAAAUUAUUUUUAAAUUGUAACAAAUAUUAUUAUUAAGAUGUUUUUCUUUUUAUAUUUUUUAUAAAAUAUAUUAAAAAACAAUUAGAAUAAUUUUAAGAGAAAAAAACUCAUACACGGUAGAAUUUAAUCUAAAGAUAUCAAAGUUUUAAAGCCUCAACUUUAACAUUUCAACUAAAAUUCCAUUAGUACAUAAAUAUUUUAUAAAUAUAGAUUUUAUAUUAAAAAAAUUAUGUAAACUUACAUAUAUGGUUCGUCAUGCAAAUGUUUAUUAUAUUUAAAAAUUAACAUAUAUGGUUAUUGAAUUUUAAUACUGGCUUGAGGAGUCGACUCUAUUGUAGAUUCUAGAUUAAUCUAAUAUUUCACCCUCUUUUAAUUUUCUUUAUUGGAAGAGUCUUUAAGAGAUAAGUUAAGUAGUAUAGCAGUUUCAUCUAAAACAACAUCUCUGCUAAUCACAACUUUUCUAUUUUUAGGACACCAUAACUUAUACCCUUUUACAUCAGCUUUAUAACCAAUAAAAACACAUUUAAUGAAUCUCGGUUCCAAUUUUUCAUUAUCAACAUGAGCUUACGAAGGACACCCAAAGAAUUUAAUCUAAAGAUAUCAAAGUUUUAAAGCCUCAACUUUAACAUUUCAACCGAAAUUCCAUUAGUAUAUAAAUAUUUUAUAAAUAUAGAUUUUAUAUAAAAAAAUUUUAUGUAAACUUUUUUUUAACCCGCAUCUCAAGUGUACCAUAUUUAAAGAUAUUCAUAGUUAGACGUCCACUUUGGGUCAAGCUUGAGCUUAUGUUUCCAAUCUCAAGUUGGCCCAAUUCAACUUCUUUUACUUUUUAAAAAUAUAAAUAUAUGUCUAUAAUUAAAUUUUAAAGAAAUUUAUUGUUAUUUUCUAAACAUAAAACAAAGAAAACUUUCAUCCAAAUUAUAAGUUUGUGGUUAGGCAGCCCACUUUGGGACAGGAUUCAGCUUACGUUUUUAAUCUUGGGCUUUAAAAAUAAUGUUCUAUUAAUAUUUACAAAUUUUAUAAAUUUAAAUUUAAUUAUAUUUUUUAAACAGUAAAAUCAACCAUUUAUAUGGGCUAAAUUGAGUUAAGUUCGGUUUGCAUCAAGCCUUAACUUUGACCAAAUCCAACUAAAAACACCUCUAACCAUAAUCUAGUAUUGUUUUUAUGAAUUGAAUUUUAACAUGUAAUUUUCAAUUUUAUUACAAAAUUUCUUUACCUACAAUAAGAAAAUAACAUAUUUGUAACUUCUCCAAUUCGACGUAAAUGUUCAGUCUGAAUUCAGAAGAUUACAUCAGCCAUAAAGAUGGCCUAGCAAGGUUAUUAGAGUUUUCAAAAACAGGCAUCUUUAAAAUGCUUGUUUAAUUUAUACAAAAACUUAUUUAAUUUCCAAAUUAUUUAUUACUUGAAAUCUUAAUUAUACUUUGAAAGCAAGAAGUGGUAACUAUUUAUUUUUAAUAAAAAUCAGGGUUCAUGUAUAAUUGAUUAAUAACUGUUAGAAUUAAGCGACCCGAAUCUUUAUUUAAAUGAAAUACAGUGGUAAAAUAAAAUAAAAUUAAAAUCCCUAUAGAACUACACUUAUUUUAUUUUAUUUUAGAAUAAGGAUUUUUAAACCUUAUUAAACUCCAUCCAUUUGAUAUUGAUUAGAAUAAGGUGUUUCAAUCUUACUACACUCCUAUUAGAAUAUGGUUUUACAAGCCUAUAAAUAGACAUAGUCUACUCCUCUUGUAAUUAUUCGAAUUCGACAUAGGGAUUUAUCUUCUCCUCUACCAAUAGCUUUUUCCCUGAAAGGGUUUCCACGUAAAAUCUGUGUGUUUUUUUUAUUUUUCUCCCUUUUAUUCUUUGCAAUACAUUGUCAUUACCAACAUUCUAUUUUUAGCAAAUUGGUAUCCAAGCUUCCAAUUUGUUCAUCUCAAUCAUGGUAAUGGCGUCUUUGAAGUAUGAAAUUCUGCUAUUGGAUCGCAACACCAGAUCCGCAUUGUGGCAGAUAAAGAUGCAGGCAGUUCUUACACAGAUAGACUUAGAGGAAGCCUUGCUAGGGGUAGAUAAAAUGUAUUCAACAUUAACAGAGGAAGAGAAGAAGCACAAGGAUCGAUAGGCGUUAACACAAUUACAUCUUCAUUUGUCCAACGAAAUUUCACAGUAUGGAGAAGACCGUCGCUGGAUUAUGGAAGAGGUUGGAACAAAUAUGUACGUCGAAUACUCUAACUAGCAAGUUGCAUAUGAAGCAGCUUCUUUAUGCUCAUCGUUUGGAGGAAGGUGUCUCUAUGCACGAACACUUAAUAGUGUUUAAAGGAAUUCUCUCGAACUUAGAGGUCAUGAAGGUUCAGUAUGAUAAUGAAGAUCUACGAUUGAUUCUACUUUGUUCGUUGCCUCUAUCUUAUUCAACCAUUAGAGAUGGGAUUUUAUAUAGCCGCGAGUCUCUCACAGUUGAUGAGGUUUAUGAUUCUUUAACCUCGUAUGAUAAGAUGAAGCAUCUUUUUCGUAAAACUGACUCUUAGGGAAUGGGUCUCAUUGUUCAUAGUAGAUAAGAUCAGAAUGCUGAUGAUGAUCGUGAAAGGACACAGGAAUAGAAUUCUCGCGAUAAAUCUAAGGAUAGAUCAAAGAUUUCAAGCAGAGGUAAAACUUGUAACUUCUGCAAGAAGAAAGGGCACAUUAAAUCUGACUGUUAUAAGCUACAAAUCAAUAUCAAAAGGGAGGUUGUGAAACAAAAUGGAAAACAACUAGAAUAUGUUGGUAAAGCUGAUGUUGUAGAAGACUAUAGCGAUGGUGAACUUCUAGUCACUUCUAUCAACAAUUCUAAAAUAAGCGAGGAGUGGAUCCUUGAUUUGGGCUGCACCUUUCACAUGAGUCCCAAUGGAUAUUGGUUUAUAACUUACGAAAUAGUGUUUGAAGGUGUUGUUUUGAUGGGAAAUAAUGCUUUAUGUAGAAUUGCAGGUGUUGGGACAAUAAAAGUUAAGAUGUUUGAUGGAGUUCUCAGAACACUUAAUGACGUACGACAUGUUCUAGAAUUGAAGAGAAAUUUAAUUUCAUUGAGUACUCUUAUUCAAAAGGUUAAAAAUACAUAGCUAAAAGUGGGGUUUUUAAUAUUUCCAAAGGUUCUCUCGUUGUGAUGAAAGGGCAGAGAAAGACUGCCAAGUUAUAUGUUUUGUAGGGUUUAGGAGUUCUUUGGCAUAUACGCCUAGGGCAUAUAAGUGAGAAUGACAUGGCAGAAUUGAGCAAAAGAGGACUUCUUGAUGGGCAAGGAAUUUGCAAACUGAAGUUCUGUGAUCACUGUAUUUUUGAGAAGUAAAAGAGAGUUCGAUUCAUCAGAGGAAUCUAUAACACGAAGGGAACAUUGGAGUAUAUUCAUUCUGAUCUGUCGGGGACACCCAGAGUGCAUUCAAGAGGUGGAGCUAAUUAUAUGCUAACUUUUAUUGAUGAUUUUUCUAGAAAAGUUUGGGCGUUCUUCCUAAAGCAGAAAAUCGAUGUGUUUUUCGCAUAUAAGUCUUGGAAAACUAUGAUUGAAAAACAUAUGGAAAAACAAAUAAAAUAUCUCCACAUAGAUAAUGGCUCAAAGUUCUGUUCUAAUCACUUUAAUAAACUGUGCAAGUCAGAAGGGAUCGUGAGACACUUGACAGUUUGCCACACUCCACAACAAAACGGUGUUGCAGAACGAAUGAACAGAAUGAUCGUGGAGAAGGUUUAAUGUAUGUUUUCAAAUGCCAACUUAACAAAGUUGUUUUGGGCCGAAGUAGCCUCUACUAUAUAUUUUUUGAUCAACCGAUCUCUAUCUAUUGCCAUUGAGAAAAAGACUCCACAAGAGGUAUGGUCUGGUAAUCCUGCUAACUGUUCUGAUUUAAAGAUCUUUGGGUGUCCUGUGAAUGCUCAUGUUGAUAAUGGAAAAUUGGAACUGAGAUCCAUUAAGUGUGUUUUUCUUGGUUAUAAAGCUGGUGCAAAAGGGUAUAAGUUAUGGUGCCCUAAAAAUAGAAAAGUUGUGAUUAGCAGAGAUGUUGUUUUUGAUGAAACUGCUAUGCUACCUAACUCAUCUCUUAAAUACUAUUCCAAUAAAGAAAAUAAAAAGCAGGUGGAGUAUCAGAGUAAUCCAAAAUCUACAACAGAGUCGACUCCUCAAGCCAAUACAAAAAUUCAAAAUAGAGUUGCUUCUUUACCACAAUACUCUAUCGUAAAAAAUAAAACUAGAAGAGAUAUUAAACCCUCAAAGAAAUAUGCCGAGGCUGAUCUAGUUGCUUAUGCUUUAAAUAUUGCUAAAGAUAUAGAUGCAAACCAAGAGCCAUCUAAUUAUUUUGAUCCGGUUAGCUAUAAAGACUCAGAAAAAUGGAUGUUUGCUAUGUAAGAGAAGAUGGAAUCACUCUACAAAAACAAAACAUGGGAUCUUGUAAAACUUCCUAAAGGUAAAAAGGUUGUUCGUUGUAAAUGGGUGUUUAAAAAGAAAAAGGGGACUCUGGGAGUUGAAGAACCCAGAUUUAAAGCAAGGCUUGUUGUAAAGGGUUACAGUCAAAUUCCAAGAGUGGACUUCACAGAUGUGUUCUCCCCAGUUGUGAAGCAUAGUUCGAUUUGAGCUUUGCUUGGUAUUGUGGCCAUGCAUGAUUUGGAGCUAACUGUAAAAACUACAUUUUUGCAUGAAGAACUUGAGGAUGAUACUUACACGCAACAACCAUAGGGUUUUAUAGUCUCAGAAAAAGAGGACUAUGUUUGCCUGUUGAAAAAGUCCUUUUACGGUUUGAAACAGUCACUAAGAAAGUGGUACAAGAGGUUUGUUUCCUUUAUGACUUCUUAUGAUUUUAAAAAAAGUAGCUUUGACAGUUGUGUUUACUUUAAGAAAAAUAGUGAUGAUUCUUUUGUGUAUCUACUUCUUUAUGUUGAUGACAUGUUGAUAGCAACAAAAGAUAAAUGAGAGAUAAGAAAGGUUAAAGCCCGACUAAGUGAAGAUUUUGAGAUGAAAGAUUUGGGACCAGUAAAGAAGAUACUUGAUAUAGAGAUUCUCAGAGAUAGAAAAGUAAGUAAAUUGUACCUAAGUCAGAAGGGGUACAUUGAGAAAGUUCUUUGCAAAUUCAAUAUGCAGAAUGCUAAGCCUGUUAGUACUCCUUUAGCAGCCUAUUUCAGACUUUCAUUGGCUUUGUCUCUACAAUCAAAUGAUGAGAUUGAGUACAUGUCAUAUUUUUCAUACUCUAGUACAAUGGGAUCUCUCAUGUAUGCUAUAUUUUGUUCACGUCCAAAUUUAUUAUAUGCAGUCAAUACAGUUAGUAGAUAUGUGGCAAAUCCUGGUAAAGAACAUUGGAAAAUACUGUUUCCAAAAAUUUAUGGAUUUCUGGUGAGUGAACUUCUAGUGAAAUUAUUGUGCUAAGUCCAUUGGGGCAGUCUGUUUGAGUAAGUACACUUUAUAGGAAUGUACCUUUGGAAGUACAAGGGAUUGUGUUUUCGGCAGAUCUGGUGAGGUUACUUCUAGUGAAAUUAUUGUACUAAGUCUGUUGGGGUAGUCUAUUCGAGUAAGUAGACUUUAUAGGAAUGUACCUUUGGAAGUACAAGGGAUUGUGUUUUCGGCGUUUUAUUCACAUAAAAGCAGCAAAAUUUAGCGACAUUGUCUACAGCGGCAUUUUUUACGGCGCUUGUGAAAGCGCCGCUAUAGGCCUAAAAAACACCGCUAAAAGCCUAUUUUGCUGCAGUGAAUUAAUAUUAUUAUAAGUAUAUUUUCACCUUUUCAUUCUUUUAUAUAAUCUUCAAGUAAAAUGAUUGAAAAAUAUUAUUUGAGAAUCAAACACAAGACUAACAAUAUUCAUAUAGAAAACGCUUAUCACUCCACUAAUAAUCAUUUGUUGAUGUAUUUUUGGUAAAAAGAGCCCUCCAAUCCCUCUUAAUUUCACAACUUCUCAAAUUAGUCCCUCUCAAAAAAAUUGGAGCAAUUUAAUCCCUAUCAAUUUUGAAAGUGAGUAACUAAGGACAAUUAAUUAUGGUGUUAAAUUCUUCAAUCAAUUGUACAUAAUUUUGAUUGGUAUAAUAAUAAAUUUAGCCUUUAAUGUUUAUGUAUUUUGUCAUUUUGGCCUUAAUUUUUUUAAAAAAAAUUCAAGAAAUUGAACCUCAACGUUUACAUAUUUGCACAAAUGUUGCAGGAAAAUUUUGUUAAAUUAAGACCAAAAUGCAAGUGUAAAUUUUGUUAAAUUAAGACCAUAUUUUCCCCCUUUAUUUUUUCAGUGCCGACCGGAAAAAAAAAUUUCAGUCUCAUCUAAAUAAGACAUACUUCAGCAGACCAAUAGACUGCAGAUCAGACCCAAUUCAAGGGUAAUGCAGUCCAAAGUUCCUUGAACUCCCUCCUCCAAAGUGAAAAACAAAUCUAUAUAUUUCUGCAUGAUUCAAACAGAAAGGACUGUUGGACAUGUAACUCAGAAAGAAUGCAAAUACAUUGAAAGUACCAUAGACUUUAUAAAUUAGUUUCAUGUUGUUAAAUUUCAACACUAUAAACCUAAAAAUUCCCAGAACGAAAUGCGGGAAUCAUGCCUUAAACUCCAAUACUCAAAUAAGAGACAGAUAAAUUGCACAUUUUUUAAUAUAAUAUUUACAGACUAGAGAUAAAAAUAUAGAAAAAUAUAAACAUGGACAUCGACAAAAAGACUAAUUGACUGUGCAUGUGUGCUAGAGAGUGGCAAUUAAACAUUAUCCAAACACAAUCAUUUCUCAACAUUUGUAAAACAAAAAGAAGAUUAAGAUUAGCAGUAAACUAAAUAAAACCAAAGAAGUGAGAACCACAAGUAAAUGAGAAAGAAAACAAAAUAGAGAUCCUAGUAGCUUUCCCAUUGAACUUCGUAUAAGAGAAAUAACAACAUUUGAACUUUAAGCAAAUAAAAAUGUAAAAUAUUCAGAAUCAAAACAAUCUUUUAUCAAAAUUCAAGCCAAAAACAAUGAGCUUCACUCUAUACAAGAAGCAUGUUAAAGUCAUAGGCUUUCUCGUUUCUGGAAACCAAAUCCAGAAACGUCUCCCACCAAAAAUCAAGAAAAUAACUUCUGUUUUUGAAAAUCACAUUCAAAUCGUGAAAUAGGAGCAAGGUCCUUCAAAUUCAAGCAAAGUUGGUAGUAAAAGCUUAACUUUCAAAGGUCAAACAACACAGCAUUAAGUAUAAAACUAACCCAAUCUCCACCAAUUCAAAAACAAGAAACCAAACACGAACCCGAAGAUCCAAACACGAUUUCGAAAAAAAAAAAUAGAUAUUCCUGAAAAUCGGAUAAAAAACUAGCAUAUACUUAAUGAAAAGAGAAAUUGACGAAAAAUCACAAGAGAUCUGCAUGCAAAUAUAGGCACACUUUUGCUUGAUUAUUCGCUUAAAAAAGUAACAAUGGAAAACAAGAUGCAAGUGUCACGGGCCGCAGUUCAAAGCCCGUGACCAGCGCACCAAAUGCAUCCAAUAGAGAUCUAUUGCUCAGAUAGGGAUCAUUUGGCCCACAAGAACUGGCUCGAUUCAAGGAGCUAUUGGACAAGCCUGUCAGAUUGAAGCCUGGUUGGCCCGAAAACGAAGAGAUGGCAACUUAGGCUAAUAUGGUAACUAAUCUUAGAAGAUAGAGGGAAUCUUAUCUUGUAAAGAUUAGAUUAGAUUAGAUAAGGCUUAUCUUGUAAAUCCCUAAAAUUAAGGGAUAUGGGUUAAUCUCAUCCGUCGAUGUAAAUGUAUAUUGACCGUCGAUUUUGGGGGAGAUCAACUAUAAAUAGAGAGCCUCCCCCUCAUUUGUACUCACUCUUGUAAUUAUUUCAUUAUUCUUUGUGAAUAAGAGAAUUGAGAGCAUUUACUCAAACACUUUACGAGCGUCCUUUCUGUUGUUCUUUUGUUUAGCUUCUUUUGGCACAAUCGCUUCCGCUAUACAAAUUGGUGCCUUGGAGGAGUUCUAAAAGAAUCCUCACUUGAGUUAAGCCUGACUUGGGCGAGUUUGGAUGAACAAAUUGUCUAAGGCUGCACGAAUUACGAGACGAAAGGUCUAGCCCUGUGACAAGUGGUAUCAGAGCCAAGUUUUGAACCAAGUGACAUUCGAGUUGGUUUGAAGGCACCGUUGGGAUGUCAAGAGAAGAGUUCGAACAAAGGUGGGAGAAGAAGUAUUUGAGGGAGACAUUAUCGGUAGUAGAGAAACGUGUGGGUAAACUCGAGGGAUCCAUGGAGGAUGUAAAGGAGGCACUCGAUGGGGUCGAGGAUCACAUUGCAAACUGGAAGGAGCAGUCUAGAGACUAUGUAAAGAUGUCUCUUAGUUCCAUCAUGGAUAUGGUAAACGAGUUGUUUAAUUCACACAGGGAUAAGCUGUCGGAAAGGAAUGAUGCUCUCGAGGCCAAAAUGAUGGCUUUGAAAGAGGAAACAAUGGCCACGACGAGGGCUUUGAGCACAAGAAUAGAGGAGCUCGAGGGAGAGCUGGCCUUGUGUUGAGCAGCCGUGAGGAAAGGAGUGGCAAAUGUAGCACUCAGUAACGAGGAUGUCCCAAAGCUGAAAGAGUUUGUGGGGACAAGGUCUGCGUGCGAUGUGGAUAAUUUCUUAUGGAGGAUGGAAAACUACUUCCGUGCCAAAGGCGUCAUGGAUGAUACGGUUAAGGUAAACACUACUUCAAUGUUUCUUACUGCCAUUGCACUUUUAUGGUGGAGAGGUAGGACCACAAAUAAAAGGCAAGGUGAGAUUGGGACGUAGCAAGAGUUCCAAUGCGAAUUGAAGGGACAGUUUUACCCAGAGUUUACCGAGGAAGAAGCUCGGGCAAAGUUGCAAGGGAUAACGUAACAGGGCACAGUGGGGGAGUAUGUUCGAGAGUUCAAGGAACUCAUGCUCCAAGUUUUAAAGGUGACCGAAAGAGAGGCAUUGCUUGCUUUUCAAAAUGGAUUGAAGCCGUGGGUCAGACAGGAGGUGGAACAAAGAGGUGUCCAAAAGCUAUCGGAAGCCAUGACGGUAGUUGAGUCUGUGGUUAAGCUUAGUCUAGGGAAAGACAAGCUUGGAUCUUCCAAGUCCGAUGGAAGGGGUAUAUGUGAAAUGGAUCAAAAGGAAGAUAGUGUUGAUGGCAAUGGCAACGGCAACAAUGGUGGUAAUGGGAAACCAUGAGUUGGGAAGAAGAAACCCAAGAGGAAAAGGGACAAGCUAAAAUGCUUUCUCUGCGACGGUCCACACAUGCUGAAGAAAUGUCUGAAAAAUUUGAGCUCAAGGAGAAGCCGGUGGGUAAGGCCUUGGUACUUGGUUCGAGCGCAAGGGGUGUCGAAGCCAAGAAGGCCAAAAGUAAGAAGAAGCCAGUGGAGUGGUUCUUGUGUCAUGGUCCGCAUAGGUUACGAAAGUGUCCGAGGAAGUCUAUCAUCGAGGGGAAUGAUGGAGCAGACAAGGAGCCCAAGAAGCUUGGUUCGAGCAAGGGAAAAGCCGAAGCCAAAGGGGCAAAAGGGAGCAAAAAGAAGCGAGUAAAGUGCUUCUUGUGCCGUGGUCCGCAUGAGUUACGGAACUGUCCAAAGCAAGCCGGAGUCAUAAGAAAGGCAACGUCUGAGCUUGGUGAGUCAUCGGAGGGGCUUCCACCCAAGGAAGAGGUGAGUUUGUCAUCGAACUUAAAGGAAAUAGUUGCGAUGAAAACAGUGAAGCUGGGACCAAUGAGGCUCAAGUUGAGUGAAGCGUCGGAGUUGGCCGAGUCAUCGAUAAGGCUUCCACCUAUGGGAGAGGUGGGUGGUGCAUCAGACUUCAAGGGAAAAGAAGGGAUGCAUGUGGGACAGUUGACCAGAGUAAAUGCGACGAGUAGGACGGUUUGAGUUAAGAAGCGACGUAAGCCGAGGCAAAAAUCCCGAAGGAAGGGAAAGGCUAAGGCAUUGAGACAAGACCGAGGUGAAUCGAGUCAGUGCCAUUCAAAAGUCACAACGAGGACGGUGCAAGAAUGUGUGGGGGAGAAUGUCACGGGCCGCAGUUCAAAGCCCAUGACCAGCGCACCAAAUGCAUCCAAUGGAGGUUUGUUGCUCAGAUGUGGAUCAUUUGGCCCACAAGAACUGGCUCGAUUUAAGGAGCUAUUGGACAAGCCUGUCAGAUUGAAGCUUGGUUGGCCCGAUAACGGAGAGAUGGAAACUUAGGCUAAUAUGGUAACUAAUCUUAGAAGAUAGAGGGAAUCUUAUAUUGUAAAGAUUAGAUUAGAUUAGAUAAGGCUUAUCUUGUAAAUCCUAAAAUUAAAGGAUAUGGGUUAAUCUCAUCCGUCGAUGUAAAUGUAUCUUGACCGUCGGUUUUGGGGGAGCUCAACUAUAAAUAGAGAGCCUCCCCCUCAUUUGUACUCACUCCUGUAAUUGUUUCAUUAUUCUUUGUGAAUAAGAGAAUUGAGAUCAUUUACUCAAACACUUUGUGAGCGUCCUUUCUAAUGUUCUUUUGUUUAGCUUCUUUUGGCACAAUCGCUUCCGCUAUACAAAUUGGUACCUUGGAGGAGUUCUAAAAGAAUCCUCACUUGAGUUAAGGCUAACUUGGGUGAGUUUGAACGAACGGAUCGCCUAAGGCCUCACAGAUUGUGAGACGAAAGGUCUAGCCCCGUGACACAAGUGCUAGGUAAAACCAUCAUGUCUGCUUACUCACCACAAACAAAGGCCCUCUAGGACCUUCAUGAAUUUUUGUCUUAUAAGUGCUUCCAUUGUGAGCCUGAACAGCUUGAUAGCCCACAAGAUAAGGAUAUCGAUCUUUACCCUACAGAUUAACAAGGUUAAAUCCACUUAAAUGAAGCACCAUUAGUCUAUAACAAUUUACUUCAAUUUUCUGCUGUUAGUUCAAAUAUUUAUUUUUUUAAUUUGCCAAAACUUGCUAGGAUCGAAGAUUUGGAAUUCCUAAAUUUCAAUUACAAAUUUACACCGUACUUGCAGAAAAAUAUAUUACUAUUAGAGACACCAGCAAUCAACCAGAGUUCUUUAGUUUUCAAUCAAGUUAUUCGACAGGUAUCUAUAUUGAUUACACAAAAAAAAUCAUACACCGUGAGAAUGUCGAGUAAAUUACAAAUACAAAAGCAAACGAACCCUAAAGGAGCUCCAAUACUUCUUCUCCCAGGGGCCUUUGUAUAGAGAUCCAAUGGAAACGAUCUCUAGAUCCUCUAAUUUCGUUGUUUGUUCUCCUUUUUUUGUUUUCGCCAUUCAAAGAAAUGAGAAGAAAGCAAGAUUUCCAAACAACUAACAAUAAGAGAGUAGAGAGGAUUUUCAAGAUAGACGAAGACAUGGCAUUUUAAAAUAGGGGAACUAAAAUCUUAAAAUGCAUGAUUUCCCUUGAAAUUCUAAAUAAAAACUUUAUUUGAUUAGGAAAAAUGUGAAUUGAUUUUGGGAAAAAGAAGGGAAAAAAAAGAAAAGAUUUCAUUUGAAAUAUUGGGAUAAAAAAAUAUAAUUACAAAACGACGCCGUUUUGAAAAAAACAUAUUCGUGGCGUUUGGAAAAAAAAGUCACUAUUGCUCGACUUUUAGCGACAUUUGGACCAAAAACGCUACUAUUGUUCAACUUUUUUCUGCAUUUACAACAAAAAAGCCGCUAUUGCUUACCUUUUGCGGCGUUUUUUUUAUAAAUGCCGCUAACACUUGACUUUUUUACAAUUUUUAUAUUGAAUUAUUGUAUCUUUCAUAUAAAUUUUAAAUGAAUAAUUUUUAGUUUUUGUAUUUCAUUUUUAUUUUUGUAUUUCAUUUUUAUUUGUUAUAAUUUUGUCCUAUCCAAAAUAGAUAGUUACCUAUCCAUAUCAAUCUGUUACUUUUUUUUAUUUAUUUAUCAAUAUUUUUUUAAAUUUAAUAGUUAAAUAUAUUAAAUGGUUUAGAUUUAAUAUUUUUAAAUAUAAAAGCAUUAAUUGAUUGUAUAAAAUUUUAUCAUUUAACAAAUCUCAAGUAAACCUUAAAUCCUAAACCAUUUAAUAUAUAUAAAGUUUAUCUAUUAUCUCUUAAAUAAUUUAAACUAUAAUCAUAAUUUUAAUAUAUUAAAAUUAAAAUUAAAAUGAUCUCUUUUACAAUUAUAUAAGAAAUUAUUUAAUAUAUAAAUUAAAAAACACUAAUUAACCUAAACCCUAAACCCUAAACCCCUAUCCCCUAAACCUUGAAUUAUAAAACAUAAAACAUAAACCCUAAAUCCCUGAAUCCCUAACCCUUAACCCCUAACCCCUAACCCCUAAACCUUAAACCCCAACCCUUAAACCAUAAUCCCUAAACCCAUAAUCCAUAAUCCAUAAACCUUAAAAUAGUAACUCUUAAACCUUAAACCCUAAACCAUAAACCCUAAACUAUAAUGAUAAUUAAUUCAAUAUUUUAAAAUUAAUACUAUCUCUUUUACGAUUAUAUAAGAAAUUAUUUAAUAUAUAAAUUAAAAACAAUCAGUCAUGUACCCAAGAAACUUUAAAAUUAUUUUAAAUAAUAUAUUUUAAUUUUUUCAUUUUUAACAAAUAUUUUCUAUGUUUUUACUUUCAAAAUUUCUCUACGUGUCAUUAUUUUUUUCUGAAGAAUUUAAAUAUUCAAUUAAAAAUAAAUUUAUUUUAAUUAAUAUAAAUAAAGCGGUUAAAUAAUAAAUAGACAGAUAAAAUACUUUUUGCGGUGAUUUUCAUAAAGUGCCGCUAAAGCUCGAUCUACAGCGGCGUUUUACGAAAAAGAGUCUUACUGAAUUUUUUGGGGCAUUUUUCAAAAAGCGCCACUAAUUCUCGAUCUAUAGUGGCGUUUUUCAAGAAGCGCCGCUAAUGCCACUAAAGCUCAACAUAAAACACCAGCAUUGAGCUUAAUUUUUUUGCGGCGUUUUUCAAAAAGAGCCGCUAAUGGUAGACCUAUAGCGGCGUUUUUCAAAAAGCGCCACUAAAGCUCAACAUAAAACACCGGCGUUGUGCUUAAUUUUUUUACGGCAUUUUUCAAAAAGCGCCGCUAAUGGUCGACUUAUAGCAGUGGUUUUAAAAAAGACCCACUAAUGCUCGAUCUAUAGCGGCAUUUUUCAAAAAGCGCCGCUAAUGCUCGAUCUAUAGUAGCGUUUUUUAUCCAAACGCCGCUAAAAAUGCCACUAAAAACCUAUUUUGCUGUAGUGAUUUGUGGGGUAAGUGGUUGAACAUUUUAAUAUAGACUGACUUUUCUAUAAUUAGUCCUUGCUUUAAUUACUUUGGGUGGAUUCUUCCAACUAGUCCAAGCAUUAUUGUACAAUUACAAUUAAUCUUUUUAAAUGAGACAAACAUUUCAAAUUUGUCAUUACUAUUUGUGAGUGAUUUGGGGGUAAGAAGUUUAACUCUUCUGGAUGUCUUAUAGAAUUGUGAUUAUACUUUUUGAGUAUUGACUCAGUUUUCCACAAUUGUGGGUCUCUAUUUGAGCAAAACAAUUUCAACAUUUCUUCAUCUCGUUUAAUCCAAAUGCAUUUAUGCAUUUCUUAUAUCAUUGAAUUUGCUGCUUCAUAUUCAAUUUUUGGACAAGUAGAAUUUUCUAACCUAUUUUCCAUCAACUUCACUUGAAUUUUCAAUCACAAUCAAUUGCAUUCAAGAGCACCACAUCUUUUUGGAUGAAACAAAAAUUUCAAUUUUAAGAUAAACGGGUCUUUAGGGUUAUAAUUUCAAUUUUUAAAAGUUUAAAAUAAAUUUGUAUUUUUAUUAACAAAAUGUAUAUAAAAAAAAACUUGUUUAGACAAGCCAAGAGACCUUUGGGAUCAUACGGGUGAUUUUGAUGAUGUUAAUGGUUAUUUUGGUGGAGAGAGUGAAAAAGAAACAAAUGAUUCAUUAUAUAUAUUAUAAUUAUGAAAUUCAAGCCAUAUAUUGUAUGUUUCAUACAUAAAAAAAAUUGGAGCAAUUUAAUCCCUAUCAAUUUUGAAAGUGAGUAACUAAGGACAAUUAAUUAUGGUGUUAAAUUCUUCCAUCAAUUGUACAUAAUUUUGAUUGGUAUAGUAAUAAAUUUAGCCUUCAAUAUUUAUAUAUUUUUUCAUUUUGGCCUUAAUUUUUUUUAAAAAAUUCAAGAAAUUCAACCUCAACAUUUACAUAUUUACACAAACAUUGCGGGAAAAUUUUGUUAAAUUAAGACCAAAUUGCAAGUGUAAAUUUUGAGGGCUAAAUUUAUUAUUAUACCAACCAAAAUCAUGUACAUUUUAUGGAAAAUUAACAUCUUGAUUAAUUAUUCUUAGUUGUUCACUUUCAAAAUUAAUAGGGACUAAAUUACUUUGAUUUUUUUAGGGUGACCAAUUUCCUCAAAGUGGAAAUUGAGAGAGACUAUUGAGAUCUUUUGCAUAUUUCUUUUAUAAAUAUAUUUUUUAAAUAUAAAAUAUAUUUGUUCACACACAUCGUGAGUAUGAUCUCAAUAGUCCACAUAAUCCAUUAAAAAAACUUAAAAAAUAUAUUUUAUUUUUUAACACCUAAGUGAUUCUCCAGCUAACGACCACCCAAGACACACCCCGACUUUAUAACACCCCAAUCUUAUUUAAUUAUUAGUUAUUUAUUAAUGCAGAAGUAAAUUAUGAGCCAAUUUUAAUCUUUUCCUCGGUAAUUUAACCUAAGGCCAAUUUCAUCAUUUUACCACCUAUUGUAAAACUAACCCGAUUUUAGAUAUAACAACAUGUUUGGUUUGGUGUAAUAGAUUAGCCAUUACACCCCUAUUUCGUGGGCCCCACUAAUCCCCACUUAUUCUUGUGUUUGGUUUGAUGUAUUGCCUAUUACAGGCCUAUUACAACACGAAUGUAUUCCUCAUUUUCUCUGCUUCAACAAUGAUUAGCCAUUCCGUUCCAAAAGUAAGGAUUAGCUAAUCGUCUCUGUUUUACCCUCCUCAGCCAAAAUCUACUGCUCCACCCCACCCUCUCCCUCCCAACAUCAACAGCAGUUUUCUUCGAACCAAAUCUCCACCGUCUCAGAUCGCCUGUGAGUAAUCUCAACAGCAGUUGCCAGUGAAAAUUGCCCUUUCUUCAAAAACCCAGCCCUAAACCCUUCUUCUCUUUCAAUACUCCAUUCGAACAGGUUGCGGUGUCUCCCUCCUCUGAGGUAUGGCUCUGUUUCUUUAACUUUAGCAUUGAGCGACUCUUUUCAAUUCCAAAAUUAGUCUACUCUGCUAAGGGUUCUUGCUUUUCAAACCAUUUUUUCACCAUUUUUCUUGUAAUUCUUUUUCUUGUUAGAGUUCAGAUUUUAGAUUUUUUUUAAAAAAAAACGAUUAGAUUGUGAGGUUCAGUUAAUUAUUAGGGUUUUCUGUUUUGGGUUUCCCUGUUGCGUGGUAAUUUUGAAGUGCAUAUAAAAUGGAUGCUUUUGAGGAUCUUAAGCAAUUCGGCGAUACUGAUAAAGGUUGAUAUUCGAUUCAUUUUGCUUUAAUUUACUUGGUUUAUGCAUUUUGGGGAUAAAAUUAGCUUUGUUUUCUUCUCUUUUGGUUGGCUUUAAGCUGAGAGUAAAAUUUGAAACCUUUGUGGUGGAGGAGUUACCGUUCUUCUGAGAUCAAAUGUAUAACAGGUUAGAAGGAAAUGAAAUUAGAUCCUUAAAUAUUGUGUUUUCAAUGUUAAGGGCAGGCUUUUGUUGCUAAAACAAUUGUGGUAACACUGUUUGAUUCAGUUAGAAGUCAAAUGUCGUUUCCAUGUGUGAACAAUUUCUGGUUUUUAAGUAGCGACUUUGUUUCAUGUUGGCCUGGACAUUUUCCAAAUUAGUAAUUAUAAGUUUGAAUUUGGCUACUAAAUCACGCCAAUUAAUGAUUUCAGUGUGCUGGUGUUUCAGACUUUCAGUUGAAUUGACUUUGGUUUCGAAUAUUUUUAGUGAUGGAAAUAAGCACGAUUUAUUUAAAUUAUGAUUGAAUUGGAGAAACUGCUUUUUGUACAUUUUGAGAAAUAUCAGGCCCUUGGAUACACAAAGGGUGUUAACUUGCGCCUAUCUCAAUUACCCCAUUCCUGCCCAUUGAAUUGGAGAAAGUUCUUUUUUUUAAUGAUUCUGCGUUGCUACUGAUUUUUAGUGAAAUGGUAUUUUUCUUAUGAUGUGUUUUCUUCUUUAUGAAGAGCUCAUUUCAGUAAAGUUAACCUUUCUAUUAUGCAGAAGGUGCAGUAUUUGAUGCAUCACAAUAUGCAUUUUUUGGAAACAAUGUUCUCGAGGAAGUUGAAUUGGGGGGGCUAGAUGAUGAGGAUGAGGAUUUACCUGCAGCUGGACUUGAUGAAGAGGAGUUUUUGUUUGAUCAAGAGGAGGUUAAUAUUCUUGUUUCUUUCAGUUUUAUUUUUCCUGUUUCGAUUGUUCUUGCAAGUUUCUGCAGCAUAGCACAACCAGUGACUAUUCGAUCGAAAAAUAAAUGUAUCCCUUCCAGGCGUCAUGCUAAAAAAUAGCCUUUUGGAUUAGUGUUGGAUUUUUUCUCCAUGUUCUUUAACAGAUAGAUUCCACUGCAUUCAAUUAGUGGUUGGCAUGCGAGUUUUAUUUGUGGAAUAAAGCUCUGUGGGAGUUCAUAUUAUAUAUUGUUCUAUUUGUCUGUGCAAAACAUUGUGAACCUUGUUCUCUGUAUUUAUAAGUUGACAAUGUAGCCAUCUUGGUUGGCUGCUUUCCGAAGUCAAUUUAUUUGAUUCGUUCUCUUUGCUCUUCACAAUGAGAGGUAGCUCUUUUGUACUUUUUUAAUAAGAUCAUAUUAUACAUGCUCUUUUGCAGUGGUCUAGUGGUUUAGUAUCUUGUUAAUAAAACCAUAUUGUAUAUUUGAAUAGUUUGGAGAUUGUGUUAACUGUAUUUGGUGCAUCUUGAAGUAAUGUUUGUUGUAUCUUAUAUGCUUCCUGAAUCAAAUAUGGAGAGAAGGUAGUAUAUGGAGUUUAUAUUUUCAAGUAUUUUUCACACAAUUGAUUUAUCUGUUCCCUUCAUUGAGGGGAAAACAUGGAAUGAAUUGACUUACACCUCACUUCUUCCUCAAACAUCUUUUGUACCACUUAUUUUCAUAAAAUGAUAAGAAUCUUUUUAGAUUACAACUUCCAGAGGUCUAUGUCACCUUCUUGACAAUCAGGUUUUUAGGAAUAUUUUUACCCAUCAUGCAGAAGUUUUAGACAAAAUCUUGUUCGUGGUUGCUGCUAGAUGCAUGAUACUGCCUCAUUUCCUUUGUGGUGGUUCUUCGCUCUCCCCCUUCUUAGUAUUUUUGGUUGUUGAGUCUUGGAGGCAGUUGUAUUCAGUAAUGGCUGGCUUGCUUUGAUGCAUUGCUUCUGUAUAUCUUUGUAGAAAACGAAUCUGUAUCUAUUAUUAACACAAAUUUGAUUAGUUCAUGCCAAUGGAUUUGUAAAGUUAAAUUAGUUAUUGGCGUUAGAAAUUUACUCUUAUGCCUGGAAGGAGAUCUGGCUUACAGAUCAACUACUGGAGUUAAUUGUGGAAAUUUGUUUGAUUUGGUUUCUUAUAAAAUUGUUACCCUGUUCUAUUUAUGUUGGAGUAGCUGAAAUCUGAGGUUGCAUUUGUCAUUAACAAAUAGAAAUCCAAAAAGAGAGGAAAGUGAUAUCAUCCCCUCCACUUUUUCCUUGGAAUUGCGUACUUCAAACUUUUUUAAUUGUAUAAAUUCAUAUAAGAAAAUUUAUUAUGAUGUUGUAAAACUAUAAAACAUAUGGAUUAUGAUGUAGAAUUUCAUUUUCAUCUAACCUUUUCUUAAUAUAAGUUAAUUAUGUUUAUGCAGAAUAUAAUCUCAAGUUAUAAUUUGAUUUUAGUAAAUUCAUAUAAGAACAUUUUAUUAUUAAAUUAUAUUUAAUAUUAAUUAUUUUAAAUUGUAUAAAUUCAUAUAAGAAAAUUUAUUAUCAAGAAUUUUAUGAAAUUAUAUAUCAUUAUUAAAUUAUAUUUAAUAUUAAUUAUUUUAAAUUAUAUAAAUUCAUAUAAGAAAAUUUAUUAUCACGAAUUUUAUGAAAUUAUAUAUUAUUAUUAAUUAUAUUUAAUAAUAAUUAUUUUAAAUUAUACAAAUUCAUAUAAGAAAAUUUAUUAGUUAUAAUUAUUUUAAAUUUUAUUAAAUCAUAUAUUUUAAUUAAAAUAUUUUUAAUAUUAAUUACUUCAAAUUAUAUUUUAUAGUAUCAUAUAUUAUGAUUUUAGUAAAUUCAUAUAAGAAUUUUGAUUAUUAAGAAUUUUAUUAAAUUAUAUAUUUUAAUUAAAAUAUAUUUAAUAAUAAUAAUGUUAAAUUAUCUUUUAUCGUAUCAUAUAUUAUGAUUUGAGUAAAUUCAUAUAAGAAUAUUAAUUUUUAAGAAUUUUACUAAAUUAUAUAUUUUAAUUAUAAUAUAUUUAAUAAUAAUUAUGUUAAAUUAUAUUUUAUAGUAUCAUAUAUUAUGAUUUGAGUAAAUUCAUAUAAGAUAUUGAUUAUUAAGAAUUUUAUUAAAUUAUAUAUUUUAAUUUAAUAUAUUUAAUAAUUAUUAUGUUAAAUUAUCUUUUAUAGUAUCAUAUAUUAUGAUUUGAGCAAAUUCAUAUAAGAAUAUUAAUUAUUAAUAAUUUUAUUAAAUUAUAUAUUUUAAUUAUAAUAUAUUUAAUAAUAAUUAUGUUUAAAUAUGAUUAAAUUAUUUAUUAUUGAUAUUAUUAAUCUUAUUAAAAUUUAAAUAACAAUAACAAUAAUCAUUUACCCAAACAAAUUUAUGCUAAUGGUAUUCUAGUCAUUUUAGUUUUUUUCCAUUAUGCUAUUACACCUCUAUUCCAUUCAACCAAACACAAGAAUACUAUUACGCCUCUAUUCCAUUACGCCUCUAUUCCAUUCAACCAAACAAUUGAUUUGCUAUUACGCCUCUAUUCCAUUACACCUCUAUUCCAUUACGCCUCUAUUCCAAUACAGCGAACCAAACGUGCUGUAAGUGUUUACCAACCUUCUUUUAGUUAAAUUAUGCAAGCCUAAAAUUUUCAGCUUUAUUUGAGUACGUUUUCUAUGUCUAAUUCAAGUUUUAUUAUUAAGGACUAAAUUGUAACUUAAACAAAUUAGAAUACCAAUUUAAAGAGACAAAAUUCAAAACCCCAAAACCCACACGGGCAUGUGGGUAAGUGGCACGGGCCAGUGGAGACUGGAGCUAUCACAUAAGGCGAGUGAGAUUGAAACAUAUGAAAUAAAUUAAUCCACUUAAUUUUCCAACAACCAUGCUAUACUACCAAACCAAAUAACGAGUGAAGCUUUGAAUAGGGGCGAAUCUAAAAAAAAAAUUAGAAGAAUUAGAAUUAAAUUAUAAAAUUUUGAGAAGUUAUCAUGUAUUAAUUUAUUAUUUUUUUAAAGGGUCCUAAUAGAAUUUUUUUCCCAUUCUGGUUGGGCCAAUACCUUUGACUGCCUCUUUAAAUUUGCUUCAACCCUAAACCCAAUAUUCGAUUUGGAUUAACAACAAUAUAUAGGUUUGUAUUUGUGGGAGUUUGACGAAUAAAAAUUUCUAUUUAAAAGGUUUAAAUUAUAAAUUUUUGAAAGUUUAAAAUAAAUUUGUAUUUUUUAUUAACAAAAUAUAAAAGAAAAAAAACAUGUUUAGACAAGACAAGAAACCUUGGGAUCAUACGGGUGAUUUUGAUGAUGUUAAUGGUUAUUUUGGUGGAGAGGGUAAACACGAAACAAAUGAUUCAUUAUAUAUAAUAUAAUUAUGAAAUUCAAGCCAUAUAUUGUACUUUUGGUUUUUCUGCAAUAUGAUACAUGUAUUUGGUAAAAAGUUAUAUAUUUUGAUACUUAAAAGUAACAUUGUUAAUUUUUUUAGUGCUUAAUCUGAAUUUUAGAGUUUAUUUAAUGAACAUUAAUUGUUAAUAUUGUUAUGUUUAUUUUUUUAUGAUUUUGUUAAUAAAAUAAAUUUUAUGUUUAUCUUGUUAUCUUUUUUAUUUUAGAAUUGAUUACAUGAAAGUUAAUUGCUAAUAUUAUUAGUUAACUAUUAGUUUUCUUCAAAUCAAAUUAAAACCCGAAAGAUCCCACUUUUUUUUUAUAUUAGUUUUAGUUAUCCAUUAAAUUUGUUUCUUUGUAAUAAAAUUAAAUUAUAGAAAUAACAUUAAAAUUUUAAAUAAAAUUAAUUCACAAUAAUUAUACAGAAUUUAAUUUUCUUUCAAAUACUGCAGUUAAUAAGGAAAGUGAAUAUAGUAAAAAGAAAUAUUGUUUAAUUAGUUAAUUUAAAAAUCAAUAGCGUCUAAAAACUGUCAGAAUGGAAUAUUAGAUUUUAUAAGAUUUCAUUAUUCUAAAAAAUAAAAUAUGACAAUGCUUAAAAAUUUUAUCAAAAAAGUUUUAAAUUUUAUAUAAAAUUUUAAAAAAUAAAAAAACAGUAUUAAAAAUUUUUAUAAGCAAAUUAAAUAUUAAUUAGUAAAUUAUUUUUGUAAUAUUUAUAUGUAUUUUCAUUUUUAUAAAUACUAUUAAAACUUUUUUUAAAAAAAUUGAAUGCUAUGUAAAAACAUUAUUAAAAAUAAAAUAUUAUAUGAAAGUUAAAAUGAUGUAAAAACAUAUUUUCAGUGUUGGCGUUGCUCGUUCGUAAAUGGGUUAGUUUCCGUUUUGAUGUGUUUUUACGUGGAUAGUAAAAGAAAUGUGUUAAUUUUUGGAUUAUGGAGUUGAUCGUUUUUAAUCAAUUCUCCAGUAAGUUGACUCGUUUGUUGUUGUUAUGUGCUAGGAUAAGAGAUUAAUUCUGAUUUGGGCCUGUGUGGUUGUGUAGAUUUUCCAUGUGAAAUCGUUUGGUAUUUUUAGGAUAAAUCAUUCUUUAAAUCGUAUUGCUACCAUCGCGAAUGUGAUGUUUUAAUUUAUGCAUUUAGGAUCUGGUAGUCUUAUAGGUGUUUUCGCAUAAAAAAUUGAACCAUGUGUGUAACGAAAGCUAAAAAAUUGCACUGUUGACGCCACACGGCCAUGUGACAAGUCGUGUGCUGGAUCAUGUGUAACACACGAUUUGAGCUAGUUGAGCCAUGUGGAAAACAAAGGUGUGUGUGAAGGCGUGUGCCACACCAUGUGGGCCACACAGGCUGGCCAUUUAGGCCGUAUGGGACCAAAAUUCUAAUUUUUUUCCUAGGGUUAUACACAGUGUGUAUACUUGUCUUUGAAUUGAAAAAUUCUAAACAACUCUAAAUAAAUGGAAAGCAGCAAAUUACCUGACGAGGCAAGCUAGGUCAAUUACGACCAUUGUGUUAUUCUUGUCUCUGAAUUGAAAAUUUUAGAAGAAACUAAAGAGAAAGUGUUAGAAAAUAAUUGAAAACAGAUAAAACUUAUGUCUCAUUGAUUGGAUAAACUACGAUCACCCAUAAUAGACCUUGUACUUGACUUUUUGUUUAGGGAGAUUGACUCUUUUAGGAGAAGUCUUUUGAGUGUUGUUUGCUAGGCAAUCGGUGCUGCCCUCAACAACUAAUGGUAGUGUCCCCAUGUUGGGAUUUUAUCCCCAGCCUCUGCGGAAUAAUCAUUGAGGAUAUGUGCGUAGGGAUUCAAACUACCAAUCAAUGCAUGUGUAGCCUUUACCUUGCAACCAUCUCCAUGAACCCAUAGGGUUCUUAGCGGGAUCAAGAGACGAAACCCUAAUGUGGGAACAAUACCAUUUGUUGAAGGCUUUGUUAAUAGGGUCACACCUAGGGGAGUUGGCAGGGGUCCCAACCCCCCUUAAAAUGAAAAAUUUUCCAUUUAGGCCCUUUAAAAUUUUUAAAAUUUUAAAUUAAUAAAAGUAAAAUUGUACUUUGGCCCCCCAAAAAGUGAUAAAACUUCGAUUUAGUCCUCUAAAAAUUAUAAAAUAUAGGCUAUUAAAAUGGUGAAAUUGCAUUUUUACUAUCAUAAAAAUUAUAAUUUAAUUUCACCCCCUAAAAAGAUUUUCUGGCUUCGCCCCAAAUAAAAUCUUUGCCAAAAGAUUAAAAUAAAAUUAUACCGUAAAUGAAAAAAUAAACUAAGAAAAUCCAAUCUAACAAAGAAAAUAACUUGAUGUCCAAAAGCUACCAUGAACCGUAAUUCAUGGGAAGUCUUGUUGCUCAUUUUAUUGGUUUCCAUUUUGAUUUUGCAAAAUAAGUUUGAAUUUUGAAGAGAGCCUACUACGUGAGAGCAAAAGAAAAAAAUUCUAUAAAGAUUUUGAAUUUUGAAUUUUGAAUUUUGAAUUUUGAAUUUUGAAUUUUGAAGCAGAUUUUCAUUAAGAUUGAAGAUUCCUAAUUGAUUUCUUAGGAGAUUAUCAUGAGUUCCUUAUUUCUUUCAGUUAUAUUGCCCUUUGGAUUUUUUAUUUUUAAUCAUGAACUACUUUUCUAAAUACGUAAGAGAGAUGAACCCUAUGAUAGAUUGUGACACCCCAAAGCUGACCGGGAUAGACCGGCCUGAAUUCAAAGCAUUACAUUAGCCACCUAAGGACCACUCAAGACACACCCCGACCUUAUAACACCUCAAUCUUAUCUAAUUACUAGUUAUUUAUUAAUGCCGAAGUAAAUUAUGAGCCAAUUUUAAAGUUUUCCUAGGUAAUUUAACCUAAGGGCAUUUACAUCAUUUUAUGACCUAUGGUAAAACUAACCUAGAAAUACCGAAAACAUUCCAAAAUAAUAUAAAAAAAAAGCUAAGAAAAACCUAGAAAUACAAAAAAAAAUUCAUGUUUUUACAAAUUGGGAAAUACCUAAAUUUGUUUUUAUCAAUUAAGAAAUUAAAAAAAUUGUUGAGAAAUAUCUUUUUAGUGAUUGUUAGCUUUGACAAGUUCUCUCCACCACUUCUCUUACGCUCCUUCCAGGAUCUUGCUUUUUGUGUGUUGAAAACUCAAAUGAACAAAAUAAAGUGAAUUUACGAGUUUUGUUUUCUUUUAAAAAUAUUUUUAAUAUUUUUGUGGAUACCAAGAGAUACCAAAAAUUAUUUCACUAAGAAGUUUUAAUUCACUCGAAAAGUUAGUGUUUUAUUUCAAGGGGUCAUAAUUAAUCAUUAGAUUUCUCAAUUUUAAAUUUUGAAUUUUUGACAAUUGUGUAAUUAAUAAGUACCAAUUUUGAGUGGUGUAGGGCUAGUACAAUCUCCCUUACACAUAACCGACUCUUGAUCUAAUAAAUAUUUAUCCUUAUACUUUGAUCUAAAUAUUUUGAUGUAAUCAAUGUAAAAAACCUUUUAAACAAAAUAAGGUUGAAAUAAUCUAUUUGUCUUUAUACUUUGAUAAAAUUUGGGAUUUAGUCCUCAUACCUAAUGUUGACACCAUUUUUUUGUGAAAACGGGGUUGACUUGGAUUUUGUAAACGAAAACGAAAACGGGGGUCGCCACCAAUUCUUUUUGAUAAGGUGUGAUCGGGCCACCUUGAAAAGUGGUUGUUUUUAAUAAACAAUUUAAUUUUAUGAAAACAACGAUUUUGGUCCACGAAAUUCAGAAAAACAGGUUCGGGAGUCGGUUACGUACGAGGAAGGAUUAGCACCCUCAUAACGCCCAAAAUUGGUACCUAGUUGAUUAAUUAAUGUCUUAGUGUAGAAGAUUGAAAACUCUAAAGAGAUUUAAAACACGAUCCUUUACUGAAAUGAUAAAAAUUUUCGGCAAAAAGGGCAUAUUUCACAUUAAUCGAGAAAGAGAAUUAUAUCCAAUAAGUUAGAACACAAUGUCUUGAAUUCCGAUGCGCGAAUGAAUACCAAAAAUUUACUUAUUUAAAAGAUAUUUAACUAUCUCGGAUUUAAAAAAGGGAUCAUGCCCAGUAAGUUAGGACACGAUCUUUUCUUAAUUCCCGAGAUCGUUUAAAACUUGAGAAAAAAGGGAUCAUGCCCAGUAAGUUAGGACAUGAUCUCUUCUUAAUUCCCGAGAUCGUUUUAAACUUGAGUUUGAAAAGAUUCGUGUAUUUAAAUUUAUUGUGAAAAUUGAAACCCCGUAAGUUAGGGUACGACCUUCUCGAAUCUAAACAUGAGAUUUUGCUUAUUCAAAAAAUCAUAAUUUAUGCAUUGAAUAAAAUUAAUCUAACACGAAAUAGUAGAAAUGCAACACGGUGUCAAUAUGUGUAACAAGACAAAAAUGAAUAUGAUAAUGUAAGCAUAAAUAGUACGAACGACAUCGUAAAUGAGAUAAAUAAUAGGAGAGACAAAUCCAUCAUAUCACAACAAAUAAAUAAAUGCAAUAUUAAGACAUUCUUUUCAAAUGAUAAUGAACAUAUACGCAAAUAAACAAAUUAACAUCGAGUGAAACAAAAAUGCAAUAACGAAAUUAAUAAAACUAUAAAAAGUAUAAAAAUAUGUGUGUAUGUACGUGUAGGUAUGCAUUAUAAAAAUAUAUGUGCAUAUAUAUAUAUAUAUAUUUGAAAUUACAAAAUAUAAAAGAUAUAUAUAGGUAUGUAUAUGUAUGAGUUAUAAAAUAUAUGUAUGUAUAUGUGUACAUAACUAAAUUUGAAAUAAAUAGAUAUAGAUAAACAUAAUAAUAAUAUAGUAAGACAGAUAUAUUUAAUAUUUAAAUAAGUGAACAUAAUAAAUGGGAGUAUAAUAAAUAAUAAUAAUAAUGCAAAGCUAGUAAUAUGAUAUAAUGAUAUAAUAUUAAUGACUAAGUAAAUAUAAGAAGAAAAUAUUAAUAGAUAAUGUAACAACCCGGUUUUGACCCUAAUCGGAAUAGUGGUUUCGGGACCACAAAUCCGAACUAGAAAAAUAUUAUUAAUAUUAUUUAGUGUGUUUAUAUUGUGUGCAUUUGAAUGUGUGAAAUUUUCGUGUUUUAAUUUCAUCGUUUAAGUGUCCGAUUUAAUAAAAGGGUUUAAUCGCGUAAAAUGAAAAAUUAGGGGUUAAUUAUAAAAGCACCUAAUUGUUGUUGGCUUUAUAAUUUAGAGGUUUUACUAUGAAAUUAGUCCACUAUAUAAGUUAGUGGGUGGCAAAAGACUAAUGUAACCUUAUUAUAUAUGUUUUAUAUAUAUAUUAGUAAAGGUUAAAAUAGUAAAUUAAUUAUAAAGUUAAUAUAUGUUUAAUAUAACAAAUUAAAUGGCUAUGUUCUUCAUCUUUUGGCCGAAUGGGUGAGAAAAUAAAAGGGGUUUAAAGCUUUUUGUAUUUCGGCAGAUUCAAGCUUUGAUUUAGGUAUGUUUUUGCUUCGGUUUUUGAUGAUUUUUACGUUUUUGAGAUCGUUGCUUUGAAUACUUCAAAACCCAUGUCUUAAUUUUGUGAAUUGAUGAAUAUUUUGAAUUAUGUCAUUGAUGAAUAUUUGUGUUUUGGGAUGUUUGAUGAUGAAUAAUGGAAGAUAUGUCUUAGAUUAACAUGUUUUGUAUUGGUAUUUUUGAUGAAUUUGAGUAUUUAGGGCUAAAUUGUGAAAAUAAAUUUUUGAGGGAUUAAAAUGUGAAAUAAAUGCAAUGUGUGGACUUGUAUGAGAACCAUGAAUAUUCGGCCCUUGUGUGGUAUGGGCAAAUUUUGUGUAUUUUGUGUUUUGUGCAAAAAGGACUAAAUUGCAAAAAGUGCAAAAUGUUAGGGGCAAAAUGGUAAUUUUCACAUUUAUGUAUUGAUGGACUCAAAUGAAUGUUUUGAUGAAUAAGAAGGUUAAAUUUGACUAUGUUUAGAUCAAGGAACGAAGAAAACGAAUUUGGAUCGGGGGAAGUCGAAAGUAAUCGAAUAGUCGAUCGUGUUUGCUGAUAUCCGAGGUAAGUCUAUUAGCAACUAAAAGUUAUUAAGUUAAUAUUUAUACAUGCAUACUAAUUUUAUCUUAUGAUUGAGCUAUAAUUUAAAGUAUAAAAGUUGAAUAAACUUUGGACUAUAGAUAUUGUAUAUAACAUGUUCGAAUAUACAAGUAUGAUCUUGUAUAAAUUAUUGGAUUAAUCAAAGAUAUGUAUAAGAUAUAUGUAUAUACAUAUAAGGUUUGAAUGAUUAUAUGAGUAUGUAUAUAUAUGUAUAAACUCUUGGAUUUGAUUUGUGAUAUGUAAUUUAUAAUUGUAUAUAUAUAUAUAUAAAGUCGAAUAAGCAUGCAAUUAUACAUGUAUGUGUUGUGUAUUGAAUUUAGAUAUGUCAUUAUAUAAGUAUAUGAGGAUUGAUUGUGAAUUUAUAUAUGUAUAAGUUUUUGUUUUGAAAUUAAGUAUGAAAUUAUACAUUCAUAUGGUAGAUUCGAAUAUGUAUAAAUGCACAUGUAUAAUUUCUUGAAUUGAAAUUAGGUAUGGAAUUAUAUAUGUAUGUGAAAGUUUCGAUUUGUAUGUAUAUUCACGUAAAAUUUUUUGAAUGGAAGUGAAGAUAUGAAAUUAUUAGUUUGGAUCAUUAUAAAGUGAUUGAAUGUAAUACAGACGUUACGUCUAGCAGGCUUGAUGCCGGUGAAGUAAUUCAGACUUUAAGUCUAGCAGGCUUAAUGCCGGUGAUACAUUUCAGACUAUAUGUCCAGCAGGCUAAGUGCCGGUGUACUGAAUCAGGCUUUAAGCCUAGCAGGCAAAAUGCUAGUGAAUCUUUUUAAAUUAUGUGAGAAUAUGCAAUUGAUAUAUCUAUGAUUUUGAUUAUACGAAAUAGAUGAAUACAUGAACAUUCGGUUUUUUUUUAUAUGCCUGGUGAGCUUACACCUACAUUCGGGUUUUAUAUUGGUUAAACAUAAUUGUAUGGAUUCGGUAUAUACAAUUAAUAAAGGCAUAUGUACAUUAGGUAUAUGCGAUUGCUGAAAUUAUAAAUGCAUAUGGUGAUAUGUGAUUGUUAAAUAUACACGUUGAGCCUAUGUGUUCGAUAAUUAAUUAUGUAUGCAAUUGAGAUAUGUAUAUAUAUACAUGUACUCAUUUAUAGGUAUAUAUAUUCGAAUGUAUAUACUAGCUAUGUAUUCAGGUAUAAAUCCAUAAUGAGUAUAUAUAUAUACAAACGAAUAUAAAAUGUGAUUGAUACAUAUGUGUUAGAUUCGAAUUGAUUUAAAGUUUACCAUGAGUAUACAUACACAUUCGGUUAAGAUAUGUGUAUAAUAUAUAUAUAUGCUCGAUUGUAUACAUUGGGUUGUAAUGUUGUUUUGUAUAAUAUAUAUUCAAUUGAUUUCAUUCGACAGGUAUACAUAUCUGACUAUAAAUAAAAUGGUCUGAGUACAAUAAUGUAUGAAUGUUAGUUGGUCGUGUUAGUUGAAAUUUCAGUAAAAUAGAUUAAAAGGUUAUAUUAAUUAUGUGUUUAUAUAUACAUUUAGUUAUGCUGUAGACUUACUAAGCUAUAAAAGCUUACUUCAUUUGUUUUCGUUCAUUUGUUUUUAUAGAUUUUGGAGACGCGUUACGAGCUCGGGGAUCAUCAGCAUAGUCCAUCACACUAUCGACUUCUUUUGGUAUUUUGUUAAAUAUUUGAACUCGAUCUUAUGGCAUGUAUAGGCUUGAUAAUGUUUUGGUUAGUUUUGGAUCCUAAUAUGUAAAUAGUCAUGCGAAAAGGGUUUAAUUUCCAUGCUUGAAUUUGACUACAUAUGAUCAUGAUUUGGGCUUGCAUUUGAAUGAGAUAUUCAAGUUACAUGUAUGUUAUAAAUUUUGGAUUAUGUUAGGUAUUAAAGUCAUGUUUAUGUGUGCUUUGUUUCGUAAUGCCUCGUAACCCUAAUUCGGCGACGGAGACGGGUUAGGGGUGUUACAGAUAAUAGCUAGGUUAAUAAAAAAAACAAAAUGGACUAAUUCAUGAUAAAAAUUAAAUUUAAAGGUUCAAUCUAUAAUAAAAUAAAUAAAGUGGGUCCAAAAUGAAAAGGCACGAAAGGGCGGAGGGCCAAAUGAGCAAUAAACCCAAAUUCCAGGCCACGCCCAGGGGUCCAACGAAUUGAGGAACGAAUUGAAAACCGCAACAAACCUACGGUCCAAAUUACAAAACGAGGGAAAAAAGAAAAGGAACUAAAUCAAAACAAAUCGAUAAUGCGGAGGGGCCAAAGGAGCAAAUAACCCAACACUUAACAAUGCACGGAUCCUCUGGUCGGGUCGAGUCGACGAGUGGAUCUGGGGGGCAAAACGACGCCGUUUUGGUACCUGGGAGGCCUGCCCAAAACGACGUCGUUUUAGGGCCUAUAUAAGUAAAAAAACAUAAACAAAAAAAUCAUUUUAAAUCCAUUUCAGAAAAAAAAAACUUUCCCUUUUUUAUUUUCUCUCUAGCCCCACUCCCUUCGAUCCAGACUCCGACCGAUGGCCGUCGCACCGCCCACCGACCACCGGCGACGGUGCCGCCCACUGACCACCGAUGACGGCGCCGUCGUGCACAGUUGUCGGAAAGUUCAAAACCCCUUUUUCUCUUCUCUUUUCGAGUAAAGUACCUAUUUGGGUUUAAGACAUCCCAAAAGUCCUUCAAAAUAAAAAAAGAAAGAGAGAAAAAUCUAGAGACCUUUCGGUUUCUCAUCACCGCCGAUGGAGUUUUUGGCGAACCCGUUGGUUUGACCACCCCAAGACCGGAGGUACCUCCGUCCGCGGCAAUAAAGGUAAUAGAUUUCUCUUUUUAUUUACUAUUAUAUUUAUUUUCGAAAUAAAUAAAUAAAUAAAAAUAUAAAAGAGGCACCUUUGUUUUUUCCAAAUCUGUUUCAAACUUUUUUAUUUUCGAAAAAAUCCCAAAAAUCCCCAUGAUUACAUUGAAUUUGUGGCUUUUAUAGCCCAAUGCAUAUUUUCUUUUUUCUUUUUGUUUAUCACUGCUUCUCUGCUAUUUGUGCUGUUGUUGCGUGUUUUUUUCAUGUUUUGCAGGUCUUGACGGAGCAGGUGGGCAGGUGGCAGAGCAAGUGGCGGUGGGUGGUGUCAGAGGUGGCAGAGGCAGAAGGUGACGCCAGAAGAUAGGAACCCCUAGGUGUGGCGCACCUAGGGUUUGACAUUGUUGUUUUUUAUUUGAUUUUUUGGGCUAGGUUUAGACAGUUGGGCCUGUGCAUUUUGCUUCGGGUUUGGGUUUAAUCUCGUUGGGCCGGGUGUAAUUGUGUUAGUUAGGCCGGGGCAUAAAUUGGUUAUUACACCUAAAAGGUUAAAAAUUAAGUCUUCUUAUUUUUUUUUAAAUCUUAGUCCUACCGUUAAUUUUUUUUUGUCAAAAUUUGUUAACUUGACAUAUUAAUUAGGUUUUCCUUAUAUGUCGUGGUAUAUGACCAACACAAAAUUAAACAAGUUGACAAGUUCUGACAAAAAAUAUCAAAGAUGAUAAUAAUUUAAUUAAAAUUUUUAAAUUGAAAAAGUAAGGGAUUAAAUUUAUAACUUUUGAAGUGUAAAGAAUGAACUUAUUGAAAUACAAGAACUAACAACACAUUUUAAAAUAUUACUAGUAAAUUAUAUAUCUACAACGUAAGCUCUUAUAUUAUAUUCUUGUAUCUAUUUUGUAUCUUUCAUUAUAAUAUGAUUUAUUAAUUUUAAUAUUUUUAUAGAAUAAUAUGCUUUAAACUAUUUUUUGUAUAAUUUAUAAAAAUUAUAAUAAACUUGCAAAAUGAUUUAAUGAUAUUUAAUUAUUAAUGGAAAAAAAAAUGAUAACAUAUAUAUUCUGUAUAUAUUAAGAUUUUGAGUCAUUAAUUAUAUAUCUACACAUUAUAAUAAAUUCAUCUUUCAAAAUGUUCCUUAUAAUUAAAGCAUAAAUUAUAUUUAUAAUAUUAUAAAUAUAUUAUAUCAUAAAUAUUCUUUCAAAUAUUUUUUAAUGUUUAAUAAUAAGUUAAUUUAUAAAAUAUUCUUUCAAUAAAUUAACGUGAUGCGAUCGUUAGGUGCUUGGAUUUGGUGAUGGGGGAUGAAGAGAAAAGGGAUGGAAGUGAAGAAAAAUGUUGAGAAAUGGAAAGGGUUAGCAAGGGAAGCUGCCAUGAAAGUUGGUUCUAUGGAUAUGAACCUUCAAGCUUUUGUGGAUGAUGUUACUCAAGGUUGUUGGAAGUAAAUUUUAAAAAAAUUGAGGUAAAAUUAAAAAAAUGUUAGAGCUAAAUUUGUCAUUAUGACUAAAAUGUAAAACCAAAAUUUUUUGAAAAUAAAAAAAAAUGGAAAAUAACAAAUUCUGUCACUCAUGUUUGCUUAAAAUAUAGUUUUGGUCACCAAUCUUUUGAAGUAAAUAUAUGGUCACCAAUAUUAUCCAUUUGUUACUCUGCAAUAACUCACCUCUAUGAAAUUUGGCAGGCCGUGUCAAUUUUGUAGAUUUGCGCUCUGAACUGUGAAAAAAAUGCAAAUUUUAGGUUAUUCAAGCAUUUUAAUACGUAUAUAUGAAAAAAAGAAGAAGAUAGGAGAGAACCUUCCUAGAAUAUUUAAGAAAAUAGCUCCAAAGACACUAUUGAAGUCAACUUUGAAGCAAAUUUUCAUCAAGAUUGAAGAUUCCCAGUUGAUUUCUAAAGAGAUUAUCAUGAGUUUCUUUAUUUCUUUCGGUUAUACUGCCCUUUGGAUGUUUUUAUUUUUAAGCAUGAACUAAUUUUCUAAAUACCUAAGAGAGAUGAAUCCUAUGGUAGAUUGUGGCACCCCAAACCCAAUCGGGAUAGACCGGCCCGAAUUCGAAGCAUUACACUAGCCACCUAAGUGACUCUCCAGCUAACGACCACCCAAGACACACCCUGACCUUAUAACACCUCAAUCUUGUUUAAUUAUUAGUUAUUUAUUAUUGCAUAAAUAAAUUAUGAGCCAAUUUUAAACUUUUCCUAUGUAAUUUAACCUAAGGGCAAUUUUGUCAUUUUACCACCUAUUGUAAAACUAACUCGAUUUUAGAAGUUUUUACCAACCUUAUUUUAGUCAAAUUAUACAAGCCUAAAUUUUUUAGCUUAAUUUGAGUUUGUUUACUAUGUCUAAUUCAAGUUUUAUUAUUAAGGACUAAAUUGUAACUUAAACAAAUUAGAAUAUCAAUUUAAAGAGAAAAAAUUCAAAACCCAAAAACCCACACGGGCAUGUGGGUAAGUGACACGGGCGUGUGGAGACUGGAGCUAUCACACACGGGUGAGUGGGAUUGAAAAAUAUGAAAUAAAUUAAUCCACUUAAUUUUCCAACAACCAUGCUAUACUACCAAACCAAAUAACGCUUGAAGCUUUGAAUAGGGGUGAAUCUUAAAAAAAUUAAAAGAAUUAGAAUUAAAUUAUAAAAUUUGAGAAGUUAUCAUGUAUUAAUUUAUAAUUUUCUAAAGGGUCUUAAUAGAAUUUUUUUUUUCCCAUUUUGGUUGGGCCAAUACCCCUACCUCUUUAAAUUUGCUUCAAUCCUAAACCCAAUAUUCGAUUUGUUGUGGAAGUUUGAUGCAUAAAAUUUCUUUUUUUAGAGGUUUAAAUUAUAUAUUAUUGAAAGUUUAAAAUAAAUUUGUAUUUUUUAUUAACAAAAUAUAAAACAAAAAAACAUUUUUAGACAAACCAAGGAACCUUUGGGAUCAUACGGAUGAUUUGGUGAUGUUAAUGGUUAUUUUGGUGGAGACAAGCCAAGAAAAGAAACAAAUGAUUCAUUAUAUACAAUAUAAUUAUCAAAAUUCAAGCCAUAUAUUGUCUGUUUCAUCCAUAAAAAUUUCAUGGGAGGUCCAAAGGUAAUUAAAUGACUUGUAGGCUUGCUGAAUUUCUUUGAAAGGCCCAAAGGCAAUUUAACACUCACAAAAUAAUCUCUAAAUACUGUAAAGACAAAUCAAAUCCACAGCAGCAUUAGAGUUGAUUAAGCUAAGCAUUGGCAAAUAUUACUUUGAUUUUGCAUGCAAUAUCGGCAAAACCCCCCUCUUACAUUAGAAAAAACAACAUAAUCCAUGUAACAUUGAUAGCCCAAUACAAAUUUCAUCAAGAAAAAAGUCUCUUUGUUUUGUAGAACAUGAUAGUAAAGAUGUGGAGUUUCAUUCUUCUUAUUGGCCUCCUUUAGUUUUCCUUGAUCAACAACCACUAGCCAAAAACACAAUUAGAUUAGAUUAUGAAUGAUACUUUCAACUAUGACAAUAUUAAAUACAAAACACUCCAAAUAACUCUAAAUAAAUGGAAAGCAGCAAAUUACCUGACGAGGCAAGCUAGCUUAAUUAAGACCAUUGUAUUAUACUUGUCUCUGAAUUGAAAAAUUUAGAAGAAAAUAGAGAAAAAGACUUAGAAAAUACUUGAAAACAGAUAAAACUUAUAUGUCAUUUAAAAUAAAAAAAAAUUAUUUAAGCUGUUUAAAAUUUUUAAGAUUUUUAAAAUUUUAAAAUGAUAAAGGUAAAUUGUACUUUGGCACCCCUAGAAAUGAUAAAACUUUGAUUUAAUCCUUUAAAAAUUAUAAAAAUAUAGGCUAUUAAAAUGAUGAAAUUAUAUUUUUACUAUAGUAAAAAUUACAAUUUAAUUUCACCCCCUAAAAAGAUUUUCUGGCUUCGCCCCUAAUAAAAUAUUUGGCAAAAGAUUAAAAUAAAAUUAUACCGUAAUUGAAAAAAGAAACUAAAAAAAUCCAAUCUAACAAAGAAAAUAACUUGAUGUCCAAAAGCUACCAUAAAUCGUAAUUCAUGGGAAGGCUUGUUGCUCAUUUUAUUGGUUUCCAUUUUGAUUUUGCAAAAGAAGUUUGAAUUUUGACGAAUACCGACAUAUUAUAUAUAUGACUAAAAUUCCAGAAUAGGUUAAAAAUGUUGAAUUAAAGAUGAAAUUAAGUGUGAAUUAAUAACCACAAGUGUACUCAUUACUCACCAUCUCUGUUAAAAAUGUUGGAUGUUGUUUAGCAACCUUUGUUUGAUUUUCUUCAGCUCAACCACAACAUCUUUCAUAUCUUUUCUUUCUUCUGGUAACUCAGCUGAACAAUUCAAAGCCAACUCCAUGAUAGAUGAAAUACAAUUUGCUUUAACAACAAUGUACUCAUCCUCUCUUCUUAGUAAAUCAACAUCUGCAAUUUCUAUCGCUCCUUUAGGCAAUGAACUUUCCAUCCAAUGCCUUAUAGUCUCUUCUUCAACAAAAACAUUAUCAGAUGGCUUUUUCUUUGUGAAAGUUUCUAUAAGGACGAUCCCAUAACUAUAGACGUCAGAUUUUAUAGAAACAAUUCCUGCUGAUCCAAAUUCUGCAUUUCAAGUAUAAUUAGAACAUCAUUCAUCCUCAAUUAUUUCUAAAAUGCUUAUUCUAAUAUCUAUCCAUAUACACAUGAAACAAAAAUAUAAAAUUCAAAUUAGGAAAAUAAUCAUACAAAAAUAAAAAAGAAUUCACCUGGUGCCAUAUACCCGAUAGUUGCAAGAGUCAUGGUUUGCUUCAUUACUUCACCUUCUCCCAACAAUUUGGCAACGCCAAAAUCUCCAACAUGUGCAACCAUGUCUUCAUCUAGUAAAAUAUUGCUUGGCUUUAUGUCACAAUGAAUUAUAGGUGUUGGAUGUCCAUUGUGGAGGUGUUCUAUAGCUAACGCAACAUCUAUCAUUAUGUCGACCCUUUGUAUGAUAUCAAGGAAACAAUUUUCAGAAUGUAACCAUUUCUCAAGGUUUCCAUUAGACAUGUAAUCAAGCACCAAGGCUUUGAAGUCAACACUUGAGCAGCAAGUAAUGACCUUCACAAUAUUACGAUGAACUAUAUUAAGCAUAGCAUCACAUUCAAUGUCAAAACUCCUAAAUGCUCCCUCUGUUUGCAAAUUGAAAACUUUUAUUGCAACUUCCAUUCCAUCUGAAAGCCUCCCUUUAUAUACAUAUCCAAAACUCCCUGAACCAAGCAUAUUGCUUUCCUCAAAUCCAUUAGUUGCUCGUGAAAGUUCAGCAUGUGAAAUUCUUCUCGGUGUUUUCAAAGACAACAAAUCAUCUUUAAUUGAUAGAGUUGUACUCCUUCUUUGGCAUCUUCUAUACAUAAUAGUUAAGACUAUUAGUACUACGACAAUGCCAAUUGUUGGUAAACCAUACCUAAAAGCAUGCAAUAUAAUCAUUUGGGAGUUUUUGUGGAUGUCGUUUUUGCAAGGUGGGACUUGCAAUCUAGGUGGACCACAAAGUGCAUAAUUCUUCAUGAAUGAUGUGCUAGAAAAGUUUGAAAAACAUCCUUUGCUGGGAAUUUCCCCUUCAAGUCUAUUGAAAGACACAUUAAAAUACCUUAGAUAUAUAAG